Molecule: long non-coding RNA, 193928 nt
Filed under: Gossypium barbadense (sea-island cotton)
Lineage: Eukaryota; Viridiplantae; Streptophyta; Magnoliopsida; Malvales; Malvaceae
Description: long non-coding RNA (GBAR_LNC013895)
Rfam family: MIR7486 microRNA precursor family (bases 180297-180383)
Source: RNAcentral
CUAACUGCUUGUAUAUAUUUAAAAGAACACUUCUACAGGCUUUGGAAAACUAUCAUCCACAUUGAGUAAUUUGGAGAUCCUUGACUUAAGUUUCAAUUACUUGAAUGAUAGCAUUUUGUUAUCUUUGAGUGAGCUUUCCUCUCUCCGGUAUUUAGACCUAUCAUACAACCAAUUUGAAGGAUCAAGUCAUCCAAGAGGUAAAUUAAAUUUGGUCUGGUGUAAGUUUUUAUUUGUAUAGUAGAGUUUGAGGAUGGUCUUCUAGGCUUGGUACCUAGUUUUCCAUUCUUUUUAUCCGUUGUAAUUCCACUUUUGCUUUAGUAAAAUUUUCAUAUAGCUAAGAAAGAAAAAAACAAUUAACAAGUAAUUAUGUAUAUAUAUCAGGUUUUCAAUUGCUUUCAAGACUCAAUAACUUGGAAACUCUUGAUUUAAGUUGGAAUUCUUUGAAGAAUAGCAUUUUGUUCCAUAUGAGAAAUCUUUCAUCCUUGAAGACUUUAAGAUUGAGACGUAAUCAGUUGAAAGGAAGGCUGGAUCAUAUUCAAGGUAGACUGAUUUUACCUGUUUCUUUUCAACUUUAAAAAUCAAUAUGUAUAUUCAAGUUUGAUUUCAUCAUACGAUCAAUAUAUAACUAAUCAAUACUUGGGAUUGAAUUUUAGGGUUGAAUAAUUUGACAAACUUGAAAUACUUGGAUUUAAGUGACAACAGCAUUGAAAGCAUCUCAAACCAAGGUAUAAGUACAGUAUUUAUAUGUCAAUUCAUAUUAAAGGUAGACUGGUUUUAUAUGUUUCUUUUUUACUUUAAAACCAAUUUUUGUUUAAGGGACAGUUAAUGUUGCAAUAUUUCAAAAUAGAGUAAAUUAAGUAGGAAGGUAUCUCAAACAAAGUAUUUAUAUGUUGAAUCAAUUAAGUUUUACUUGUAAAAUGUAGCUUAUCAAUUCAUGGGAAAGCUUGUAAAUUGGCUCUUCCUUCUCAAACAAACAUUUUUCCUAGCUAUUUAUAUAUUGAAUGAUAUUAACUAUACUAAUUAUUUUCUUCCAAUGAUAGAUGGAACACAAUGGAGGCUAACAAACUUAGAGGAACUUGAUUUAAGUAAUAAUCUCUUUCGGAACAACACAAUUUCCUUUCCUCAGGGGCUUUCAAGCCUAAAGUACAACAACAGUUUGCAAGGCUCAUUAGAUACUAAAGGUACUAAAGCUAUAACUUUGUUUUUCUUGAUAAUUCUUUCUAGAACCUUUUAAAAUUAAUUGUUUCAAAUUUGAGCAUUCAGAUUUCACGUUUGAGGUUUUUCAUCUUCACUUCAAGUUUUAGAUAUACUUUUUUUUUAUUUCAUUAAAAUAUUAAGUAGAAAUUAAAAUUAUUAACAUAAUGAUUUUUUGAAUUGGACAUGGAUAUGUAUAGGAUUGAGAAAUUUAACAAAUUUGAAGAAACUCGAUUUACGUUGGAAUCAAAUUGAAAGCUUUCAAUCCUUUAAAGGUAUGCAUUUAUAUUUAACCAAUUACCUAAAUUCUUACAUAUAAUUAAAUUUUAUGCCAAUUCAUUUUAGUGAUGAAAUUAUAUAAAUCUUUUGUAGAUGGUGGUUCAAAAUUGGAGUUGACCCACUUGGAAGAGCUUAAUUUAGAUGCAAAUCUCUUCAAUACUAGUGUAUUUGCAUCCCUUAACAAGCUUUCAAAUUUGAAAUCUUUGAGCAUAAAGUUACAAUGAAUUGAAAGGAUCAAUAGAUACGAAAGGUAAAAAUAUUAGUUUUUUAACAAGAAUAUAAUAAUGUUUUAAGAGAAUAUAAUGAAGUUGAUUUGUUAAUUUUGUUUUCCUAGAUUUGGAUGCAUUUAUCAAGUUAAGGGAACUAUAUUUGAGCGACUAAUGAAUUGAAAGAUUUGGUGAUCCACCAAGGUAUCAUUUAAUUAAACUUCUUUUUUUUUCUAAUUUAGAAAUUUAGUUUUUAUCUCAGAUAUUAUAAUAACGGUUAUUGUCAUAAAUAUUAAUAAAGUUAUAUCAUAUCAUACUUGAAAGUAAAAUAUGAGUUUGGUGAAACAUUUUCUAAAUCCUCCAUUAUAAUGUGUUUCAACUUUAGUUUGAAAUUAAAAUUCUUUAAAAUUUUCUUAAUUUUAAAAUAUUAAUGUUUAUAAUUAUUUUGUUUGUAAAAAUAUAUUUUUUAAAAUAAUUUUUUUAAUUUUUAUGAGAUAAAAAAUAAUUAUAACAAUAAAAACAAUGAUAUUACAAAUAAAUAAAAACAUAUAUUUAUGAGAAAAUAUGUAAUAUAACUAUAUUUUAAUUUCAUAUUUUUUUAAUAGUAUAAAACAUAAAAAUACAUAUUAGAGUUACAUAAAUCACAUUUUUUUUGCCAAAAAUAAAUAAAUAUGAAUUUUGAAUAAUUUAAAAAAAUCUUCAAUUUUAUGAAAUUUAAACAUACAUUUAGAGGUGCUUAAACUUCCAUCGCAAACUUUUUAUAAAUUUCAAAAUGCACAUGAUAUUAACAUAUGUCUACAUACUCUUUAUAAAUUUGUAAUUUAAUUCUUAUACUUUUAUUUUUAGGAAUUUAGUCCCUCUAUUUUAAAAAAAAAAUUCAAAAUCCAAGUUCAAUAGUUAAAAUUGUUAAUUUUUUUUAAAAAUAAUUAGUUGGUGUGACAUUUUGAAAUAAAAAAACUUUGGUAGCAAUGUAACUAAAAAAUGACAUAAUGAAAAUGGAUUUAAUAAAACAAUUUUAACAGUAUUAAUAAUUAGACUUGAAUUUUGAAAUUGAGUAAAAUAAAUGGCAUAAAACAUAAAAAUACACGUUAGAGUUAAUUAAAUGGCAUUUUUUGGCCAAAAAUAAAUAAAUGUCAAUUUUGAAUAAUUUAAAAAAAACUUCAAUUUUAUGAAAUUUAAACAUACAUUUUGAGGUGCUUAAAAAUUUUUUUCCAAACUUUUUAUAAAUUUCAAAAUGCACAUGUUAUUAACUUUUUGGUUUAAAAAAUGUGAUAGGUCUACGUACUCUUUACGAAUUUGUAAUUUAAUUCUUGUAUUUCUAUUUUCGUCAAUUUCCCUCUAUUUUUUAAAAUUUAAAAUCCAAGUUCAAUUGUUAACAUUGUUAUUUUUUUAAAUUAAUUUAUUGGUGUUGACAUUUUGAAAUAAAAAAACCUUGGUAGCAAUGUAACUAAAAGAUGACGUAAUGAACAUGGAUUUAAUAAAAUAAUUUCAAUAGUAUUAAUAGUUAGACCUGAAUUUUGAAAAUUUAUUUUUGUAAAGAGAAAAAUAUGCACAUUAGAUUUAAAUAAAAAUAAUAUUUUUUUAGUUUAAAAUUUUCUAUUUUAUAAUAGAACCAUGAUUUAAAUAAAUGAAAUUUUGAAGAGUUGCCAAAAAAAACUAUGUAGGUGAAAUUUAAAUAGAGAAUUUGAGAAGCUGAAAGUCUCUUUCGGAAUUUAUAAAUUUUAAAAUUCAAAAGGAUGUAUUUUGACAAUUUUAGGGCAAUGAUUUAGUGCUUUAAAAUUUUGAUUUAAUAUGGAGAAUUUAAUUAAAAAUUUAUUUAUUAGAUUGUAAAAUAUUUCUUAACAUUUAUAAUUGAGUACAAAGUAAAUUAAGUUUAAGGGAAAAUAUUAGGUACUAUUAAUGAAACUCUUUUCUUUUAUCAAAUUUUUUUUAAAAAAAUCUGGUUUUUAAAAAAAAUCGGGGUGGUACUAUUAAUGAAAUUCUAAACUUGAUAAGUAGGAUUGAGAUAAUAACAAAUAUAUUAUAUGGUAUAAUAAAAUAUUAAAAAAAGAAAUAUUUAAAAGAAAUAGGUUACUGGCCAUUUUUUAACUUCACUUGUAGAGUUAAAAAACUCCAUUACUAGUACCAAAUACUAAUAUUAAGGAAUUAAAUGCUAAAUUAAUUUCAAACAUAUUUAAAUCUGAUAUGAAUCAAGAAAAAAUUUAUUUUGAAAUUAUAUUUUAUCUUAGAAUGCUAAAAAAGGAUUAGUUUAAUUAAUAAAAUGAAUAAAUAGUUAUGUUAAGAUUUGGACAUUCUCUAUUAAAAUUUUAUUUUAUUGAUGAAAACAAAUAUUUAUAUAUUUCUUUCACUUACAGAAAAUAAGGGAUUGAGAAAUUUGAAAGUUUUGUUUCUUUAUCACGCUUUCACCGAUGGAAGCAUUCCAUUACAAAAUUUAGUGGAGUCUUUCUCAUCAGUUAAAGCCUUUCAUCUACAAUACAAUUAUCUGAACAUGACUCUGGCUACUCAAGGUAAGUGAAAGUCAUUAUGUUCUUUUCCAAAACAGCUUACGUUUAUUAACAUCUAAUACCUCUUCCCAUCCUAUAGAAUUAAAUGUGUCGAGCAAUGUGGAGGAAUUAUAUUUUGACGGAUCUACUCUCAACACCAACAUUUUGCAAAGCAUUGGAGUAUUCGCUUCUCUUAAAACAUUGUCUUUACAUGAUUGUGGACUUAUCGGUCCCUUACCUAAUCAUGGUAAAUAAAUUUAUGGGUCAAAUUGACUUCUUUAUGAGCCUUCUGGGAUAUAAUAUCUCCUAUUCUGUUUAAUAGAUCAAAUUUAAUUAAAAUUUCUUCAAUGAAUUUAUAAAUUUUUCAGGAUGGUGUGAUCUAAGGAACCUUGAAGUGUUGGAUGUGAGUGGGAAUGCACUUGAGGGGAUGCUUCCUCAUUGUUUCAGUAACUUGACAUCUCUUCGUGAGUUACAUAUUUCAGCAAACCGUUUUCAAAUUCCACUAUCAUUCGCACCAUUUGCAAACCUUUCAAACCUCAAAGUCCUUUCCGGUGAUGAAAACAAGAUGGUAAUGGAACCUUCCUUUUAUACCUCAGUCCCAAAGUUUCAAUUGACCAGCAUCAGUUUGUCAAAGUGCAUUACAUCUCAACAACUCAAUCUUGAACUUCCUACCUUCCUUUACUACCAAUAUGACUUGAGAUAUGUGGAUCUUUCUCAUAACAAUUUCAGCGGAACAGUCCCAACUUGGUUGUUAGAAAACAACACAAAGUUAGAAGUUCUCAUCUUGAUGGGUAAUUCCUUUACUGGUCCUCUCUCAUUUUCGUCAGCUCUUAUUUCUAAUGUAUCUUCAAUUGACAUAUCUGAAAACAAAUUACAAGGUCAAAUUCCGACUAGUAUAUGUUCAACUUUUCCACAUUUGUGGCGGUUAUUCUUAUCCAAGAAUGCUUUUGAAGGUAAUAUCCCACUUUGUUUAAGUGUCAUGAAGGACUUAUCAUUUUUAGAUCUAUCAAACAAUCAAUUGUAUGGAAAAGUACCAGAAGAGUUGAUCGCGAAAGGCUCACUGACCAUUUUGAGACUAUCAAAUAACAAGCUCAGUGGAAAUGUAGUUCCUGUGGUUCUCAACUCAAAUGGGGUGCAGAAUUUAUAUUUGGAUGGAAACAAUUUUUCAGGAGAGAUGACAAAUGUUGAUUUGUCUACUUUUGAGUUUCCAAAUUCAAUAAGGGAAAUUGAUCUUAGUAACAACAAGUUGCAUGGAAAGCUCCCAAGAUGGAUAGGGAAUGCAUCGUUUUUGGAGAGAUUAGCUUUGUCCAACAGCGGUUUCGAGGGUUCUAUUCCAAUGGAAUUUUGCAAGUUGAAUAGGUUGGAAUUUUUGGAUCUUUCCCAAAAUCAUUUAUCUGGAUCUAUACCGUCAUGUUUUAAUCCACCAAACAUAGAGCAUGUCCACCUCCACGAGAAUAGACUGAGAGGUCCACUAUCACUUGCUUUUUAUAAUAGCUCCUCUCUAGUGACUUUAGAUCUUAGAGGAAACAAUUUGACAGGUAAUAUUCCAAAAUGGAUUGACACAUUUUCUUCUUUGAGUGUUCUUCUCUUGAAAGAUAAUCAUUUUCACGGUAAAGUUCCAAUUCAGUUAUGCAAGUUGCAUUCUUUAAGCAUCAUAGAUCUUUCUCAAAAUAUGUUUUCUGGUCCUAUACCUUCUUGUUUGGGAAAUUUAUCUCUUCCAAUGCAAACGAAGAAGAUUCUAGACAUUGGGAUCUAUAGGCAAUCUACAGAAGAGGAUGAAUCAACACGCAUUAUGAUAGCAAAUCUGGGACUGGAUUCUUACUACCCUUACAGCUACUUUGAAGAAGUAAUAGAGUUCACAACAAAGAGUGGGUUCUAUUCGUACAAGGGCGACAUCCUUUCAUAUAUGACUGGGAUUGAUUUAUCUUGCAACAACUUAACUGGUCAUAUCCCACCAGAAUUAGGGAACUUGAGUGAAAUCCAUUCUUUAAACCUUUCACACAAUAAGUUGACCGGAGUUAUACCCUCGUCAUUCUCAAAACUUCAUCAAAUUGAGAGUUUGGACCUUUCUUACAACAACUUGAGUGGUGAAAUCCCCAAUCAAUUGGUAGAGUUGAACUCUUUGGAGGUUUUCAGCGUGGCAUUUAACAACUUUUCAGGUAGUAUUCCCGAACCAAAAGCUCAAUUUGGGACCUUUAUUGAAAAUAGUUAUGAGGGAAAUCCGUUUCUUUGUGGAGUUAUAUUGCAUAAAAGUUGUUCCAAAACCGAUUCACCAUCAACGAUAUCAACUGUAUCAGAAGAUAAAUGAGAAGAUGGUUUGAUAGAUACUUAUGAUUUUUGUGUGAGCUUUUUGGUUUCUUAUGUAGUUGUGUUGUUGACAAUUUUUGUUGUCCUCUACAUAAAUCCAUAUUGGCGAAGAGCUUGGUUUUCUCUAGUUGGGAAAUGCAUUACCACCUGUCACUACUCAAAUGUGGGCAAUUCUUACUUAUCACAUUUUCAAGCGAUGUGUUUAGCUACUCAAAUUGCGAUUUGAUUUCCACACCUAAAUGUUUAAUUAUGCUAAGUUGAGCGAUAAUGAAUAUUUUGUUGAUUUUUGCAUUUUGAAUAAAAGCUCUUUUACCUUAUGGUUUUAUCAUUUUCAACCAACUAUUUCUUUUUUCUUCUAUGAAAUUUAAUGUAAAAUCAUAAUCCAUUAUUAUGUAUAUGUAAUAUCUCUUUAAAUUAAAUUAAAUUAAAUUAACUGCCAAGCGUUCACUAGUGCAUACUAAAAAGGAAAUCUAAUGUAAAAUUAAAUAACAUACUAGAAAAUUGAAUCUAAAACUGGAAUAUUUUAAAACCUCACAAAUAAUGCAAUUCUUUAUUCCUCUUUUCCUCUCAAGUUAUUUUGUAUCAUGUUAUAUUUUACAUAAUUAUUCGUAUCAUUGAAUUUUAAAAAAAAUUUAAUAUUUUGAUAUCAUGUUCAUAUUAUGCUUUAAUUCACAAUAUAUUUUGUAUAAUAUGUUAUAACAAUUCAAUUUAAAAAACAAGCAAUUAUCUUAUUUUUGCAUACCGUAAUAUACAUUUACAUGUUAAUAAUUCUUUGUACAUAAAUUUUGACAUGUUCGUAUAUUCGAGUCAUUAUAAUUUUAUUAUUUGUAAUAUGACAUGUUUUACUUACCCUUAAUAUUGUGUCAUGAUAAUUAUAACUCGAUUGGCAGUGUACCAAAUAUUUUUCUAAUAAAAAAUAGUAUUUUAUUCUAUUUACCAAAUCUUUAUCAACUUUAUAUUCUCACCAACAAAACAUACAUUCAAAGUUCAAAUAAGUUCCACACCCAUUUAUGCUCAUCAUCAGAAAGCUGAAAUAUUCCACUCUAAUUAACAUUAUGAUUCUGUAAACAACAAAAAAGUGUGAUCUUUUUUUAAAGCUCUUUUUUUUCUUUAAUGAAAUGGGAUUGGUAAAAAAUCCGCACAUGUGUCGUGUGUGAAGAAGGUCAGGUUGUCUAUUCAUUCUCUAAUAAGUAGCUAAUUAUAGUUGAUCCUACAAAAUCAAAAUUAAUUCAGGUAUCUAUAUAUUCUGAAGACUGGACAGACCUUAGAAGCUCCUUCAAAUUUGCAAGAACAUGUCGUGGUCCUAAACUCUUUACACCGAUGAAAUUCAAAAGUUGCUCUAUAUCCUGCAAUCACAGUAAAGAUUAUGCAAGCUUUUCAGAACGAAUAACAUAACAAGCAAAAGGCAAUCAAAAUACUGUGAUCUCGAUAAUGUUCUUUGCCGAAAAGGAACAUAAACAUAACCUGAAAACAUCAGUGAAGGCUCAUCAGAUUUGCUUAGCAACCUUACAUACACAUGUAAAAAGCUUUGCUUUUGGAUGUAAGGUGUGACUAUCAUCACAGUCUUUCCUAAUUAGCUGAUAACCCUAUAUCUAACAUUAAUCAUGGCUAAGCAAAUUAACAUACAUAAUGUAAAGGAAUUUGACUAUAAGAUCCAACAUAAAACUUAAUAAAAGAUAAUCAACAUAGAAAGUUAAAAGGCAAUGCAAACUUAUUACAAUGAUGCAAGUGGAUCAAAAGAAAGCACUCUAUAAGGAAUUUGCAUUUAAGGCAUUGUAAACAGAAAAAAAAAAUAAAACUUUUUGGAAAGUAUUUUCAAAGAGGAGACAAACAGGGUAGAAAAAAUGUUUGGUCCUUCCUUUUUCUAUUUCUACUGUGGUGAAAAAGCCUUUUUGGGUUAAAAGUGUUUUUACACUGCAGAAGUGUUUUUCCACUGCAGAAGUGACGAAGAACACAUAGCUUUUGUAGUCAAAAACCUACUGCUUUUGGCUUUUGCAUUUCGAAGUGAAAAUUAUAAAAAUACUCUUAGAUUAAUUUAUAUUUUAUAUAUUAUUAUAUUAAUUGUUUAAAUCUUAUUUAUUAUUAUAUUUAAUUUUUUUCAAAAUAUUUUAUAUAUCAUCAAUUUUAUAAAUAAUUUAAAUUAAUUACUUAAAAGGUAUUUAAAAGUUAUAUUUCAUGUAUCAUUAUAUUAAAUUAUUUAAAUAUCAUAUAACUUGACUAAUUUUUUUCUUUCUACCAUCAUGUCUAAAAAAGACAUUUUAACUUUCAACUGCAAUUUUUGGCAGCAAUGAACAACACUAAAAACUAACAAACACACUUUUCCGCACCACAUUUCAACAACACUUUUUUCUAAACGCACUUUUGAACUAGUCCUUAGUCUAUCAUGCAUCAACUCUUCAUUUUUCUUUAACUACCCAUGUCCGACUUCGAACAUGGAUAUGGAGAUAUGACCAAGUCACAGUGACAUAGUUUUUAGUUAUGGGGAAUGGGAUUCGAGUGCUGGACCUCCUUUUAGAUGCAUGGUGGGACUUCAUCACAUUUUUCAAAUUUGUUGAUAAUCCUUCACCUAAUCUGCCGGUGAAGUUUAUAGAUAGUCUUAAGUGUCUAUCACAAGAACCUAGAUAUUGUAAAUCCAAUAUCUUCCAAACAAUUCAACCAUGAUAUUAAUGAUGAUGGAAGCAAGAUUAUCCACUAUCAAUGACAUAAAAUGAGCUGUAAAUGCUGACGAACAAACAUGCACUGUUUUUCCAACCUGUGGAUUGAAGAGCAUUGACAAGCUAACUUUGCAGACCAUUUGAAUCCAAUACUAUACAUAAAAAUGCCAAAGGAGAAUAAUUCAUCUUGGAAAAAGAAUUACUAAUAUGCAAAAGCUUACCUUGUUUAACAAGAAAACAGCAUAUGCUGCUCUUGUCGUGUCUUGACCUUCUAAAAACAGCGGAAAUUCUGCCAGCUUUACAUUUGCUGAAAGUGUUGUAUCCAAUGACAAAUCAGAAGAUGCAGGGUCUAUUGAAGACGCAUGGUCAUUAAUAUAUGAGCGAGAACCACCCAAGCGCAGAGGAUAACGCAAGGGAACUUGUAAAUAGGAUGCAAUUAGUGAAACAGCCUGCAAAUGAUGAAAUAACAGGAAACAAGAAACAAUAAUAGGUAUGAUUAAAAUUAUAGCCUCAGCAUGAGAAACAAACAAUCAAGAUGCAACCCACUAUACCAUAUUACCAUCCUAGCAAUUAAAAAUUACUACAGCAUCUUCAAGCAACAAGGGAUUGUAGGUGGUAGGUCAAAAAACUUGAUAUCCACAGCUUGAUAUUAUCAGAAAAAACAAAUUCAGUAAUAAAUGAUAACUUCACAGAAGAAAUAGAACGCACAUGUGCAACAUAUCCCAAGGCAGUUGCAGAUCUCUGAACCUCCUUUUUGUCAGUGAAAAAACUCAUCUUUGUAAAAGGAAGCAAGGUGAGAUUCAGACCUAAAAUUGUCAACGAUCCUUGAUUGACGGGCUUUGAUGCAGAAGGAUUCCCUAUUGAAGACAGGAACAAAGGAACUUCAUAUCAGUACAUCACCAGACACCACCUCUUUGUGAAAGUCAAAAGAAAAUUCAAAAAAAUAUCAUCAUGAAAGUAAGAGAUAUGUAAAAAGCUCAUAAUAUUCAAGAGCAAAAAAAAAUUGUUUUGAUAUGAGGAGAAUUGAAUAGUAGAUUGCUAAAAGAGGAAUAACUGAAUACAACCAUUAUAACCAAAAGAAGAGUCAAGUGAUAGGUAAUGGUACUCCCUAAGCUGUUUAGGAAUCAUAAAAGACUUGUCCAGUCGACAAAAAUAACUCAUUUUAUUCUCCCCUAGUAAAACAUCAUAUUGGACCAACCAUAUUUGAUAUCAAAGGAUAUGCAUAUCCAGGCAUGCCAUUUAUAGAUAUUCCCAGUGUUACAAGAAGGAAUUGUUCAAGAGAAAGAAGCUGCUAUUGUUGGUAAAGUUUUCCUCAAACCAUUUUGAACAUCCAAAAUCUCAAGAACAAAAAAGAAAACGUAGGAGGAAAUAUAACAAGCAUCACAACGGGUUCUCGAUGAUAUAAGUGAGAGGAUAAAUGUUAAUUAAGAUUAUAAAAAUAAACCACAAACUAAACAGGAAAGACAUGGAUUUCAAAACGAGGAGACUGGCUGCUAAUUAAAACCAUAUGCGGCGUUGUCUAGGGCGCAAGGCACAUUCUAGGUGCUAACCUUUAUAUUGCCUCAAGCACAAGGCACAAAAGGAAGCGCUAGCCUGAGUGCAGUAAAGCGCAAUACGUAUAUGUGAGAGUUUUUGCAAGUCUGUGUGUCUAUAACAUAAAAGUUUUAAGAUAUAUGGUAAACUCUAAAGUGUGGUCUGGUUUAUCCACAAAACUUGCAAAAUUUUUAUAGGUGAAUACUUAAAUAUUGAGAAUUAUAGAGUUUGAUAUUAUCCCUUUCUUAUUAGUAAAGGUGUAUCAAAUGAAAACAGUAGAAAAUAAAAUAAAAUAUUGAGAAAUUCAACAAGGCAGGCUUUUUCUAAUGCCCAUUGCCUUACAAAAAAAGUGUGCCUAGGUGCACCAGGCAUACGCUUGAUCAAAUGGACCUCACCUGGAAGGGUCCAAGGCGUUUUGUUGUAUAAAACUAAGGCGUAGGCACGCCUAGGCGCAUGCCUUGACAACACUGACCAUAUGUUGGCUUUAUUGCAAAGCAUUAGCAAUCCAAAACUACUAGCACAUUACCUAAUCUACUACUGCUAGAAUAGGACUCAAGUUCUUGCUCCUGUGCAGGUCCAACCAAGAUCUUUACAGGAUACAAUAAUGAAACUUGUGAUAUCAUAUAUUGUUGCCUUGCUCGAAGCUUCCUUUGCACAUUUUUAAGUUUAACACAACCCCUUUCUUCAGUGAGUAAUCUAUUUGCUUCCUGUGAUAAAAACAACAUAUAAUCAAUCAUGCCACGCAUGCAAGACUACCAACCAACUAUCUAAUAAAAGAGACAAAGAAGUAGGAGAGCAAGAAGGGGAUAACCCUUGACUAUGCAAAGGAAUUCAUAGAAUGAGAAUCAUCUCAUCUAAGCCCCUCAACCACCUUCACAGGGGGUGGAGGUGCAAAGAGAGAGGUCUUAUUGAUCCGAGAGGAGAAUAUAUAACAUCUAAAGCUGAAUAAGAAGAAACCUUCAAAUAUAUCAUAAAUUCAGAAUUCAUGAUAAUAUAAAAAUGAAAUUCCAAAGCUAAUUUAAGCUAGAAUAAAAAUGCUUCACCUGUAAUCGCUUCCUUGCUACAGAAAGAGAGGUACCAGCAACCAACAAUGAUCUUACUUCAGUACUCAGCAUUUCCUCCUGUUUUUUAGCAUCCUCUGUUGCAACUUUGCAACGAGUUGACAUGUUUGCCAUAACUACUUUCCUUGCCUCUAGUCUCUCACGCAUUUCCUCAAGCUCGUUCAGUUUAUUCAAAGACUCAUUUUUUACCUGCACAGCAUGUUCCCACCCAUUAAUCAGUGGGCCAAUUAAUUAGGUCACAGAAGACAAAACUAAAUUAUCACUCACCAGGUCCCCUUGAAGUGUCAUAUGGCUUUAACAAUUCAACGUGCAAUAUCUAGUAAAAGUGAAAUAAACAUAGAAGAAUGCAAAUGCAAUUCUUAAACGCCUUUAAAUGGACAACAUGAAACAGUUUAAGAGCCCUAUAAAACAGAAAAGUGGAAAAAAAAUCUGAAAAGGAAAAAAAAUGAAUUGAAACAAUAAAUCCAUCUGGUACAAACAGCAACAAAUCUCGAAAUAAGCCUUGGCUUUAGCCCAUUAAAGCCCGGGCAUCCGGCCGAAUAAACAGUGACUGCCAUGUCAACUUUUUGAGACGGUAGAAAAGAGCUCAAAAAUCUCAAUUUCCAAAAUUAAGGACAUAAGAAGGAAAACAAUGUACUUAUUCUUACAGUAGAAGAGCAAAAUGAAACUAAAUGAAGGAUAAGGGAACUGAUGCGAAUUGACAUUGUUAUUUUUGGGACUAAAAAGAAUACGCAGAUUGAAUAUUUAAGAUUUUGUAAGGGAAAAGUUCCAUUCACCAACACAAUUAUCAUCGCCCUUUAUCCCAGUAAAGCUUAAUUGACAAUUUUUCUGUCUCGUGUUCUUGCUAAAGCAUUUGAGCAACCCAACAGAAAUCAUUAUAUGUCAAACUGAAAUGAUUGGCUUUAUCAAUUUCACAACCUAUACUGCCCAACCUAGUAAGUAAUUUAGGUGCAGACACCAGAAAUCUAUUUUCUUUGCACUCUACAACCAAAUAGCCUACCACUUAUCAAUCAAACACAGCUGAAAACUUCAGUGAGGAAACAUUAUGUAAACUGAAAAAACUAUAACUUCAACUUGAUUCAUAGCUCGGUAAGUUCAGGGAACUUGGACUUCUACCACCAUGAUCCAGUUCGAUGUGAAACAGUGAUCCAUAUCACGCAUAUCAGUUCCCGCAACAAGAGGUAAAACAGCAAAUUAGGUAAACAAUGAUCCAACUAUAUUUCAGAAUAGCAACAUUGAGCAUGAAAGCUAAAAUUAUAGCAUAUUAUGGGUCCUUGCUCCCUACAACUACAUAUAAAAUUACUAAACAAUAUUACUACAUUAAGGAUCCAGAAAAACUUGGUUUCAAUUGUUGAUCACUUGAUCCAACUAUUUUAGAAAGUUUAUUCUUCUUUUUCCUUUCCCUUAUUUUCUAAAUCAGGAAAAACAGUAGCAUAUAAACUGGAUUACUACUCCAAUUAAGUUUCUAAAAUUUCAGCAAUAUCCCUUUAACCUUUUCACUCAAGUCACUACCCCCCCCCCCCAAUUAACAAAUAUAUUCCCAGUUUCCCUUUCACUUCAAACCCCCCCCCUUUUUUUUUUCUCUACCCAAAUUCAGCUUACGUUCAAAAACCCAAAAUUGGUUUGCUAAAAAAACAUAAUUUUCAAACCCAAAGGUAACCUAAUUUUAAUCAGAAAAAAAAAAGAAGCAUUACCUGAAUUAGUGAAUGGAGUUUCUCUUGAAGACUUUAUUUUAAAAUUAUCUUAUACUAUUUGCUUUAAAUCGAUUUUUAUUAGUUAUUUGAAACUCGUUUUCAUGUACUAUUUAUUUUUUUAUCACUUAUUUAAAUUGUUUUACAUAUCUAUUUUUUAAACCCUAUUUUAUUAUAUUUUACUUAUUUUAACUUUUUUACAUAUUUCAUUAUAAAUAUUAUUAAUUAUCUAUAUUGAGUUUUUCAUUUAUGUAUUACUUAUUUAGAUAAAUAUAUACUAUUUUGUGUAUUACUUAUUUUGAUUUUCUUCUUAUACAAUAUUACUUUAAAAUUCAUUUAGAUAUUAUUAUUUCACAUAGUAUUUAUUUUUAUCUUCAUUUUUGAUCUAUUUCAAACUCAUAUAUAUUGUUUAUUUUGAAAUUUUAUGCACAUGAUUUAUUGUUUAUAUUGAUGAUUUUAAAUUUCCUUUCUUGUAUUUUUAUUUAUUUAUUUUAAAACUUGUUAUACUUUAUUUGUGUUAAUUUGCUUAGUUUUUCUUUCAAAAUUAACUUAUAAUUCAUUAGCUUUUAAUGUUAGUAUUUGCAUAAUAUGUGAUAUAAGAUUAUUGCUCUCAUGUAUUGCUUAUCUGUAUAUAUUGAUUAUUUGUCAUUCAUUAGUAUAUAUUUUGUUUUACGAAUUAUCACUUCUCGCGUUGUACAUUAUCAUUUCCAUCGCGUUUUAUUUGCUCAAAAAUUAUGUUUAAUAUGGCUUAAGUUUUGAAAUCAUUUUAUCCAAAAGCUUCCAAUAUAGCAUAACACUCGGUGUUUGGGAUUUUUGAAAAGAUCGUACUCUAACUUACGAGGUCUCGAUUUUUUGAUAAUUUCAAAUAUACGAACCUUUUUAAAAAAAAAAACAAGACACAUUUACUUAAAAAUUAUCUCAAGAAUCAAAAAAAGAUCGUGUCCCAACUUACCGGAUAUGAUUUAUUAUCUGAAACCGAUAUGAUCAAGAUUUUUAAAAAUAAAUAAAUUUUGGUGUUUAUUCUCGUUUCGGGAUUUAAGAUAUUGUGUCCUAACUCACGGGAUAUAAUUUUUUUCUCGAUUAACGAGAAAUACACCCUUCUUUAAAUUUUAACAAAAUGGUCAUUUUUUUAAAUUUCUUUUCGAAAUUUUAAUUUUUCGACAUUAAGACAUUAAUUAAUCGAUUAGGUACUAAUUUUGGGCAUGACGGGGUGCUAAUCCUUCCUCGCAUGUAACUGACUCUCGAACCCGUUUUUCUUAAAUUCCAUUGACCAAAAUCAUUGUUUUAAUAAAAUCAAAAUGUUUUAUCAAAACGAUUGAAUUGCAAGGUGAUCCAAUCACACAUAAAAAAAAUGUCGGUAGCGACUCCCUUUUUUUCAUUUUCAAAAUAAAAGUCAACACUAUUUUUGUUUUCAAAAAGUGGUUUCGACAAAAUUGUUUAAAUCUUACUUAUUAUUAUAUUUAAUUGUUUUUCAAAAUAUUUUAUAUAUCAUCAAUUUUACAAAUAAUUUAUAUUAAUUACUUAAAAGGUAUUUAAAAGUUAUAUUUCAUGUAUCAUUAUAUUAAAUUAUUUAAAUAUCAUAUAACUUGACUAAUUUUUUAAUUUCUACUAUCAUGUUUAAAAAGAACAUUUUAACUUUCAACUGCGAUUUUUAGUAGCAAUGAACAACACUAAAAACUAACAAACACACUUUUCAGCACCCCUUUUCAACAACACUUUUUUCUUAAAGUACUUUUGAACUAGUCCUUAGUCUAUCAUGCAUCGACUCUUCAUUUUUCUUUAACUACCCAUGUCCGACUUCAAACAUGGAUAUGGAGAUAUGACCAAGUCAGAGUGACAUAGUUUUUAGUUAUGGGGAAAAGGAUUCGAGUGUUGGACCUCCUUUUAGAUGCAUAGUGGGACUUUCAUCACAUUUUUCAAAUUUGUUGAUAAUCCUUCAUCUAAUCUGCCGGUGAAGUUUAUAGAUGGUCCUAAGUGUCUAUCACAAGAACCUAGAUAUUGUAAAUCCAAUAUCUUCCAAACAAUUCAACCAUGAUAUUAUUAAUAAUGAUGAAAGCAAGAUUAUCCACUAUCAAUGACAUAAAAUGAGCUGUAAAUGCUGACGAACAAACAUGCACUGUUUUUCCAACCUGUGGAUUGAAGAGCAUUGACAAGCUAACUUUGCAGACCAUUUGAAUCCAAUAAUAUACAUAAAAAUGCCAAAGGAGAAUAAUUCAUCUUGGAAAAAGAAUUACUAAUAUGCAAAAGCUUACCUUGUUUAACAAGAACACAGCAUAUACUGCUCUUGUCGUGUCUUGACCUUCUAAAAACAGCGGAAAUUCUGCCGGCUUUACAUUUGCUGAAACUGUUGUAUCCAAUGACAAAUCAGAAGAUGCAGGGUCUAUUGAAGCUGCAUGGUCAUUAAUAUAUGAGCGAGAACCACCCAAGCGCAGAAGAUAGCGCAAGGGAACUUGUAAAUAGGAUGCAAUUAGUGAAACAGCCUGCAAAUGAUGAAAUAGCAGGACAUUAGAAACAAUAAUAGGUAUGAUAAAAUUAUAGCCUAAGCAUGAGAAACAAACAAUCAAGAUGCAGCCCACUAUACCAUAUUACCAUCCUAGCAAUACCUGCAAAACUUUCAUCAAAACGGUAAUAACACUUUUGGACAAUGUGUCCUAUUUUACCACACAACUGGCAUUGGGGCCGAUUGUUUGAAAAACCACCCUCACGGCCUCAUCCUCGAUGGAAACCUCUAUUGCAUUGAAAACCACCUCUAUGUGCCUGUUUGUUCCCUUGAUAGCCACUGUUAUAAUCAUAACACUUGGUCCGAUCACCCUCAUCACAAUCUUGUUUACUAGCUAUGUUAGCUUGUUCGAGAACACUAUUCAAGAACUCAAGUUCUCGAGCUUCACAAUCAAGCAGCAUCUCAAUCAACAGACCAAGCGACACAGCAGUAGCUGAAGCUACUACCCGUACUGAUUCACACUCAACUGGCAACCUUGCAAGAAUGAUGCUAACCAUUUCUUGAUUUGAAAUCAAACAACUCGUUGCAACCAACAUAUCACACAUGGACUUGAUCUUAGACAAAUAUUCUUUAACAAACAGAUGACCCUUUUUCUGUGAAUACAACACAUGAUGCAUACUGGACAAUUUUACCGUCGACUUAGUCGCAAGCCUUUUUUUCAAUAGUUUCCCAAAUAUAAUAACUAGUACGAGCACUAGUAAGAUAGGCUAGAAUUUCAUCACUAUCAGUUGAAAGUAACCAAGAAGCCAAUAGCUUAUCUUGUUGCACAUGUAAAACAGAAUCAGAAUCUUCUACUAAUCUCCCAUAUUUAUCCACUACAAACUGUGCUAGUACACUAAUAGCACCCAAAACAAACUCAUGCAGACCGUAUCAUUCAAGGAUCAACAUAAUUUGGAGCUUCCAUAAAACAAAAUUAUACUCACCAAGCUUUAUUGUAUCGUGCUUAGGAAAUUGUUGAAGACAUCUACAACUGUUGAGGUGGGUUUUCUUUAAACAUACUCAUUCCAACAAAAAAAAAAUCUACGUUAGUAUGAUUAAUUAGAAAGUGAUUAAUUCAUUAUUUAGUUAGAAGUGAUGGCCUUAAGAAAAAAAAUGACAUUAUUUUAUUUGGCAUUGUUAAAAGUGUUAGUUACUGAAAUAAUUAAUGAGAUUAUAAAAGUGAAAGAAUCAAAUUAUGUCAAAAGUAAAGUAGAGGGUUUUAAUCCUAAAUUUGGGUAUAAUAAAGGGACUAACACCAAAUAAUUAUAAAAUUUUCAAAUAUUUUAAAAUUAAUUUUAAAUAUUAAUUAAAUACAAAUUAUAAAAAAAUAAAAUAAAAAUCCCCAGCGCAGUGAGGGACAUAUUCGAUAUCAAUAAUUAUAAAAUCUGUAGUUGUAAUAUUUAAUUGAUAUAAUAUAUAAAAUUUGAGGGUUAAAUUUGUUAUUAUACAAUUUUUUUAACUGCCGUGUCACUUUGCAAUUUUUUAUUUUAAGGAGUCAUCAAAAUAACUAAACUAUGUAAUGUGAGUGCUUAAAUUACAAAAUUUUUACUUUAAUGUGAGUGCUUAAAUUACAAAAUUUUUACUUUAAGUGUUUAAAUUUUUAAAAAAAAUUAUAAUUAAAUAACAAUCUAUAUGUAGUUUGCCCAAAAAUUUUAUAACCCAAACUACACAAUUUUAUGGCCAUCUCCCACUUUUGAUAUCUCUUUGGCCAUUAGUUAAGAUGGGAGGGGAAUGACUUAUUCAAGAUUAGUGUCAACAUUAGAUUUAAAACCUACGGAAGUCAUGUUUCAAUUUUUUUAUAUAAUAAUAUAACAUUUAAAAUUAUAUUAUAUCUAUAAAAGAACUCAUUGGAUUAGGGUUUUUUUUUUUAAUUAACUUUCCAUUUGUUAUUAGAAAACAAAACUAAAAAUGCAUCAAACAGGGCUCUGAUAAAAAAUUAAAAAAAAACCAAAAUGUUUAGGUUUGGUAUCGUUUUACUUUUACUUUAAAAUCAGUCUAAUCUGUAUCAUGCUCACACCAAACAUAUGAAGAAAAAAAAAAGUGAAAUAGUAAGGAUAUUAUUAAUUUCAUUCCAAGACAAAUUUUAGCAUACCCAAUUAGGUCCUUGGGUUAAUCUUAUGUUUUUUGUUUAGGCAUUCAGCAUUCUUGGCGUUUAGUUUAGUUAGAAUUUUAAAUUAUGAUAGAUCUGAAACUUUGGUAUUUUUGUGCAAAACUCAACCUCAAAGCUUUAUUUGUUGUCUAAAUUAUUUUAUUGAAGCCUAGGAAUUGUUGUUAUUGUUUCGGCUAAUUGACCUUAAAGCAUCAAAUGCCUUUUUUUGGAUGGUCAUAUUCCUUCCAAGGGCUGAAUUACUAAAAGCCCAUGAAGUAUCCUUCUUUUUCUUAAGUGAGCCUCUGUUUCAAUGCCGCCAAAAUUUUCUUUAUCCACAUGGAAGCUGACCUGCCAUGAUGAUGUGGUAAAAAAAUGAACAAUUUGUAUUUUUUGAAAAAUAUAACACUUAAGAACUUUCUUUCUUCUUGCCUCCCAAUUCUCACCACCAAUUCCUUAGCCCAAAUCAGUUUUGGCCUCCGACAUUGAUCAUAACAAAAGUAAACUUUCUAUUAGAAAUAAUUUCUUUUAUGUACAAAUUAAAGGGUAAGAUAUUGUUUGGGUACAAAAAAAGCAUAUGAGCUUACUUUAGAAAAGUGACAACGUUGGGCUCUUUUAGUAUUCUAUCCUCCCACCAACUUUGUCCAAUGUUUUUUGCCUUAUCACCAGACAGUAAAAGGGCCUUUGACCUUUUCAGGCUAAGCGCUGCCUGGUGCAUGUAGGGGGAAAAGGCCUUCUAAUUGAAGUUCUCUUUAAUAUCUCUUUAAUUGUUUCUUAAUUGUAACAAAGGGAUAAUAUCGAACUCUCUAUUUCUCAAUAUUUGAGUAUUCAACACCAGGCAUGGGAUCAUAUGGAAAUAUGCAUAUGGUUGACAAAAGAAAGAAAAUUUGGAAAUGUUUAUUUAAGUAGUAACUGCUGGUUUUCUUGGAUGCUUUCUUGUUAAUGACUACUGUUUGGGCAUGUUUAUUUAAGAAUUGCCCCCAAGUAGUUUCUUGAAUCAUCUAAAAUUGGAAAAAAUAGUCUUAUGGUAACUCAUUAAAGUAUUUGAAAGUAUGCACAAGCUAAUAACAUUUUAGAAAUUAAAAUUGAAGAUCGGUUUUUAGGGUAUCAUGUCCAUAUUAAGCAUCAUCUUUCCAGAUUACUGUUCUCUCUCUCUCUCCCUCUCUGUGUGAUAUAUUUCUCAAGUGAAAGGUAACCUUCUUCACUUGAUUUUGACUUAAUUUUGCAGUCACCACGAUUGUAUAAUGUGUACAAGCAAAUGGGAAUUGUAAAAUCUUUUCAGAAUAUUCUGGACAAUGUUUUCAUUCCACUAUUUGAAGUUACAGUUGAUCCGAAUUCUCAUCCUCAACUACACGUGUUCCUAAAAAUGGUGAGUUCUAUGUUCAUCGGAGAACAUACUGUGCUAUAAUAAGAGAUUUCGGAAAAUAUAGUUAAAAAAUGCUUCUUUAUUGGAAUGACCUGCAUUAUAGCAAGCUGAAUAAAUGAUGCCUUAACUUUAUUCAUUGUGUUCUCAUAAUUCUUUAAAACCAUUCGAAAAUUCUAUUGAGCCACAUUAUAUGGUUAAUUUUUGGGUCUGUACUGCAUACUGAACAUGUGUACAUCCUUGCGAUUUUAGAUGGAUGGAGUUGGACAGCAAAGCAAUUGAAAAAAACCCAAUUUAUGGUUUCUAAAUGUUAGAUCAUUUAUGGUUUCUAGUUUCAAUUUAAAAAAAAAAAAUCCAAAUCAGCCAACUAAUGAAAUUUUCAACGAUGUUAGUUAUUUUAACUAAUCCAUAACAUGUUUGCUUCUUCUUCUUUUUUUUAGCCUAGCAGCAAUGUUAGCCUCUGGACUAGUUACCGCCCUCCUUUUUCCCCUCCCUAUUAACCCUUUUUAUUUUUCUUCUCAUUCACUCCAUGAGUCUUCGUUCUUUUCAGUUUACAGAUUUAUUUUGUGAGUAUUUUUGUUGUCUUUACAAGUUGUAAUGGACAGUUGACAAUGGCUAUCAUCAUUGAAACACCACCGACCACCAACACUUUCUUUUAGAAAGUGGGUACCUCUUCGUUGACUACUUAAUUUGUUUAUAUUUUGAGAGUUUCAAAAUAAUAAAUGAUUUCAUGACUCGGUUUAGACUCAUGUUUUUUUUCCAUUGUUCAAUAAGUUUUUACUUUUAAAAGUUUUUUUCUACUCUUAUAGUAAGCUUUUUAGUCUUGCUUUUGCGAGUAAUUUUAGGGUUGGUUUUGUCGCCAUCCCCUCUAGUUUGGUGGAUGCUCAGUUCUUUUGCUGAUUUAUGCCCGCCGCUUUGGACCAUCCGGGGUUGAUUUUCUUACUAUAUUAAGUGCUUGUAAUCACUUCUGAUAUGUUGUGCUUGAGUUGUGAUAGAGCUGAUUUCAACAUGCCAUAAUGUUCUAUUAAUGUUGAAGCUAAAGCUUUUGUUAUAUUGAUGGAGCUUGUCCUUUAGCGAGUACAACAAGUGUUUGUUAUUUCCUCCCCCCCCCCGAAUUGUAUGGUAUUAUUCAUUGAAUAAAUUAAUGAAGUUGUCUUAAAAAAAACUAAUCCAUAACAUUAACAUUAAUAAGAGAACAAAAUAUAUCAAAUUAAAAAAGAAAAACUGAAUCUUUAAUUCAAUUGAGAAAUUAUAGGGAUUAAAACUAUAAAUUGAUCUAUAAUAAUUUCUCAGGCAUUAAUUGUAAGAUUAAUUCCAUAACCUAAAUUAUUGUAGGGGCUAUAUAAGCUCAAGGUUGACGCAAAAGUCAAUAGUCAGCGUCUGAAAGUUAAUGCAAUUAAUUAUGUCAUUGUUGAUAUAUUUAACGCAAAUAUAUUAUCAUAUGUGUAAUGUCAUACCAUCUUAUUAUUUCCAUAUGUUACUAAAAAUCUAGUUAACGGACUAAGGAUUGUCAUUUGUAUCAAGACUGAAAUUUUAAAUUUUGAAAAAUAUAGGUACUUAGAAUAAUCCAAUUAGAGAGUAUGGACUAAAUCAACAAUUAUACGCAUAAUAUAGGACUAGUAAUUGGUUUUAAUUAAAUUGAUUUAACUCUAUUGUUUGGAUCACAACUAAAAUUUUAAAAUUCAAAAUGUAUAGGGAUUAAAAUUGAUCAAAUUGAAGUAAAUAGACUAAAUUUACAACUUUCACAAAGAACAGUGACCAACAGCAGAAUUUAACCAAAUAAGCUCACCAAAGUCAAUAGUCAAUCUUUGAAAAGUAAUGCAAUUAAUUAUGUCAUUGUAGGAACGCUUUCCUGACAUAAAAUUCCACCAACUAAGCCUUUUGCGUAAAUAUUAGCUAUGAAAAUUCAACCAUUGAUAUUAAAUUCAAGACCCCACAAAUGACAGACAUAUAUGUUGGAAAAAUCUUUGUGUGAACAUUUCUUUCGGUCAUACUCAUGUCGUAUAAGUUAGAGGAGCACAAGUCUAGAUUCAUCCAAUUUUUGAGGAAUUAAUUAAUUAUAUAUUAGUUUAAAAUUAUAGUGAAUUAGUGAGACGCCAUAGGUCUUGCUUGCAUAUAAAUAAGAAGCUUAGGCUUCUUCAGAUUAUUUACAUAUAAAAGUUUAAAAAGUAACAUAUAGCUAAGAGAGAAGAGGAAAACAGAAAGAUGAUGAUGAUAAUGAUGGAGUGGAAAUGGUUAUGGUUUAUAAGGAUGGCAGUAAUGUUGUUGGUGUUAGAAGGGUGCAGGUGGUGUACUGCUGAUGCUUGUUUGGAGCAUGAGUCGCCUUCUUGCAUCUCAAACCUUUCUUCAAUUAUGAUAAUCAAUUGAAAAGUUGGAUUGAGGUGAAGGGUUCAGAUUGUUGUAAAUGGAAAAGAGUUGAGUGCAACACCAUCACUAGGAGAGUCAUACAACUCUCCCUUAAUCAUACAUCAUCCAAUAUAUAAAUGAAUUAAUGAAUUUACCUUUCAAAAGAGAAAAAAAGAAUUCAUAAAUUUUGAAAUACAAAAUGAACGUGUUUUGAUAUUUUUAGGGCAAUGGUUUAGUGGUUCAAAAUUUUGAUUUAAUAUGGUGAAUUUAAUUAUAAUUUUUUAUAUAUUAGAUAGUAGAAUAUAUUUUACCAUUUAUAAUUAAGUACAAUUAAGUUUAGGUUAAAAUAUUUUAUUAAAUUUUUGUACUUUUCACAAAUUUUAAAUUUAAUCUGUUUACUUUUAUUCUAGAAUUUAAUCUCUCUGCAUGUAAAGGAGGUUAUUAUGGCAAGGGGAAUUACCAUGGCAGAGGUAGCCGAGGCUGACGAAGAGAUGCUGGAUAUGCUGAAGAAAGAUAGAUGGCUGAGAAACAGAAAAACUUUAGGAACAAUAUUCAGUGUUAGAAGUAUGGGGAUGUGAAGGCAGAUUGUUGGAAAAGGGGAAACAAGCAAAUUUUGCGGAAGAUGAUGAAGAGAUUUAAAUUAUUUAUGAGCUGUCUAGAUGACACUAUAGCUUCAACUAACAUUUGGUUUCAAGGGCGUAUAUCUCAUGAUGAAGAGAUCGUCUCUCUUCUUUUUUCUCAUAACAUAUUACACGCCAUGAUAAUAAAUAUUGAUAUGCCUAUAAAUUUGAGUUUCUAUUAUUUGUAGUCAUGAUUUGGUUCACUCCAUAAGUUACAUAAAUUUAUUAUAAUAAUUCAAUUAAUUUUAGAUUAAUUUUACAUUUUUGCCCGAACUUUAGUUUUUAAUAAUUCAAUCAUCCCACCAUUAUAUUCAAUUAAAAGUGUAAUACGAUUUUGCGUCAUCCAACCAUUAUUCUUAGUGUAAUUUUUGGUAGUGAGCAUAGAAGGACAGCGAGAACAAAGAAAGAAUGUAUCCAAUAACCCACUCCCCUUAUAGUCAAUGCUUAAAAUGAAUAAGAAAAUAGAAAACAAACGUGGCAAUGCCAGCUAAUUUGUUAUUACUAUUCACCGUAUAACUAAGGACAUUACGCACCGUUUUAAUUAAAACAAACUCACCGUUUAAGACCGUUACUUCUAUGCAUCGUUUUAAUCAUAUGCGUCAGUUCGAACAAAUAGGUGAACAUGAAAGCUUUUCGCAAAGUUUAGAUGUGUGCUUAAAACUCAAACUUUGUGUUCUGUAAAAAUAUUGAUUUUGUUGUAAUUGUAGGUUGAACUUUGUGAGUCCAAUUACUUUCUUUGGCAUCGGAUAUUUCGUGGAACUUUCGUAUGAGAUAUUUACUUCAUAAAUAGAAGAUUACAAAAUUUGGAUAUUAAUAUAUUUUUCAUGAUUUAAUUUUCUUUUCCUUUUUUGGGCUAAAAUAAUUAAUAACGAAAACACGUCUUUUGCUAGCACCUAUAAAUGCCUUAAAAAUGUAAAUUAAUAUUCCACAAUAAUUAUUAAGAUGAAAAGAAUUUUAUAAUCUAAACUUACGAUUUCAUGUGAAUUUAAUGUUUAGUUAUAGUUUUAAUUACAAAGUUAAAUUGGUAUCUUUGUUAUUGCAAUAAUUAAAAAAAGAUGAGUCCAAAUGACGUUGAUUUUCUGUUUUUUAAAAGUGAAUGCAAGAUGGGACGGCUGGAAUUUUUUUUAUUAAACAGUAAGUAUGAAACAGUUAUGGUAAUUGCUUGCUCCAUCUCACUCCACUCCACUAUAUAAAAUUAUCAUUUCAUUCUUUUAUAUAUAGAAAAAAAUUAAAUAUUUUAUGAAAAUAAUCAUGUUUAAAUUUCCAAGAAUAAAAGCAAACUGAAGACUUAAAAUUUCCAUUAAUAAAACCAAAAUCAAAGAAGUAAAUUUCCCAUGAAUAAAACAAAAAAUGAAGAUCUAAAUUUUCCAUUAAUAAAGCCAAGUCAAGACUAAGUUUGUAUAAGUGUAAGAAGGGUAUAAAUGAAACUCACAAGAAAGCCACAUGAAGAAUUUUAUAACCCCAAACUACACGAUUUUAUGUCCACCUCUCACUUUUCAUAUUUUUUUGGCCAUUCGUUUUUCAAGAUUAACAUCAGCAUUCUUGUGGUCCGUUCAUCCUUUUCUAAUGAAUUUCCACCAAGAGUUUUAUUUUUCAAAAUGUUAAAUUAACUCAUGAUAUUAAUUAAAUCAAGAAAUUUUAUAAUAAUAGAGAUGAAAAAACUAAAUUUUCAAAAUCAAAACCUAAAAUGUGCAAGAAUAAAAGCAAACUGAAGACUUAAAAUCUCCAUUAAAAAAAUCAAAAUCAAAGAAGUAAAAUUUCCAUGAAUAAAACGAAAAAUGAAGACCUAAAAUUUCCAUUAAUAAAUCCAAGUCAAGACUAAGUUUGUAUAAGCGUAAGAAGGGUAUAAAUGAAACUCACAAGAAAGCCACAUUAAGAAUUUUAUAACCCCAACUACACGAUUUUAUGUCCACCUCUCACUUUUCAGUUUUUUUGGUCAUUAGUUAUUCUAAGAUUUAACAUCAACAUUUGAUUUCAAAUCAACGUUAAACCAUGUUUAAACUCUUUUUCUUAUAUAAUAAUUAUAUUAUAUUUAAAAUUGAAAAAACUAACCAGCCAAAUAUAUAUUAAUUAAUUAAUAGAAUUUUUUUUGCUCAUCGAUUAAAAUAAAUCAAGAAAGACGUUGGAACCACCAACCUCUCUUUAAGAACAACAGGAAUACAAGAACCUAUGCACAACAAGUACUAAAAUGUAUUAAGUAAAUUCAUCACCAGGCCUUAAAAAAAGAAGAUCUCGAUAUACCUGCUUUUGCCAAAGCAUCUGCCAUACCAUUACUUUGCCAGUGAAUAAUUCUGAACUGAAACUUAGCCAAUUGAGUGAUAUUAAUUAUAGAAAUGGUUCUUCUUGCAACCAUAGAUGAAACACCACUGAGACUAACAAACUUGGAGAAACUUGAUUAAAUCAAACUUAUGCAAAUUUCUUGAAUAUUUAAGUUAAGAGUUAACGUCAAAGUCAAGAGUUGAUAAGGAUUUUGUGGUCCAUUCAUAUCUUUAUUACAAUAUAUAUAUAUUCAAGAAAUUUGCAGCAAGUUGGAGUUUUGCAAUAAGGAAUUUCCACCAAGAGUUUUGGAAUAAGGAAUUUCCUCCAAGAAUUUUGCAGGAAUCAUAUCUCUAACAAAAGAAAGACCUUCAUUUGACUAAAUUUUUUAGUAUUUAUUUUAACUUCCAUUUUAUUAAAAAAAAACAGAGGUAAAAAAUAUGCCGAACAGGGUCUUUAGGUUACUUUUCUUAGAACUAUAUUAUGUUAUAGUACCGUAUAAGUUAGAGGAGCACAAGUUUAGAUUCAUCCAAUUUUUGAGGAAUUAAUUAAAUAUAUAUUAUUUUAAUAUUAUAGUAUACAGAGGCAAUGUUAGAAAAAAAUUUUGUGGAGUCGAAAUUAAAUUAUAGUUUUAAAAGCAUAUAUCUUUAUAAUUUUUAAAGAAUUAAAUCAAAUUUUUAUCAAUUUUAGGGGGUCAAUGUGCAAUUUUAUCUUUACUAAUUUAAAAUUUUAAAACAUUUAAAGGACCUAAAUAGGAAUUUUUCUAUUUUAGAGGCGUCUGAGACGCCUGUCUAGCUAUGCCCCUGAUAGUGAAUUAGUGGGAUGCCAUAGGUCCUGCUUGUAUAUAAAUAAGAAGGUUAGGCUUCUUCAGAUUAUAUACAUAUAGAAGUUAAAAAUUAACAGACAACUGAGAGAGAAGAGAAAACAGAAAGAUGAUGAUGAUGAUGAUGAUGAUGGAGUGGAAAUGGUUAUGGUUUAUUAGGAUGGCAGUAAUGUUGUUGGUGUUCGAAGGAUGCAGGUGGUGUACUAUUGAUGCUUGUUUGGAGCACGAGAGGAUUGCUCUCUUGCAUCUCAAACCUUUCUUCAAUUCUCGUGAUGAAUUGAAAAGUUGGGUUGAGGUGAAGGGUUCAGAUUGCUGUAAAUGGGAAAGAGUUGAGUGCAACACCACCACUAGGAGACUCAUACAACUUUCCCUUAAUUAUACACAAUGGGAAUUCAACGUGGAAUAUUGGUAUCUCAAUGCCUCUAUGUUUCUUCCCUUCGAGGAAUUGAGGAGUCUUUAUUUGUCAGAUAAUGCCAUAGCUGGUUGCAUUGAAAAUGAAGGUCGUGCCUUUAAUUUUCCCUCAGUUACAUCUUUUAUUAUUACACUAUUCUCACCCUUGUUAAUUUGCAAUUACUUAUAAUUUAUUUUAUUUUAUUGAAGAAAGGUCACUAAAUGUUUGUGUAUAUAUUUAAAAGAACACUCUUACAGGUUUUGGAAAGCUAUCAUCCACAUUGAGUAAUUUGGAGAUUCUUGACUUAAGUUACAAUUACUUGAAUGAUAGCAUUUUGUUAUCUUUGAGUGAGCUUUCAUCUCUCCGAUAUUUGGAUCUAUCAUACAACCGAUUUGAAAGAUCAAGUCAUCCAAGAGGUAAAUUAAGUUUAGUCUGGUGUUAGUUUUUAUUUGUAUUGGGGAGUUUGACAGUGGUUUUCCAUUGUUUUAUUCCCUCUAACUUAGUUUUUGCUUUUAUGGUUGAGAGGAAAAAGAAACAAACAAGUACUUACUCAAAUUAACUAAACAAUGGAUUAUUUUUUUUAUGUUUUGCAGUAACUAAUUCUAUGGUAUAUAAAUCAGGUUUUCAGUGGCUUUCAAGGCUCACUAAAUUGGAAACUCUUCAUCUAAGUGGGAAUUCUUUGAAGAAUAGCAUUUUUUUACAGAUGAGAAAUCUUUCAUCUUUGAAGACUUUAAGUUUGGGUGACAAUCAGUUGGGAGGAAAACUGCUUCAUAUUCAAGGUAGACUGAUUUUACACUUUUCUUGUUAACUUUAAAAUAAAUUCAGUAUGUGAUUUGAUUUUAUCAUAUCAUGAAUAUAACUGAUCAAUAUUUGAGAUUGAAUUUCAGAAUUGAAUCAUUUGGCAAACUUGAAGUACUUGGAUUUAAGUAGGAACAGAAUUGAAAGCAUCUCAAACAAAGGUAUAAGUAAUAAUUUGUGCAUGACUUUCCUGACAGACUUCAAAUGUAUUUUCUUUGUUUUUUUCCUUUUCAUAUGGUUGAGAGGAAAAAAGAUCCUUAUAAUCUUAAAGAGUUGAUAUUGAGAGUUGGUCAUGAGAGAAUGGGUCCUUAAAAUCCUUAAGACCAGGGAGUUUGUGUCCACAGUUGAGUAUUCCAUUUGAAAACUGAAAAUUAAAUAUUCUAUUGCUUUAUUUCUUUUAAAAGAAAGAUUGAGUUUGGAUCUCCGACUGCUUUAUUUUUUUCAAAGAAAGAAAUAUGUUUAUACUUUUGCGCAGAAGAUAUGAAGAAGUCUUAUUUUGUUCUCGCUUUUGUGCAAGUGAAACUUAGUUAUCUCAAAUAUAUAUAUAUAUAUAUAUAUUGUAGUUAUCAGUUCACUACACAAUAGCAUGUAAACCAGUUCCCCCUUUUCAAAUUUAUGAGUGGGAGUUGUCCAUGAUUUUCUUUGUGAUUUUCUUUUCACGUUUUAGGAUUUUCAUCUUCACUUCAAGUUUUAGAUUUACUUUUUUUCAUUUUUAUUUCAUUAACUUAAAAAAGGAAUGCUGGAUCAUAUUCAAGGUAGAUUGAUUUUACAUGUUUCUUUUUAACUUAAAAAAUCAAUAUAUGUUCAAGUUUAAGUGACAACAACAUUGAAAGCAUCUCAAACCAAGGUAUAAGUAUUUGUGCGUAGUAACUUUCUUGACUGACUAUUAUUCCAAAAGGCAAUGACAGACUUCAAAUGUAUUUUCUUUAGUGAAUUUUUAUUGCAAAAAUGGAGUAUUAUUAUUUAUUUAAGUUUUGUAGUAACUAAUUAUAUAAUAUAUAAAUGAGGUUUUCAAUGGCUCAUUAAAUUGGAAAUUAUUGAUAUAAGUUGGAAUUAUUUGAAGAAUAGCAUUCUUUAAAAUAAAUUCAUGUUGAAGGAAAAGUUGUUGCAAUAAGUCAUUUGAUUUUAUCAUAUCAUGAAUAUAUAUAACUAAUCAAUAUUUGGGAUUGAAUUUCAAAAUUGAGUAAUUUAAGUAGGAAGGUAUCUCAAACAAAGUAUUUAUAUAUUGAAUCAAUUCAUCGGAAAGCUUGUAAAUUGGCUCUUCCUUCUCAAACAAACAUUUUUCCUAACUAUUUAUAUAUUGAAUGAUGUUAACUAUACUAAUUACUUUCUUCCAAUGAUAGAUGGAACACAAUUGAGGCUAACAAACUUAGAGGAACUUGAUUUGAGUGGUAAUCUCUUUCGGAACAACACAAUUUCCUUUCCUCAAGGGCUUUCAAGCCUAAAGUCUUUGACUUUGUACAACAACCAUUUGCAAGGCUCAUUAGAUACUAAAGGUACUAAAGCUAUAACUUUGUUUUUCUUGAUAAUUCUUUCUAGAACCUUUUAAAAUUAAUUGUUUCAAUUUUGAACAUUCACAUUUCACGUUUGAGGAUUUUCAUCUUCACUUCAAGUUUUAGAUUUACUUUUUUUUUCAUUUUUAUUUCAUUAAAAUAUUAAGUAGAAAUUAAAAUUAUUAACAUAAUGAUUUUUUGAAUUGGACGUGGAUAUGUAUAGGAUUGAGCAAUUUAACAAAUUUGAAGAAACUCGAUUUAAGUGUGAAUCAGAUUGAAAGCUUUCAAUCCUUUAAAGGUAUGCAUUUAUAUUUAACCAAUUACCUAAAUUCUUACAUAUAAUUAAAUUUUAUGCCAAUUCAUUUCAGUGAUGAAAUUAUAUAAAUCUUUUGUAGAUGGUGGUAGAAAAUUGGAGUUGACCCACUUGGAAGAGCUUUAUUUAGAUUACAAUCAGUUCAAUACUAGUGUAUUUGCAUCCCUUAACAAGCUUUCAAAUUUGAAAUCUUUGAGCAUAUGGGACAAUGGAUUGAAAGGAUCAAUAGAUAUGAAAGGUAAAUAUAUUAGUUUUUUUAACUAGAAUAUAAUCAUGUUUGAAGAGAAUAUAAUGAAGUUGAUUUGUUGUUUUUGUUUUCCUAGAUUUGGAAGCAUUUAUCAACUUAAGGGAACUAGAUAUGAACUAUAAUGAAUUGAAAGAUUUGGUGAUCCACCAAGGUAUCAUUUAAUUAAACUUCCUUUUUUUUUUAAUUUAGAAAUUUAGUUUUGAUCUCAUAUAUUAUAAUAACGGUUAUUGUCAUAAAUAUUAAUAAAGUUAUAUCAUAUCAUACUUGAAAGUAAAAGUUUGGUGAAACAUUUUCUAAAUCAUCCAUUAUAAUGUGUUUGGACUUUGGUUUGAAACUAAAAUUCUUUAAAAUUUUCAUCAUUUUAAAAUAUUAAUGUUUAUAAUUAUUUUGUUUGUAUAAAUAUAUUUUUUAAAAUAAUUUAUUGAAUUUUUAUGAGAUAAAAAAUAAUUAUAACAAUAAAAAAUGAUAUUAUAAAUAAAUAAAAACAUAUAUUUAUGAGAAAAUAUGUAAUAUAACUAUAUUUUAAUUUCAUAUAUUUUUAAUAGUAUAAAACAUAAAAAUACAUAUUAGCGUUAAAUAAAUGGCAUUUUUUGGCAAAAAUAAAUAAAUGUCAAUUUUGAAUAAUUUAAAAAAAAUCUUUAAUUUUGUGAAAUUUAAACAUACAUUGAGAGGUGCUUAAACUUCCAUUGCAAUCUUUUUAUAAAUUUCAAAGUGCAUAUGUUUUUAACUUUUUGGUUUAAAAAAAUAUGAUAGGUCUACGUACUCUUUACUAAUUUGUAAUUUAAUUCUUAUACUUUUAUUUUCAAGAAUUUAAUCCCUGUUUUUUUAUAAAAAAAUCAAAAUCCUAGUUCAAUUGUUAAAAUUGUUAAAAUUUUAAAAUAGUUUGUUGGUGUGACAUUUUGAAAUAAAAAAAAACUUAGUAGUAAUGUAACUAAAAAAUGACGUAAUGAACAUGGAUUUAAUAAAAUAAUUUUAACAAUAUUAAUAAAAUAAUUUUGAAUUUUGAAUUUUAACUUAACUCUAUUUUUGGGCCAAGAUUUAAUGCUUUAAAAUUUUCAUUUAAUCCGCUGAGUUUACUUAUAAUUCUUUUGAGUUUUAUUUAUUGGUGAGUAAAAUACCUAUUUGAUUUUUUUAUAUACUAUUGGCAUCUUUAAAGGUAAUAUAAUAAUUUUAGUGUAGACGUGUUUUAUUUUAUAAAUAUUAUUUAUAGUGUAGACAUGUGAAUUUUGAAUAAUUUAAAAAUAUCUUCAAUUUUAUGAAAUUUAAACAUACAUUUAGUGUAGACAUGUUUUAUUUUAUAAAUAUUAUUUAUAGUGUUGUUGAUUGGAGUUUGAAAAUUAUACAACUUAGCUAUAUCAGUUAAUUACUUAUAUUAAAAAAUAAUAUAAGAAAAUACUAAAAAGAAAAAAAAUAGUAUAAUUAAUAAAAUGGAUGAAGAGUUAUAUUAAAGUUUCAACAUCUUCUCUCUAUCAAAAUUUAUCUCGGAUAAAUCAUGAAUAAUCUAACUCAUAAAAAAAUAUAUAUAUAUUUAUAUACUUCAUUUCAUUCACAGAAAAUAAAGCAUUCCACUUAAUAGAGGCUUUCUAUAAUGCCGUUAUCUAAUACCUCUUGACAUUGCUUAGAUUCAAAUGUGUCGAGCAGUUUGGAGGAAAUAUAUCUUGACUAUUCUACUCUCAACACCAACAUUUUGCAAAGCAUUGGAGUAUUCGCUUCUCUUAAAAUAUUGUCUUUAUCUAAUUGUGGACUUAUUGGUCCCUUACCUAAUCAAGGUAAACAAUUUUAUGGCUCAAUUUGAUUUCUUUAUGAACUUUCUGUAAUAUAUUAUCUCCUAUUCUGUUUUAUAAAGCAAAAUUUAAUUGAAACUUCUUCCAUGAAUUUAUUUAUAAAAUUUUCAGGAUGGUGUGAUCUAAGGAACCUUGAAGUGUUGGAUGUGAGUAGAAAUGCACUUGAGGGGAUGCUUCCUCAUUGUUUUAGUAACUUGACAUCUCUUCGUGAGUUAGAUAUUUCAAGAAACCAUUUUCAAAUUCCGCUGUCAUUUGCACCAUUUGCAAACCUUUCAAACCUCAAAGCCCUUUUGAUUAAUGAAAACAAGAUGGUAAUGGAACCUUCCUUUUAUACCUCAAUCCCAAAGUUCCAAUUGGAAGUCAUCAGUUUGUCAAAGUGCAUAACAUCUCAACAACUCAGUCUUAAACUUUGUACCUUCCUUUACUACCAAUAUGACUUGAGAUAUGUGGAUCUUUCGCAUAACAAUCUCAGUGGAACUGUACCAACUUGGUUGCUAGAAAACAACACAAAGUUAGAAGAUCUCAUCUUGAAGGGUAAUUCAUUUACAGGUCCUCUCUCACUUUCGUCGGCUCUUAUUUCUAAUGUAUCUACAAUUGACAUAUCUGAAAACAAAUUACAAGGUCAAAUUCCAACUGGUAUAUGUUCAACUUUUCCACAUUUGAGGCAGUUAUUCUUAUCCAAGAAUGCUUUUGAAGGUAAUAUCCCACUUUGUUUAAGUGGCAUGAAGGACUUAUCAUUUUUAGAUCUAUCAGACAAUCAUUUGUAUGGAAAAGUACCAGAAGAGUUGAUCACGAAAGGCUUACUAAUCAUUUUGAGACUAUCAAAUAACAACCUCAGUGGAAAUGUAGUUCCUGUGAUUCUCAGCGCAAAUGGGGUGCAGCAUUUAUAUUUGGAUGGAAAUAAUUUUUCAGGAGAGAUGACAAAUGUUGAUGUGUCUACUUUUGAGUUUCCAAAUUCACUAAGCGAAAUUGAUCUCAGUAACAACACUUUGCAUGGAAAGCUCCCAAGAUGGAUAGGGAAUGCAUCAUUUUUGGGGAGAUUAGAUUUGUCCAACAAUGGUUUUGAAGGUUCUAUUCCAAUGGAAUUUUGCAAGUUGAAUAGGUUGGAAUUUUUGGAUCUUUCUCAAAAUAAUUUAUCUGGCUCUAUACCGUCAUGUUUUAAUCCACCAUACAUACAGCAUGUCCACCUCCACGGGAAUAGACUGAGAGGCCCACUAUCACUUGCUUUUUAUAAUAGCUCUUCAAUAGUGACUUUAGAUCUUGGAGGAAACAAUUUGACGGGUAGUAUUCCAAAAUGGAUUUACACGCUUUCUUCUUUGAGUUUUUUUCUCUUGAAAGAUAAUCAUUUUCAUGGUAAAGUUCCUAUUGAGUUAUGCAAGUUGCAUUCUUUAAGCAUCAUAGAUCUUUCUCAAAAUAUGUUUUCUGGUCCUAUACCUUCUUGUUUGGGAAAUUUAUCUCUUCCAAUGCAAAGGAAGAAGAUUCUAGAACCUGGUUUCUAUGGGCCACCUAUAGAAGAGGAUGAAACAACACGCAGUACGAAACUAAAUUUGGGAAUGUAUUCUUACUAUCCUAAUAGCUACUUCGAAGAAGUAAUAGAGUUCACAACAAAGAGUGGGUUCUAUUCAUACAAGGGCUACAUCCUUUCAUAUAUGAAUGGGAUUGAUUUAUCUUGCAACAACUUAACUGGUCAUAUCCCACCAGAAUUAGGGAACUUGAGUGAAAUCCAUUCUUUAAACCUUUCACACAAUAAGUUGACCGGAGUUAUACCCUCGUCACUCUCAAAACUACAUCAAAUUGAGAGUUUGGACCUUUCUUACAACAACUUAAGUGGUGAAAUCCCCAAUCAAUUGGUAGAGUUAAACUCUUUGGAGGUUUUCAGCGUGGCAUUUAACAACUUGUCAGGUAGUAUUCCCGAACCAAAAGCUCAAUUUGGGACCUUUAUUGAAAAUAGUUAUCAGGGAAAUCCGUUUCUUUGUGGAGUUAUAUUGCAUAAAAGUUGUUCCAAAACCGAUUCACCAUCAACGAUAUCAAUUGUAUCAGAAGAUAAAGGAGAAGAUGGUUUGAUAGAUACUUAUGAUUUUUGUGUGAGCUUUUUGGUUUCUUAUGUAGUUGUGUUGUUGACAAUUUUUGUUGUCCUCUACAUAAAUCCAUACUGGCGAAGAGCUUGGUUUUCUCUUGUUGGGAAAUGCAUUACCACCUGUCGCUACUCAAAUGUGGGCAAUUUUCUUACUUAUCACAUUUUCAAGCGAUGUGUUUAGCUACUCAAAUUGUGAUUUGAUUUCCACACCUAAAUGUUUAAUUAUGCUAAGUUGAGCGAUAAUGAAUAUUUUGUUGAUUUUUGCAUUUUGAAUAAAAGCUCUUUUAUCUUAUGGUUUUAUCAUUUUCAACCAUCUAUUUCUUUUUUCUUCUAUGAAAUUUAAUAUAAAAUCAUAAUCCAUUAUUAUGUAUAUGCAAUAUCUCUUUAAAUUAAAUUAAAUUAAAUUAACUGCCAAGCGUUCACUAGUGCAUACUAAAAAGGAAAUCUAAUGUAAAAUUAAAUCAAACAUACUACAGAAUUGAAUCUAAAACUGGAAUAUUUUAAAACCUCACAAACAAUGCAAUUCUUUAUUCCUCUUUUCCUCUCAAGUUAUUUUGUAUCAUGUUAUAUUUUACAUAAUUAAUCGUAUCAUCAAAUUUUAAAAAAAUUUUAAUAUUUUGAUAUCAUGUUCAUAUUAUGCUUUAAUUCACAAUGUAUUUUGUAUAAUAUGUUAUAACAAUUCAAUUUAAAAAACAAACAAUUAUCUUAUUUUUGCAUACCGUAAUAUACAUUUACAUGUUAAUAAUUCUUUGUACAUAAAUUUUGACAUGUUCGUAUAUUCGAGUCAUUAUAAUUUUAUUAUUUGUAAUAUGACAUGUUUUACUUACCCUUAAUAUUGUGUCAUGAUAAUUAUAACUCGAUUGGCAGUGUACCAAAUAUUUUUCUAAUAAAAAAUAGUAUUUUAUUCUAUUUACCAAAUCUUUAUCAACUUUAUUUUCUCACCAACAAAACAUACAUUCAAAGUUCAAAUAAGUUCCACACCCAUUUUUUUACUGCAAUACUCAAGAAUAUGCUCAUCAUCAGAAAUCUGAAAUAUUCCACUCUAAUUAACAUUAUGAUUCUGUAAACAACAAAAAAGUGUGAUACUUUUUUAAAGCUCUUUUUUUUUCUUUAAUGAAAUGGGAUUGGUAAAAAAUCCGCACAUGUGUCGUGUGUGAAGGUGGUCAGGUUGUCUAUUCAUACUGUAAUAAGUAGCUAAUUAUAGUUGAUCCUACAAAAUCAAAAUUAAUUCAGGUAUCUAUAUAUUCUGAAGACUGGACAGACCUUAGAAGCUCCUUCAAAUUUGCAAGAACAUGUCGUGGUCCUAAACUCUUUACACCGAUGAAAUUCAAAAGUUGCUCUAUAUCCUGCAAUCACAGUAAAGAUUAUGCAAGCUUUUCAGAACGAAUAACAUAACAAGCAAAAGGCAAUCAAAAUACUGUGAUCUCGAUAAUGUUCUUUGCCGAAAAGGAACAUAAACAUAACCUGAAAACAUCAGUGAAGGCUCAUCAGAUUUGCUUAGCAACCUUACAUACACAUGUAAAAAGCUUUGCUUUUGGAUGUAUGGUGUGACUAUCAUCACAGUCUUUCCUAAUUAGCUGAUAACCCUAUAUCUAACAUUUAUCAGGGCUAAGCAAAUUAACAUACAUAAUGUAAAGGAAUUUGACCAUAAGAUCCAACAGAAAACUUAAUAAAAGAUAAUCAACAUAGAAAGUUAAAAGGCAAUGCAAACUUAUUACAAUGAUGCAAGUGGAUCAAAAGAAAGCACUCUAUAAGGAAUUUGUAUUUAAGGCAUUGUAAACAGAAAAAAAAUAAUAAAACUUUUCGGAAAGUAUUUUCAAAGAGGAGACAAAAACAGGGUAGAAAAAAUGUUUGGUCCUUCCUUUUUCUAUUUCUACUGUGGUGAAAAAGCCUUUUUGGGUUAAAAGUGUUUUUACACUGCAGAAGUGUUUUUCCACUGCAGAAGUGAUGAAGAACACAUAGCUUUGUAGUCAAAAACCUACUGCUUUUGGCUUUUGCAUUUCGAAGUGAAAAUUAUAAAAAUACUCUUAGAUUAAUUUAUAUUUUAUAUAUUAUUAUAUUAAAUUGUUAAAUCUUAUUUAUUAUUAUAUUUAAUUUUUUUCAAAAUAUUUUAUACAUCAUCAAUUUUACAAAUAAUUUAUAUUAAUUACUUUUAAAAGUUAUAUUUCAUGUAUCAUUAUAUUAAAUUAUUUAAAUAUCAUAUAACAUCACUAAUUUUCUACUUUCUACCAUCAUGUCUAAAAUAGACAUUUUAACUUUCAACCGCAAUUUUUGGCAGCAAUGAACAACACUAAAAACUAACAAACACACUUUUCCGCACCACAUUUCAAAAACACUUUUUUCUAAACGCACUUUUGAACUAGUCCUUAGUCUAUCAUGCAUCAACUCUUCAUUUUUCUUUAACUACCCAUGUCCGACUUCGAACAUGGAUAUGGAGAUAUGACCAAGUCACAGUGACAUAGUUUUUAGUUAUGGGGAAUGGGAUUCGAGUGCUGGACCUCCUUCUAGAUGCAUGGUGGGACUUCAUCACAUUUUUCAAAUUUGUUGAUAAUCCUUCACCUAAUCUGCCGGUGAAGUUUAUAGAUAGUUGUUGACACCAUUUUUUUGAUGAAAACGGGAUCGACUUGGAUUUUGAAAAAAGAAUGAAAACGGGAGUCGCCACCAAUCCUUUUUGACGAGGUGUGAUCGGGUCACCUCAAAAUGUGGUUGUUUUUAAUAAAUGAUUUAAUUUUAUUAAAACAACGAUUUUGGUCUACGAAAUUCAGAAAAAUGAGUUCGGGAGUCGGUUACACACGAGGAAGGAUUAGCACCCUCGAUACGCCCAAAAUUGGUACCUAGUUGAUUAAUUAGUGUCUUAGUGUCGAAAAUUGAAAAUUUGAAGAGUUUUAAAAAUACGAUCCUUAAAAGAAAUUCUGAUAACGUGAAUUGAAAUAUAAGAUUCUCUUGUUCCGAAGGAAUAUCACAUCCAGCACGUUAGGACACGAUACUCUAAACCAUCGAAACCAAGAUCAUCUUAUAGUUUAAUGAAACCACACUUUGAAGCUUUAAGAGGAUAUUUGGCUAUUUAGUCGAACGAGAAAUCGAAACCCAGCACGUUAGGGCACGUUUUCUCGAUUUUCCAAACGCGAAAUAUCGCCUUAUUUAGAAAAAUUUUCCUUUUGAUGUUUGGUGUUAAUGCUUGACAAAACAAUAACGAAUACGACAAGGUGAGCAAAGUAAAGUGAGUAACAACAAUACAAUAGGCAAAAUGAAAUGACGAGGCGAUUACAUAAACAAAGCAUACAAAUAAAUAAAUAGAACUAACAUUUAAAAAAAAGCAUAAGUGUACACGAAUAAAUAAACAAACACCAAAUAACAAUGAUGACAAUAAAUACAAUUAUGUAAAAAUGUAUAUACAUGUAUAAUUUUAAGCCAUGAAAUAAGAAACGCAUAUAAAUUAUAGAAUAUGAAAACAUAGAUAAAUAUAUACAUAUGUGUAAAAAAUAAUAUUAUAAAAAGGGUACGUAUAUAUGUAUAAAAAAAUAAAUGUAUUAACAAUGAAUAUAAUAAGGGUAAGAAAACAAGUAUAUACACAAUAUAUAUGUAACGUGGUACUAAGGAUAUAUAUAUACAAUACAGUAUUUAAAAUAAUAUUUACGUAAUAUAAAAUAUAAUAUUAAAAGGUAUAUGUACAUACGUAAUAUAUAAAUACAUAUAUAAUAUAAUGUUAAAAUAUUUACAUAAUACUAAAAUAUUUAGGUAAUAUAUGCGUAUAUUGAAAACUAGUAAUAAUAUUAUCGAGGUAUAUACAAAUAUAUCAAGUAUAUACACGUAUUAUAAAUAUAUAAAUAUAUGACAAAGCAUAAACUAAUAAAAAUAAUAAGAAUAAUAAUAAUGAUAACAUUGGAAUAUAAAAGAAACAAACAUAACAUUAAUAAAAUAUUAAAAUAAAGUGAAAUAAAAAUAUUAAAUAUGAGAAUAUAUAUAGGUAUACACGUACAUAAUAAAAAUAUAUACUAAUACAUAAUAAUAAUAAUGGUAAUACUAAUAAUACUAAUAAUAUAAAAAUAACAAGGAUAUUUAAUAAAGAUAUAAAAAUCAACAAAAAAGGACUAAAAUUGAAUUGAAAGCAAAGUUGUGGGGCCAAUUUGAAAUGAAAACAAAGAAAAAGGACUUAAUUGUAACACGCAUGCAACUUGGAGGGUCAAAAGCGCAAUAAACCCAAGUAUUAAAAACGCUGCGCAGCGUGGGGGACCAGAAUGAAUUCGGGGCAACACCAUGGAGCCAAAUUAAAAAUAAAAAAACCUUGAUUGUAAACUCCCAGAAAGGCGGAAGGGCUAAAAGUGCAAUUAGCCCUUCCAAAGAAAAAAACACGCGGAUCUUCCUUGGUGCAGGUCGGGUCGACCCGACCCGUGUUCAAAACGACGUCGUUUCAUUUAUUUAAACCGGGGGUCCAAAACGGUGCGUUUUGACCCCCUAUAAAAGUCAAAAAAACUUCAAAAAAAAAUCAUUUGUAACGCUGAGGGAAAAAAAAGAAAAGGGAGAGAGGAGAGGGGAGCCCGGAGCGAUUUCCGGCCAAGGGAGGGGUCACCGGACGGCCACCGGAGGCUCGCCGGCGUCAGCGCCGGCCACCGCACGCGGUGGCCGGAAAGGUAAAAUUUUUUAUAUUUUUUUUAUAUUUUUUUUGUUAUUUAUUCUUGGUCUUAGAAUGUAUAGAUUUUAGGUUUAUAUUAAUAAAAAAGGUAUAGAUAUGUAUAUAGAAAUCGAAAGAAAAUGGAUGAAAACAAAAAGGUAACCUUUUCCGUUUGCCUUUCCUUUUUCCCGAAUGCUUGCUAUCUCAGUACUGAGAUCUAUGUAUUUUUUUUAAAAUUUUAGCUUCUGUUUUUUUGUAUUAAAAUGCCAAAAAACAAACAAAAAGAAGAAAGAAAAAAAACCCCCUGAUACAAUUUUUGAUUCGGGUUUUUAUAACCCAUUUUCAUCUAAUUUCCUAUUGUUUCUGUUUUGUCUCUUUGCAUGGGAUGGGCACGAUGGAGGUGACAGAGGCAUGGUGGUACAGAGGAGCAGGUGGCCGACAUGGUGGCAUGGAGAGCUGGGCGUGGCAGACAAGGAGGCCACGCGAGGCAUGCGGCGCUAGGGUUUGGGGGGCAUCUUUCUUCCGAAAAUGUUAAUGUUGUCUGGGCUGGGUUUUUAAUUUUUGUUUCGGGCCAUGGGCUACAUUGGGCUUGUUAUUUUCCUUUGUAAUUGGACUGUUGUUUAUCUUGUUUUAAUAUUCGGGCCUGGGCAUAAAAUUGGGCCUUACAGCUGCCCCUCUUUGCUUGUUAUCGUGUAACGAGAACAGAGCAAAGACUAAAAAAGGCCAAUUUGGCCCGGGCUCACCGAGUUUUGACUUCUUUUGGUGCUUCCUUUCUUCAAGCCUCAUUCUAGUCCACUGCGUCUUAUGAUUCUUCGAUCUGCUCUACUGCAACUUCAGAUACGCCUUAUAGCUUCAAUCUACUCUGCUACGACUCCAUGGGGAUGAGAUUUGUGUUUUUAGUCUGCUUCACUACUACUUAGGGAGAUAAGACUGUGGUUUCGUCUGCUCCGCUACUGCUUAGGGAGAUAAGACUGUAAUCUCCGAUCUAUUCCACUGUCAAAUACAGGGAGAUAGAGUUAUCAGCUUCAAUGUACUCCACUGUAGUCACAGGGAGGUAAAAUCUGCCAUCUUUGAUCUUCAAUCUAUUCCACUGCCAAAUACAGGGAGAUAGAGUUAUCGGCUUCAAUGUACUCCACUGUAGUCAGGGAGGUAAAAUCUGCCAUCUUCGAUCUGUUUCGCUGCCAAAUACAGGAAGGCAAGAUCUGCAAUCUUCGAUCUACUUCACGCCAAUACAUGAAGAUAAGAUCUGCUUUCUUCGAUCUACUUUGCCACCAGUAUGGGAAGACAAGAUCUGCAUCGUCGAUCCACUUCCUACCAAUAUAGGAAGACAGGACCUGCUAUCUUCGAUCUACUUCACGCCAAUACAUGAAGACAAGAUCUGCUUUCUGCGAUCUACUUCGCCACCAAUAUGGGAAGACAAGAUCUGUAUCUUCGAUCCACUUUCUACCAAUAUAGGAAGAUAGGAUCUGCUACCUUCGAUCUACUUCACGCCAAUACAUGAAGACAAGAUCUGCUUUCUGCGAUCUACUUCGCCACCAAUAUAGGAAGACAAGAUCUGCAUCUUCGAUCCACUUCCUACCAAUAUAGGAAGAUAGGAUCUGUUAUCUUUGAUUUACUUCACGCCUAUACAUGAAGACAAGAUCUGCUCUCUGCGAUCUACUUCGCCACCAAUAUGGGAAGACAAGAUCUGCAUCUUUGAUCCACUUCCUACCAAUAUAGGAAGAUAGGACCUAUUUACGCCUAGUGUUUAGGAUGACAUGAUCAGAAUGAAUCAAAUGCUCCUAACUAGAUGCGUAUGUAUUAUAUUUGUAGAAUGUCAUGAGAAUGAUCCAUUUUUAAUGCUUAGGUUGUCAUUCUUCAUUGUUCAUCAAGGUUCUAUCACUGAUGCCUUCUUGUUCAGCCAGUACCUUUGACAGAAAACCUAAAGAAAUAGACGCUAUUUAGACUAUCAUUUCUCAAAUGUUUCCAACCCUUAGGUUUGGUUAGUUCUAAACAAUAGUCCUGUUUCAGGUCAUCGUAUUAUUUAGAAACUUUCAGAGUAAUAUGCAGAACUCCUUCUGCAUGUGUAUUGUCAGUCCAUUAAUCGUUAUUUCAAUGAAAAAUGCUUGAAAAAGAUUAUCAAAAUGGACAAAAUGGAAUUUUGUUGAGAGCAAAGCUCUAAACAAACAAAUCAAGAUAGCAAAUUUGCUGAGAUACGAGAUGAAUAAGAUGAAAAAGAUUAUCACAACGGAUAAGAUGAAAAUUUGCUGAGAGCAAAGCUCUGAAUGAACAAAUUAAUCAAGAUAGCAAAUGUUGCUAGAAUACAAAACGAGAAUAAAUUAAUCAAGAUGAUGUAUUUUGUCAAAAAUACAGAAAAUGAAUAAAAUGGAAAUAAGUGCCCCAGAUAUCGUAGCAUGAGCUUCUCUGCCCCAAACUUCUUAAGGACCCUUUUGAACUUGAUAUGUGUUUAGAAGUCCUAGAAGGCUUUGUUGAUGCCCCAUCUUUGAUCGAAAACUACUUUAUGCCUCAUCCUUGAUCGAAAAUUUGAAUUGCCCGUUCCUGGGUUUUCAAUUCAAAACCCCUUUGGUCUCAAGGUGCCCUUUGCGGGUUUUCGCCUUGGCCUCUCCUCUUUUUUUUUUUUAGGCAAAGUACCUCUUCACUGAAUCCGAAUUCACAGGAUUGGGCAAGCUUUUGCCAUCCAUCCUAGUUAAAAUUAAUGCCCCUCCUGAAAAGGCCUUUUUUACUACAUAAGGUCCCUCCCAGUUUGACAUCCACUUUCCUCUGAAGUCUUUUUGUAUGGGAAGGAUCUUCUUCAGUACCAAGUCCCCUUCAUGGAAGUUUCUAGGACGAACUUUCUUAUUGUAAGCUCGCAUCAUUCGUUUCUGGUAUAUUUGACCAUGACGGAUAGCUCUUAACCUCCUUUCCUCAAUCAAGUUCAGCUGAUCAUAUCGGGAUUAGACCCAUUCUGCUUCGUCUAACUUUAGUUCUGAAAAAACUCAGAGGGAGGGAAUUUCAACCUCAAUUGGUAGCACUGCCUCCAUUCCAUAAACCAAAGAGAAUGGUGUUGCCCCGGUAGAAGUCUUGACGGACGUUCGAUAAGCAUAGAGGGCGAAUGGCAACUUCUCGUGCCAAUCUCUAUAGGUCUCAGUCAUUUUCCCCACAAUCAUUUUGAUAUUUUUAUUGGCUGCCUCCACCGCACCAUUCAUCUUUGGACGGUAUGGCGAUGAGUUGUGGUGCUUGAUAUUGAAUUGACUACAAACUUCUGCUAUCGUGCUAUUAUUCAAAUUUAAUGCGUUGUCAGAUAUAAUCCUUUCGGGCAUUCCAUACCGACAUAUGAUUUCCUUCUUUAAAAACUUGCUGACAGCUGCCUUUGUGACGUUGGUGUAAGAAGUAGCCCCUACCCACUUAGUAAAGUAGUCAAUCACUACAAAAAUGAAACGAUGUUCGUUUGAAGCCUUUGGCGAUAUCGGCCCAAUGACGUCCAUGCCCCACAUGGAGAAAGGCCAUGGGGAAGUCAUGACGUGAAGAGGUGAUAGAGGCAUAUGGAUUUUGUCUCCGUAAAUCUGGCAUUUAUGGCACUUCUUAGCAUAUUUGAUGCAGUCUCCUUCCAUGGUAGACCAAUAAUAUCCAAAUCUCAUGAUUUGUCUGGCCAUUGUGAAACCGUUAGCGUGUGUUCCACAAAUACCAUCAUGGACUUCUUCCAAGAUCUGUUUGGCCUCCAUAGCGUCCACACAUCUUAACAGCACCUGAUCUUUUCCUCUUUUGUACAGGAUCUCUCCAUCUAAGACGUAAUCACUGGCCAGCCUCCUCAACAUUCUCUUGUCAUUCUCAGUUGCUUGGUUUGGGUAUUCACGAUUUUUUACGUAUCGCAAUAUAUCCUGAUACCAAGGGUUUUCGUCCUUUUCUUCUUCUUCGUCAAUGUUACAACAGUGGGCUGGAGCAUCAUAAAUGCUCAUUUGGAUAGGCUUCACAUCCUCUGGUCUAUUUACUUUGAUAAUGGAAGCCAAUGUAGCUAAAGCGUCGGCCAUCUGAUUCUCGUCUCGUGGAAGAUAACAAAAAGUGAUGUCGUCAAACUCCUCAAUCAAUUCUAGGACUAUCCUUCGGUAACUAAUCAACUUAGGUUCUCUUGUUUCCCAUUCGCCUUUGAGCUGAUAAAUUACCAAUGCCGAAUCCCCAUAUACCUCAAGUACCUUGAUUUUGCGUUCUAUAGCCGCGCGGAUUCCCAUGAUACAUGCUUCAUAUUCCGUCAUGUUAUUUGUGCAAUCAAAAUCUAGUUUACUGGUGAAAGGAUAAUGAUCACCGUUUGGAGAUACCAAGACUGCCCCAAUCCCGUUGCCCAUGGCAUUUGAGGCUCCGUCAAAAUUUAAUUUCCAAGUAUUGCCUUCUUGUGUGCUUGCUUCAGUAGUUGCCACAUACAUCAGAUCCUCAUUUGGAAAAUCAAAGUUCAAAGGCUCAUAAUCGUCCAGGGCUCUACUUGCUAGAAAAUCUGCUAUCGCGCUCCCUUUUACAGCCUUUCGAUUCACAUAGGUUAUGUCAAAUUCAGAUAGUAGAAUUUACCAUCGGGCCAUCCUUCCGUUUAGAGCAGUUGACUCCAUCAUGUAUUUCAGAGGGUCUACCUUUGAGAUUAACCAAGUCGUAUGGUACAACAUGUAUUGUCUCAAUCUUCGAGUAGUCCAAACCAAUGCGCAACAUAAUUUUUCAAUUGGCGAAUACCUCGUUUCGCAUUCAGUGAACUUUUUACUGAGAUAAUAGAUCGCUCUUUCCUUUCGUCCUGACUCAUCAUGUUGGCCGAGCACGCACCCCAUGGAAUUCUCAAAUACUGCCAAGUAUAGUAUCAAUGGUUUGUCAGGGCAAGGUGGUAUCAGUACUGGGGCGUUGGACAAGUAAUGUUUAACUCUUUCGAAAGUUUUCUGGCACUCUUCAUCCCAUACACCUGGAUUGUGUUUCCUAAGAAGACGGAAUAUGGGGUCACAUUUCUCGGUUAAUUGUGAAAUGAAUCGAGCGAUGUAAUUUAGUCUUCCUAGGAAACCCCGAACUUCUUUUUGAGUACUUGGCGGAGGUAAUUCUUAUAUGGCCUUAACUUUGUCUGGGUCAAUUUCAAUUCCCUUUUCGCUGACUAAAAAUCCUAGCAAUUUUCCUGAUCUAGCCCCGAAAGUACACUUGGCUGGGUUAAGUUUUAGCUGGAACUUCCUUAACCUCAGAAACAGUUUUCUCAGAACUUGCACGUGUUCCCUUUCUGUUCUGGAUUUUGCGAUCAUGUCAUCAACAUAAACUUCUAUCUCUUUAUGCAUCAUAUCAUGGAAUAAUGCUACCAUGGCUCUCUGAUACGUUGCUCCCGCAUUUUUCAAUCCAAAAGGCAUCACUUUAUAACAAAACGUCCCCCACAUCGUUAUGAAUGUGGUCUUCUCCCUGUCUUCAGAAAGCAUCUUAAUUUGGUUGUACCCGGAGAAACCAUCCAUGAAAGAGAGCAGUGAGUAUCCGGCCGUGUUGUCUACCAAGGUAUCGAUAUGAGGAAGUGGGAAAUUAUCUUUUGGGCUGGCUUUGUUCAAGUCUCUGUAGUCCACACACAUUCGCACCUUCCCAUCUUUCUUAGGAACAGGGACUAUAUUGGCUACCCAUUCUGAGUACUUGACCACCUGUAAGAAACCAGCAUCAAAUUGCUUCUUAACUUCUUACUUUAUUUUUAGCAAGACAUCAGGCCUCAUCCUUCGGAGCUUUUGUUGGACUGGUUUGCAUUCUUCCUUUAUAGGCAAUCGGUGUACCACGAUAUCAGUACUUAACCCUGGCAUAUCUUGGUAGGACCACGCGAAGACAUCUUUAAACUCUUGAAGCAACUCAACAAGGUCUUGCCUUGUUUCCUUGGCAAUGCAAGCGCCAAUUUUUACCUCUCUGCUCUCUUCUAAGGUCACAACUUCUACUGAUUCCUUAUAGGGUAUAAUUUGUUUUUCUUCUUCUUUCAUCAUUCUUAACAAAUUCGGAGAUAAAACGCUGUCUUGGUCACCUUUAAAAUCUUGAGGAUCAUCUAUACUCAUGUCUUGCUCAAAUAGAGACUCUGAAUUAGUAACAGAGUCGCUCAUCUCGUUGAUAUUUGAAGACCUGUUAUUGGAACAAAUGGAGGCCCAAAUAAAAGGAUCUAAGAAUACUUGUAUGCAUAUUAUGAUUAUAAAGGGAAUGAAAAGAAUGAAAGAAUACUUGCUCAAGAUGAAACUGAAUGAUAAGUUUUCACUGAAAUUAGAUUUUGAACAUGUGCAUUUUACAAAAGAUUCUUAUCACCCCCAGGCUUAGGGCAACAAGUGUUCUGAAUAUUACUCUGAAUUAGUUCUAAAUGUUACAGGGAUCUCUUCUGCAGUCCAGUUAUUCGGAACACUUCCAGGUUCGUAAGGACGAAUGCCCGAUAAAUUCCUUUCCACCCUUUCUUCCGCGGAUAUGGCAUUGAUGUCCAACCUCUCAAUCCUUCCUUCUGUAACCUCAUCCUUCUCUUCAGGGUGGACAAUUCCCCCUGAAACAAAAGUCUUAGAUAUAUGAGGAAAGGUUAUCGGUCCCCACUUGGCUUCUAUCCCGCCCAAAUGUGCUCUUCUCCUUUCUUGUCUUUUCUCCAUCUCCUUCCUCCUUUCCCUCGCAAUAGGCUUAUAUCCCAAACCAUAACGGUCCUGUUUGUUAACUAGGAUCGGUACUCCGACCCUUCCCUGGAGGUAUUUUCCAAAUCCUCUUCCAGGCAAUGCUCCCUUUCCCACCGUUAAGUUCAUUGACGUAGCUUUGGAUAUCUUAGGCUCUGGGAUUUUGCUCAUCUCAAUGACAAAUAUGGCAUUUACGAAUUCCAAUGAUCGGAAUGAACAUUCUAUCGCUUCACUAUCAGCCUCUAUGUAUGGCAUAUCAUCGGUGACUGAUGCAAUGAUGUCUUCUUCUGCACCUAUAGUCACCAAUCUACCCUCUACCACCAAUUUUAACUUUUGGUGAAGUGACGAUGGUACAGCCCCUGCAGAAUGGAUCCAAGGCCUCCCUAAUAGGCAAUUGUAAGAUGGUUUAAUAUCCAUUACCAAAAAGUCUACCUCGUAUGUAUUUGGACCAAUCAAUAGAGGUAUCUCGAUUCUUCCCAUCACUUUUCUCUCAGUGCCAUCAAAUGCUCUCACUAUAUUUUGGCAUAAUUUCAUGUGAGAACUAUCCACAGGUAGCCUGUUUAAUGUGGACAGGGGUAAAACAUUCAGGGCCGAUCCAUUGUCAACGAGUACCGCCGGUAGUAUACACCCCUUGCAACGGGCAGUGAUGUGCAAGGCCUUGGUAGAUCCCAUACCGCCUGGCGAGAUCUCAUCAUCGUUGAAGAAGAUGAAGUUAUCGGCAUUUAUAUUGUUAACCAGGCAAUCCAAUUUGUCCACUGAGAUAUCUUUAGCGACAUAAGUUUCAUUUAGCACUUUUACUAACGUAUUACGAUGUAUCUCUGAACUUAGAAGUAACUCGAGCACUGAGAUGCGAGCCGGUUACUUAUGCAGUUGUUCCACCACGCUAUACUCGCUAUGCUUCAAGAAUUUUAAGAAUUCUCUAGCCUCAUUUUCAGUCACCGGUGUAUUAAUAUGCGGUUCAAUUCCGGUCUUCGUUUUAUCUUGUUCAACCGCCAAGGCUUUUCCUUUUAUAGGCCCCCUUUUUGUAUUUCCCGGGUCGCAACGUUUUCCACUACGCGUAUAAAAGCCUGUGUCAUUACCCUCUUCUGAAGCAUUUAUCGGGUUCUCCUCUCCCGUGAUCAUCACAUUGCAGUCAUAAUUCUAAGGAACCUUUUUACUAUCCUUGUAAGGAAAGGCUACAGGUUUUUGGAUUAUGACCCUUGGCGCCAGUUGUAUUCCAGAUCCUGUGCUUGUUGGCCUUGAAAUAAUCACCACCGGGUGAUUUUGGGCCUUUCUCGUAGGCCCCUCCUCUGAGGCAUAAACUUCUCCUUUCUCAAGUCCUUUGAUCUCUUCAUAAAAUUCUAACUCUUUGUUGUUCAUCAGAUUUUGUAACAUGGCCUUGAAAUCAGUGCAAUUUUGAAUGUCAUGGUCUUCUUCAGCAUGAAACUCGCAGUACGUCUUCGUUCCUUCGGGCCUUUCUUUUGAAUCUUGUUUGAUGAGACCUCCUUCUAUCAUUUGUCUCCAAACCCAACUCAAUGGGGUUUUUAUCUCUGCAAUGUCGGUUUUGAUUCUCUUUCUCCCACCUUCGAUUAUUGCGUUUACCCCUUUAUCAGCAUGAUCGGGUAACGGAUUCGCUGCUACAUUUGGUCCUAAUGGGUUGUCAAACUUCACAAUCCCCAUCUUAAUGAACCUUUCCACCGCCUUUUUAAACCCAGUGCAGUUCUCAAUUGAGUGCCCCGGUAUCCCUGCAUGGUAUUCACAUUGGGCAUUCGCGUCAUACCAUUUGGGAUACGGAGGUUGCAUGGGCUCUAGAUAAAAUGGAGAUACUAUGUGUGCAUCAAAUAACUUCUGAUACAGUUCCCCGUAUGUUAUUGGAAUGGGCGUGAAUUAAAGUCUCUCUGUGUUAGUCCUUGUGUUAGGCCUCGUGUUGGGUUCCUGCCUUGAGGGGGCUUGGUGACUAGUGGUUAUCAUUUUUGGAGGGCCAACAGUAAUCAGUUUUGAAUGGCUCUUGCUAUAUGUGCAUACGUUGUUUACUUCGCCCUCUUUUUUUCUUCGGGCUGGUCUUUUGAAGUUUUCCCCAGUGUCAAUUUUACCGCUCCUUACCGCGUUCUCAAUCAUUUCACCAGACAUUACCAUAUCCGAGAAACUCUUGGUAGCACUCCCCAACAUGUGGUUGAUGAACAGGGCUUUCAAAGUGUUGAUAAACAACAUGGUGACCUCUUUUUCCAAAAGGGGUGGCUGGACUUGUGUUGCCACUUCUCUCCAUCGUUGGGCGUAUUGCCUGAAAUUCUCGCUAGGCUUUUUUUCCAUGUUUUGUAACGUAAUUCGAUCGGGUGUUAUAUCCAUUACAUGACUGUAUUGCUUCAUAAAAGCUUGCGCCAAGUCUCUCCAUGAACUAACUUUAGCACGACUCAGUUGGUUGUACCAUUUGGCUGCAGAUCCGAUCAAACUGUCCUGGAAGCAGUGGAUUAACAGCUGAUCAUUGUUGACGUAUCCUGUCAUUCUUCGACAGAACAUAGUUAUAUGAGCUUCAGGACAACUAGUCCCAUUAUAUUUUUCGAAUUCUGACAUUUUGAACUUAGGUGGGAGUACUAAACCAGGGACCAAACUCAGAUCAUUGACGUCAACCCCGCGAUGACAGUCGAUGUUCUCCAUGGCUCUAAAUUUUUCCUCUAACCAUCUACAUCGGUCCUCCAGUUGUUUUGGCAGGUUCAUUCUUGUUUUUUCUGUUUCUGCCACGUCAUCGAGGUCCGGGACCACCAGAUUAGUGGGAUUAUCCCCGGGAUUAAAACCCGAGCCCAUUUGAAAAUGCACUGGUACCGAGGUACCAGCCAGAUAUUGAGGUCCUAUGGUAACUGGUACCCUCUGUGGGUACACCUCUGGUUGUGCUUGGAUGUUAGUUGGGGUGAAACCUGGAGGAUAAACAGGGUCAUCGUGAUCCUCCCCAGCAUCAAUUACGGGGUCUUUUCCUUUGUUAUUCCCUCCAGCCAAUAACUGCUUUAAUUGGUUCAUCACGGUGUUCUGGGAUUCUAACAUGUCCUGCUGGAUUUUUUCCAGUCGUUCAUGCAUCUGAUCUUGCAUCUCUCGUUGCAACUGUUCCAAUCUUUCCAACCUUUGAUCCAUUGCUUUUGUUUGGCGACGAGUACCGUAGUGAUAUUUGAUUAGAUUUUUGUUGGUUUCCAGGGUAACUGUCAUAAUUUAAUUUUAUUAGGGUCAUUUUAUGAGAUGUAAUGCAAAUGUAUGAGAUGAAUGCAAAAAAAAGAGGCAUUGAUUCGAAUUCAAUUUCAUUAGAAAACUCAACUAGAAAGCAAAUUUCUUUACAUAAAAUAAAUUACAUAUACGGCUUCGCCUUUAUACCCAAAGCCUUAACCUUCCUAAGAAGCCAACUAAAUCUCGACCUCGGCUUGAUUCUGACUCAUAUUUUAAACUCAAUACAUCGGCCUGAAUUGCUAAUGUUUGCAGAUGAUCAGCCACUUCCCGCACUUGAGUCACAGCUUCGCCCAUAACGUAAUCUCUAUCUCUAAUCUGACUUUGAGAAUGAUGGAAUUGCUCUUGCCAUUGAUCAUUACUCCUCUCAAGAAGCUCCAUUCGUAGCUCAGAAUUGUGUAAUGCGUCCUCAAGCUCCUCUACCUUUCCUUUCAGUUCUUCGAUCUUAUUUAAGCUUGCUCUUAAUUCGAUCAUGGAGUUGCGACUACGGUACGAGUGAAGUGACUUUUCUAGCUCUGCCACCUUGGCCUUUAAUCCUGCCUUCUCAUUUCGGCACUCUAACAAACUCCUUUCCAAAGCGUUUUCUCGAGCUCAAGCAUCUUGAAAUUUCUUUUCCCACUGAUCGGCCCUAUUCUUUUCCUCAUUGAUCUCUUGUCGCCAUUGCUCUGACGUUUUACCCAGACCGACAGUUCUCAUUGACAAUCGCAGCUUCUUGUAAUCUAUUUUUAGACUAUCCAAAUCCUCUUCAGCCUUGUUCUUUCCCUUCUUUAAUUUCUCGGCUUCUAGCUUGUGGAUAUCGAUGUCUAAUCCCAAAUGCACUCUUUCUUCUUCUAGCUGUUCUAUCCUCUUUCCCAACUCAGAAUUUCUUUUCUCAAAGUCUCGUUUGAUGAUCUCUAAUUCUGACGGAACUACUUGUAGAUGCUCCUCUAUAGACUGAACGCAAUCUUCCCUCGGCUUAGGGAUGUUGUCAUUGACUCUUUUACUCCACCACCCAUAAUAUUCUGAAGUUGUCAUCGCUCCUACGGUAAAUCUUUUCAUUCGGUGAACCUGUUUCCAAGCGUUAGAUAUUUCUCGAGUUUUUCUCUUGUAGUUUUCAUCCUUAUAAGAAAACUCACAUUGAGCCAGCCCUUGUGUUGCUGGUAUGAACUGUCUCGAUCUAUAUUGUCUUAAUACGAGUAAAGGGGCAUAACCGACAGCUCCCCAAAUUUCGAGUAAAGGGACCCAGUCGAAAUCCCCACAUCGAUACAGGAUCUCGUCGGGUACCAUCCAAGGAGCUUUCCAUUCAACGUCAUCCUCCUGAAGAUUUUGGAGAAUCGUCAUCCACUUCUCUUCCGUGAUGUCGUCUCGUCUUGGUGUAGCAACUUGUUCCUUCAAUGGGGAAUAGUCUUCUGAGAAGACUCGAUAGGAGACAUUUUCCACCUUCCAAAAGUGACUAUGGAACCACACUAAUAGUAGCUGUGCGCAUCCGAUGAACCUUCCCUCCCCUGCUCUUCGACAUGCACUUAGAAAUCUGAAGGUUUCUGCUAAGAUUGCCGGGAUGGGCGUGACUCCUUUACUAAGCCGAUCGAACAAAUCAGAGACGGCCUCAUCUACGUGCCCUAAAGCUCUAGGGAAAAUUACCAAUCCAUAGAUACCUAGAGCGAAGACAUCCACUCUUUUCUUCACAUCAGGGUGUGCUAAUACUAAAUCUCGCAAGCUUUUCCAAGGAACGCAUUUACUGUCUCCUUUCUGUUGGAUUCGGGCAGCGACCCACUGUUCGCUCAUCCCUGUAAUGCUCAUCAAUUUUUUUAAUAAUGUCGGGACACUAGCAGCUCUAGAAUAGGCCUUGUCAAUUUGAAUCUUUGGACACCGAAGCAAGGUCGUAUAUUCUUCCAUGGUGGGCACCAAGUCCACUUUUCCAAAAGUGAAACAACUGUAAGCAGGAUUCUAAAACUGGGCUAGGGCUCGGAAUAAAUGCUUGUCCACUUUGACACCAAGUAGGUAAGGCAAGUCCCCGUAGUCACAGUAAAACAUCUGCUUGGUCCCAUCGUCCCAUUGAUCCCAUAUUUCCUUCAUUUCUCGAAGAUCAUUUUGGAUUACGCUGAUACGGGUGAAGUCCCAUAACUCUGAUACGUACCCUUCUGCAAGACUAUCGCCUUUCUCUCUCCACAUCGUCUCAGCCCACACUCGUACAGCUGCAUUGUCUUCUACUUUAUCAAGAAACCUCUUUUCCAUGAUAAGCUUUCUAUCUAUACUGAACGUGAAUCGACACCUUUUGAAAUGAAAAUGCCAUGCAAUCAUAAACAAAGCAAAUCAGAGCUAGGAUUUAAAGUAAACAAUAAUAAAUAAAGCAUCUAUUCGGUAAGCGCUAGGGUUUGGAAUAGCUCUAUCUCGGUGGGUUCUUACGGCUCGCUAUAUGUGGUUUAGUUCUAAAGUAAGGGUACCUGAACCAGCAGAUUCCUCGAUCCUCACCCAUUAUAGGCUCAUGGACCGAGUUCAGUUCAGGGGAAUACAUUUCCCUAUGGCCAUGCGGAGAUGAAAAUCUCACGAAGACAUAGGUACGGAUGUAUCCCGGAAGCGAUUCACUAUCCCAUGCGGAGGUGAAAACCUCACGAAGGCGUAGUUUCUCACUCCCACUUAAAAAGGUAUGACCAGCGAUCAUGCAAUUCAAUGUGCAGAGGUAUAAAAUAAAAUACAGAACACGAUAAAAAAUAUAACUCAAAACAAAAGAGAUGCAAUGAAAGGAUCGUAAAUUUAAAUCAAAUUUUCCACUUUCAACAAAAAGACAAGAAAUAAUCAACACGUGGCUUGACUCUCUUUCGUUCCCCAGUGGAGUCGCCAAGCUGUUGACACCAUUUUUUUGAUGAAAACGGGGUCGACUUGGAUUUUGAAAAAAGAAUGAAAACGGGAGUCGCCACCAAUCCUUUUUGACGAGGUGUGAUCGGGUCACCUCAAAAUGUGGUUGUUUUUAAUAAAUGAUUUAAUUUUAUUAAAACAACGAUUUUGGUCUACGAAAUUCAGAAAAAUGAGUUCGGGAGUCGGUUACGCACGAGGAAGGAUUAGCACCCUCGAUACGCCCAAAAUUGGUACCUAGUUGAUUAAUUAGUGUCUUAGUGUCGAAAAUUGAAAAUUUGAAGAGUUUUAAAAAUACGAUCCUUAAAAGAAAUUCUGAUAACGUGAAUUGAAAUAUAAGAUUCUCUUGUUCCGAAGGAAUAUCACAUCCAGCACGUUAGGACACGAUACUCUAAACCAUCGAAACCAAGAUCAUCUUAUAGUUUAAUGAAACCACACUUUGAAGCUUUAAGAGGAUAUUUGGCUAUUUAGUCGAACGAGAAAUCGAAACCCAGCACGUUAGGGCACGUUUUCUCGAUUUUCCAAACGCGAAAUAUCGCCUUAUUUAGAAAAAUUUUCCUUUUGAUGUUUGGUGUUAAUGCUUGACAAAACAAUAACGAAUACGACAAGGUGAGCAAAGUAAAGUGAGUAACAACAAUACAAUAGGCAAAAUGAAAUGACGAGGCGAUUACAUAAACAAAGCAUACAAAUAAAUAAAUAGAACUAACAUUUAAAAAAAAGCAUAAGUGUACACGAAUAAAUAAACAAACACCAAAUAACAAUGAUGACAAUAAAUACAAUUAUGUAAAAAUGUAUAUACAUGUAUAAUUUUAAGCCAUGAAAUAAGAAACGCAUAUAAAUUAUAGAAUAUGAAAACAUAGAUAAAUAUAUACAUAUGUGUAAAAAAUAAUAUUAUAAAAAGGGUACGUAUAUAUGUAUAAAAAAUAAAUGUAUUAACAAUGAAUAUAAUAAGGGUAAGAAAACAAGUAUAUACACAAUAUAUAUGUAACGUAGGUACUAAGGAUAUAUAUAUACAAUACAGUAUUUAAAAUAAUAUUUACGUAAUAUAAAAUAUAAUAUUAAAAGGUAUAUGUACAUACGUAAUAUAUAAAUACAUAUAUAAUAUAAUGUUAAAAUAUUUACAUAAUACUAAAAUAUUUAGGUAAUAUAUGCGUAUAUUGAAAACUAGUAAUAAUAUUACCGAGGUAUAUACAAAUAUAUCAAGUAUAUACACGUAUUAUAAAUAUAUAAAUAUAUGACAAAGCAUAAACUAAUAAAAAUAAUAAGAAUAAUAAUAAUGAUAACAUUGGAAUAUAAAAGAAACAAACAUAACAUUAAUAAAAUAUUAAAAUAAAGUGAAAUAAAAAUAUUAAAUAUGAGAAUAUAUAUAGGUAUACACGUACAUAAUAAAAAUAUAUACUAAUACAUAAUAAUAAUAAUGGUAAUACUAAUAAUACUAAUAAUAUAAAAAUAACAAGGAUAUUUAAUAAAGAUAUAAAAAUCAACAAAAAAGGACUAAAAUUGAAUUGAAAGCAAAGUUGUGGGGCCAAUUUGAAAUGAAAACAAAGAAAAAGGACUUAAUUGUAACACGCAUGCAACUUGGAGGGUCAAAAGUGCAAUAAACCCAAGUAUUAAAAACGCUGCGCAGCGUGGGGGACCAGAAUGAAUUCGGGGCAACACCAUGGAGCCAAAUUAAAAAUAAAAAAACCUUGAUUGUAAACUCCCAGAAAGGCGGAAGGGCUAAAAGUGCAAUUAGCCCUUCCAAAGAAAAAAACACGCGGAUCUUCCUUGGUGCAGGUCGGGUCGACCCGACCCGUGUUCAAAACGACGUCGUUUCAUUUAUUUAAACCGGGGGUCCAAAACGGUGCGUUUUGACCCCCUAUAAAAGUCAAAAAAACUUCAAAAAAAAAUCAUUUGUAACGCUGAGGGAAAAAAAAGAAAAGGGAGAGAGGAGAGGGGAGCCCGGAGCGAUUUCCGGCCAAGGGAGGGGUCACCGGACGGCCACCGGAGGCUCGCCGGCGUCAGCGCCGGCCACCGCACGCCGUGGCCGGAAAGGUAAAAUUUUUUAUAUUUUUUUUAUAUUUUUUUGUUAUUUAUUCUUGGUCUUAGAAUGUAUAGAUUUUAGGUUUAUAUUAAUAAAAAAGGUAUAGAUAUGUAUAUAGAAAUCGAAAGAAAAUGGAUGAAAACAAAAAGGUAACCUUUUCCGUUUGCCUUUUCUUUUUCCCGAAUGCUUGCUAUCUCAGUACUGAGAUCUAUGUAUUUUUUUUAAAAUUCUAGCUUCUGUUUUUUUGUAUUAAAAUGCCAAAAAACAAACAAAAAGAAGAAAGAAAAAAAACCCCUGACACAAUUUUUUAUUCGGGUUUUUAUAACCCAUUUUCAUCUAAUUUCCUAUUGUUUCUGUUUUGUCUCUUUGCAUGGGAUGGGCACGAUGGAGGUGACAGAGGCAUGGUGGUACAGAGGAGCAGGUGGCCGACAUGGUGGCAUGGAGAGCUGGGCGUGGCAGACGAGGAGGCCACGCGAGGCAUGCAGCGCUAGGGCUUGGGGGGCAUCUUUCUGCCGAAAAUGUUAAUGUUGUCUGGGCUGGGUUUUUGAUUUUUGUUUCGGGCCAUGGGCUACAUUGGGCUUGUUAUUUUCCUUUGUAAUUGGACUGUUGUUUAUCUUGUUUUAAUAUUCGGGCCUGGGCAUAAAAUUGGGCCUUACAAUAGUCUUAAGUGUCUAUCACAAGAACCUAGAUAUUGUAAAUCCAAUAUCUUCCAAACAAUUCAACCAUGAUAUUAAUGAUGAUGGAAGCAAGAUUAUCCACUAUCAAUGACAUAAAAUGAGCUGUAAAUGCUGACGAACAAACAUGCACUGUUUUUCCAACCUGUGGAUUGAAGAGCAUUGACAAGCUAACUUUGCAGACCAUUUGAAUCCAAUACUAUACAUAAAAAUGCCAAAGGAGAAUAAUUCAUCUUGGAAAAAGAAUUACUAAUAUGCAAAAGCUUACCUUGUUUAACAAGAACACAGCAUAUGCUGCUCUUGUCGUGUCUUGACCUUCUAAAAACAGCGGAAAUUCUGCCAGCUUUACAUUUGCUGAAAGUGUUGUAUCCAAUGACAAAUCAGAAGAUGCAGGGUCUAUUGAAGACGCAUGGUCAUUAAUAUAUGAGCGAGAACCACCCAAGCGCAGAGGAUAACGCAAGGGAACUUGUAAAUAGGAUGCAAUUAGUGAAACAGCCUGCAAAUGAUGAAAUAACAGGAAACAAGAAACAAUAAUAGGUAUGAUUAAAAUUAUAGCCUCAGCAUGAGAAACAAGCAAUCAAGAUGCAGCCCACUAUACCAUAUUACCAUCCUAGCAAUUAAAAAUUACUACAGCAUCUUCAAGCAACAAGGGAUUGUAGGUGGUAGGUCAAAAAACUUGAUAUCCACAGCUUGAUAUUAUCAGAAAAAACAAAUUCAGUAAUAAAUGAUAACUUCACAGAAGAAAUAGAACGCACAUGUGCAACAUAUCCCAAGGCAGUUGCAGAUCUCUGAACCUCCUUUUUGUCAGUGAAAAAACUCAUCUUUGUAAAAGGAAGCAAGGUGAGAUUCAGACCUAAAAUUGUCAACGAUCCUUGAUUGACGGGCUUUGAUGCAGAAGGAUUCCCUAGUGAAGACAGGAACAAAGGAACUUCAUAUCAAUACAUCACCAGACACCACCUCUUUGUGAAAGUCAAAACAAAAUUCAAAAAAAUAUAAUCAUGAAAGUAAGAGAUAUGUAAAAAGUUCAUAAUAUUCAAGAGCAAAAAAAAAUUGUUUUGAUAUGAGGAGAAUUGAAUAGUAGAUUGCUAAAAGAGGAAUAACUGAAUACAGCCAUCAUAACCAAAAGAAGAGUCAAGUGAUAGGUAAUGGUACUCCCUAAGCUGUUUAGGAAUCAUAAAAGACUUGUCCAGUUGACAAAAAUAACUCAUUUUAUUCUCCCCUAGUAAAACAUCAUAUUGGACCAACCAUAUUUGAUAUCAAAGGAUAUGGAUAUCCAGGCAUGCCAUUUAUAGAUAUUCCCAGUGUUGCAAGAAGGAAUUGUUCAAGAGAAAGAAGCUGCUAUUGUUGGUAAAGUUUUCCUCAAACCAUUUUGAACAUCCAAAAUCUCAAGAACAAAAAAGAAAACGUAGGAGGAAAUAUAACAAGCAUCACAACGGGUUCUCGAUGAUAUAAGUGAGAGGAUAAAUGUUAAUUAAGAUUAUAAAAAUAAACCACAAACUAAACAGGAAAGACAUGGAUUUCAAAACGAGGAGACUGGCUGCUAAUUAAAACCAUAUGCGGUGUUGUCUAGGGCGCAAGGCGCAUUCUAGGUGCUAACCUUUAUAUUGCCUCAAGCACAAGGCACAAAAGGAAGCGCUAGCCUGAGUGCAGUAAAGCGCAAUACAUAUAUGUGAGAGUUUUUGCAAGUCUGUGUGUCUACAACAUAAAAGUUUUAAGAUAUAUAGUAAACUCUAAAGUGUGGUCUGGUUUAUCCACAAAACUUGCAAAAUUUUUAUAGGUGAAUGCUCAAAUAUUGAGAAUUAUAGAGUUUGAUAUUAUCCCUUUCUUAUUAGUAAAGGUGUAUCAAAUGAAAACAGUAAAAAAUAAAAUAAAAUAUUGAGAAAUUCAACAAGGCAGGCUUUUUCUAAUGCCCAUUGCCUUACAAAAAAAGUGUGCCUAGGUGCACCAGGCAUACGCUUGAUCAAAUGGACCUCACCUGGAAGGGUCCAAGGCGUUUGGUUGUAUAAAACUAAGGCGUAGGCAUGCCUAGGCGCAUGCCUUGACGACACUGACCAUAUGUUGGCUUUAUUGCAAAGCAUUAGCAAUCCAAAACUACUAGCACAUUACCUAAUCUACUACUGCUAGAAUAGGACUCAAGUUCUUGCUCCUGUGCAGGUCCAACCAAGAUCUUUACAGGAUACAAUAAUGAAACUUGUGAUAUCAUAUAUUGUUGCCUUGCUCGAAGCUUCCUUUGCACAUUUUUAAGUUUAACACAACCCCUUUCUUCAGUGAGUAAUCUAUUUGCUUCCUGUGAUAAAAACAACAUAUAAUCAAUCAUGCCACGCAUGCAAGACUACCAACCAACUAUCUAACAAAAGAUACAAAGAAGUAGGAGAGCAAGAAGGGGAUAACCCUUGACUAUGCAAAGGAAUUCAUAGAAUGAGAAUCAUCUCAUCUAAGCCCCUCAACCACCUUCACAGGGGGUGGAGGUGCAAAGAGAGAGGUCUUAUUGAUCCGAGAGGAGAAUAUAUAACAUCUAAAGCUGAAUAAGAAGAAACCUUGAAAUAUAUCAUAAAUUCAGAAUUCAUGAUAAUAUAAAAAUGAAAUUCCAAAGCUAAUUUAAGCUAGAAUAAAAAUGCUUCACCUGUAAUCACUUCCUUGCUACAGAAAGAGAGGUACCAGCAACCAACAAUGAUCUUACUUCAGUACUAAGCAUUUCCUCCUGUUUUUUAGCAUCCUCUGUUGCAACUUUGCAAUGAGUUGACAUGUUUGCCAUAACUACUUUCCUUGCCUCGAGUCUCUCACGCAUUUCCUCAAGCUCGUUCAGUUUAUUCAAAGACUCAUUUUUUACCUGCACAGCAUGUUCCCACCCAUUAAUCAGUGGGCCAAUUAAUUAGGUCACAGAAGACAAAACUAAAUUAUCACUCACCAGGUCCCCUUGAAGUGUCAUAUGGCUUUAACAAUUCAACGUGCAAUAUCUAGUAAAAGUAAAAUAAACAUAGAAGAAUGCAAAUGCAAUUCUUAAACGCCUUUAAAUGGACAACAUGAAACACUUUAAGAGCCCUAUAAAACAGAAAACUGGAAAAAAAAUCUGAAAAGGAAAAAAAAAUGAAUUGAAACAAUAAAUCCAUCUGGUACAAACAGCAACAAAUCUCGAAAUAAGCUUUGGCUUUAGCCCAUUAAAGCCCGGGCAUCCGGCCAAAUAAACAGUGACUGCCAUGUCAACUUUUUGAGACGGUAGAAAAGAGCUCAAAAAUCUCAAUUUCCAAAAAUAAGGACAUAAGAAGGAAAACAAUUUACUUAUUCUUACAGUAGAAGAGCAAAAUGAAACUAAAUGAAGGAUAAGGGAACUGAUGCGAAUUGACAUUGUUAUUUUUGGGACUAAAAAGAAUACGCAGAUUGAAUAUUUAAGAUUUUGUAAGGGAAAAGUUCCAUUCACCGACACAAUUAUCAUCGCCCUUUAUCCCAGUAAAGCUUAAUUGACAAUUUUUCUGUCUCGUGUUCUUGCUAAAGCAUUUGAGCAACCCAACAGAAAUCAUUAUAUUUCAAACUGAAAUGAUUGGCUUUAACAAUUUCACAACCUAUACCGCCCAACCUAGUAAGUAAUUUAGGUGCAGACACCAGAAAUCUAUUUUCUUUGCACUCUACAACUAAAUAGCAUACCACUUAUCAAUCAAACACAGCUGAAAACUUCAGUGAGGGAACAUUAUGUAAAAUGAAAAAACUAUAACUUCAACUUGAUUCAUAGCUCGGCAAGUUCAGGGAAUUGGGACUUCUACCACGAUGAUCCAGUUCAAUGUGAAACAGUGAUCCAUAUCAUGCAUAUCGGUUCCCGGAACAAGAGGUAAAACCAGCAAAUUAGGUAAACAAUAAUCCUACUAUAUUUCAGAAUAGCAACAUUGAGCAUGAAAGCUAAAAUUAUAGCAUAUUACGGGUCCUUGCUCUCUACAACUACAUAUAAAAUUAGUAAACAAUAUUACUACAUUAAGGAUCCAGAAAAACUUUGUUUCAAUUGUUGAUCACUUGAUCCAACUAUUUUAGAAAGUUUAUUCUUCUUUUUCCUUUCCCUUAUUUUCUAAAUCAGGAAAAACAGUAGCAUAUAAAUUGGAUUACUACUCCAAGUUUCUGAAAUUUCAACAAUAUCCCUUUUACCUUUUCACUCAAGUCAUUACCCCCCAAUUAACAAAUAUAUUCCCAGUUUCCCUUUCCCUUCAAACACCCCUUUUUUUUUCCUCUACCCAAAUUCAGCUUAUGUUCAAAAACCCAAAAUUGGUUUGCUAAAAUAACAUAAUUUUCAAACACAAAGAUAACCUAAUUUUAAUCAGAAAAAAAAAGCAUUACCUGAAUUAGUGACUGGAGUUUCUCUUGAAGACUUUGUUUCUUCUCAUUAGCUUCCUUAAGGGCAGAAGUUAAACUCCACAAUCUAGCUAGCUCGUUGUCGAAAUCUUCCCAUUCAAUUAGUUGCACAUUUUCAUGUGCAGCAUUGAUUUUCUUCGGGUCGGUAAUUAGGGUUUUGACUCGGGCUUGUUCUCGAUUUUCCAUGAAAUAAUUGAAGAGGAAAGCUUUCGAUUCUGUAAGUUUAAAAAGGGAUCAUAGAUCGACCUCAUGGUACUGGAUCUCGCCCGGUUAGAGUGUUCUUUUUCACGCCGAUCGAAUCAUUUUCUCGGGAAACUUUGCUAGCUAGGGGUAAUUUUCUCGGGAAAAUGGAGGGAAAAACAGAUUCGGGAGUUUUUAUUUGGGGGAGUCUAAGGUAUAACGGAGAAUGACAGGUGGCGGUUAACGGAGGAAUCUCACGAUUCAUGUCAUUUUCACUUUUUCGAUUUAGAAAUUGCUUAAAUACUUUUAAAAAUAGAUAAUAAGAUAAACUUUCUUUUUGAAUAAGAUAAAACUUUCAUUGAAAAUAAAUAAAUAAAUUAAAAAAUAUUUGAUGAUUUUUAAGUUGGUAAUUUUUUUUUAUAAAAAUUUGGUAACUUCUUUGAAAGUUGAUAUAAAAUGUAUCACGACCCGACUUGAGAUUUAAUUUGUCCUCGUCAGAAGUCCGACCCAAACAAGGGAAUAUGACUUGCCACUCACCAAUUUUUUAACCUUCCAACUUGCCAGCUUUAUGGAGUAACUCGGCACCUUGCGACACUACCUAACAUACCGUGAGAUUUAAGUACAAAUAUCUCUAAGGGUAUGUGUCAAGCUUAAGAGAAAUAACAUAUUAUUAUACAUAUUAUUUAGUUACCCCUAACAUGUCACGUCAAAAAAUCAUACUAUAAAAAAUAGUCCUCACAAGAUAGGAUAGAAAAAAAAAGUCAUCAACAAAAGUAAUUAAGUAACCUUUUUAUAAAACAAAAAGAUUUAUUUUAUUUUGAAAUAAAUUAAUUCUCUAACUUAUAUAAGAAAUUAAGUAAAAUCUUUUUAAAUAAUAAGACAUAAUUUCUCGAAAAAAAAUAAUCAAAUGAGAGCUAAUCAAAAUAAUUUAUUUUUUUAGGCCAAACAAUUUUACUUCAACUAUUUAUAAACACUUUUUAAUCAAUUUUAUUUUAACUCCCAUUAUAAAUUUUAUAAAAAGGAUAAUAUAUUAAAAAUACCCUUAAAUUAUUAGAUUUUGUAUAAAUAAACUCUUAUUUUUUUUAGUUAAAUAAACUCCUAAAUUAUUAAUUUAGUCAUGAAAAUGUUGAUAUAAAAGUAUGAGAAUAAUUUAUUAAAUAAAAAAUUAAUUAUUUUAAAAUAUUUAAAAUAUUUAUAUACAUAAUAAACUUAAUUAAAUUCUCUAGAAAAAAAAUUUAUAUUCUUUUAAAUUUUAUGUUGAUAUAUUAUUUCUAUUUGUCUAAUAAAGUGCAUAACGAGGCAAUAACUAUUUUUUAUGUAUAAAUUAAACAAUACUACAACUUCCGAAGUUAAUAAGAUUAUAUCUAUACUCACCAUCACAAUUAGAGACAGGGGUGAGUAUUCGAUCGAAUUGAGUUAAAAAAUUUUGAAUUAGUCGAGUUAACAAAUCUUAUUUUAGCAAUCGAAAUCAAUUUAAAUUUUUUUAAAUCAAAUCGAAUCGAGUCAAAAAAUUUCAAGUCGAAUUAACGAAUCCUAUUAUUUAUACUCAAUAUUGCGUUUAUAUGGGCUGAUUAUUUAACUGGUAGACGAAGUACAAGAUUAUUUAACUAUAUAAACAAUAUAAUGGUUUUGCAUUGUAACUUAAUAGGUAAACAUUUAUCAAAACGAAAUAAUUUUACCUUUUAAGUUAAUGGUUUUGACUUUUAACUUUUAACUUUAAAAAAUAUAAACAUUUAUCAAUACGACGUAAAUUUACAUUUUCGUAUUCGGAUUUUCGAAUAACUCGAAACGUGUAAUUCAUAUUCGAGUUAAACUAAAAAUUUUAAUUUUUUUAUUUGAGUUAAUCUGAAUAACUUGAUUAAAUCGAAUAACUCGAAUUGUUUAAUUUGAAAUUUGAUUUUUUUAUCGAAUUUUUCAAAUCAAAUCAAAAUUUACUCACCCUUAAUUAGUCAUCAUAACUAAAUUAAAGUUGCCCCAUUAUGCAAUUGCAAGUCUUCAAAGCCUAAAAGUUGUAACAAUUCAAAAUUUCAAUGGAAAUUAAAAUUAAUAUUUUUAUCAUAUAUUAGUCAAAGUUUAUUGCAUCAACAAUAAGUUAAGAUAAAAACCUCAAAUUUUAAAAUAUUUUUACCUCAAUAUAAAAUUUAAGAGCUUUCAUGUAUAAAAACUAAAGGUUAGAGCUUUCAUGUUUAAGGGCUUAUUUAUACUUCAUCUUUAUAAAAAAACACUUAAAUAGUAGUUUAAAUUAUAUAGUUAAUCACUCAAUUUUAGUAAAUUUUCAUUUUAGUCACUCGUUGUUAAUUUGGCUAAUGUAAAUAUUACAUUACACUGAUUUUAGUCACCUAAUUUUCAUAAGAUAGAAUUAAUUUUAUUUUUCGGUAAAAAAGAAAAGAAAAACUCAAAAUUUUACAAGCAAGUACCUAGGUUUUUAUAGAAAAAACUUGGAGUUUUAUAUGAAAAACCUACGUUUUUAUUGGAAUAGUCAUAUUAUCUUUUUUUAUUUCAUUUAUUUUUUUCAUUUAUAAAAUUAAUUUUAGCUUUUUCAAUGAAAAGAAAACCUAAUUUUUUACUAAGAAAAUCAUUUUAUCUUUUUAAUUUCUUUUACUUUCAUAUUUAGAAUUAAUUUUAAUUUUUUUUCCAAUAACAAUGAAAAAAAACUUGGAUUUUUACAAUGAGUUUGUUGGGUUUCCACGAGAAUUGCUUGAGUUUUAUGAAUAACUCAAUUCCUUAAAAAAUUCUAAAAAAAAUUAGAAAAAUAAGAUUAAUUAAAAAAAAUGGAGCAAAAUGAAAAUUUACUAAAAUUAGAUGGCUAAAAUGAAUAUACAAUUGCAUUUUCGUUAGCCAAAUUAACAUGUGAUCAAAAUGAAAUAUUAUUAAAAUUGAGUGAUUAAAAUGAAAAAACUAUUUGAUUUAUUUACACCCUGAUUUUAUGAGCAAAUUCCCCAGCACAAAGCCUAUUUUGACAAUAACAGUUCAAAUGAAAAGUCUUCGCUUACUCUUUGAACGAAACUCUUCUCCCGCUAAAACCACCUCUUCUUCCUCCAAAUUCAAACGCCCAAAGCUUUCUUCCAUCUCUAAUGGCUCUGAUUCAUCACAAUCAUCAUCAUCUCAAGAUCCCCUUAAAACCCAUUUCUCCUCUCUCAUCAAAUCCUCCGAAACCACCCUACAACUCCGGCAAAUCCACGCUCAAAUCCUGCGCCGCCACCUCUCUUCCAGUGCCAAUCUCACCACCCUCUUAAUCUCCGUUUCUUCUUCCUUCAAAUCCAUACCUUACGCGCUCUCUAUUUUCAACUAUUCUCACCACAAAAGCUUAUUCCUUUUCAAUGCUUUGAUUCGUGGCUUGACGGAGAAUUCCCAUUUCCAAUCCUCAGUUUCACAUUUUCUUCUCAUGUUGAGACAUAGAGUUCGCCCUGAUUAACUUACAUACCCUUUCGUGCUCAAGUCUAUUGCGGGAUUGGGUCUUCAUUUCCUUGGUCUGAUCCUUCAUGGGAGAAUCAUAAAAUCUGGGGUUGAGUUCGAUUCGUUCGUUCGGGUUUCGUUAGUGGAAAUGUAUGUGAAGCUCGAGGAAAUGGGUUUUGCGUUGCAAGUGUUUGAUGAAAGUCCUGAGAGAAACAAGAGUGAGAGUAUAUUGUUGUGGAAUGUGUUGAUUAAUGGGUGUUGUAAAGUGGGGGAUUUGGAGAAAGCUAUGGAGUUUUUCGAGGCUAUGCCUGAAAGGAAUAUUGGGUCUUGGAAUAGUUUUAUAAAUGGGCUAAUGAAAAAUGGGGAUUUGAACAAAGCAAUGCAGCUUUUUGAUGAAAUGAAGGAGAAGGAUGUGGUUUCUUGGACUACAAUUGUUAAUGGGCUUUCACAGAAUGGAGAUCAUCAGAAGGCGUUAUCCAUGUUCUUUAAGAUGUUGGAGGUCGGUUUAAGGUCGAAUGAUCUUACUCUUGUUUCAGCUCUUUUCGCUUGCGCUAAAAUUGGUGCACUUGAAGUUGGAGUCCAUAUCCAUAACUAUUUUGUGGAAAAUGGGCUUCGGUUGAAUAAAGCAACUGCUGCUGCUUUGGUUGAUAUGUAUGCAAAGUGUGGGAAUAUCCUAUCUGCUAGUAAGGUUUUUGAAGUAACUGUUGCGCGGAAGCGUGUGAAAGAGUAAAAUUAUUGUACUGAAAAAUCACACUAAGUUCAAUUCCCAGGAAAGAGAGGUGGAUCACGAGGAUCGCUUACAUACCAGAUCUUUCCUAGCCAGAAUAUCCCUCUAUCGUAAUUUAAUAGCACAAUAAAUCACUACAAUGACACUUGCAAAAUAUGCAGAACAAAAAAUAAAGAACACUAGAAUUUUAACGAGGUUCAGCAAAUUUUGCCUACGUCCUCGGGCACUACCAAAUAUAUUUCACUCCAAAAAAUACAAGUGAAAGUUUACAAAUAGGGAGAGAGAACAAUUGCCUUAAGUAGAGAUUGGCAAGUGUGGGAUGAAGAAAGUAAGAAAUGGUUAGGCCUAUUUAUAGUUGAGGUUCAAGGAUCAACUUGCAAUGUCCCUAUACAAUUAGGGACCAAAAUUGCAAUUAUCUCAUGCCAACUUUUAACCCAACUUGCCAACCAAUUUUACUUUCUACUUUCGGUGACCACCCUUUUUGACUUUUCAAACAAUGGGUGGGUUCCAAUAAUCUCCACCUUGAAGAUUUGAUUAGGCUAAUCUUAUCUUCACACAAUUCUUUCUGCCUUUGACAACAAUACUUGAUAGUGCCUUCUUCAACUGUUAAACUUGCAGGAUAUUAAUCAAGUUCAAACAAUGUUCGAACUUGGUUGAUGUUACCACCUUGCUCAUCAUAUCUGCGGGAUUAUCUGCAGUCUUGAUCUUCUGAAGACAAAUUUUCCCCUCUUCAAUAAUUUCCCGCACAAAAUGGAAUCGUACGUCGAUAUGUUUUGUACGUGCAUGAUAGACUUGAUUCUUUGCUAAAUGAAUAGCACUUUGACUAUCACGAUACACGUUAAUAUGCUCCUGAACCAACCCCAAGGUUUUAGCCAUACCUUGUAACCAAAUAGCCUCCUUUACAGCCUCUGUUACAGCCAUGUACUCGGCUUCUGUGGUUGACAAUGCAACUGUAGACUGUAGUGUAGACUUCCAACUUAUUGGUCAUCCAGCAAGUGUAAACACAUAACCAGUGGUUGAUCUUCGAUUGUCCAAAUCACCGGCAUAGUCAGAAUCAACGUACCCAAUAACACCUUUACCAAGUGUAUUAUCCUGCUUGAACAGUAAUCCAACAUCCACGGUCUUCUGAAUAUACCGUAGAAUCCAUUUCACAGCUUGCCAAUGUCCUUUUCCAGGAUUAUGCAUAUACCUGCUCACUAUACUAACUGCCUGUGAAAUGUCAGGUCUUGUACACACCAUUGCAUACAUCAAGCUACCCACUGCAUUAGAAUACGGAACUUGCAACAUGUAUUCUCGUUCCGUAUUCGUCGAAGGAGAUAGUUGUGUAAAAAGCUUGAAAUGAGAAGCCAACGGGGUACUUACAGGUUUUGUCUGCUCGUUCAUGCCAAACUGCUGUAGUACCUUUUUCAAAUACUGCUUCUGAGACAAGCUAACUCUAUCAUGAGCUCUAUCUCUCCAUAUUUCCAUGCCGAGAAUCCUUUUAGCUUCUCCUAGAUCUUUCAUCUCAAACUCGAGAUUGAGUUGAGUCUUCAAUCUUUCAAUUUCAACUUUGCUCUUAGAUGCUAUUAGCAUAUCAUCAACAUAUAAGAGCAAGUAUAUGAAAGUUCCUUCUUGUAGCUUCUGAAAAUACACGCAAUGAUCAAAUUUACUUCUUGUGUACCUUUACCCUUUCAUAAACUGAUCAAAUCGCUUGUACCACUGCCUCGGAGAUUGCUUCAAUCCAUAAAGCGACUUUGUCAGUUUGCAAACCCAAUUUUCUUUUCCAGCAACCUUGAAUCCAUCUGGCUGAGUCAUAUAGAUUUCCUCUUCCAAAUCACCGUGUAAAAACGCGGUCUUCACAUCAAGCUGAACUAGUUCAAGAUCAUAUUGCGCAACCAAGGCUAGCAAAAUCUGAAUAGACGAAUGCUUCACAACUGGAGAAAACACUUCAUUGUAGUCUAUUCCUUCUUUCUGAGCGUAACCCUUUGUUACUAAUCUAGCCUUGUAUCGAAUUUCAUUUUUAUCAGGAAAUCCUUCCUUCUUUGCAUAUACCCAUUUGCAUCCAAUUGCCUUCUUUCCCUUGGGUAGUGUCACCAACUCCCAGGUCUUAUUUUUCUGAAGAGACUGCAUUUCUUCAUUCAUUGCUUGCUUCCACUUUACACCAUCAGGGUUACUUAUUACUUCUGUGUAAGUAGAAGGAACAUCAUCAUCUGUAUUUGGAAAUGCAUAGGCCACUAUAUCAUCAAAGCGAGCAGGCUUACGAAUCUCUCUUCUUGGCCUUCUAUAUGCAAUUGAAUCUUGUUGCUGUAGAGAUUCUUGGGUAGGAACCUCUUCAUCAUUUGUCCCUUCAAUAUUAGCUGGAUCAUCGUUAACCUUUUCAAGCUCCACAUGCUGCAAAGUACUAACGGUUUUGUCAUCCUUUUGUGAAUCCUUGUACUUCAACAUGGUUGAUUCAUCAAAAGUCACAUCUCUACUGAAAACAAUCUUCAUUGUAUCAGAACACCAGAGACGAUAUCCUUUUACUCCAUCAGUUAUACCCAAGAAUAAUGCUUUCUUUGCUCUUGGGUCUAACUUAGAUUCUUUUACAUGAUAAUAUGCAGUGGAACCAAAUACAUGCAAAGAAUCAUAAUCAGUAGCAGAUUUACCAGUCCACAUCUCUAUAGGAGUUUUUCCAUUUAUUGCAGCUGAUGGCAAACGGUUAAUUAGAUGGCACGCAUAUGUAACUGCCUCAGCCCAAAAUUCUUUGCCCAAUCCAGCAUUGGACAACAUACAUCGAACUUUCUCCAGUAUAGUUCGAUUCAUUCGUUCUGCCACCCCAUUUUGCUGUGGUGUAUCCCGAACAGUGAAGUGUCGCACAAUGCCCUCAUCUUGGCAUACUUGUAGAAAUGGAUCGUUUUUGUACUCAGUACCAUUAUCUGAUCGAAGUCGUUUGACCUUUCGACCAGUCUGAGUCUCCACCAUCUUCUUCCAUUUCAGAAAUGCAUCCAAAACUUCACUUUUUCUUUUCAUUAGAUACACCCAUACUUUUCUUGAAUAAUCAUCAACAAAAGUAACAAAAUAGUGCAUACCUCCCAAAGAAGCUACUUUGGUAGGUCCCCACACAUCACUGUGAACGUAGUCCAGAAUUCCUUUCGUAUUGUGAAUUGCUGGACCAAAUUUUACCCUCUUCUGCUUGCCCAGAACACAAUGUUCACAGAAUUCCAUUUUGCAAGAAUUUGCACUUUUCAAUAAGCCUUGCUUCACCAAUGUCUGCAAAGCUUUUUCACCAGCAUGUCCCAAUCGCAUAUGCCAUAAUCUGGUAGCCUCUGAAUCUACAUCUUUUGUAGAAACUGUUGAUGUUGAUCCAAUAACUGUACUUCCAUUUAAAAAAUACAAGUUAUUUCUUCUUGUGCCUUUCAUCACCGUCAGUUGCCCAGCUACUACUUUUAGUAAUCCAUCUCUCAAAGUGAUUGUGAGCCCUUUAGAUUCUAGGGCACCUAAUAAGAUGAGAUUUUUCUUCAGGCUAGGUACGUAGCAAACAUCUGUCAAGACUUGGAUUGAGCCGUCGUGAUUCUUCAAUUGGACUGUACCCACUCCCAUUGUCUUACAAGCACUAUCAUUGCCCAUAAGAACAAUUCCACCUUCUAGCUCUUUAAGACUAGAAAACCAGUCCUUAUUAGGACACAUAUGGUAAGUACAUCCUGAAUCCAAAAUCCACUCAUCCGUUUGACAUGCCAUUGCCAUGCCAACCAAGCUAAAGUCUGACUCCUCAUCAUGCUCCGCUACACAUGCAUUAGAAAUAGCCUUGCCCUUUUGUAGCUUAGGACAAUUCUUUUUCCAAUGCCCUUUUUCACGGCAAAAGGCACAUUUAUCUUUGGCGGGUCUCCCUUUGGACUUUCCUCUUCUACCAGAUUUGCUGCUGUGUGAACGACCUCUUACUGUUAAGACUUCUGCGGUUGUAUCUCUGUGAUCUCUUUUAUCUUUCUUUCGAGUCUCAGAUCUAUACAACGCACUACAGACUGCAUCAAAUGUGAUCGUGUCCUUCCCAUGAAGCAAUGUGGUGGUAAGAUGAUCAUAUUCAUCAGGAAGGGAAUUCAACAACAAUAAUGCAUUGUCUUCAUCUUCAAAUUUCUCAUCCAAAUUUAGCAAGUCUGCUAAAAUUUUAUUGAAUGAGUUCACAUGGUCAUUCAUCGACAUACCGGGUGCAUACGUGAAUCGAUAAAGUUUCUUUUUCAUAUAAAGCCUAUUUUCAAGACUUUUCGUUAGAAACUUUUCUUCCAGUGUAUCCCAUAACUUCUUCGCUGAUGUCUCCCUCAUGACAGAGUACUUCUGCUCUUUGGCCAAACAUAGGCGGAUUGUACCACACGCCUGUCUAUUGAUUUUGGCCCACUCCAUGUCAUCCAUCUUGUCAGGUUUUUCUUCAAAUGCUAUAUCUAGCUCUUGCUGACAUAAGACAUCCAGGAUCUCACAUUGCCACAUACCAAAAUUAUUGGUACCGUCAAAUUUCUCUACUUCAAAUUUUGCAUUUGUCACAGUAGUCCUUGCUGAUGACGAUGCUGCUGCCAUUUUUCUCCUCAAUCCCAACUACUGUAUACGUGAACAGUACUGUAUACGUGAAUAGUACCGUAUACGUGAAUAGUGCCGUAUACGUGAAUAGUACUGUAUAUGUAAAUAGUACCGUAUACGUGAAUAGUGCCGUAUACGUGAAUAGUACUGUAAACGGUCGUAUUCCCCAAGUACGAACCUGGCUCUGAUACCAAUUGUUGCGCGGAAGCGUGUGAAAGAGUAAAAUUAUUGUACUAAAAAAUCACACUAAGUUCAAUUCCCAAGAAAGAGAGGUGGAUCACGAGGAUCGCUUACAUACCAGAUCUUUCCUAGCCAGAAUAUCCCUAUAUCGUAAUUUAAUAGCACAAUAAAUCACUACAAUGACACUUGCAAAAUAUGCAGAACAAAAAAUAAAGAACACUAGAAUUUUAACGAGGUUCAGCAAAUUUUGCCUACGUCCUCGGGCACUACCAAAUAUAUUUCACUCCAAAAAAUACAAGUGAAAGUUUACAAAUAGGGAGAGAGAACAAUUGCCUUAAGUAGAGAAUGGCAAGUGUGGGAUGAAGAAAGUAAGAAAUGGUUAGGCCUAUUUAUAGUUGAGGUUCAAGGAUCAACUUGCAAUGUCCCUAUACAAUUAGGGACCAAAAUUGCAAUUAUCCCAUGCCAACUUUUAACCCAACUUGCCAACCAAUUUUACUUUCUACUUUCGGUGCCCACCCUUUUUGACUUUUCAAACAAUGAGUGGGUUCCAAUAGUAACAAAAGAGAAGGACAUUCGUACCUGGAGUGUCAUGAUAUGGGGUUGGGCAACCCAUGGGUUUUAUGGACAAGCUAUCCGAUGCUUCAAAAAGAUGAUGUUUUCAGGUGUGGACUUAGUAGUUUUCAUUGAGCUCAACCCUUUAUUCUAAUCUUUCUGAAUAAACUCAAGUUUGUCGUAUUUGCAGGAAUAAAACCCGAUGCGGUGGUCUUUCUUACCCUCCUGACUGCAUGCUCACAUUCUGGACAAGUAGAUCUUGGGCUUAACUUCUUUGAUAGCAUGAGGUUUGAUUACUCCAUUGAGCCAACCAUGAAGCAUUAUACGUUGGUCGUUGAUUUGUUAGGCAGGGCAGGCCGACUGGAUGAAGCAAUGAAGUUCAUACAAAGGAUGCCUAUAAGUCCUGAUUUUGUGGCAUGGGGAGCACUUUUUGUGCUUGCAGAGCUCACAAAAAUAUUAAAAUGGCAGAACUAGUGUCAGAAAAGCUCCUUCAGCUUGAACCUAAACAUCCUGGGAGCUAUGUUUUCUUGUCAAAUGUUUAUGCAGCAGUUGGUAGAUGGGAAGAUGUGGAGAGGGUAAGAAUGUUGAUGCAGAAUCAAGCUGUUGGCAAAGAUCCGGAGUGGAGUUAUAUUGAAGUCAAUGGACAAGUGCAUAGUUUUGUAGCUGGUGAUCAUGAUCAUAAGCGUGCAAGAGAAAUAUACUUGAAAUUAGAGGAAAUAGUGUCUGGUGCAAGAGAGCAAGGAUAUAUGCCUGAAACUGGGUGGGUUCUUCAUAAUAUUGAGGAAGAAGAGAAGGAAGAUGCAUUAGGAAGUCACAGUGAGAAAUUGGCGCUUGCCUUUGCCUUAAUGAACACUCCUCCGGGGACAACUAUUAGGAUAGUGAAGAACUUAAGAGUAUGUGGAGAUUGCCAUUCUUUGAUGAAAUGUGCUAGUAAGAUGAGCCAAAGAGAAAUCAUAUUGAGAGAUAUAAAGAGAUUCCACCAUUUCAAGUAUGGGGUCUGCUCAUGUGGAGAUUAUUGGUAAAAUGGUAAGUAACAGCAACAUUAAUUUGCUUUGCUGUUAAUAGCACAUGAUUAGUGCUUCUACUUGGUUUAUUUAGAAUAAUGCUUUUAGUUAAAACAUGGAUGUAGCUACAGCAACACAAGUUUUUUUGUUUGAUAAUUGGUAGCAAGUACAUUAAAUUUCUCCAAUGGACCUUUCUGCACAUAUAUAUUAAACUUGAAACUCAUUAGUUAAGUUUGUACUUUAUUUAGGUAUCUAAUUAACGUUGUUAGAUUUUUUCAAUUUCAACUUAUCAUCUUGUGCCACUUCUUUCUCUUCCCUUUAGUGAAAUUUAGCACUUUAAAAGAUGGGUUGCAUUUUGCUCCCUCUGUCAAAAAAAAUGGACAGAUUAAGCUAUACACGUUAGAUCAAAGAGCAAAUAGGUCUUUUUGUUUAAAAAUCCAUCAAUUUUUGUUGUUAAAAAUCAAUCCAUUUACAUCAACAUAAAAUAUAUAACUGUUUGGGUAUCUCAUCAUCCAUGUUAGUUUUUAGCAAUACAAAUGGAUAGAAUUUUUAACAAAAAAAACCAGUUUAUUGUUUGAUCUAACAUACAAUGACUAAUUUGUCAAUUUUUUAAGUAAAUAAAGCAUAAUGCUAAUUGACUCUUAGUAUAAUAUCUCUAUGGUACUUUUAUCAAUACUAUCUCUAUUUAUGAAAUUAAAAAUACUUAAAUAAUUAGAUUUAUUGUAUAUUGUGAUAAAAAAUUAUGUAAGAAAUGCAUUUAUUAAAAAUCCAUAUAAAAUCUAAAUGAUGAUUGUAAAGUUAAAUGUUCUGGUGCAAGAGAGCAAGGAUAUAUGCCUGAAACUGGGUGGGUUCUUCAUAAUAUUGAGGAAGAAGAGAAGGAAGAUGCAUUAGGAAGUCACAGUGAGAAAUUGGCGCUUGCCUUUGCCUUAAUGAACACUUCUCCGGGGACAACUAUCAGGAUAGUGAAGAACUUAAGAGUAUGUGGAGAUUGCCAUUCUUUGAUGAAAUGUGCUAGUAAGAUGAGCCAAAGGGAGAUCAUAUUGAGAGAUAUAAAGAGAUUCCACCAUUUUAGGUAUGGGGUCUGCUCAUGUGGAGAUUAUUGGUAAAAUGGUAAGUAACAACAACAUUAAUUUGCUUUGCUGUUAAUAACACAUGAUUAGUGUUUCUACUUGGUUUAUUUAGAAUAAUGCUUUUAGUUAAAACAUGGAUGUAGCUACAGCAACACAAGUUUUUUUGUUUGAAAAUUGGUAGCAAGUACAUUAAAUUUCUCCAAUGGACCUUUCUGCACAAAUGAUAUAUGUCCCCAUAAAGAACUUGGUGCUCACGGUAUUGCAUGACAGGUAGCCAUAGGUUAUUCGCUCUCUUGAUUGGUAUCUUACAUUCCUCAAGGUCCAAAAGUUGUUCCUUCUUUUUGUCUGAAGUCCAAACCUAAGAAAAGCAUUGAUGGGCCUUUAAAACUUUGCUCAUUUCACUACAUGAACUAUUGGAUGUUUUGUGUUCAAAUUAGUUUAUGCCAGUAGUGAAAGUACAUCUCUUUCUCCUUAUCCAGUUAUUCUUUUCAGUUGUCAUCAUCUUUCUGUGUCUUGCCUUCUGAAGUGUUUAGAUGACUGCAUUUCUCAAUAUAAUUUUCAUUUGACCUAAAUAGUUGAAAUUAAAGUCCCUUAUCAUGCCAUUCAUUACUUUGCUUCUAUAUGGUAGUUAUUCUUCAAUGUCCAUGAAUUGACAUAUAUCACUGGAAGCAUAAUCUUACUUCUAAGCAUGGGAUUGACCUUCUUUAAUGCAGGUUCUUCUGUAAGACUCAAACCAUAGAUGGGCAAGGCUUGAGAAAAUAAAGUUGUAAGUGUUGAACCAGGAAGGACGAUGUUGGCCAUGUUAUAAACAUUCCUCCAGAAUGACUAAACAUCGAGGAAAAGGUUCAACCAUGAGUGGUCCACUGAAACGUGCUUGGUCGAACACGUGCCAAUUAUCAGCUACGUAUCAAAUCCCACAAUUAUAAAUGUAGAUUGGGUUCCAUGCUCUGGUUAAUCCAUUAGAUGACACGGUCCAUUGAAAAGGUACUAAAUUACUGAUGUUUGGUCCAUAUAUGAAUCUGUUUAUUUAAUGGCCAGCAUUAAUUGUUAAUUCUCUUGUUUGCGGGUGACUUUUCCUCUAGCAUGCCUUAUGGAAAGAAGUGUCAGUGACAACCUUUUAAUCAACAGCAACUUACCCUACUAAUGAGCAUUUGGAGCAUUUCAUAGCUCGUUCAGUUUAUUCAAAGACUCAUUUUUACCUGCACAGCAUGUUCCCGCCCAGUAAUCAGUGGGCCAAUUAAUGAAGGAGAGGAUAGUUUGCUAGACACAUGUUUUUUGUGUGAGCUUUCUGGUCUUUUAUGUAGUUGUGGUGUUGACAAUUUUUGUUGUUCUUUACAUAAAUUCUUAUUGGCUAAGCGCUUGGUUUUCUUUUAUUGGAAAGUGCAUCACAACCUGUCGUUACUCAACAAUGGCCAAUUUUCUUGCAUAUCACAUCUUCAGGCAAUGUGAUUAUGUUGAAAAUUGGCCUACCAUGCUUGCUGUAAUACUUCCGGAUGAAGUACGUGCUAGCAAUUGUUCAUGCUGCAGCACGUAUGCUUGCUGUAACAGCAAGAUUUUUGUUUUAGUUUCACUGUAAUCAGCCUAGUUGGAAAUGAACAAGCUGAUGACAGCUUGAUAUGUUUAGGUGUUGAAUGACUAAUUUAGGUGGCUUGUUUCUGUGUACAAGCAAUGUUUUUAAAGUUAGUAGGCUACUUAGUGGUAGUAGGUAGUAAUAACUGAUGUAGUUGGCUAUAAAUGUAUUGUUUUUUUAUUGAAAAAUUAAGCAUAUCAGUGGUUAAAACAGAUUGCUUCCUUGCUGCACGUUUGUGAGCAAGUAAAUUAUUCUUGCAGCUUGCUUCAUUGUCUUGUUCUGUUCUCUGUUUUCUUCCUCUGCUGUCAAAAAACCCAACAGAUUAGCUAUCGUGAAGAUUUCAACAAAGUCGGUUCGUGUUGAUUCAAGGAAAAAAAGAUAUUACGAUUUGAUUUCCUCACCUAAUUGUUUUACUAUGCGAAGUUGGAUUGUGAGGAAUAUUUUGUUGAUUUCUGCAUUUUGAAUAAAGAGCUCUUAGGUUUGUGUGGCCGACGUUUAUAGUUUUAUCUUUCGAUUUUAUCUUUUUUUUUGUAUGAAAUUUAAAGUUUAAUCAAAACUAAUUGUUAUGUGUAUGUAAUAGCUAUUUGAAUUAAAUUAAAUUGACAAAUCAACGUACACUAGUGCAUACUAAAAAAAAUGUAAUAUAAAAUUAAACCAAAAUUGAAUCUAAAACUUAAAUAUUUUAAAACCUCAAACAUAUGGCAACUCUUCACUCCUCUUUCCCUCUGAAGUUAUUUUAAUUUAAAAUAUAUUUUGUAUAAUGUGUUAUAACAAUUCAACUAAACAAAGUGAUUCUCUUUGCAUAACAUAUUAUAUGCUUAUAUAAACUUUUACACAAUUUGUUAUAGAUACAUUUUUAAUAAUUGAAUGAUGACUCCAUUAAAAAUGCAAUAUCAUAAUAAUUCUACAUUUCUUGCAUUAAUAUAAAAUUUUCCUUUUUUUUUCCUCCAAGCCUUGUUUAUUAUCUUUUGUUUUGCCAAAUGGCAGUGCCAGCUUUCAGGCUAGCUAUCGCCCGCCUUUUUCUCCCUCCCAUUAAUCCUUUUUUUCUUUUUUCUUCUCAUUCACUCCACAUGUCUUCUUUCUUUUCAGUUUGUAGAUCUAUUUUAUGAGAAUCUUUAUUUUCUUCACAAGUUGUGAUAGACAGAUGACGACGCCUAUGUUCGUUAAAACUUCAUCGGCCACCAAUAAUUUUUCAGAAUAAUAAAUAAUUUCAUGAGUCGAUUUGGAUUCUUGUUAUCAUAAGUUUUAUAUAUUUUUUAGUUUGUUUUUCAUUGUUUAAUAGGUUUUUAGUUUUAGAAGUUUUUGUCUACUCUUGUAACACGUUUUUUAGUCUUGCUUAUGCAUGUAACCUUAGUUUUACAAGUGAUUUUAGAGAUGGUUUUGUUACCGUCUUCUCUAGUUUGGUGAAUGCUCAAUUCUUUUGUCCAUUUUUGCUCGUCACUUUGGACCAUUCGAGGCUGAUUUUCUUUAUCGCAUUAAGUGCUUGCGAUCACUCCAAAUAUAUCGUGCUUAAGUUGUGAUAAAGCCUGUACAAGCCCAAUUUUUAUGCCCGGGCCCAAUUGACCCAACAAAACCGAACGGCCCAACAGACUAAGGCCCAAACCCAACAAAGACUAGGGUUUCAGAACCCUAGCCCCUCCAUCAGCGCCGCAUGCUAGGGUCUCUGACUUCUGCCCCGUCGGCGCAAACGGCGCACCUACCCCGUCCGUGUCACGUCUCCUCCAUCGCCCUACACCUGCAAACAAUAAAGAGAGAAGCAGACAACACAAAACAGGGGAAAGAUUGAAUCUUUUUUUUUUGUUCUUUCGGUUAUAAAGCCGAACGUAUCAAAUAAGAAAAAGGGGGGAUUUUUUGCAAAAAAAGAAAAUCACAUCAGAAAUAAGAAAAGGAACAAAGGUUGCUGUGUUCUUCAUUUUAUUCUUUUUUGAUUCGUUUACUUUCAUUUAUUUUUAAACAAAUCCGUUAAAAAAUAUAUCAAUAAAAAGGAAAAGAAAAAAAGGAGCGCACCUGAAUCGCUCUCUGGCUCCGUCGACGGAGGUUCUCUCGCCGUUGUCGGCCCGGAUCUGAAGGAGGGAUUCAGAGCCCUUGUCUCGGCGCUCGUAGGGGUUCAAGGACCCGAUUUUCAAAUCGCCCGAAGGCCAGGCUUUUUAAAAACCCUUUGUUGCGCUUCGUUGGCCGCCGUUUCGGUGGCGGUGCGACGGACAGACGGACGAUGGUGAAAAGCCAAUCGUCGGAGGGCAUGAAGAGAGAGUGGGGGAAAGAGUUCUGAAUUUUUUUUUUUAAAAGAGGGAUGAAAUGAUUUUUUUAGGGGUUUUGAUUUAUAUAAGGAUCCAAAACGGCGCCGUUUUGGAAGGGUCAGAAAGCCCCUAAAACGACGCCGUUUUUGCAUAAGACCCGAGACCCAACCCGUCUGCCUUAGGGGAUCCGCGUGUUUUUUACGGAAGGGCUAAUUUCACGUUUAAUCCUUCCGCUUUUUAAUUAUUUUAAAAUUAGGUUCUUUUGAUCUUUUUAAUUUUACCCGGAAAUUGUUUUCGUUUUCAAUUUGAUCCUUACCCAAACUACGUCGUUUUAAAGAAAGGGCCAUUUCUUUGUUGGUCCCUCCAUGUUUUAUGCUUGUUUAGAGCAGUCCUUCCCUUUUCGUUUAUUUGCGUUUUGAACCCCCCGAAUUUUGUUUUAAUGUUUAAUCUAAUCCUUCUGCUAUUUUGUUUAUUUUCUUAACAAAUUUAUUAUUAUUAUUAUUAUUACAUAUUCAUUUAUAACAUCUAAUUUUAGAUUUAAUCAUAUAUAUAAAUAUACGUCCAUGAUAUAUACCUACUUUUUAUAUAUACUUUAUAAUUUAUAUAUACAUAUACACAUUUUAAUUUAUGUACAUAUCUACACAUAUUUUUCAUACUUUACUCAUAUAUAUAUACAUGUACUUAUACAUAUUCUUUAUAUCUUAAAAUCCAUAUUUUUCUUAUGUAUAUAUUUUAUAUUUUAUAUUUUAUAUAUAUGUGUUUAUAUAUUCUACGAUAUAUAUUUAUAUGCAUAAUAAAUACAUAUCUAUAUACGUUUCGAUUUUUAUAAACACAUAUAUAUGUAUGCAUACCUUUAUAUUUCUUAUAUUAAAUACAUAUAUAUAUAUUUAUAUAUCCCUUUAUACUUCUAAAAUCAUAUAUUUUGUAUAUAUUCUUUAUAUUUUAUGAUUCCUAUAUGUACCCACAUAUAUACUUUUUGUAUUGUAUGAUUGUUAUUUACGUAUAUGUACGUACAUACAUACUUACACCUAUUUUCAUGUAUAAUAGCCUUAUAAUAUGUGUACAUACAUGUAUUUUUCAUAUUUCCAUAUACAUACACAUAUAUCUUUUUAUUUUAUAUAAUCUUACUCAUUUUAUUUAUUUAUUUAUUUACAUGUCUAUUAUUAUUAUGCUCUAGUUUUUAUUUAUUUAUUUAUUAUUUGUUAUUGUGCUUGCUUGAUCCUUUUAUAUAUUAAUCUUAUUUUUUAUUUUUAUUUUGAUCAUGUCAUUUUACUUACAUUAUCAUCAUCAUUCCGUUACACUCAUUUUUUUGUUUAGAUUUCAAAAAAAAAAAGAAGAAAUUUUAAAAAUAAGUAACACUCGGUAUUUUGGAUCUUCGAGAGAAUCGAGUCCUAACGUAUUGGGUUCCGACUUUCUUCGUUGAAUUUAAAUAAUCGAGAUUACUCUUUUAAAAAUGAUAAAAAAGCUCGUUAUCGAGAAUUCAAUACGUUGUGUCCCAACGGAUUGGACGUAACACGGUGUUUUCUCGAGACGAGGAUUUUUCGAAAUAAACGUAAUAUUCAAUGUUUAAUCUUUUGAGAAAUUGUGCCCUAACGUAUUGGGUUGUGAUUUCUUCAUUUGAUUUAAACAAUUGAAUAUCCUUUUAAACUUUAUUACAUGGAUCUUUUCAAACUCAAGUUUUAAACAACCUCGGGAAUUAAAAGAGGAUCGUGUCCUAACUUACUGGUCGUAAUCCCUUUUUUAAUUCGAGAUCGUUAAAUAUCUUUUAAAUAAGCUUUUUUCAUUCGCGUAUUGGGAAUUCGACAUAUUGUGUCUUAACUUGCUAGAUAUGAUAUUCUGUCUCGAAUAACGUGAAAUAUGCCCCUUUUCCUGAAAAUUUUCAACGUUUUAAUACAAGGAUCGUAUUUUUAAAAUUCUUCUAAGUUAUCAAUUUUCGACACUAAGACAUUAACUAAUCAACUAGGUACCAAUUUUGGGCGUAUCGAGGGUGCUAAUCCUUCCUCGUGCGUAACCGACUCCCGAACCCGUUUUUCUGAAUUUCGUAGACCAGACUUGUUGUUUUAAUAAAAUUAAAUUGUUUAUUAAAAACAACCACUUUUCGAGGUGAUCCAAUCACCCCUCAUAAAAAAGGAUUGGUGGCGACUCCCGUUUUUUUAUUUUCGUCAAAACCCAAGUCGACCCCGUUUUUCAUCCAAAAAAAUGGUGUCAACAAAGCCAAUUGUCAACAUGUCAUAACGUUCUAUUUAUGCUAAGGCUAAAGCCUUCGUUGGGUUGUUGGAGCUUGUCAUUUACCAUCUACGACGAGUGCUUAUUUUUUUCCCUGAAUUGUAUGAUUCCAUUCAUUGAAUGAAUUAACGAAUUUACCUUUCAAAAGAAAAAAAAUUCAUAAAUUUUGAAAUACAAAAUGAAUGUGUUUUGAUAUUUUUAGGGCAAUGGUUUAGUGGUUUAAAUUUUUUUAUUUAAUAUGGUGAAUUUAAUUAUAAUUUUUUAUUUAUUAGAUAGUAGAAUAUCUCUUACCAUUUAUAAUUAAGUUUAGGUUAAAAUAUUUUAUUAAAUUUUUGGACUUUUCACAAAUUUUAAAUUUAAUCUGUUUACUUUUAUUCAAGAAUUUAAUCUCUCUGCAUAUAAAGGAGGUAAUUAUGGCAAGGGGAAUUACCAUGGCAGAGGUAGCGGAGGCUGAGGAAGAGAUGCUGGAUAUGCUGAAGAAAGAUAGAUGGCUGAGAAACAGAAAAACUUUAGGAACAAUAUUCAGUGUUAGAAGUAUGGGGAUGUGAAGGCAGAUUGUUGGAAAAGGGGAAAACAAGCAAAUUAUGCGGAAGAUGAUGAAGAGAUUUAAGUUAUUUAUGAGCUGUCUAGAUGACACCAUAGCUUCAACUAACAUUUGGCUUCAAGGGCGUAUAUCUCAUGAUGAAGAGAUUGUCUCUCUUCUUUUUUCUCAUAACAUAUUAUACGCCAUGAUAAUAAAUUUUGAUAUGCCUAUAAAUUUGAGUCUCUAUUAUUUGUAAUAUGACAUGUUUUAAUUAUUUUUUAUAUUAUGCCAUGAUUUGGUUCACUCCAUAAGUUAUAUAAAUUUAUUAUAAUAAUUCAAUUAAUUUAAUUUAGAUUAAUUUUACAUUUUUGUCCUAACUUUAGUUUUUAAUAAUUGAAUCAUCCCACCAUUAUAUUCAAUUACAAGUGUAAUACGAUUUUGCGUCAUCCCGCACCAUUAUUCUCAGUGUAAUUUUUGGUAGUGAGCAUUGAAGGGGAGAGAGAGAGAGAACAAAGAAAGAACUUACUGUAAUUUUUGGUGUAUGUAAUCGAUAACCCUCAAUGCUUAAAAUGAAAAAGAAAAUAGAAAACAAAGGUGGCAAAGUUAGUUACAAUGCCAGCUAAUUCGUUAUUGCUAUCCACAUGAAGAAUUUUAUAACCCCAACUACACGAUUUUAUGUCUACCAGCUCUCACUUUUCAUAUUUUUUGGCCAUUAGUUAUUCUAAGAUUUAACAUCACCGUUAAGCCAUGUUUAAACUCUUUUUCUUAUAUAAUAAUUAUAUUAUAUUUAAAAUUGAAAAAACUAACCAACCAAAUAUAUAUUAAUUAAUUAAUAGAAGUUUUUUGGUCAUCGAUUAAAAUAAAUCAAGAAAGACGUUGGAACCACCAACUUCUCUUUAAGAACAACACGAAUACAAGAAUCUAUGCACAACAAGUUCUAAAAUGUAUUAAGUAAAUUCAUCAUCAUGCCUUAAAAAAAGAAGAUCUCGAUAUAUCUGCUUUUGCCAAAGCAUCCGCCAUACCAUUACUUUGCCAGUGAAUAAUUGUGAACUGAAACUUAGCCAAUUGAGUGAUAUUAAUUAUAGAAAUGAUUCUUCUUGCAACCAUAGAUGAAACACCACUGAGACUAACAAACUUGGAGAAACUUGAUUUGAGUUUUAACAUCUUCAGGAACAACACAAUUUCGUUUCUUGAAGGACUUUCAAACUUAAAUUAGUCCUUGGAUAUGCAUAAUAACACUCUGCAAGGCUCAUUAAUAGAUAUUAAAGGUACUGAAGCUAUAACUUUUUUUUCUUGAUAAUUCUUUUUAAAAUAUUUCAUAAUUAAUUGUUCUGAAUUUGUACAUUCACUUCUCACAUUUCUGGGUUUUUUUUGUCCUCAACUAAAUUAAACUUAUGCAAAUUUCUUGAAUAUUUAAGUUAAGAGUUAACGUCAAAGUCAAGAGUUGAUAAGUAUUUUGUGGUCCAUUCAUAUCUUUAUUACAAAAAAAAAAUAUUCAAGAAAUUUGCAGCUAGUUGGAGUUUUGCAAUAAGGAAUUUCCACCAAGAGUUUUGGAGGAAUCAUAUCUCUAACAAAAGAAAGACCUUCAUUUGACUAAAUUUUUUAGUAUUUAUUUUAACUUCCAUUUUUAUUAAAAAAAAGGUAAAAAAAUAUGCCAAACAGGGUCUUUAGGUUACUUUUUUUAGAACUAUAUUAUGUUAUAGUACCAUAUAAGUUAGAGGAGCACAAGUUUAGAUUCAUCCAAUUUUUGAGGAAUUAAUUAAAUAUAUAUUAUUUUAAUAUUAUAGUGUAUAGGGGCAAAGUUAGAAAAAAAUUUUUGUGGAGUCGAAAUUAAAUUAUAGUUUUUACAAUAGUUAAAAAAAAUAAUUUCACUAUUUUAAAAGCAUAUAUGUUGUAAGCACUAAAUUUUUGUCCGACUAGAGUUUGUGUUUAAUUUUCAAAAUUUCAAAAAAAAAUUUUAAAAAUAAAAAUUGCAUUUUGACCCCUAAAUUUUUCCUAAAUUUCAUUUUGACCCUUAAACUUUCAUUAAAUUUCACUUAGACCCCUAAACUUUCAUUAAAUUUCAUUUUAAUCCUAAAUUUUCUAAAAAUUACAUUUAGCCCCAGAAGUUUUGCUGUAUUUGUGAUUUGGUCCUUCAGACACGUUACGUGAUUUGGGGCACCCACUUCCCAGAUUUUCAGGCCACAAUCACCCACUACCUGCAAACAAUGAGAAAGAGGACAAAAUUUGGAGCUUUUAAAAAGAAAAAAAGAGAAGAGGAAGAAAAAAAGGAGAGAAAAAAACAAGCAGAAUUUUUAGAGAAAAAUAAAAAAAGAAGCUCUCAAUCCGGCCGAUUGCCUCCACCGCCACCACGUCCGUUGCGCCACCACCAUUGUCAUCUCACCAUCGAGUCCUAAACGCAAACAAAACAAAAACAAAGAAAAAAGCAAGCAAAAGAGAAAAGGAGAAAGUGCAAAGAAGAAAAAGAAAAAGGAAAAGGGGAGAGAGCAUACCUCCGUGCACGCCAUUGUCGGCCGUCGCACCAGGCGGAGGGACAUCACCGGCGAGACAAAGGAGGUGCUGCUGAUCGGGGAGAAAGAAAGGAAGAAAAAGAAGAAGGAAAGAAGAAAAGGGGAAGAAGAAAGAAAGAAAAAAGAAAAAAAAACUAAAAAAAAUAGCAGGCCAUUUUGGUGGACCAGAUUCAGCCCAACAAGAAGCAGCCCAAACCAGUCCUUUGGCAGCCAAUAGCAACAGCCCAACAGCAAAAAAAAUAAUAAAAGGGGAGGCCCAAAAUUUAAGCCCAUAACUUUGGGCUUUUGGGUAAUUUUUUUUCUUUUUUUCUUUUUAAUCUAUUUUAUUUUAUUUUAUUUAUUUAAAUGGUGUUUUAUUUAAUUUAAAUUAGUAUGCUUUAAAACAGUUUUCAUAAAUAUUAUUAUGUCAUUUAAUUGCAUAUUUUUUUUAAAAAAUAAUAAUAUUUUAAUGCAUAAGGCAACGAACCGAUUUAGCAUCGAGUCAUCGAAUUCAUCGCUAUGUUGGAUGGAUAUCGAUAGCUCGUGUUAAAUUCGGGACACCCUUUUAAAAAUAAAAAUAUUCAAAAAUCCUCGUAUUUUAAUAAAAAUUCUCGUGUUUUAUUAGAAUCCCGAUUAAAUAUUAAAUUGAAUUGAGUUAACAUUAAUUCGAUGGUUUCAUCGCCAUAUCGGGAUGAAUAUCAUCGAUUCGUGUUAAAUACGGUAUUUUUUAAAGAAAAAUUGUGUUUCAAAAAUUUUCAUGUCUUCAAAAUUUCUCGUGUUUCGUAUUUUAUCAAAAAAUUUAUGUUUUCAAAAACAAAUUUUCUGUUUUAAAAAUUUUCGUGUUUCAAAAAGAAGAUUCGUGUUUUCAAAAAUAAAAAUAAAAAAUCUCGUGUUUUAAAUUCUUCGUGUUUUUUAAAAAAAAAUUUUGUGUUUCUAAAAUUCUUGUAUUUUAAAAUUUUCGUGUUUUCAAAAAAGAAAAAGUUGUUGCGCUUUAAAAUUCUCGUGUUCAAUCGGAUCACGACUAAUAUUAAAUUGAACUCGUAUUUUUGAAAAUGAAGACAAUGCGCGUUUAACGAGAUACCAAUUUUGGGCGUUGCGAGGGUGCUAAUACCUUCCUCGCGCGUAACCGACUCCCGGACCCUAAUUUUCUCUGGAUUUUUACGUGGACCUAAAAUUACCUCUUUUUUAGAAAAGUUUAAAAAUAAAUUUUUCUUCUAAAAAGAGAAUUUUAUAGGUGUCCGAUCACACCUAGAAAAAAUAUCGGUGGCGACUCCUUUUUCAAAUAAAAUCGAGAUUCAGUUUUCAAAUUUACAAUAAUUACUUCGACUAGCGCCCGUGCCGAAAUUUUUAGGUCGCUACAGCUGGCGACUCCGCUGGGGAACCUUUUUGAGAGUCGAGUCGAAUUAAACUCGCGUUGUCAAAAUUUUCAAAGUUUCUUGUUCAAAUUAACAUUUAGUCGUGAUCCUUAAAUUUUUUGUUUUCAAAAAAAUCAUGCAUUUGCAUCGUGUUGUAUAUAUUCUAACUUGUUUUAUCAGGUUGUUUUUCAGCUUUAAAUUUUUGCGGUUUUAGUUUUGGUUUAGUUUUUCUAAAUAAAACGUAAAGGUUUACAAGUUUCUCCCCACACACCGUGCACGUGCAUUUAUGUUGCAUAACAUGAGCUCUAUACCCGGGCUCUGUCCCUGUUAAGAGAAAGUAAAUGCUACGCCUUCGUGAGUUAACUCGUUCCUCCGCACAGGCUAGUGAAUACUUUCGGGUUACAUAUGACUUAUGCUUUCGUGAGUUAACUUGUCCCUCCGCAUAGGCAUAAGUAAAUGUAAUCCCUCGAAUUGAUCUCGUAAGCCUAUGAUGGGCCAUGACCGAGGCUCUGUACUAAUCUUAGUAGAUGACAGUGCAGACGAUUCGAGUACCCACCUAGAACCAAAACCGCAUAUAGUGAACCAUACGAGCUAUCCAAUUAGAGUCAUGCCGAACCUCUGUCCGCUUAUAGUCAUCAAAAUAAGUACACGGGGAAAAUGCCUUUUGCCUUUCAUUUACACUGUUUAUGCAAAAUAAUUGGAUUGGGUAGUUUAAUUUGUUUUUCAAAUUAUAUUUGUUGUGUUUACUAACCAAGUUUGUUUGUUUUUACUUUUAUUUUCAUCAUGCAUCAUAGGCAUCAUAUUAGGAAGGUGUUGAUUAAAAGUUGGUUGCCAAAAAACGGGUUUCUGAUGGAAGAGUCAAUUACACAAAUAACCGAGAAGAAUGCCGUGGUUCGGGACUGGUCUCUAAAAAUUCAGAGAGAAAAGAGGGAUAGUCUAGUGGAAGGGUGUGUCACUAAUUUGCCCGAACAUAUAACUGUAAAUGUUCGCCAAAAUAACUUUGAGGAUUUGGUUCAAAUUUGGAAUCAGUGGGAUUCAGACACUAGAGACAUUUUCACUCAGAGGUAUGGAGAUAUAGCUCACCUGAUCAUCAUCCAUGUAGACGAACAGUUGAUUCAAGCCAUGGUUCGGUUCUGGGACCCAGCUUAUCAGUGUUUCACCUUCAAUCAAGAAGACAUGACUCCAACCAUAGAAGAGUAUGCUGCUUUACUCCGCAUCGACAAUGUACAAUUCGGCAAAAUAUAUGUGAAGGAGCCUAAACCGAUGACCUUCAAGAAAAAGUUAGUGAGACUGACAGACAUGACUGAUGCAUGGGCCGAAAAACAGAUAAAGAAGAAGAAUGAAACCAUUUGCAUUCCAUGGUCCUCCCUACGAGAUUUGGCUCUGAACCAUCCCAACAUGCUGAAAAGGGUAAAUCUAUUCGCUUUGGCCAUUUACGGUUUGGUCAUUUUCCCAAAAGUUCUCGGACAUCUCGAAGUUGCAGUAGUUGAUUUCUUCGAAAGGUUAAAACAAGGAAUCAACCCUGUCCCGACCAUCCUAGCCGAGACCUUCAGGUCCCUGAGUAGUUGUCGAAAAAAAGGGGAGGGACGAUUUAUCAGAUGCGCGCAGUUGCUCAAUGUUUGGAUUUUGAGUCACUUCUGGAAGGUAGAGCGCACUCCGUUCCAUAUGUUUUCUAAAACAUUCUCCCCGCUAGAAGCUUACCUCAAUAAAGAAUGGCCGAAGGAAGUCACCGAGCAACAUUGGGUAUCAGUUUUUCAAAAUCUUCGCACCGAGAAUAUAACAUGGAGAGCACCCUGGAUCCGUCCUUCAGUUCUGCUAUACAAAUGUGGAAGCCAAGAUUGGGUACCUCUACUCGGGUUUUGGGGAGGAGUUGGAUAUGCUCCGCUAUUAGUCCAAAGGCAAUUUUCUUCGCGACAAUUCCUCCCCGCAACUGGAGGAUUAGCACAGUUCGAGUUCGCUUUUGCGGGUGAAGGAUAUAUGAAGAGAGUCCGAGACACUGCAAAGUAUUGGAAGGAAAUUCAUUUCAUGGAAUUAGCUUUGUAUGUUGAUACCCUUACCCAAGAUUACGACAUAUGGAGGAAGCAACGGGUAAAUAGUCAGCAAAUCUCAUCAACAAACUACACCAUCCAGAAUCCUUUCUCGGAGAAAACGCCGUCUGAGCUAGAAAUGGCAAGACAAGAAUUCGAACGAGAAAAGGCCAAGAUGUCUCGGGACCUUAGUGCCCUUCAAGAAGAAAACUAUCAACUGAAGAUUGAAGUUCAGGUUGAAAGGUCCAGGACUGAAAAGUACAAAAAGAAGCCGAGAUUGUGAGAAACGACUUAAGGGACCUUCAUUUGGAAAACAAGAAAUUAAGAAACACUAUAAAGAAUAGCGGGUUGGGUAAGUCGACAGCAGAAUGGAAGGAAGAAAUUAGCAAUAUCAAGGGAGGAAUGGAGUUUUGGAAGGGAAAAGUAAAGAAAGAGGAGGAAAAGGCUGCGCGCGCUGUGAUAGAGUUAAGAAGGAAGAACGACGAGUAUGAAAUAGUGACUGCAAAAUUUGCGAAUAGUCAGUCUGAAUAUCAAGAAUUAAAAAGGAAAGCACGAGAUCUAGAAAAUAUGCUGCAAUCUCGUCAACAACAAUUAGAUAACCUCCUGAAGGCUCUAGAGGAAAAGCAUGAUCAGUACGAUAGGGACAUUCAGGCGUAUGAAGGAACUCUCAAAGAAAAAGAAAUGCAACUCGACUUCUUGAUCAAUGAAAUUCGUAAAGCGGCUAUGCAAGUUGUUCAAUUAUCAGAUGAAGCCGAAGUUAUCAGUUGCCAAUUCCCUCCGAGCCAAAGAUCGAGCAUAUCAGAGUUUUUAGAGCAAGUGAAUAAACAAGGCAAUGUGGCUAGGAAAUUUGUGUAACUGUUGGAAAAAUGAGAACUUUGUGUAAUAGACUAUGUUGAUAAAUGAAAUGCCUAAAUAUGGGGCUAUCUUGAAAUCAACACCAAAUUCUUGCAUGUUUACUCAUAACUAACAUUUAUGCAUCAUUUAUUCUUUGGACAUUCAUCCAUUCAUAUACUCAUUCAUUCAUUCAUCACGAGUACAUAUCACCAUAAUCAUCCACCGAAACUAAAGAACCGUAUAAUCCGCAGUUGCAAGAUUUCAAAUCUGGAACCACGCAAUUCCUAUAAAACGCGCCGACAAGCUAGAGUAAUGGAGGAUGAAUUCAAUGAGAGAAUUGAAAGGAUGGAAAGGGCUCAAAAGGAAUUACAAGAGUAACUGGCCAAAUCGCAGCAAGAGACGAGAGACCUAAUGGUGAGAUCUCGAGAGGAAUCACUCGAGCAAAGAGAUCAGAUGGCUAAAAUGAUGGAGAUGAUGACAACUUUGGUCAAAGGAAAAGGACCCAUGCAGAACUCCGAUGUUAUGGAACCUCGGUCAAGAAUUCACCAUGAUCAGGAUCCACUUUAUCCCCCAGGAUUUACUCCACCUCAUGUCCACGCAAUACAACGAGGAUACCCCCAAAGGGAACCUACAGGCCUAGAACAACAUCUUGCUCCGCCCACUAAUUUGGGGCAAGGAAUGUUAGCGUCGAACCUUGGGGCUAGUCCUGCUAAUCCACUAGUUCCAGAUCUGGAUGACCUAGCAGAGGCAGCCAAGUUGAAAUUGGAUAACCAUGACGCAAAAUAUAGGAGUCUAGAGGAAAGACUCAAAGCAAUAGAAGGCACUGAAGUCUUCUCCGCACUAGGUGCCAAGGAACUCAGUUUGGUACCUGAUCUAAUUUUGCCUCCGAAGUUCAAAGUGCCUGAUUUUGAGAAAUAUGAUGGGACAAGGUGCCCAAAAGCACAUCUCAUUAUGUUCUGUCAAAAAAUAACCGGUUAUGUGAACGAGGAUAAGCUACUCAUACAUUGCUUUCAAGAUAGUCUAACAGGGUCAGCUCUUCGGUGGUACAAUCAACUUAGUAGAGAAAAGAUUCGAUCCUGGAAGGACUUGGCGUCAGCAUUUUGCGAACAGUACAAGCAUGUAUCGGAUAUGGUGCCAGACCGUAUGACCUUGCAAAUGAUGGAGAAAAAGCCAUCAGAGACCUUUAGACAGUAUGCGCAGAGAUGGAGAGACGUCUCAGCUCAAGUGGAACCCCCACUAACAAAAACGGAGAUAACCGUUCUCUUUAUCAAUACUUUAAAGGCACCGUUUUAUGACAAAUUAGUGGGAAGUGCCACGAAAGAUUUCGCGGAUAUUGUAAUAUCCGGUGAACUCAUAGAGAACGCCGUCAAGAGCGGUAGAAUGGAAGGAUCAGAAGGCUCAAGAAAAGCAGCACCCUUAAGGAAGAAAGAGCCAGAAGCCCUCAUGGUGGGAACUGGGAGUCGUUACAUUCCCAAUUCAUAUCCUAAUCAACCCCGACCUCGAGAUUAUCCACCCUCGAGUUUCCAUUAUCCCCCUCAAACCCCUUGCUACCAAGCACCACAUCCGUCCUGCCCCGUAUACGCUACGAACAACCAAAGACCCGUCACCACUUUCCCACAAAACACGGUACCCACCCAAAGCCAACCCAGAAACGAACCAAGACCAUCAAGGCAUAAUCCUGAGAGACCGCAAUUUACCCCCAUCCCUGUGUCGUAUGGGGAAUUGUACCCAAAACUUUUAGAAAAAUAGCUAAUUUCUCCCCAUUACAUGGCACCCCUUAAACCUCCAUACCCAAAGUGGUACGAUCCAAACGCUAGUUGUGCAUACCACGCAGGGAACCAAGGGCACUCUACUGAGAACUGUCUCACUUUCAAAAGGAGAGUUCAAGGACUCAUUGAUGCGGGUAUCCUACGAUUCGAUAGUGCUAGUAAAGCCACGGAGAACCCGUUCCCUAACCAUACCGAAGGGAAUGUGAGCACAGUGGGGAAAGAGGAUGAAUGGAAGGUCAGAAGAUGUGUAUCAGAAAUAAGGACGCCUCUGCAGAAAAUCUGGGAGGUAUUGGUUAAGAAAGGAUUGCUCUGUCACUCUGAUAGAAUUUUUGGAGAAGAAGGUCAAAGUUUUUGCAAUUUUCAUGGGAUUGUUGGGCACGACAUUCAGUCGUGCGAGGACUUUAAAAGGUUACUUCAAGACUGGAUGAAUAAUAAAGAGAUCAAGGUCCUUAACAAGAGUGAAGAUGCCAACGAAAGAGAAGUAUGUGUCUCUGAUAGCCAAUCACCAGGUCCCCCUUAUAGUGCUGAUCGACCGUUGGUAAUUUAUUACGACGCGAUGAGAGAGCCCUUGAAACCACAGAUGGUAAUUGAAGUACCAUCUCCUUUCCCGUAUAAGGACAACAAAACAGUACCGUGGAGAUAUGAUGUUAAUAUCGUUACACCGGAAGUUGAAAAGUCCAAAGCCAUAAUUGAAGAUGUUGGGGAGGUAGGUCAUUUUACUCGAAGUGGACGAUGUUAUUCUAAAGAAGUUGAAUCGGUAAAGAAAAGUAGCGACUCGAAGCAAAAAGGAAAAGCAGUGAUGCACAAGGUCGAAGUCGAGCAAGAAAUUCCACCCGUGCAAGAAACUAAAAAGCUUGUGAAUGAGGAAGAAGCUCAAGAAUUCUUGAAAUUUAUUAAGCACAGUGAAUAUAGUGUGGUGGAACAAUUGAGCAAGCAGCCAGCACGAAUCUCAGUUCUAUCUCUACUGUUAAAUUCAGAGCCACACCAGAACGCUUUAUUGAAGGUGUUAAAUCAAGCUUACGUGGCCAACAACAUAUCUGUCGAAAAGCUUGAUAGGUGGGUAAACAAUCUGAAUGCGGACAACUUCAUCUCUUUUAGUGAUGAUGAGAUACCGCUAAAUGGUAGAGGUUCGGUGAAAGCGCUGCAUAUCACGACCCGCUGCAAGGGCUACAUAAUACCGAACGUACUCAUCGAUAAUGGGUCAGCGUUAAAUGUUAUGCCAUUGGCUACACUUUCCAAAAUACCGAUGGAUUUGUCCUACUUAAAGCCCUGUCAUUCCAUGGUAAGGGCAUUCGACGGGACGAAGUGCAAAGUCAUGGGAAAGAUCGAAAUCCCUUUGGAAGUGGGCCCCUACAUCUAUGAGGUCGAAUUUCAAGUUAUGGACAUUACACCCUCUUAUAACUGCCUUUUGGGAAGACCUUGGAUUCAUUCUGCAGCAGCAGUCCCAUCAUCCCUCCAUCAAAAAGUGAAAUUCAUCAUGGAUGGCUGUUUGGUCACAGUCGAGGGCGAAGAAGACAUUAUCGCAUCUAUCUCUGUUGAUGCGCCAUACCUGGAAGUAAGCAAGGACGUAGUGGAAUGUUCCUUUCGAUCCCUUGAAUUCAUCAAUGCCACUUUCGUCGCUGAGGGAAAUAGAAUUUCGAUGUCAAAACUGUCGAGAAAUACCAGAAUGGGUGUCAAGUUGACCGUAGGAAGGGGAGCUUGUGCGAGAAGAGGUUUAGGGAGACAUAUGCAAGGAAUAGUGAGGGCUUUAAAGCCAGUGCACCACAAGGCCUGAUACGGUUUGGGGUUCCAGCCUGACAUGCGCCAAAGAAGAAGACAGUGGAAGAAGGAUCAAGAAAGAAGAAUUGCAAGAACUUUGGGCCGAGAACCAGAAUGGGAACCAAUAGAGUACCCUCCUUUGUCAAAAACAUUUACAUCUGCGGGAAUGAUGUACCCUGGACAAGAGGAUCCACGAAACAUGCUGGGAUUAAUUGAAAAGGAUUUUCAGAAUGUUAGUAUAAAUGUCAUUGACAAAGAAGCUGGUGCAAGUAAAGAUGUCUCGAGGAUACGCCAUUGCCCUCCUGGUUUCAUGUUGAACAAUUGGAUAGCUGAGGAGCUUCUUGUAGUUUAUAAGCCUUCAGAGUAAUGCUAAACAUCAACCUUCUAUUGUGUCCUUAGAUAUAAUAGAGUUCUUUUGUAAGAGUUUGCAUUCGCUCUUUAUCAUUUAAAUGAAUAUCAAUGAAGAUGCAUUUUGUCACGAUUUUUCGCAUUAUCACUAAUUUCAUAAUCAUUUUCUCAUUUCAUAGCCUAUCCUUACAUUUGCCUCAUUGCCAUGACAUAAAAUUUUGUUUGUUGUUUCCAAUACUUGGAUGUCCCCCGAUAGCUUCCUUUUCCAUUCAACUUUCAGGUGCUCAGAUAUUGACGACAUGAAUAAGCCCGUUACGAAUCUUGAAAUUGAUUUUGAGAAGGCUGUUUGCUUAGGAGAAUUUGAAGCCGAAGAAAAUGCUGAAGAUUAUGUCUCGUCUCUUGAAUUGUUAAGAAUGGUGGAACAAGAGGAUAAACAGGUUCUGCCUCAUGAAGAAUCUGUAGAAACAAUAAAUUUGGGCACUGAAGAGAGGAAACAAGAAGUGAAGAUUGGGACUUCUAUUUCAGAAAGUACCAGACGUAGUUUGAUCACUUUACUCCGCGAAUACAAAGAUGUUUUCGCGUGGUCAUACCAGGACAUGCCAGGGCUAGAUGAAGAUUUAGUGGUCCAUAAGCUCCCAUUAAAGCCAGAAUGCAAGCCCAUCCAGCAAAAAUUAAGACGGAUGAGGCCCGAAAUCCUGUUGAAAAUAAAAGAGGAAGUCAAGAAGCAAUUUGACGCUGGCUUCCUACAAGCCUCCAAAUAUCCAGAAUGGGUGGCUAACAUAGUCCCGGUACCAAAGAAAGAUGGAAAAGUACGAAUGUGCGUGGAUUACCGUGACCUGAAUCGAGCAAGCCCAAAAGAUAAUUUUCCCUUGCCACAUAUUGACACGUUGGUGGACAACACAGCAAAACAUUCAUUGUUUUCUUUCAUGGAUGGAUUCUCGGGGUAUAAUCAGAUCAAGAUGGCUCCUGAGGAUAUGGAGAAAACUACCUUCAUAACAAUGUGGGGAACGUUCUGCUACAAGGUGAUGCCAUUCGGGUUAAAGAAUGCUGGGGCAACAUAUCAGAGGGCUAUGGUGACAUUAUUCCAUGACAUGAUGCAUAAGGAAAUAGAGGUCUACGUCGAUGAUAUGAUUGCUAAAUCUCGAGGAGAAGAAGAGCAUGUAAUGAACCUCAAGAAGUUGUUCGAAAGGCUGAGAAAGUUUCAGCUAAAGCUUAAUCCAGCCAAAUGUACAUUCGGGGCUACCUCGGGAAAGUUGCUAGGCUUCAUUGUCAGUGAAAGAGGUAUCGAAGUUGAUCCAGAUAAAAUAAAAGGCAUCCAAGAAUUACCACAUCCGCCACGCAAAAGGAAGUUAGAGGAUUUUUAGGGAGAUUAAAUUACAUCGCCCGAUUUAUCGCUCAACUUACCAACCAAUGCGACCCAAUCUUUCGGCUUCUUCGAAAACAUAGCCCGGGAGAAUGGAACGAGGAAUGCCAAGUGACCUUUGAUAAGAUAAAACAAUAUUUGUCCAGUCCUCCAGUGCUAGUACCGCCAACUCCGGGAAGACCAUUAAUUUUGUAUCUGACAGUGUUCGAAAGUUCAAUGGGUUACGUACUGGGACAACAUGACGAGUCAGGAAAGAAAGAAAAGGCGAUCUACUACCUCAGCAAAAAGUUCACUGAAUAUGAGGCAAAAUAUUCGUCCGUUGAGAAAUAUUGUUGCGCUCUGGUUUGGGUAGCUCGGAGACUCAAACAAUAUAUGUUGUAUCACACGACAUGGCUAAUUUCAAAGCUGGACCCAAUAAAAUACAUGAUGGAAUCGCCGGCACUAUCAGGAAGAAUGGCACGAUGGUAGCUCCUCCUUUCGAAAUAUGACAUUGCCUAUGUAAGUCAGAAGUCAAUAAAAGGGAGCGCAAUAGCUGACUUCUUAACAACUCGAACGACAGAGGAAUAUGAGCCUUUAAGAUUCGAUUUCCCAGACGAAGACUUAAUGUGCAUCACAGAAAUAGAAUCCGAGUCAUCAAAAGAGAAGUCAUGGAAGAUGUUCUUUGAUGGUGCGUCAAAUGCUUUAGGGCAUGGAAUUGGAGCAAUCCUGGUAUCACCAGACGGGAAUCAUUAUCCGUUCACUGCAAGACUGAACUUCUUCUGUACCAAUAAUAUCGCAGAAUAUGAGGCCUGUAUCAUGGGGUUUCGUGCAGCUAUCGAACGAAACAUCGAGAUCUUAGAGGUGUACGGGGACUCAGCCCUAGUGAUUUACCAAAUCCGUGGAGAAUGGGAAGUGAGGGACUCAAAAUUGAUUAAGUACAGCGAUUUAGUGGCUGGAUUGAUCAAGGAAUUCAAAGAAAUAACUUUUCAUUACUUCCCACGAGAAGAGAACCAACUGGCUGAUGCCCUAGCCACUUUGGCUUCAAUGUUCAAAGCAAGUAGAGAAGCAGAAAUAAUGCCCCUCAAAAUGAGCAUAUACGAGGUCCCUGCACACUGUUGUAGCAUUAAGAAAGAAGUAGACGGACGGCCUUGGUUUCAUGAUAUCUUAGAAUAUAUCAAGAAUCAAAGGUAUCCCGAACAAGUAAAUGAGAACGAUAAAAGAACAAUUAGAAGAAUGGCAGCGGGAUUUGUUCUUGAUGGGGAUAUCCUGUAUAAAAGAGGAAAGGAUCAGAUGCUUUUGAGAUGUGUGGAUGAUGUUGAAGCCAGAAAAAUACUUGAAGAGGUCCAUGAGGGAGUUUGCGGAACGCAUGCCAAUGGUUUCAAUAUGGCCAGAAAGAUCAUGAGACUCGGUUAUUAUUGGCUGACAAUGGAAAGUGACUGCAUCAAUUUUGCCAGAAAAUGCCACAAAUGUCAAAUCUACGGCGAUAAAAUUCAUGUAGCCCCUUCACCCCUUCAUGUCAUGACUUCUCCGUGGCCUUUUUCUAUGUGGGGCAUGGAUGUCAUAGGGCCAAUUUCUCCAAAAGCUUCAAAUGGACAUCGAUUCAUUUUUGUGGUUAUCGAUUACUUCACAAAAUGGAUUGAAGCCGCUUCAUUUGCCAAUGUGACGAAGACUGCAGUGUGCAAGUUUUUGAAAAAGGAAAUCAUUUACCGAUAUGGUUUGCCUGAAAGAAUCAUCUCAGAUAAUGCCACGAAUCUGAACAAUAAGAUGAUGAAAGAAGUGUGUGAGCAGUUUCAAAUAAAGCAUCAUAAUUCCUCGCCCUAUCGCCCAAAGAUGAACGGGGCUGUUGAAGCAGCUAACAAGAACAUUAAGAGGAUCAUUGGGAAAAUGACUGAGACAUAUAAAGAUUGGCACGAGAAACUUCCAUUUGCUUUGUUUGCAUAUCGUACAUCUGUGCGAACAUCUACGGGAGCAACUCCUUUCUCUCUAGUCUAUGGAAUGGAAGCUGUGCUACCUAUCGAGGUUGAGAUCCCCUCUCUGUGAGUAUUGAUGGAAUCAAAGUUAGAAGAAGCAGAAUGGGUUCGAGCUCGAUAUGAUCAGUUGAACCUCAUUGAAGAAAAACGUCUAAGGGCAAUUUGUCAUGGGCAAAUGUACCAAAAGAGAAUGAUCGCAGCCCAUGACAAGAAGGUACGACAAAGAGAGUUCCAUGAAGGAGAACUCGUUCUGAGAAAGAUUCUCCCAAUACAAAAAGACCUGCGAGGAAAAUGGGCACCAAAUUGGGAAGGACCAUACGUUGUAAAAAAGGCAUUCUCGGGAGGAGCUUUAAUCCUUACCAAGAUGGAUGGGAAGGAGUUACCGAAUCUGGUGAAUUCGGAUGCGGUGAAGAAAUAUUAUGCUUAAGAUGAAAACCCGAAAAGGGCAUCUUAAAAAAAAAGGGUGAAAACCCGAAAAAGGUGUCUUGAUUAGUACAAAAAGAUUAGGAUGAAAACCCGAGAGGGCGUCCUAAUGAAACAAACCUGGCGGUCAAACGAUAGGUCAAGUAGUGAGACUACAGUAUUUGAAGCACUUCUGAAAGCUCGAAAUUUUCUACGCAAGAAGCCAUGCUCGAAAAGAUAAUUGAUUGAGGAACGUAGAAGAGUUCAUGUGUUGAAUAUCUAGAGCAUUAGUAUCCGUUGAAUACGACCUUUUCUUUCUUUUUGACAUUUUUACUCUCAUUGGUUAACUUUCUUUGUUUGCCACACUUGAAAUAAAGGAAUAUGAGAUAUCCUUUGUGUCCCUACCUGACCAUUUUCAUGCAUCUCAUUAUGUGUUUAUUUAAUGAUAAAUAGUGAAAUGACAUACUCUAAACAAAAGAAAUGUCAAGCAUUACCCGGAUAAGAAUUUGAUAAGUGCAAGAUCUUCAAAGCAAGAACAAAGUUUAACCAAGGGCAAAAGGGUGAUAUCUGAGAAACGUCGAUUACUCGUAAAGCUCGAAGACAGGUAUGAGGCCUGAAGAGAAGGUCGAGAAUCAAAGCAAUGAACGCAGAUCCUCAAAAAUCAUGGCAAAAAUGACAUACGACCAAUAUGCUUAAGGAGCACUGCAUAAUCAUGUAGGCAUAAAGGCAUUUAAGACAAACAUGUGCAUAUCAUGAUGACUUCAUGCAUGGCAUAUACAGGUAAUCCAGUAAAGCAAGAAAUCUUGAAUCGCACAGAAUCAAAGGAAAAGAUACCCGAGUUCUACCAAAGGACUGGUUUUGGUAUUUUGAUGUUUAAUAUUCAUGCUUUCCAAGGAAAAUCAACUCAUAUUGCGAGAAAUGAGUUGAGCCUCAAGACACGUUGAGCUAUUUUUAAUUUUUUUAAAAAUCAACUCAUAUUGCGAGAAGUGAGUUGAGCCUCGGGGCACGCCGAGGUAUUUUUAGUUUAUGUUUUAAAUUGACUCAUAUUGCGAGAGGUGAGUUAAGCCUUUUAAUUUUUGUUUCUCAAAAUUCAACUCAUAUUGCGAGAAAUGAGUUGAGCCUCAAGACACGUUGAGGUAAUUUCAAUUUUUGUUUUCAAAAUUCAACUCAUAUUGCGAGAAAUGAGUUGAGCCUCAAGACACGUUGAGGUAAUUUCAAUUUUUGUUUUCAAAAUUCAACUCAUAUUGCGAGAAAUGAGUUGAGCCUCAAGACACAUUGAGGUAUUUUCAAUUUUUGCUUUUCAAAAUUCAACUCAUAUUGCGAGAAAUGAGUUGAGCCUUAAGACACGUUGAGGUAAUUUCAAUUUUUGUUUUCAAAAUUCAACUCAUAUUGCGAGAAAUGAGUUGAGCCUCAAGACACGUUGAGGUAAUUUCAAUUUUUGUUUUCAAAAUUCAACUCAUAUUCCGAGAAAUGAGUUGAGCCUCAAGACACGUUGAGGUAAUUUCAAUUUUUGUUUUCAAAAUUCAACUCAUAUUGCGAGAAAUGAGUUGAGCCUCAAGACACAUUGAGGUAUUUUCAAUUUUUGCUUUUCAAAAUUCAACUCAUAUUGCGAGAAAUGAGUUGAGCCUCAAGACACGUUAAGGUAAUUUCAAUUUCUGUUUUUAAAAUUCAACUCAUAUUGCGAGAAAUGAGUUGAGCCUCAAGACACGUUGAGGUAAUUUUCAAUUUCUGCUUCUCAAAAUUCAACUCAUAUUGCGAGAAAUGAGUUGAGCCUCAAGACACGUUGAGGUAAUUUCAAUUUUUGUUUUCAAAAUUCAACUCAUAUUGCGAGAAAUGAGUUGAGCCUCAAGACACGUUGAGGUAAUUUCAAUUUUUGUUUUCAAAAUUCAACUCAUAUUGCGAGAAAUGAGUUGAGCCUCAAGACACGUUGAGGUAAUUUCAAUUUUUGUUUUCAAAAUUCAACUCAUAUUGCGAGAAAUGAGUUGAGCCUCAAGACACAUUGAGGUAUUUCCAAUUUUUGCUUUUCAAAAUUCAACUCAUAUUGCGAGAAAUGAGUUGAGCCUCAAGACACGUUGAGGUAAUUUCAAUUUCUGUUUUCAAAAUUCAACUCAUAUUGCGAGAAAUGAGUUGAGCCUCAAGACACGUUGAGGUAUUUUCAAUUUCUGCUUCUCAAAAUUCAAUUCAUAUUGCGAGAAAUGAGUUGAGCUUCAAGACACGCUGAGGUAAUUUCAAUUUCUGUUGUUAAAAAAAAAUCAACUCAUAUUGCGAGAAAUUAGUUGAGCCUCAGGACAUGCUGAGGUAAUUUCAAUUUCUGUUUUCAAAAUUCAACUCAUAUUGCGAGAAAUGAGUUGAGCCUCAAGACACGUUGAGGUAUUUUCAAUUUCUGCUUUUCAAAAUUCAACUCAUAUUGUGAGAAAUGAGUUGAGCCUCAAGACACGUUGAGGUAUUUUCAAUUUCUGUUUUUCAAAAAUCAACUCAUAUUGCGAGAGGUGAGUUGAGACUUUUAAUUUCUAUUUUUCUAAAACCAACUCAUAUUGCGAGAGGUGAGUUGAGCCUUUUUCUGUUUUUCAAAAAUCAACUCAUAUUGCGAGAGGUGAGUUGAGCCUUUUAAUUUCUGAUUUUCAAAAAUCAACUCAUAUUGCGAGAGGUGAGUUGAGCCUUUUAAUUUCUGUUUUUCAAAAAUUAACUCAUAUUGCGAGAGGUGAGUUGAGCCUUUUAAUUUCUAUUUUUCAAAAACCAACUCAUAUUGCGAGAGGUGAGUUGAGCCUUUUUCUAUUUUUCAAAAAUCAACUCAUAUUGCGAGAGGUAAGUUGUGCCUUUUGCAAAUUCUGUUUUCAAAAAUCAACUCAUAUUGCGAGAAGUGAGUUGAGCCUUGGCUCACGUGCUGAGCUAUUUUCAAUUUCUAUUUUUAAUGUCUAGUUUUAANNNNNNNNNNNNNNNNNNNNNNNNNNNNNNNNNNNNNNNNNNNNNNNNNNNNNNNNNNNNNNNNNNNNNNNNNNNNNNNNNNNNNNNNNNNNNNNNNNNNNNNNNNNNNNNNNNNNNNNNNNNNNNNNNNNNNNNNNNNNNNNNNNNNNNNNNNNNNNNNNNNNNNNNNNNNNNNNNNNNNNNNNNNNNNNNNNNNNNNNNNNNNNNNNNNNNNNNNNNNNNNNNNNNNNNNNNNNNNNNNNNNNNNNNNNNNNNNNNNNNNNNNNNNNNNNNNNNNNNNNNNNNNNNNNNNNNNNNNNNNNNNNNNNNNNNNNNNNNNNNNNNNNNNNNNNNNNNNNNNNNNNNNNNNNNNNNNNNNNNNNNNNNNNNNNNNNNNNNNNNNNNNNNNNNNNNNNNNNNNNNNNNNNNNNNNNNNNNNNNNNNNNNNNNNNNNNNNNNNNNNNNNNNNNNNNNNNNNNNNNNNNNNNNNNNNNNNNNNNNNNNNNNNNNNNNNNNNNNNNUAGAUAAUGUGAAUGUAUUUAGAGGUGCUUAUAUAGUAUUCAAAACUAUCAUAUAAAUUCAAUUUUCAACCAUAUAUAAUUGACAUUAUGGGAGUUGGAAAAUGAUAGGGGGCACUAUAGCAAAUGUUAUAGUUGUAUAAAAUUAGGACUUUGUGAUGGAAUAGUUUAGGGCAUAUUGUUUGAAUAUUCCAUAAACAUUAAAAAAAAAACCAAAUUUGUAAUGGAAUAUAAGAUUGGGUUUUCUUUUAUUAUCAAUUUAAAGCCAUGAGAAUCUUUAUUAUUUAAAAAUUAAUGUAAUUGUUAAAUUGAAAUUGCAGGGGAAUUUCAAAUAGGAGAAAAUAUAAAAGAAAUGGAUCCAAAAACAGUGGGAAGUAGUGUUGUAAAAUAUGGGAGGUGGAGAUUUGGAAUGACAAAGAAAGCAAUGGGGCAUUCAUUAGUUUAUAGCCAACUUUAUCCAUUUAAAGGCCUCCAAAAUUAUACCUCUGGAAUUAUUCACCAUGUUCGCCUCACUGGUAUUUCUCACCAUUUCUUCCCUUAUUUAUCUUCUGCAAAUUUGUUUUCUUACCAUUUCUUUCGCAUUAAUACUAACUUUUUUAAUUUACAAUAUGGUAGCCAAUACUGUUUCGGUAUUAGUAAUAUUAGUCGAUACAUAUCACUUUUAAGGGUGAGUUUAAAGGGAUAGGAACAAUUCCGUGUGUUGACUUAAUAGUCAGGGUGUUCACCGUUCUAGGUAUGGUUUGAGUUCAAGUUAAGUUGUGCUAGUCACGUUACUGUUAGGGUUUUGCCCUUCUCUUGUAAUUCAGCAAAAAGAAAUUAAUAUAUGGUGAAAUUGCACUUUAACUCCUCCAAAAAUGAAAAUAUUUAUAUUUAAUUCCUUCAACAAUAAUGAAAUCGUAAGUUAAUGCAAGAUAAAUGACACUUUAACUUAACAAUCUCCGCUCCCCUUAAAAAAAAAAUCCUAACUUCACCCUUAAUCAUCUUGAUUUUAGAUUGGUACCAAGUAGAUUAAAUUUUGUUCUUAUUAAAACAUUGGUGUGUUUCCUUCUGUUUCAGCUAAUACCAACUUAUACCGAUAUGUACCAAACAAUAUUGGUAGGACUGAGAAAGAAAUCAAAAAAUUGAACUAAUUUUUAUUUAUAAUUUUAUUUAUAAUUUAAAAAUAAAAAUAUAUUUAAACAGUGACAAUAACUCAAAUUUUAUAUAAAAACUAUUUAAAAAUAUUAUCAUAUAAGAGUUAUUAAUUUAUUUGAAAAUUAGUUUCUUUUAAAAAUAUUUAUGAAUAUUUUUAAAAAUUUUACAAAAUAAUAUCCAAAAUUCAUAGAAUAAUUUAUCAAGAUAAGUUCAAACACCCAAAAUUAAUAGAUCUUGAACCAAAUAAAUCCAACUAAAAUAAACCCAAAAUUAAUAGACCGAGAAUCAAAUUAUCAUAGAAGAUAUACCAUACACACUAAUACCCAUAAUUACCCAAUAAUUCUUCUCACACUUUGCAGGUUUAAAACCCAACACCUUCUAUUACUAUCAAUGUGGAGACCCUUCAAUCCCAGCAAUGAGCGAUGUUCAUUAUUCACCAUGUUCGCCUCACUGGUAUUUCUCACCAUUUCUUCUCUUAUUUAUCUUCUGCUAAUUUGUUUUCUUACCAUUUCUUUCGCAUUAAUACUAACUUUUUUAAUUUACAAUAUGCUAGUCAAUACUGUUUCGGUAUUAGUAAUAUUAGUCGAUACAUAUCACUUUUAAGGGUGAAUUUAAAGGGAUAGGAAUAAUUUCGUGCGUUGGCUUGAUAGUUAGGGUGUUCACCGUCCUAGGUGUGGUUUGAGUUCAAGUUGUGCUAUUGUAAUUCACCAAAAAGAAGUUAAUAUAUAGUGAAAUUGCACUUUAACUCCUCCAAAAAUGAAAAUAUGUAUAUUUAGUUUUCUUCAACAAUAAUGAAAUCGUAAGUUAAUGCAAGAUAAAGGACACUUUAACUUAACAAGCUACGCUCCCCUUAAAAAAAAUCCUAACUUCACCCUUAACCAUCUUGAUUUUAGAUUGGUACCAAGUAGAUUAAGUUUUGUUCUUAUUAAAACAUCAGUGUGUUUCCUUCUGUUUCAACUAAUACCAAUUUAUACUGAUAUGUACCGAAUAAUAUUGGUAGGACUGAGAAAGAAAUCAAGAAAUUGAACUAAUUUUUAUUUAUAAUUUUAUUUGUAAUUUAAAAAUAAAAAUAUAUUUAAAUAGUGACAAUAACUCAAAUUUUAUAUAAAAAUUAUUUCAAAAUAUUAUCAUAUAAGAGUUAUUAAUUUAUUUGAAAAUUAGUUUCUUUUAAAAAUAUUUAUGAAUAUUUUUAAAAACUUUACAAAAUAAUAUCCAAAAUUCGUAAAAUAAUUUAUCAAGAUAAGUUCAAAAACCCAAAAUUAAUAGAUCUUGAACCAAAUAAAUCCAACUAAAAUAAACCCAAAAUUAAUAGACCGAGAAUCAAAUUAUCAUAGAAGAUAUUUACCAAACACACUAAUACCCAUAAUUACCCAAUAAUUCUUCUCACACUUUGCAGGUUUAAAACCCAACACCUUCUAUUACUAUCAAUGUGGAGACCCUUCAAUCCCAGCAAUGAGCGAUGUUCAUUAUUUCCGAACAAUGCCGGCCUCCGGUCCAAGGAGUUAUCCGGGAAGAAUUGCAAUCAUCGGAGACUUGGGGCUCACGUAUAACACAACUUCAACAAUUGAUCACCUUAUGAGCAAUCACCCGAACCUGGUGCUGUUAAUCGGCGAUGCAAGCUAUGCCAACUUGUAUCUCACCAAUGGCACCGGUGCCGAUUGCUACUCUUGCGCUUUCUCCGACACUCCUAUUCACGAAACGUAUCAGCCUCGUUGGGAUUAUUGGGGAAGGUAAAUUUUAACGAUGUUUCAUGGAUUUAAAUAGCGGUCACAACAUGACAUUACGAUAGUAUUUGUUAUAAAUGUGCAGGUUUAUGCAGCCUUUGGUGUCCAAGGUUCCCUUGAUGAUGAUAGAAGGGAACCAUGAAAAAGAAGAACAGAUUGAGAAGAAGACAUUUGCGGCUUAUAGUGCUCGAUUUGCAUUUCCAUCGGAGGAGAGCGGAUCAUCGUCGACAUUCUAUUAUUCUUUUAAUGCAGGUGGCAUUCAUUUCGUGAUGCUCGGUGGUUACACCGACUAUAACAAAUCAGGGGAUCAAUACCAGUGGUUGAAGAAGGACCUUGCAAAAGUUGAUAGAAAAGUGACUCCAUGGUUGGUUGCAACAUGGCAUCCUCCAUGGUACAGUACAUAUACUGCACAUUAUAGAGAAGCUGAAUGUAUGAGGGUAGAAAUGGAAGAUUUAUUAUACAAAUACGGAGUUGAUAUAGUCUUCAAUGGACAUGUAAGUCGUGCUUUAUAAUGAAUUAAUUCAAUUACAUUCACUCGAAGAGCUGAUGGUCGUGUUCAUUUGGUGAUAAUCAAUAGGUUCAUGCCUACGAGAGGUCGAACCGAGUGUAUAACUACAACUUGGAUCCUUGCGGUCCUGUUCAUAUUACGAUUGGUGAUGGUGGCAACCGAGAGAAAAUGGCAAUUACACAUGCUGAUGAACCCGGAAAUUGCCCCAAACCAUCGACAACUCUGGAUAAAUUUAUGGGUGGGUUCUGUGCAUUUAACUUCACAUCAGGGCCGGCAAGUGGUAAAUUCUGCUGGGAUAGGCAGCCUGAUUAUAGUGCAUAUAGAGAAAGCAGCUUUGGACAUGGAAUCCUUGAGGUAUAUUAUGCAGAUAUUUCAUUAAGAUUAAUUUCUAUGGACCGUAAAAAGGACACAAAGGGUACUUUAAUUAUACAAAAAAAACAUUAACAGCAAGUGUUUUGCAGGUGAAAAAUGAGACUCAUGCACUGUGGACAUGGUACGGUAAUCAAGAUGCUUAUGGGACUACUGGUGAUGUGGUUUAUAUAGUUAGGCAACCUGAUAGAUGCCCUGUUGAACCCGACGUAAUUAAUUAAGAGUAAACUCCAAAGCUUAAUUAAGUUGAUUCAUCUGCAGUCACCAUUAAAAAGUGAUGCCAAGAAAGUUUAGGUUUGAAUCUCGGCAUCUGUCCUCAGACUAUGAUUUCUUUUGUACCAGUAAAUAUCUUUCAAAGCUAUAAAUACAUAUUAAACAUCAAAAUCAGACAGCUGAUAAAUCACAAAGGGAUUAUGUACGUAUGUAUGCAUGCAUGUAUGUUGGCUUCUAAAGAUUGAAAAGUAAAUAAUUAAGGAUUCAAAAGGAACAUUAUUGUGAUAUGAUUUGCAGGUUCGUAAUUUUAAUUAAAUGAAAUAAGUUUGAUGUAACUAUGCAAGUAGUACUUAGAAUCCUAAAAGUUUGAAAUAAAUAUUUGUAACUUUGUUGAAUGUUUUCAUGAGAGUUCCUUUCUCAUGGAGGUCAAUUUCUUUGUUAUAAGAUACGGUCCCAUGGUUUGACAUACUAAGAUUAAAUAGGCUCUUAUGUAGGCUAACACGUAUCCUACUUUAGGGUCAACACGUGUCUCUUGAGUAUGGGUUUGCCUGCAUGGUGGUGUGAACCCAUUAGGUGCGGACUUAUACAGACGAACUAUAUGGUUUGGUUAACUAUAUCCGAAAUAAAAGGGGUCAGAUCGGUCUUAAUCAGAAAACAAAUAAUUUAUGGCGGACACUACAACAAACUUAAUAAUCACAUUUGUUAAUAACAAAUAAUUAAUUUGUUUUGAUAACGUAAUUACAAGACAUAAUUUGAAAAUAAUAUAUGCUUGCUUAGAUACCAUUAUUCUCAGUACUCCAAGUAACAUAAAUAUUGAAAUGAAUUUGUGAGAGAGCUAAGAUGGUUGUAUUCUAAUAGAGAGAUUUCUAUUGCUGGUAAAGAAGACUUUAGCUCCACUAUCGUGCGGCCGUGACAUUAGCUUAAGCUCCUCAUUAAGCUAAUUAAAUGUGAUCUCUAGAUUAACCAACAAUGUCUUCAUAAAGUAGACAACUAAAUGAUCGAUACCACCAGCAUCCUUCCAUAAAUAGCUGCGAAAUAGGGCUUCAACUUCUAACAAAAACGCCUCUUCCUAUCAUUGGGGUCAUGCAUCAAGGUUUAAAAAGUUCCAUAUUGGAUGCAAAAUAAAUGAUAGAACAAGUAAGAGCAGGAUAGACAUUGAGCUUGUGUUGAGUGUACUAUCAAAUGAAGCUCUAGAGAGAAAUGGAGGGCUGAAUCCAGGGUAAUUGAGCCCCGGACCGCCACCUCCGCCAUUGAUCGGUGUGGUUGUCGUAGUUGGCACAUUCGGAUUGUUCCACGACCCUGUUUUUGGCAUAGCUGUCCCUCCGGAUGUGCUGGAAAUUUCAUAACUUAAGCUUUUAAAAUCAAUAAAAUAACAGUGACAAAAACUACAAAUAAUGAUGGAAUCCAAUUUGGUUGGUAAUUUUCAAAAAAUAGGCGAAAGGAGCUAUUAUUAGCUUUUGCUGGAACCCAAUAGAGGUGCUCAUGGGCCGGGCCGGGCCGGGCCCAGAAAAAAUUUCGGCCAGUGUCCUAGACCCUGGCCUGGCCGAGGCUGAAAUAUGAGCCUAAAAUUUUAUCUAGGCCAGGCCUGAAAAAAAAUUCAUAAGCCCGAGCCCAGCCCGGCCCAUUUUUUAAAUAAACACCAAAAAAAAUUUAAAAAUAAAAAAAUUUAUUUUAAAAAUAUUUUAAAAAAUAAAAAUAAAAAAUAUUUUAAAAAUAAAAAAAUAAAUAGAUUUAUUAUAUUUGGGUCGGGUCGGGCCGGGCCAAAAAAUGUUAUGUGAGGCCCGGUCCAUUUUUUAAAUGGGCCUUUUUUUUUGUCUAAUGUCAUAUUUCGGGCCUAUUUUUUACUUAAACCCUCCCAUAUUUUGGGCAGGCCAUUGGGCCGAGCCGGGCCGCCCGGCCCAUGAAGACCUCUAGAACCCAGCAAUGCGCCCAUGGAUAGAGAUGACAACAAGGUGAGACGGGACGAGUUUUUGCUCGCCUCAAUUUCGACUCGAUUUUUAUAUCCUCUACUUCGAUUUAUUCUGAGCUCGAUUUUAUUUAAAAAUGUAAAAAUAAUUAUAAAAUUAAAAAAAAAGUGUUUUAGUAAGUAAAUCAAGGCAGACAAAUCGAAUUUUCAUCUAAAUCUAAACUCGAAUUGAUCUUGAACUACCCAUGUAUGACUCCAGUAUCCAAAUAUCUAGAGUGUUUUUUGACCGUUGGAUGUCUUUCAAGAAAAGAGUACCCAUCCAACGGUUGAAAAAGUCUCACCUAAACAAGACGGUAGGAAAACAUUACAAGUAAAGAAGUGGCCAACAGACAUAAAUAAGCCUGGAAACGUAAAAGGUGUAAACCUUCACAAAGUGACGACUGCAUGUAGGAUACGAAAAUGGACGGUUAGAGAUCAUGCCGAGAAACACGUGUCAGACAUCUACUCAAUUACAGCAUCACCAUGAAAGGCUCACACCCACUUGAGAAUCAAAGGAUUAUGCAAAGUUGAUUCAUGUUAGUUAAUUAGGAUUUAAACAAUAUCUUAUUUUGCGCCUUUUUGUUUUUCUGUCUUUGAUCCUCUUACAAGCCACAAGGGUUUCAAUAAUAAAUUACACCCAACUUCAAAAAGUUAUUAAAUGAGCAAUAAAUUAUUCAAAUUUUUUUAUUUAAGUCACUAAACUAUUUAAAAGUUUUUAUUUAAUUUACUGGGCUGUUAAAUUUUUUUUUUAAAAAGGAGGUUCAGCUAGUGAACUCCAAGCAACAAUUUAACAAUCGGUAUGGUGGAUAAAUACCCGCUGACGAGUAGAUCCAAGUUGAUCUAACGGUUAGUGUCGGAGAUCGGAGAAUGAAGAGAAAAACUGUUUGGAUUUUAGUUUAUAGAUUUGUGACGUUAAAAGUUAUUUCAUAAAAAAAAAUUAAACUGUAAAAGAGAAGGGAAAUUAAAGCUUUUGAGUGUUGCAAGCAAUGCAGACAAAGAAAGCCGUACAACAGUAAUUUUAACAACCCGAUGACUUAAAUGAAAAUUUUCGAGUAGUUCAAUGAAAGAAAAUACAAAAAAUUCUCUCUGCUGCGUUGUUUUCGUCUUCUUUGCAGGUAAGGAGGCUAGCUGGCGUAAGGAGGUGGUGGAUGUGGCACAGCACACGCGGGGAAGGCCUUGGUGGCUGCGGCGCCGGAAGGAGGGCUGUUGCAGCUAGGGUUUUCUGAUUUUUUUUUUGUUUUGGGCUAGGGUUGUGUUGAUAGUUGUAUUGGGCUAGGUUUUUGGGCUGGGUGUAGUUGGACUAGAUGCAUCUGACUUUGGGUUUGUACCGGGUCACUGUAAAUGGGUUUGGUUUUUAUUGUUAUUGGGCUGUGAACUAUUUGAGUUUUAAUUAAUUUUUAUUUAUUUGGUUUUUUAUUGUGGGCUGGGCAAAUUGGGUAUUACAAUCAGCUAAUUAGGAAAGACUGUGAUGAUAGUCACACCUUACAUCCAAAAGCAAAGCUUUUUACAUGUGUAUGUGAGGUUGCUAAGCAAAUCUGAUGAGCCUUCACUGAUGUUUUAAGGUUAAGUUAAUGUUCCUUUUCGGCAAAGAACAUUAUCGAGAUCACGGUAUUUUGAUCGCCUUUUGCUUGUUAUGUUAUUUGUUCUGAAACGAUUGCAUAAUCUUUACUGUGAUUGCAGGAUAUAGAGCAACUUCUGAAUUUCAUUGGUGUAAAGAGUUGAGGACCACGACAUGUUCUUGCAAAUUUGAAGGAGCUUCUAAGGUCUGUCCGGUCUUCAGAAUAUAUAGAUACCUGAAUUAAUUUUGAUUUUGUAGGAUCAACUAUAAUUAGCUACUUAUUACACUAUGAAUAGACAACCUCACCUUCUUCACACACUACACGUGCGGAUUUUUUACCAAUCCCAUUUCAAAGGAUCACACUUUUUUGUUGUUUACAGAAUCAUAAUUAAUGUUAAUUAAAGUGGAAUAUUUCAGAUUUCUGAUGAUGAGCAUAUUCUUGAGUAUUGCAGUAAAAAAAUGGGUGUGGAACUUAUUUGAACUUUGAAUGUAUGUUCUGUUGGUGAGAAUAUAAAGUUGAUAAAGAUUUGGUAAAUAGAAUAAAAUAUUAUUUUUAUUAGAAAAAUUAUUUGGUAGACUGCCAAUCGAGUUAUAAUUAUCAUGACGUAAAACAUGUCAUAUUACAAAUAAUAAAAUUAUAAUGACUCAAAUAUACGAACAUGUCAAAAUUUACGUAAAACGAAUUAUUAACAUGUCAAUGUAUAAUACGGUACGCAAAAAUAGGAUAAUUGCUUGUUUUUUAAAUUGAAUUGUUAUAACAUAUUAUACAAAAUACAUUGUGAAUUAAAGCAUAAUAUGAACAUGAUAUCAAAAUAUUAAAUAUUUUUUAAAAUUUGAUGAUACGAAUAAUUAUGUAAAAUAUAACAUGAUACAAAAUAACUUGAGAGGAAAAGAGGAAUAAAGAAUUGCAUUGUUUGUGAGGUUUUAAAAUAUUCCAGUUUUAGAUUCAAUUUUCUAGUAUGUUUGGUUUAAUUUUACAUUAGAUUUCCUUUUUAGUAUGCACUAGUGAACGCUUGGCAGUUAAUUUAAUUUAAUUUAAUUUAAAGAGAUAUUGCAUAUACAUAAUAAUGGAUUAUGAUUUUACAUUAAACUUCAUAGAAGAAAAAAGAAAUAGACGGUUGAAAAUGAUAAAACCAUAAGAUAAAAGAGCUUUUAUUUAAAAUGCAAAAAUCAACAAAAUAUGCAUUAUCGCUCAACUUAGCAUAAUUAAACAUUUAGGUGUGGAAAUCAAAUCACAAUUUGAGUAGCUAAACAUAUCGCUUGAAAAUGUGAUAAGUAAGAAAAUUGCCCACAUUUGAGUAGCGACAGGUGGUAAUGCAUUUCCCAACAAGAGAAAACCAAGCUCUUCGCCAGUAUGGAUUUAUGUAGAGGACAACAAAAAUUGUUAACAACACAACUACAUAAGAAACCAAAAAGCUCACACAAAAAUCAUAACUAUCUAUCAAACCAUCUUCUCCUUUAUCUUCUGAUACAGUUGAUAUUGUUGAUGGUGAAUCGGUUUUGGAACAACUUUUAUGCAGUAUAGGUCCACAAAGAAAAGGGUUUCCUUCAUAACUGUUUUCAAUAAAGGUCUCAAAUUGAGCUUUUGGUUCGGGAAUACUACCUGACAAGUUGUUAAAUGCCACGCUGAAAACCUCCAAAGAGUUUAACUCUACCAAUUGAUUGGGGAUUUCACCACUUAAGUUGUUGUAAGAAAGGUCCAAACUCUCAAUUUGAUGUAGUUUUGAGAGUGACGAGGGUAUAACUCCGGUCAACUUAUUGUGUGAAAGGUUUAAAGAAUGGAUUUCACUCAAGUUCCCUAAUUCUGGUGGGAUAUGACCAGUUAAGUUGUUGCAAGAUAAAUCAAUCCCAGUCAUAUAUGAAAGGAUGUCGCCCUUGUAUGAAUAGAACCCACUCUUUGUUGUGAACUCUAUUACUUCUUCUAAGUAGCUACUAGGAUAGUAAGAAUCCAUUCCCAAAUUUAGUAUCAUACUGCGUGUUGUUUCAUCCUCUUCUAUAGAUGGCCCAUAGAACCAAGUUUCUAGAAUCUUCUUCGUUUGCAUUGGAAGAGAUAAAUUUCCCAAACAAGAAGGUAUAGGACCAGAAAACAUAUUUUGAGAAAGAUCUAUGAUGCUUAAAGAAUGCAACUUGCAUAACUCAAUAGGAACUUUACCAUGAAAAUGAUUAUCUUUCAAGAGAAGAACACUCAAAGAAGAAAGCGUGUAAAUCCAUUUUGGAAUACUACCUGUCAAAUUGUUUCCUCUAAGAUCUAAAGUCACUAUUGAAGAGCUAUUAUAAAAAGCAAGUGAUAGUGGGCCUCUCAGUCUAUUCCCGUGGAGGUGGACAUGCUCUAUGUAUGGUGGAUUAAAACAUGACGGUAUAGAGCCAGAUAAAUUAUUUUGAGAAAGAUCCAAAAAUUCCAACCUAUUCAACUUGCAAAAUUCCAUUGGAAUGGAACCUUCAAAACCAUUGUUGGACAUAGCUAAUCUCUGCAAAAACGAUGCAUUCCCUAUCCAUCUUGGGAGCUUUCCAUGCAACUUGUUGUUACUGAGAUCAAUUUCGCUUAGUGAAUUUGGAAACUCAAAAGUAGACACAUCAACAUUUGUCAUCUCUCCUGAAAAAUUAUUUCCAUCCAAAUAUAAAUGCUGCACCCCAUUUGCGCUGAGAAUCACAGGAACUACAUUUCCACUGAGGUUGUUAUUUGAUAGUCUCAAAAUGGUCAGUGAGCCUUUCGUGAUCAACUCUUCUGGUACUUUUCCAUACAAAUGAUUGUCUAAUAGAUCUAAAAAUGAUAAGUCCUUCAUGCCACUUAAACAAAGUGGGAUAUUAUCUUCAAAAGCAUUCUUGGAUAAGAAUAACCGACUCAAAUGUGGAAAAGUUGAACAUAUACCAGUUGGAAUUUGACCUUGUAAUUUGUUUUCAGAUAUGUCAAUUGAAGAUACAUCAGAAAUAAGAGCCGACGAAAGUGAGAGAGGACCUGUAAAUGAAUUACCCUUCAAGAUGAGAUCUUCUAACUUUGUGUUGUUUUCUAGCAACCAAGUUGGUACAGUUCCACUGAGAUUGUUAUGAGAAAGAUCCACAUAUCUCAAGUCAUAUUGGUAGUAAAGGAAGGUAGGAAAUUUACGAUUGAGUUGUUGAGAUGCUAUGCACUUUGGCAAUCUGAUGACUUCCAAUUGGAACUUUGGGAUUGAGGUAUAAAAGGAAGAUUCCAUUACCAUCUUGUUUUCAUUAAUCGAAAGGGCUUUGAGGUUUGAAAGGUUUGCAAAUGGUGCAAAUGACAGCGGAAUUUGAAAAUGGUUUCUUGAAACAUCUAACACACGAAGAGAUGUCAAGUUACUAAAACAACGAGGAAGCAUCCCCUCAAGUGCAUUGUUGCUCACAUCCAAUACUUCAAGGUUCUUUAGAUCACACCAUCCUGAAAAAUUUAUAAAUUCAUGGAAGAAAUUUUAAUUAAAUUUGGUCCUAUUAAAUAGAAUAGGAGAUAUUAUAUUACAAAAGCUAGUAAAGAAAUCAAUUUGAGCCAUAAAAUUAUUUACCUUGAUUAGGUAAGGGACCAAUAAGUCCACAAUGAUAUAAAGACAAUGUUUUAAGAGAAGCGAAUACUCCAAUGCUUUGCAAAAUGUUGGUGUUGAGAGUAGAAUAGUCAAGAUAUAUUUCCUCCAAACUGCUCGACACAUUUGAAUCUAAGCAAUGUCAAGAGGUAUUAGAUAACGGUAUUAUAGAAAGCCUCUACUAAGUAGAAUGCUUUAUUUUCUGUGAAUGAAAUGAAGUAUAUAAAUAUAUAUAUAUAUUUUUUAUGAGUUAGAUUAUUCAUGAUUUAUCUGAGAUAAAUUUUGAUAGAGAGAAGAUGUUGAAACUUUAAUAUAACUCUUCAUCCAUUUUAUUAAUUAUACUAUUUUUUUUCUUUUUAGUAUUUUCUUAUAUUAUUUUUUAAUAUAAGUAAUUAACUGAUAUAGCUAAGUUGUAUAAUUUUCAAACUCCAAUCAACAACACUAUAAAUAAUAUUUAUAAAAUAAAACAUGUCUACACUAAAUGUAUGUUUAAAUUUCAUAAAAUUGAAGAUAUUUUUAAAUUAUUCAAAAUUCACAUGUCUACACUAUAAAUAAUAUUUAUAAAAUAAAACAUGUCUACACUAAAAUUAUUAUAUUACCUUUAAAGAUGCCAAUAGUAUAUAAAAAAAUCAAAUAGGUAUUUUACUCAACAAUAAAUAAAACUCAAAAGAAUUAUAAGUAAACUCAGCGGAUUAAAUGAAAAUUUUAAAGCAUUAAAUCUUGGCCCAAAAAUAGAGUUAAGUUAAAAUUCAAAAUUCAAAAUUAUUUUAUUAAUAUUGUUAAAAUUAUUUUAUUAAAUCCAUGUUCAUUACGUCAUUUUUUUAGUUACAUUACUACUAAGUUUUUUUUUUAUUUCAAAAUGUCACACCAACAAGCUAUUUUAAAAUUUUAACAAUUUUAACAAUUUAACUAGGAUUUUGAUUUUUUUUUAUAAAAAAAACAGGGAUUAAAUUCUUGAAAAUAAAAGUAUAAGAAUUAAAUUACAAAUUAGUAAAGAGUACAUAGACCUAUCAUAUUUUUUAAAACCAAAAAGUUAAAAACAUAUGCACUUUGAAAUUUAUAAAAAGAUUGCAAUGGAAGUUUAAGCACCUCUCAAUGUAUGUUUAAAUUUCACAAAAUUAAAGUUUUUUUUUAAAUUAUUCAAAAUUGACAUUUAUUUAUUUUUGCCAAAAAAUGCCAUUUAUUUAACGCUAAUAUGUAUUUUUAUGUUUUAUACUAUUAAAAAUAUAUGAAAUUAAAAUAUAGUUAUAUUACAUAUUUUCUCAUAAAUAUAUGUUUUUAUUUAUUUAUAAUAUCAUUUUUUAUUGUUAUAAUUAUUUUUUAUCUCAUAAAAAUUCAAUAAAUUAUUUUAAAAAAUAUAUUUAUACAAACAAAAUAAUUAUAAACAUUAAUAUUUUAAAAUGAUGAAAAUUUUAAAGAAUUUUAGUUUCAAACCAAAGUCCAAACACAUUAUAAUGGAUGAUUUAGAAAAUGUUUCACCAAACCCAUAUUUUACUUUCAAGUAUGAUAUGAUAUAACUUUAUUAAUAUUUAUGACAAUAACCGUUAUUAUAAUAUUUGACAUCAAAACUAAAUUUCUAAAUUAAAAAAAAAAAGGAAGUUUAAUUAAAUGAUACCUUGGUGGAUCACCAAAUCUUUCAAUUCAUUAUAGCUCAUAUCUAGUUUCCUUAAGUUGAUAAAUGCUUCCAAAUCUAGGAAAACAAAAACAACAAAUCAACUUCAUUAUAUUCUCUUAAAACAUUAUUAUAUUCUUGUUAAAAAACUAAUACUUUUACCUUUCAUAUCUAUUGAUCCUUUCAAUUCAUUGCCUCUUAUGCUCAAAGAUUUCAAAUUUGAAAGCUUGUUAAGGGAUGCAAAUACACUAGUAUUGAAGUGAUUUCCAUCUAAAUUAAGCUCUUCCAAGUGGGUCAAUUCCAAUUUUCUACCAUCAUCUACAAAAGAUUUAUAUAAUUUCAUCAUCUACCAUCACUAAUUUCAUCUACCAAUUUGUUAAAUUGCUCAAUCCUAUACAUAUCCACGUACAAUUCAAAAAAUCAUUAUGUUAAUAAUUUUAAUUUCUACUUAAUAUUUUAAUGAAAUAAAAAUGAAAAAAAAAAGUAAAUCUAAAACUUGAAUUGAAGAUAAAAAUCCUCAAACGUGAAAUGUGAAUGUUCAAAUUUGAAACAAUUAAUUUUAAAAGGCUCUAGAAAGAAUUAUCAAGAAAAACAAAGUUAUAGCUUUAGUACCUUUAGUAUCUAAUGAGCCUUGCAAACGGUUGUUGAACAAAGUCAAAGACUUUAGGCUUGAAAGCCCUUGAGGAAAGGAAAUUGUGUUGUUCCGAAAGAGAUUACCACUCAAAUAAAGUUCCUCUAAGUUUGUUAGCCUCAAUUGUGUUCCAUCUAUCAUUGGAAGAAAGUAAUUAGUAUAGUUAACAUCAUUCAAGAUAUAAAUAGUUAGGAAAAAUGUUUGUUUGAGAAGGAAGAGCCAAUUUACAAGCUUUCCGAUGAAUUGAUUCAAUAUAUAAAUACUUUGUUUGAGAUACCUUCCUACUUAAAUUACUCAAUUUUGAAAUUUAAUCCCAAAUAUUGAUUACUUAUAUAUAUUCAUGAUAUGAUAAAAUCAAAUGACUUAUUGCAACAACUUUUCCUUCAACAUGAAUUUAUUUUAAAGAAUGCUAUUCUUCAAAUAAUUCCAACUUAUAUCAAUAAUUUCCAAUUUAAUGAGCCAUUGAAAACCUCAUUUAUAUAUUAUAUAAUUAGUUACUACAAAACUUAAAUAAAUAAUAAUACUCCAUUUUUGCAAUAAAAAUUCACUAAAGAAAAUACAUUUGAAGUCUGUCAUUGCCUUUUGGAAUAAGAGUCGGUCAAGAAAGUUACUAUGCAGAAAUACUUAUACCUUUGUUUGAGAUGCUUUCAAUGUCGUUCCAACUUAAAUCCAAGUACUUCAAAUUUGUCAAAUUAUUCAAUCCUGAAAUUCAAUCCCAAAUAUUGAUCAGUUAUAUAUAUAUAUUCAUGAUAUGAUAAAAGCAAAGACAUAUUGCAACAUUAACUGUCCCUUAAACAAAAAUUGGUUUUAAAGUAAAAAAGAAACAUAUAAAACCAGUCUACCUUUAAUAUGAAUUGACAUAUAAAUACUGUACUUAUACCUUUGUUUGAGAUGCUUUCAAUUCUGUUCCAACUUAAAUCCAAGUAUUUCAAGUUUGACAAAUUAUUCAAUCCUGAAAUUCAAUCCCAAAUAUUGAUUAGUUAUAUAUAUUCAUCGUAUGAUAAAAUCAAACUUGAACAUACAUUGAUUUUUAAAUCAAGGAUGAAAGAUUUCUCAUAUGAAACAAAAUGCUAUUCUUCAAAGAAUUCCCACUUAAAUCAAGAGUUUCCAAGUUAUUGAGUCUUGAAAGCAAUUGAAAACCUGAUAUAUAUAUUUACUUGUUAAUUGUUUUUUCUUUCUUAGCCAUAUGAAAAUUUUACUAAAGCAAAAGUGGAAUUACGACGGAUAAAAAGAAUGGAAAACUAGGUACCAAGCCUAGAAGACCAUCCUCAAACUCCACUAUACAAAUAAAAACUAACAGCAGACCAAACUUAAUUUACCUCUUUGAUGACCUGAUCCUUCAAAUUUGUUGAUUGAUAGAUCUAAAUACCGGAGAGAUGAAAGCUCACUCAAAGAUAACAAAAUGCUAUCAUUCAAGUAAUUGAAACUUAAGUCAAGGAUCUCCAAAUUACUCAAUGUGGAUGAUAGUUUUCCAAAGCCUAUAGAAAUAUUCUUUUAAAUAUAUACAAGUUAGUGACUUUUCUUCCAUAAAAUAAAAUAAAAUAUAAGUAAUUGCAAAUUAACGAUGGUAAGAGUAGUGGGAUAAUAAAAGAUGUAAUUAAGGAAAAACUAGAGGCACGACCUUCAUUUUCAAGGUUACCACUUAUGGCAUUCCCCCGCAAAUAAAGACUCUUCAAUUCCUCAAAGGGAAGAAACAUAGAGGUAUUGAGAUACCAGGCAUUGAGAUUCCUAUUAUCCGUUUUGUAUCCCAUACUGUCAAACCAUCUUGUAGAAUUAAGGGAGAGUUGUAUGAGUCUCCUAGUGGUGGUGUUACACUCAACUCUUUCCCAUUUACAACAAUCUGAACCCUUCACCUCAACCCAACUUUGCAAUUGAUUUUGAUAAUUGAAGAAAGGCUUGAGAUGCAAGAGAGCGAUUCUCUCAUGCUCCAAACAAGCAUCAGUAGUACACCAUCUGCAUCCUUCUAACACCAACAACAUUACUGCCAUCCUAAUAAGCCUUAACCAUUUCCACUCCAUCAUCAUCAUCUCUCUGUUUUCACUUCUCUCUCAGUUAUAUGUUACUUUUUGUUAACUUCUAUAUGUAAAUAAUCUAAAGCAGCCUAACCUUCUUAUUUAUAUACAAGCAGAACAUACUGGAUCCCACUAAUUCACUAUAAUGUAAAAAUAAUAUAUAAUUAAUUAAUUCCUCAAAAAUUGGAUCAAAAUCUAGGCUUUUUAUUUACGUAAAUUCCUUAUUGCAAAAACUCCUGGUGGAAAUUCGUUAGGAAAGGAUGAAUGGACCACAAGAAUGUUGAUGUUAAUCUUGAAAAACGAAUGGCCAAAAAAAUAUGAAAAGUGAGAGGUGGACAUAAAAUCUUGUGGUUGGGGUUGCAAAAGUCUUCAUGUGGCUUUCUUGUGAGCUUCAUUUAUACCCUUCUUACACAUAUACAAACUUAGUCUUGACUUGGCUUUAUUAAUGGAAAAUUUAGGUCUUCAUUUUUGGUUUCAUUCAUGGAAAUUUUACUUCUUUGAUUUUGAUUUUGCUUUUAUUCUUGCACAUUUUAGGUUUUGAUUUUGAAAAUUUAGUUUUUUUCAUCUCUAUUAUUAUAAAAUUUCUUGAUUUAAUUAAUAUCAUGAGUUAAUUUAAUAUUUUAAAAAAUAAAAUAUUACAUUCACUAUUUUUAAAAAAAUAGGAGUAACUAUAAAAUUUAAUUAUUUAUAUAAUAUUUUUAUAAAAAAACUAUUUAUUUCUACUAGACCACUACUUUAAAACUAUCAAUUAUCAUAUAACUUCUCUUUAAUAAUUCACUAUUCUUUGAACAUUCAUUAGUUUUUGAAACAUAAAAUUUAUAAAUAAUUAUUUUUAAAAUGACUUGAGUUUUACUUGAAUCAUUUUUGUAAUUAGUUAAUUAAAUUGGGUUAUUUUUAAAAAAAAUCCUCUUAACUAAUAGCAAAAAAAAAAAAAGAAAAAAAAAAGCCAUCAUGUAGAAAAUUCUGGUUUGUUGGAAAGAUAAAGACUUGCACCAUUACUUUAAAUUUUGAAAUGUUCAACUUGAUAUUGACAUCUGAUAAUAUGUACAAAUUUCUCAUUGUUUUGAAUUUUAGUGAUAUUACACAUAUGAUAAUAUGUUUGUCACACCAAAUUUUGAAAUAGUAGAACUUAAUGAAUUUAACAAAUACUUAAUGAAUUUAAGAAAUAUCUAAAAUAUCAAAUUAAAGUCUAGGAAUUAAAUCUACAACUUCAGUAAAGUACAAGAACUAUUGUAGAAUUAAACCUUUAUAUAAUAAUUUCCUUCUAUGAACCACAAUUCAAGUGCACCCCACAAGCAACAUUAAAAAAUUGGCAUGUGUCUAUUUUUUUAAAAAUAUUUAUUUUUUUAAUAUUAUAUACUACACCUCUAUAGGAUACGUGUCAAUCCUUUAACUCUCCUUAUGGAAUUUAAAAACUCCACUAACAAUGUACCAAAUAUUAAUCCUAAUUAUUAUACUAUUCAUGGAUAAAGAUAAAAUAUAAUAUUUGCUUAAAAAUCUCAAUUAUAUAUAUUUGGUCACCCAUUGUGAUGUAAUAUAGCACCGUCUACAAAAUAGUUGGAGGAAAGUGUUAAGAAAAUAUCAUUACAUAUAUCAACAUUCGCAUAAUUCAUUGCAUUAACUUUCAAAUGUUAACUAUUGACUUCUGCGUCAACUUUGAGCUUAUAUAGGUCCCCCUCAUGGAAAUUGAGAAAAACAAAUUAAUAUGUAUAUUCUUGUGGGUGGAAAUUUAGUGGAGAUGCCCAUCAUCUUUCCUAAUUAAUAAAAAUGAAGACUUAGAAAAUGUGCAAUCAUAAUCCUAGUCGUCGUUAUGGCCCCAAGAAUAGUUAUCUUAAUUUGUCUCUCUUCAGGAUUAAAGAUAAAAAAUAAAUUUUAUAAAGUUAGAACUAUAAUUUUAUAAUUAUAUUAACAUAUAAUUUCAUAAAAUUUUAAAAAUGUAUCUUUUAAUUUUUUAAUUAAAUUGAUAAUUCGUUAACUCAUAAUAUUAUUUUAUUUUUCAAAAUAUUUACGAGAACGAGUUCGUAUUCUAUUGUGUGGAAAAUUUUAGUACAGAUUAUUAAGUUAUUGGAGAAGCCAAAUCCAACUUGUUUGACCAAGAAAGUUUUUGUCGCGUGGAAAAUGGACAUUACCAUUUCCUUGAAUGACCUUCAAUUUAAUGUAUUCACACCAAAUUUCAUUAAUGAGUAAAACAAAUAAUGAAUAAUAAUGAAAAUUGGAGGAAAUUGUUAAGAAAUUAUUAUUACAUAUAUCAACAGUCACAUAAUUCAUUGUAUUAACUUUCAAAUGUUGACUAUUGACUUUUACAUCAACCUUGAGCUUAUAUAGGCCCCCCUCACGGAAAUAAUCUCAUAAUUAAUGCCUGAAAAAUUAUUAUACAUCAAUUUACAGUUUUAAUCCCUAGACUUACUCAAUUGAAUUAAAAUUUUAGUUUUUAUUAUUUAAUUUGAACUAUUACUUUAGAUUUUGAAAUGUUCAACUUGAUAUUACAAAUUUCUCAUUCUUUUGAAUUUUAGUGAUAUUACACCUAUGAUAAUAUGUUUGCCACACCAAAUUUAGAAAUAGUAGGACUUAAUGAAUUUAAUAAAUAUCUAAAAUAUCAAAUUAAAGUCUAGAAAUUAAAUCUACAACUUCAGUAAAGUACAAGAACUAUGGUAGAAUUAAACCUUUAUAUAAUAAUUUUCUUCUAUGAACCACAAUUCAAGUGCAUCCCACAAGCAACAUUAAAAAAUUAAAAUGUGUCUAUUUUUUUAAAAUAUAUUUUUUUUAAUAUUAUAUACUACACAUAUAUAGUAUACGUGUCAAUCCUCUAACUCUACUUAUGGGAUUUAAAAAAUCCAGCAACAAUGUACGAAAUAUUAAUCCUAAUUAUUAUACUGUUCAUGGAUAAAGAUAAACUAUAAUAUUUGCUUAAAAACCUCAAUUAUAUACAUUUGGUGACCCAUUGUGACGUAAUAUAGCACCAUCUACAAAGUAGUUGGAGGAAAUUGUUAAGAAAAUAUCAUUACAUAUAUCCAACAGUCACAUAAUUCAUUGCAUUAACUUUCAAAUGUUGACUAUUGACUUCACGUCAACUUUGAGCUUAUAUAGGCCCCCUCCUCAUGGAAAUAAUGUCACAAUUAAUGCUUGAGAAAUUAUUAUACAUCAAUUUAUAGUUUUAAACCCUAUACUUACUCAUUUGAAUUAAAAUUUUAGUUUCAAUUUGAUAUAUUUUGUUCCUCUUAUUAAUAUUAAUGUUAUAGAUUUAUUAAAAUAACUAACAUUAUUAAUUCUCUAACAUUUAAAAAUUAAAAUUAUGUGGUUAUUAAAAUUAUGAUGCUAAAUUGAGAAUUAAAAAUUAUCAAGUUUUAAAUGAUCUCGGGAAUUAAGAAGAGAUCGUGUCCUAACUUAUUGGGCAUGAUCCUUUUUUUUCUCAAGUUUUAAAUGAUCUCAGGAAUUAAGAAAAGAUCGUGUCCUAACUUACUGGGCAUGAUCCUUUUUUUUUUAAAAUCUAAGAUAGCUAAAUAUUUUUUAAAUAAGUAAAUUUUUGGCAUUCAUUCGCGCAUCGGGAAUUCAAGACAUUGUGUCCUAACUUACUGGAUAUAAUUCUCUUUCUCGAUUAAUGUGAAUUAUGGCUUUUUCCCGAAAAUUUUCAACAUUUCAAUAAAGGAUCGUAUUUUAAAUCUCUUUAAAGUUUUCAAUCUUCGAUACUAAGACAUUAAUUAAUCAACUAGGUACCAAUUUUGGGCGUAACGAGGGUGCUAAUCUUUCCUCGUACGUAACCGACUCCCAAACCUGUUUUUCUGAAUUUCGUGGACCAAAAUUAUUAUUUUAUUAAAAUUAAAUUGUUUAUUAAAAAUAACCACUUUUCAAGGUGGCCCGAUCACACCUUAUCAAAAAGGAUUGGUGGCGACUUCCAUAUUCGUUUUCAUUUUUUAAAAUCCAAGUCGACCCCGUUUUCACAAAAAAAAAAAGUGUCAACAAUUAUAUUAAUAUAUAAUUUCAUAAAUUCUUUAAAAAAAAUUGUAUCUUUUAAUUUUUUAAAUUAAUUUAGUAAUUCAUUAACUCAUAAUAUUAAAUUUUUUAUUUUUCAAAAUAUUUACGAGAACGAGUUCGUAUUCUAUUGUGUCGAAACUUUUAGUACAGAUUAUUAAGUUAUUGGUGAAGCCAAAUCCAACUUGUUUGACCAAGAAAGUUUCAGUCGUGUGGAAAAUUUUAGUUUUGUGGAAAAUAUAGAUUAACUUCUAUAUAUGUAUGUAAUCUAAAGAAGCCUAAGCUUCUUAUUUAAUUAUAUACAAGCAGAAGAUAUUGCAUCCCACUAAUUCACUAUAAUAUAAAAAUAAUAUAUGAUUAAUUAAUUCCUCAAAAAUUGGAUCAAUCUAGGCUUCUUAUUUACGUAAAUUCCUUAUUGCAAAAACUCUCGAUGGAAAUUCGUUAAGAAAGGAUGAAUGGACCACAAAAAUGCUUAUCAACUCUUGACUUUGGCGUUCAAUGCUAAGUUCAUUUUAAAAUUCUUUCAUGGAGAGAAGAUGGGAUGACAAGAAUGAUAAGUUUUAAGUCAUUUAAGUUUACACAAAAUUUUAAUCACUCACAAAAAAUCAGUCUUGAUAUUCUAUUAAAAAAUUUAAACAUGGCUUAACGUUGAUUUUAAAUCUAAUGUCGAUGUCAAUCUUGAAAAACGAAUGGCCAAAAAAAUAUGAAAAGUGAGAGGUGGACAUAAAAUCGUGUAGUUGGGGUUAUAAAAUUCUUCAUGUGGACAUAAUAUAUUUUUUAUGCCCUUCUUACACUUAUAUAAAGUUAGUCUUGAUUUCGCUUUAUUAAUGGAAAUUUUAGUUCUUCAUUUUUUGUUUUAUUCAUGGACAUAAUAUUUAUUUUUAUUUUUUAUUUUUGUGUUAUGGUCUAUGUUCGAGGUUUAUGGCUAUCCCCUUUCAACAACGUCGUCUCAACGGUUCAAACAUACACUUGCAGGUAAAAUAAUACUUUUUAAAAUCACAAAUAUUUGAAAUAAUAUAUUGCAGCUAUAUAAAUGCUUUCUUGUUUAAGAUACUAAUAAAGUAAUUAACAAAGUAAUUAUUAUACCUAUAAUAAUUCAAAAUGCCACUUGUUAUCUAAUGAAGUAUAGGGGUGCAAAUGAGACAUCCGUACCCGCAAGCUAUUCGAAUUCGGCUCAAAAAAUUUUGAAUUUGAUUCGGUAAUUAUUGCGCCGAGCUAUAGGUCGAUCCGGAUUCAAGCUUAGUAAUACUUGACUCGAGUAGUUUGGGAGCCUUAUUGAACUUUUCAUAUUUUUAUAUUAUUAGAUUACAUUAUUGCCUUUAAUAUAUAUUGUUAACCCUAAGUUUAAUUAUUGAGGCGAGCUCGAACUCGAGUACAAAAAUUGAUAAACAGAUUUAAUUUCGAGCUUAAAAAUAUAUGUUCAAUCGAGUAUCAAGCUUUGAAUUUCAAAUUAAACUUGAGUUUAACCGUAUUGAGUUCGAAUAGAUUCAAUUACACCCUACAAUAAAAUAUACCAACAAAACCUACAUUCCAUAUUUGCUUAAAAACUUUGCUGUAAAUUUUAUAUAUGUGUGUGUUUAACGUGAGUUCCAUCUAUGUCCAACUUGAUGACGAUGAAAGUUCCUAUGGUGUAAAAAGUUUUAGUUAUGUGGAAAAAUAAGGUCUUCUCUUCACACGUUUAAUAUGCUUACUUGUGACGGUCAUUUCGGGCUUGACAUCAAUUUUCAAAAUGUUCUAAUUGGUGGAAAACUUACGUCUGCUUUUAUGAUUCUUUCAAGUCAAUUGGAGAAUGCCUCUGUUACACUUCAAAAGAAGUAGAUUUUGAACUCAACAUGAACCUGUGAGAUUUGAUGCCUAAAAUAUAGGUAUAAGGUUUCAAUUCAAGGAAAUGUUGGAAGUCCAGGAAAUUUCUUAGUCUCCUCUCUUUGGAUGUUUUUGAACAAAAAUGUUUUAAGUCUCUUCCGAUGCUAAACUUCUGAUUGGUCGUCGGUUCACUGACCCUUUGGUACACAGCAAUAUGAAGCAUUGGCCAUUCAAGGCCAUUGCUGGUCCUGGUGAUAAGCCAAUGAUUGUACUACUAUAGAUUUGAAAUGAUUGUACACAUCUGAUCGGCUCUUUGUAAAUUUAAAUCUUACAAAUUCGGAUAAUAUUCGAAUUUAAAUAUUUCAAUUACUAUCUGCAAUAGAUUAAAAACAAACGUGAUUAUCAAUCCUUGGAUAUCCACAUACAGAUUAUGCAAUACAAUCUCUUAAGGCAUAUAGAAUUUGGGUCUUAACCAAGCUAUGUUGCUUAAAAGCUUGCUAAAAGCACCCCUAACAAAGGGGUAAAUAAAUAAAAUAUCAAGCACCAGUUAUCAAAGCAGAUUGACCACCUUAUAUCUAUGUAUGCUACUACAAAACUUGCACCAUUAAAAUCUCAAGCUGGUAAUUGGAGCUUCAUGUUAUUCUUGCAGCUGCAGGCAUAAUAAUCAAAUAAGUUGCAAUCAUUCACAUAGGUACUAUGAAGUGCUUUCCAGAGCGUGAGAAACCUCUGGAAGUAAUAGUAGAAGAAAUCAGCAUAAAGCAAUGUCUGGACAAGACCGCAAAUCCAAGCUGAUCAAAGGCAUCAAUCAUGUAAACUAGGUGUUAGAAAUAACAAAUAUAGCAUAGAAUAUAACAAAUAAUGAAUAACAAUGAAUAGUACACGUUACCAUUUCCUUGAAUGACCUUCAAUUUCUCCAUUGAGAUAUAGUAAGAGGGAGUGGAAUAGAUGUAAGGUAAUAUUUGAUGUAUUCGGUAAAUGAAUAAUAACACCACAUUCCAUUAAUGAGUAAAACAGAUAAUGAAUAAUAAUGGAAGUUUUAUAAAAUAAAAAUAAAUUAAAUCAUAUACAUAUAAUGUAUUAAAUCUUAUUCGUGAAGUUCACAAUGAACAAAAUACUAAUCCAUAAUGGAGAAAAAUAACCUAAACUUUAAACAUUUGUUCAUUACUAUAAACAUAUGUACAACUUUUUAAAGGUUUUAUAUAAACUAUUAAAAGGUAUAAACACUCUCAUAAAAAUAUAUUAUUAAGUACGUCUUCUUUUACUAGGAAAGUUCCUAUCCUGUAGAAAAAUGUAGUUUUGUGAAAAAAGGUCUUCUAUGCACUAAUUUGUGGCAAUCACAUGGGGUUUGGGAAUUUCAAUUUUGAUAGCCAACCGAGAUUCACUAAAUUUAAAUUUUAUUAUGAUUAAUUACGCUCUUCGUUUUGGAGAAAUAGGUAAUCACAACAACUAAUUUAAUUAAAUGUAAUUUAAUAAUUAAUUUUUUUAUAAUUUAAUUACAUUAACUAUAUUUAAAUUUAAUAUUUAGUAUUUAUAUUUUAAUUUAACAUAAUUUAAUUCACUUACUUUUAUAAUAUUAUUAGUUCGUCUAAAUAGUUGACACCUUUAAUUAAUUCUUAUUAAAAUGUUAAAAAUGUUUAUACUUAUUUUCCAUGUUAAAAUAUAUAUUUUUUUGUGCUUUUAAAAACAAAAUUUCACAAUAUCAUUUCCCGAUAUAAAAAUUAAAUCUCAAAUUAAUUUAUAUUUUUGUAUUUUUUUAUAACUAAUGUUAUCAAGAACUCUUAAUAGUGCAACUGAUUCCACCAUAAUAUUUAUAUUCUUUAAAUAUGAUUUACAAUUUAUGUUUGGAGUUCGUGACUGUCAUUCUUAAUAAUGUCAUUUCUAAUGUUCGAACAUGCAUCUCCCCUUGAGAAUGCAAUAUUCAUUACUAUUGCACCUAAUUAUUUUGAUAAUUUAAUUUUAAAUAUUGACAUAAAAAUAUUUUUAAAUAUAUUAUUAAUAAAUUUAAUUAAGAUUAUAAAACUUGAGGUUUUUUUUAAUUCUUCAAAAAUGUCAUUUAUUUAUUUUUGGCCAAAAAAUGCCAUUUAUUUAACUCUAAUAUGUGCUUUUAUGUUUUAUUUUAAAAAUAUAUGAAAUUCUAAUGAUAGUUAUAUUACAUAUUUUUUAAUUUUAAAUAUCAUUGUUCUUUUAUAAUUUGUUUCAAGUAUGAAAUGAUAUAAUUUUUUUUAGUAUCUAUCACAAUAACCUUUACUAAGAAUUGAAACUAAAUUUCUAAAUUUUGAACAAAAAUGAAAGUUUAAUUAAAUGAUACAUUGGUGGAUUCAUUACCCCUCAUAUCUAGUUCCCUUAAGUUGAUAAAUGUUUCCAAAUCUAGGAAAACAAAAAACAACAAAAUCAACUUCAUUAUAUUCUCUUCCAACAUUAUUAUAUUCUUGUUAAAAAUCUAAUAUUUUUACCUUUCAAUCCAUUGCCCCAUAUGCUCAAAGAUUUCAAAUUUGAAAGCUUCUUAAGGGAUGCAAAUACACUAGUAUUGAACUGAUUUCCAUCUAAAUAAAGCUCUUCCAAGUGGGUCAACUCUAAUUUUCGACCACCAUCAAUAAAAGAUUUAUAUAAUUUCAUCACUAAAAUGAAUUGGCAUAAACUUUUAUUAUAUAUAAGAAUUUAGGUAAUUGGUUAAAUAUAAAUGCAUACCAUUUAAGGAUUGAAAGCUUUCAAUUUCAUUCCAACUUAAAUCGAGUUUCUUCAAAUUUGUUAAAUUGCUCAAUCCUAUACAUAUCCUCAUCCAAUUCAAAAUCUGAAAUUAGUAAAGAUAAAAUUGCACAUUGACCCCCUAAAAUUGAUAAAAAUUUAAUUUAAUUCUUUAAAAAUUAUAAACAUAUGUAGCGACCUAAAAAUUUCGGCACGGGCGCUAGUCGAAGUAAUUAUUGUAAAUUUGAAAACUGAAUCUCGAUUUUAUUUGAAAAAGGAGUCGCCACCGAUAUUUUUUCUAGGUGUGAUCGGACACCUACAAAAUUCUCUUUUUAGAAGAAAAAAUUAUUUUUAAACUUUUCUAAAAAAGAGGUAAUUUUAGGUCCACGUAAAAAUCCAGAGAAAAUUAGGGUCCGGGAGUCGGUUACGCGCGAGGAAGGUAUUAGCACCCUCGCAACGCCCAAAAUUGGUAUCUCGUUAAACGCGUGUUGUCUUCAUUUUCAAAAAUACGAGUUCAAUUUAAUAUUAGUCGUGAUCCGAUUGAACACGAGAAUUUUAAAGCGCAACAACUUUUUCUUUUUUGAAAACACGAAAAUUUUAAAAUACAAGAAUUUUAGAAACACAAAACUUUUUUUUUAAAAAAAACACGAAGAAUUUAAAACACGAGAUUUUUUAUUUUUAUUUUUGAAAACACGAUUCUUCUUUUUGAAACACGAAAAUUUUUAAAACAGAAAAUUUGUUUUUGAAAACAUAAAUUUUUUGAUAAAAUACGAAACACGAGAAAUUUUGAAGACAUGAAAAUUUUUGAAACACAAUUUUUCUUUAAAAAAUACCGUAUUUAACACGAAUCGAUGAUAUUCAUCCCGAUAUGGCGAUGAAACCAUCGAAUUAGUGUUAACUCAAUUCAAUUUAAUAUUUAAUCGGGAUUCUAAUAAAACACGAGAAUUUUUAUUAAAAUACGAGGAUUUUUGAAUAUUUUUAUUUUUAAAAGGGUGUCCCGAAUUUAACACGAGCUAUCGAUAUCCACCCAACAUAGCGAUGAAUUCGAUGACUUGAUGCUAAAUCGGUUCGUUGCCUUAUGCAUUAAAAUAUUAUUAUUUUUAAAAAAAAUAUGCAAUUAAAAUGACAUAAUAAUAUUUAUGAAAACUGUUUUAAAGCAUACUAAUUUAAAUUAAAUAAAACACCAUUUAAAUAAAUAAAAUAAAAUAAAAUAGAUUAAAAAGAAAAAAAGAAAAAAAUUACCCAAAAGCCCAAAGUUAUGGGCUUAAAUUUUGGGCCUCCCCUUUUAUUAUUUUUUUUGCUGUUGGGCUNNNNNNNNNNNNNNNNNNNNNNNNNNNNNNNNNNNNNNNNNNNNNNNNNNNNNNNNNNNNNNNNNNNNNNNNNNNNNNNNNNNNNNNNNNNNNNNNNNNNNNNNNNNNNNNNNNNNNNNNNNNNNNNNNNNNNNNNNNNNNNNNNNNNNNNNNNNNNNNNNNNNNNNNNNNNNNNNNNNNNNNNNNNNNNNNNNNNNNNNNNNNNNNNNNNNNNNNNNNNNNNNNNNNNNNNNNNNNNNNNNNNNNNNNNNNNNNNNNNNNNNNNNNNNNNNNNNNNNNNNNNNNNNNNNNNNNNNNNNNNNNNNNNNNNNNNNNNNNNNNNNNNNNNNNNNNNNNNNNNNNNNNNNNNNNNNNNNNNNNNNNNNNNNNNNNNNNNNNNNNNNNNNNNNNNNNNNNNNNNNNNNNNNNNNNNNNNNNNNNNNNNNNNNNNNNNNNNNNNNNNNNNNNNNNNNNNNNNNNNNNNNNNNNNNNNNNNNNNNNNNNNNNNNNNNNNNNNNNNNCUCUUUUUACUUAAUUAUUUAUCAAUUUACACUAGUUCGAGUUUUUGUAACAGUAUCAUGGAGACUUAUGUACUAGGAGUUAGAUUGUAUUUUGCCUCUUUUACUCAAAAAAUGAGUAAAUUAAUCCUUGUACGUUAAAUCAAUGAGCAAACUAGUCCUUUUAGUUAACAUUUUCAUUCAUUUUUACUAUUAAAAAUUGGAGUGACUAACGAAAUAACCAGAUAGUUACACAUUACAUGCCAAGGGUGAAGCCAGAAAAUUCUUUUAGGGGGCCGAAAUUAAAUUUUAAUUUUUAAUAGCUUAUAUCUUUAUAAUUUUUAAAUGAUUAAAUCAAAUUUUUAUCAUUUUUAGGAGGGGACUAAAGUGUAAUUUUAUCUUUACUAGUUUAAAUUUCUAAAAUUUCUAAAAAGCCUAAAUGGAUAAUUUUCAAUUUUAGAGGGGUCAGGGCCCUUGCCAGCCUCCCUAGAUACGCCACUGUGGCAUGCCACAUGUACCUCAUGUCAGCAUACAUGAACCCGUUUUUAACAGUUAAAAUGGAUGAAUUUUUUAGUAGAAGGAUUAAUUUUCUCAUUUUUUGAGUAGAGGAAAGAAAAUGCAAUCCAAUGCCUAAUACAAGGGCCUCUAUGUCUUUCAUUAUUACUCAAUUAUUUGUCAUCAAAAGUUGUAUAUGUUCAAAUAUAAAUACAAUAAAACACAUAUGUAGUUAUUAAACAUAUCAUGCUAAUGUCAUUGUUUCUUCUUUAUCCAAAAUUAUUGGACUUAUAAAAUUCUUGAGAAUAAGAAAACCCCAUUAAACUUCCUUUUAAGUAAAACGUGUGUUCAAAAUCUUGAACUAGGUUUAUGCAGCAAUAGAAAUUCACAAGCUGUUUUUUUUAUACAUGAGAUGUGAAUCUCAAAAUUUUAGGGUUUCUGAUCUCAUAUAUUUUGGGUCCAGAUUUAAUGCUAAGGAUUUGUUGAGAAAGUUGAAAGGGAAGAAAAUGAUGUUCAUUGGGGAUUCACUAAGCUUGAAUCAAUGGCAGUCUCUAACAUGCAUGUUGCAUGCAUUUUUGCCACAAUCAAACUACACUGUUCACAGAGAAGGGAACCUUUCGACCUUUUAUUUGCCUGUGAGUUGCCAAAUCUAGUAGCUAUUUUAUUUCCUUCUUAUAAUUAAAACUUUUCAAUGUCACCUUUAGAAGGUAGCUGCAUGAAUCAAAUGAGUUAAAUCAAAUAGACUAAUUACUAUUGUUUGGCAAAAAUACCGAGUAGACCUUUUUAAAAAUAGUUAUUAUACUUUUAUUACAACAAAAUAAGCAGGGGUGAACCUAAAAUUUUUUUUAGCAGGAUAGAAAUUUAAUUAUAAUUUUUUCAUAGAUCAAAAUAUAAAUUUAUUAUGAAUUAAUUUAUAAUUUUAUCAUUUUUAAAGGGAUUAAACAGAAAUCAUUUCAUUUUUAUGGGGGUUAAAGUGUAAUUUUACUAUAUAUUAAUUUAUAAUUUCUUUAUUUAUAAGACUAGAAAAAAUUUUCAUGGGGGCCAAAGUACAAUUUUACUAUAUAUUAAUUUAUAAUUUCUCUAGUUAUAAAAGAACUAAAUUAAAAACUUUUCAUUUUUUAGGGGGGCCAAGGCCCUGCCUACCCCUUUCAGAUUAUUCGCCUCUGAUAAUAAGCCAUUAAACUUUAAUUUAUAACCGUUACCAUUAAUUUUUAACUUAUAUCCAAAUAACCCCUUACCAUUUUAUUUAUACUCAAAAUAAAAUUUAACAUAAAUAAAGGUGAGAGAGGGGCCUUGGCCUAUUGGUUAAAAUAGAAAAUUUUCAUUUAGGUCCAAAGGUAAAGCCAAAAAAUCAUUUUAGGGGGUUGGAAAUGAAUAAUAAAUUUUUGGGGAGACUAAUAUUGCAAUUUUAUCAUUAUAUCAACUUAUAAUUUCAUAAAUUUUGAAAAGAUUAAAAGACAAAUUUAUCAAUUUUUGGGGUUGUCUACUCUCCUGAGUUGGUCUCUAUUGAAAAUUAAUAAUUCCAUAAAAUAUAGCUUUCCUAAAUUUAUAAUUUUAGCUCGACCCUAAAUAUAAAAUUCUUUGCUUUACCCCUGAUAUUAAAUCAAAAGAUAGAAACUUAUUAUGUUACUAUAAGAAUAUAGGGAUUUAUUUAGCAAAAGCAAACUAUUUCAAGGACUUUUUUGGUAGUUUGCACUUAUAGUUGGUAUUAGUUAGAAUUAAGUGCCAAGAUUAAGUUUCCUUUGAGAUAUAUAGUUGGUUAAGCAAUUUAAUAUAAGUGGAAAUUUAGACCCCUAAGUUAUACCCUUCAUGCAUUUGGACAACUGUGUUGAGCCAAAAAAAAAAUUGCAGGAGUAUGAAGUUUCGUUGAUGCUAUCACGCAAUGCAUUUCUUGUGGAUAUUGUCCAAGAAAAGAUUGGCACCGUUCUGAAGCUUGAUUACAUUAAAAACGGCGAAUCAUGGAAAGGAUAUGACUUUCUCAUCUUCAAUACCUGGCAUUGGUGGCUCCACACUGGAAGAAAACAACCGUAAGCAAAACAUAAUUUCAGCAAUUAAAACCCGAUUUUUUAAUUGCAUCCCGAGUAGAUUUGUAAACAAAUACAACACUCGAAUUGGGUUGGGUUUGAACCGGAAUAUCAUUCCUAUAGUUUUGAUUAGACCUGUAGUUUAAAAGUUAAUUAUUUAUUUAAGUUUGAAAAUUCGUUUGAAAUUUAGAAGAAUAUUUAGAUAAAAAUAUUAGACUUCAUAAAUGAGCUUGAGUAAAAAAAUUAAACCCGUUUUUAAUAUGGGUUAAGCUUAAGCUCAAAAAAGUUAAGGAUCCAGACAUGUUGAUGAACUUAAAAUGAAUUUGCGAUAACUAUUUACAAAUAUUAGUAUGUUGGAGCAAAAUUUUAAGCCAUUGUUUGGUCCAACUAAAUUUAGGCAAAUAUAAAGUGCGUUAAUAUCAUGCUUAAAAUUGAUUCAAACUGAUCCCAACCCAUAACCACUUCUAAUUCUGAUUAGUUUGACUCAACCUUUUUAUUCUUUUAAAUACUUAUAAAAUCUCUUAUCCAAUUAUAUUUAUAUUUGAGCAAAAAAUGAUGUAUGUAUGUAUGUAUGUAUGUAUGUAACUUGAAAAAUGAAUUGGAUAUUAGAUGGGAUUUCAUUGAAUCAAGAGGAAAGGUGAAGAAAGACAUGGAUCGUAUGGCUGCAUAUAGAGAGGCACUAAGAACAUGGUCAAAAUGGGUGGAUUCCAAUGUUAACACUACAACUACCCAAGUGUUUUUUCAAGGCAUUUCUCCGACUCAUUUCAAGUAAGCUUUAGCUCUUCUCUUCUCUUCUCUUACCAUUUGCAUUAACUUCCUUGUUCUUAUUUUACUUAAAAGAAAUGGAAUUAUGAAAAAAAUUGAAAGCCAUUUUUUUUCCAAUAGAACUUAAUUCAUUUUAAUCCCAUCAGAUUUGGUUCAAAUUAGAGGUGUUUAUAAGUUGGUGAGUCAAUCGGCUUAGUUCGCUUUAGACUGCACUUGAAGUUAAGUUUUCAAGUUUCGAGCCAGAUUAGCCUUACUUGUUUUAUUAGUCGAAGAAAACUAUUUUUAAUUGUUUUAUAAACAAUGAAAAUGGACCAUUUAGGUAAGCUUAAGUUUGGAAAAUUUUUGAAAUUGGGCUUAAACUUGACUUGGAAAAUGAACACUUAUAGUUGAAAGAAACUCAUUUGUCAUAAAGCACAAAUACUUUUAUGAUUAGAGACGUUAAUGGGCUUGAACUUAAAUUUUCUUUUUGGUUUAAGCUUGGUUCGAGUUGAAAACUCGUAUUGUUUAAAAUAUUUCUAAUAUAUUAUUGUUUAAAAUAUUUCAUAAAUAUUUUCAAAAUGAAAUAUGUGUAAGAAUCAUAAAUUCAAGCUGUAGUGUUUCCUCAUAUAAAUUAUGAAUCACUCUAAAUAUCUCAAAGAGAAAAUGACAGUUCAUUGACAUCUAUAUAAAGAUUUUUUUUUUUAAAAUAAAAAUCAACAAGUCUCUUACGUUAUCCAUAUAUAAUAUGUGGAUGUACAAUUAUAAACUUCACCUCAAACAAUUUGGUAUUUUGAUCCACAAUUUUGACAGUGGCAAAGAAUGGAAUGGUACCAAAUCAACAACUUGCACACAUCAAAUCAGACCGGCUACCGAUUUAACGUACGAAAGUGAUCCACCUCCGGAAGUGACGAUCGUAAAGGAAGUGCUAAAAAACAUGUCGACGCCGGUGGUUUUGCUCGACAUAACCAGAUUAUCACAGCUGAGGAAAGAUGGUCACCCAUCAAUUUAUACUGGUCUAAAAGGAAAUGAUUGUAGUCAUUGGUGCCUAGCUGGUGUUCCUGAUACAUGGAAUGAAAUCUUAUAUGCAAUUCUUACAAGUAGGAAAACUUAAUUCAAGAUUAUAAUUUUUUUUUCAAUUUAAUGUAUUUAGUUAAUAAAAAUUAAUUUCCCAUUAAUAGAUGAAGAAUUUUAAAUUUAAUAACAUAGGUGUAGCCAUCAAUUUAAUGUAUUUUUUACCCGAACCCAAAUUAAGUCAAGCUCAAACCAAUGGAAAACCUACAAUAUUAUUCAUAAUAAUAUUGAAACUUUAGAUUUUUUUAUUAGUAUUAUAUAUUUUAAUAAUUAAUUUUAAAUAUUUUUAUUAAUAAAUAGUAUUCAGGUCGCGCCAGCCCAAUUUAAAAGAUAUUUAACUCAAUAUAAAUUCAACAUAUUAAAUGAAUAAUUCAAAUGUCAAAAUGAGCAAAGGAAAAUCUAGAGUUGUAAGCUUUGCAACUUUAAAUUGGACAUGAGAGUUUCUUUUAUUGGAUACAUGCCACAUUAUUUUUUAACAAAAUUCCUUUAUUUUAUCAAUUGAAUUUAAAUUAUUAUAUUAAUAAAAUUAUUUAAUUAUUUAAUUGUGUUUCAACCUUUUACAUAAAAUAAAAUUUUCUCUUUUAACUUUUUCAUCAUUUAAUUUUUCACUUUUUAAAAUCACCCUCAAUUUCAAAUAUAAAUUUACUUGUGUAAAAAAAAAUCUAAAUCUGUUAAUUGCAUCUAGAACUUUUCAGAGUUGGUCUUGUCAAAAUUUUAAGUCUAUUUGCUAGGCCCAAGUUUGGCCUAAAAAAUAGACUUAAAAUUUUGUCUAAAUUUAACCCGGAUAAAAUAUUAAAAUCAGGCUCGACUCAACUCACCUGAAUUAAUUUUUCUAUAAAAAUAUUAAAAAUAAUAGGUCAAAAUACUAAAAAUAUUAAAAUAAAUAUUUUUUAAUAAUUUAAAAAUAAAUUUAAAAAUAUUUAUACUUAGAUAAAAUUAACAAUAAAAUAAUUUUUUAAUGUUUAUUAAAAAAUGGGCCGGACCGGGCUCGGGCUUAUGAUAUUUUUCCCGGGCCGGGCCUGGAAAAAUAUCAGGCCCAUAUUUCGAGCCGGGCCAAAAAAAAUUUCUGGGCCCGACCCGGCCCAUGGACAGGUCUAAUCUUAGACCUUUUCAGUGUUGGUCUUGUCAAAAUUUUAAGUCUGUUUGCUAGGCCCAGGUUUGGCCUAAAAAAUAGACUUAAAAUUUUGUCUAAUUUUGACCCGAAUAAAAUGUUAAAACCAGACUUAGACUCAACCCACUUGAAUUAAUUUUUUAUAUAAAAAUAUUAAAAAUAAUACGUCAAAAUAUUAAAAAUAUUAAAAUAAAUGUUUCCUAAUAAUUUAAAAAUAAAUUUAAAAAUAUUUAUACUUAGAUAAAAUUAACAAUAAAAUAAGAGUUAUAUAAUAUAUAAAUAAUAAUAAAAUAAUAGUAACAACAAGAAAAUAGUAAUUUUUUGUCUUUUUGUUAAUUCAUAUCGGACCGGGCUUAACCCGGUUGAGAACGGUACUUAUAUUUGUACAAAAAAAAAAUCAAAAAAAAAUGUGAACGGUACUUAACCCGGUUGAGUCGGAGCUCCAUGACCCGAACAGCAAUUUAUUUUUCAAUUCUUCUUCGUUACGCAAAAAGGAAAAAAAAAAAAACAGCUCAUGAAAAUGGCAUGGUCAAAUACUCUGCUUCAGAUUCACAUCAAAUCCCCUUCGAUCCCUUCUCUCCAUUUCCCACAUUCCCUCCCAAAAAGCUCCCCAUUCCUUCUUAAUCCUAACCCUAUAAAUCCCAUUCCCAGAUCCCUCAGAAUGCAAUUCCUUCACAGACCCAACGCUGUCCCACUCGUAUCAAGAGCCAUGGACAUCAUCCAAUCGUCUCCUCCCACGUGGCAAUCCGCAGUCCUCAGUAACCUCUUGAUCUUCGUCGUCGGCACCCCACUUUUAGUGGCGGGGCUUUCUCUCUCCGGAAUUUGUGCUGCGUUCUUGCUUGGCACUCUCACUUGGCGCGCUUUUGGCUCCCCUGGGUUUCUCCUCGUUGCUUCGUACUUCGUUAUUGUGAGUUGCUAAUAAUAUAUUAUGAAUUGUAGCUGAAUUAUGGGAAUUAAGUUAAAUUUUGGAAAUUGGGUUUUGAUUUUGUAUCCAUCUGGUAUUAAAAGUUGCUUGCUUUGGAGAAUUAGCUGUCAUUGUUUGGUAGUAUGGCAAGGAAAAUAAACUUAAUUUAUGUCGAAAGGUUACUUUUUAAUUAGUUAGCUAUUCAAGUUUGAUUAGUUGUAUUUAGAGAAAUUGAUUGUACUAGGUGAAAUGAGAUCAAAAGAUUAACAAAAGUUACUUGAUGGUUUCUAGCUUUUUAGCUGAAAUAAAGUCCUGUAUGAAAUGAUAUAAUAUUUUAGUUUUCUAUUAUGGCUUGUUUUCCUUGCAAAGUAUGAAUCUUGAAUUAGUUCCUGCCUCCCUCUUCUAAUUCUCCUUACCCAUUUCUAGUUGAAAGUUAAUUGAAAUUCCAUGUGAUUUUGUGUUAUAAUUCCAGUUCAUAAUCUGAAUGGAGACAAUAAAUUUGGAUGAAGGAGCUUUAAGCAGUGGGAAAAAUCCAUAAUAAUUUGUAAUUCUCUAAAUCUCUAAACAAUCUUACAUCUCUUUGUCAUGCCUUUCAAACAUAGUUGGUAUAACUAUGUUCAAUUGUCUUAGCUAUUGUUUAAUCAUUUUUAAUUUUUCAUUCCCCCUGCUCCCCCAAAAAAAAAUGUUUGUCUGAGCAAUGAGUCUUUCUCAAAAUCAAUUUCCAAGGCCAUUUUAUUUGAUUAUGACUUUGUGAGUAAAACAUGUUUGUAUUUGUUAGGGAACCGCAGUAACAAAAGUGAAAAUGGCUCAAAAGGAGGCCCAAGGGAUUGCUGAGAAGAGGAAAGGAAGAAGAGGACCUGGGAGUGUAAUUGGGUCCAGUGCUGCUGGUUGUGUAUGUGCUGUUCUAACAAUAUAUGGAGUUGGAGGAGAGGCAUUUACACGUCUUUGGCAACUUGGUUUUAUUGCUAGUUUCUGUACUAAGUUGAGUGAUACAGUGUCCAGUGAGAUUGGGAAAGCAUAUGGCAAAACAACGUAAGUAGUGCAUCUCUGUUUGUUAAUGUAUAGGCGCUUUAGAUUAACUGUAUUAAUAAUUCUCCUUAGUUCAUUCUAAAGAAAGGAUAUUUCAAAUCAAGUGGAAUUUAGAUCCCUUAUGGUUCUUGCUAUAUUCGAGCUCUAUUAUUGUCAUAUAUGCUGGUGAUAAAGGUCGCUUUGACAUCCUAUAUAGAAACAAAAUUUGUGAGUGUUAAUAUUGCCUCAAAUCUUUUUUUUUUUCUUCAAAGGUUUAUGUCAAUUGCUACUCUCUUUUUUUUUUACUGUUAAACUACACUUUAGAAUUGCAAAUAUAAAGUGUGUGAUGUGCCAAAAUGAACAGGUACCUGGUGACAAACUUUCAGAUUGUUCCUAGGGGAACAGAAGGAGCUGUCAGUGUUGAAGGAACUGUUGCUGGACUUCUAGCAUCUAUACUGCUUGCCACUAUUGGUUGUCUAUUGGGUGAGGUAGUACUUGCUAUGUACUCAUACUAUGUGAAUAAUUUGUUCUGCCAUUCAUGAUACCAUUUUUUUUUAAUAACAAGCAUUAUUGUGAUCAUUACAAAAUGUUUACACCUUGUAAGAACCUGGAAUUUUUUCUAGUCUCUGCAACAAUAGACUAAUUGGUGGGGUGGUGCCUAGAUGGAAUGAUUUUGCAGAUAUAAUUUGUUGAAGGUGUUUUUCAAAGGGAACUCUUAGCAAAAUAGCAGAUCAUGAUAUAUUUAUAAAUUGAUUUUGACAUCUCAGUUUAGGCGUGUACGACCUUUGUGAGCAUUAUUUUGCUGGGAACUUAAAUUUCAAUUUAAUAUAGUUCAGGUAUUACAAUUUGGUAAAUUGGAUAAUAUUUUCAAGGGGAAGGAGAAUUAAAUUAGUUGAAACCGAUUUUUAUUGUUAGUGGUUUUUUGUAUGUGAGUGGAUGAGGUUGUCUCUCUAGCCUUGCUGCAUCUUUAGCUAGGAUUUUCUCAAAAAUCUUGUAUAUAUCCCUAAGGUUAUGGUGUUGUUCAUAGUAUUGACGCCAUAACCUCUAUACACUUUCAAACUGAAUAUGAUCAACAGCUUCUAGAGAAUGCAUAAAUGAAAUAUGGGUAUUUGAAUUUAUAGAGAUGUUCUAAGCUUCUGUUUUUUGCUUUUUCAUUUAUCUUUGCAAGCAGAUAAAUGUACCUGAGGUAUUGAUAUGUGUAAUAGCAUCCCAGAUUGCUAAUCUUGGUGAGAGCAUAAUUGGUGCUGCAUUCCAAGGGAAAGAAGGAUUUCGUUGGGUAAGGAAUCAUUUGAAUAAUAGGAUGGUUUCUGUCAUCCUGUUUUCUUAACCAUUUUUUCUUAAAUUUAGUGCCUAUGUAUCUUCUAGAUUUUAGUGUUACCGAUGAAUCAGGCUUGAUUCUAUAUGAAUGUAUGGUUUGAUGUGGUAUAUCGAUGAGAUGAUUACAUGUAUAUCAUUUUGUGGACUCUCAUCAUGUUUGGAUCUGGCUGCACUCCUAAAGCUGUAGUGAGGAAGAAUUAUAUACCCACUGUUUUGGGGUAAAGAAGAUCGAAGAGUAAAUUUAGAGAGAUCAGCCUGUUAUAAAACUGCCUGCUAAGGAUUAAUUCUAGUCUUAAUUUUCAUUCGAUGAAAUCACGGUAUUGUGCAUGUAAAAGGCUGUUAUGUUGGUCUGAUUCUUCUUUUUGCUUUGAAGUAUCCAUGUUCAACAUAUAGUCACACAAGAAAUAUGGAGAUAUGACCUUCAAGAUACAUGAUAAACUUUAGCACAAAUCUCUAUCAGACACUUACCUGAAUUUGAGCGAAAUAUCUGGGUUGGCCAUAUAUAAAUCUGCCUAGGAUCUAUCAUCUUAGCAUGUUUAUAUGCUUUUCAUUAUAAGGCUGAAACUUGGAUUCUUUUACCAUAUUGAUUUUGGUUUUCAUCUUGCAGCUGAACAAUGAUGCUGUUAAUGUCAUCAACAUAUCCAUAGGCUGCAUUUUGGCAGUCUUAAUGCAACAACUACUCCAAAACUGGCAAAUGUAAGUUCACCCCAUCAUCUCUUUUGCGAUGUCAGGUAAUUAUUGCAGAGUUCAUCGACACUGCAAUCGACAUAUUGCAAUGUGGGGAAAGAAAAGAAGAAGAAGAAAGAGAAAGUCUUCAAUGUAAUGCAAGAGAUGAGCACAAAGGUGCAACAAUUAUAGCAAUGAUUUUGCUAACCUUGAAAGAUACUCAAAUGAUAUGGAAAAUCAUUAGCAUAACCAUUUGUUCCAUGAGUAUAUUUUAAAAAGGCUUCUCUCUUUUAUAGUCUUGGUAUUCAAAGAUGUAUUCCUUUUAUCAAUCUCCAGUUAGAAAUGAAUUAGAUGCUUUUUAAAUUGCAUUUCUUAACCAAAAUUAUUGGCUUUUUUUUUAUUGUUGUUGAGCCGCACUGGAUUUAUGGGUGUAAUUGAAGCACAAGCUUGACUUGGAACUUUUAUGUUCAAAGUUCGGCCCGGGCCCAAGCUUGAGUUCAAUUAAGCCAUUUGUGAAUAUAUCAACCAAUUGUUCCUUUGUAAAGACAUGUCUAGUUUGGACUAAACCAUCUUGGAUUUUUUUUACAAGGUGAGAGUCAAUCUCUAUAUGUUUCGUUCUCUCGUAGUAUUCAGGGUUGGUUGCAAUCUGAAUUGCUGCUUGACUAUCAUAGAAUAAUAUGAUUGGUUCUACUCGUUUAAAUCCAAGUUCCUUCAGUAGUCCAGUCAACCAAACUAACUCAGCCAUAGUUCUAUACUUUGCCUUUGCUGAAGAUCGUGAUACUGCAUUUUGUUUUGUUUUGUUUUUUCCAAGAGAUGAGACUUAAAACUUCUGGAGGAUGGUCAGGAUGGGUGUUUGGUUUACAAGGUAAAGAAAACGGUGAAGGUGGAGUUUGUGAGGUUUUCUUUUUACCUUUCCCUUUGGAGGAGGAUGAAGGUUGGAUCAUGAAAUUUUCUGGAAGUUUUUCUGGUGGUCUAGAAAGAAUGUCUGCAAGAACAUUGGUUUUCCCUUUUAUGUGGAGGACAUUCUGUCACUAAUCGCUUUGACAUUGGACUUGAAGCCCAAUUCGAAUCACAAUAUGCUACAAGUUAUGGAGAACCAACUACAGCACAGAAUAAACCUUGUCCUGGAUCCUUUUUAAUGUAUCUGACUAUUCUAAGAGCAGCUUUAUAAUGCGACUUCUUGGGUCGUUGCAUAAACUGACUGGAUGUUGUACCACAAACGUCAUAUCUAGCCUUGUAUGAGUCAAGUACAAAAGCCUUCUAAUAAGCCUUUGAUAUAAUGAAACAUCUGUCAAUACCUCAUCAUCAUGAUUCAUUUGCACCAUCUCAUCUUACUGGAGAUGUCAAGUUUUGAUUUUGUUCUAAAGGAGUGACAACUAUCUUUCCUCCCCCUUACCUCGUGUCUGAAAUUAAUUCAAGAGCAUAUUUGCGUUGAUUCAGUACAAUUUCAAACUGUGAUCUUGUGAUUUCAAUGCCAAGAAAAUACUUUGAGAUCACCUAAAUCUUUCAUUUUGAAAUUUUGAUGCACAGUUCCUUUAAGCUCAUUUAUAAGCUUGGUAUCAUUUCCAGAAAUCAACAAAUCGUUAACAUAUAUCAACAUGACAACCAGCUUAUAACCUUUCUUCUUGAUAAAACGAGAAUAAUCGUACUUACUUUGUGAAUAACCAUUUAGAAGAAUAGCUUUAGUAAGCUUUAGAUUCCACUGUCAGACUUAGCAAUUGACAUACUCUAGUCUCUCUUUGAUUGCGAAAAUCGUCUGGAAGAGUCAUAUAAACCUUCUCAUGUAAAUCUCCUUGCAUUAUAGGCAUCCAUUUGAAACAAGGGCCAACCAAACUAUACAGCAAGAGCAAUGACCGUGCAAAUUGUGACUUGCUUCGCAACAGGGGAAAGUGUCAUGAAAAUAAAAAACCUGCCUGCUGAGUAUAACCCUUCCUAACAAGUCUGGCUUUAAAUCUUUCAACCGAGCCAUCAGAGCUGUACUUGACCUUGUAGACCCAUAUGCAACCAAUGGGCGUUUUACUAGGAGGUAAAGGAACUACCUCCCACGUGACAUUUGAUUCCAAUGCUUGAAUUUCUUGAUCCAUGGCCUUUAUCCAAUGUUUAUCCUUAAUUGCUUCACUUUAGGUUUAAGGUUCAAUAAUAUGGGAAAUGGAGGCAGCAAAAAAUUGUGUAUGCAAAGGUAAAUGAGCAUCAGCUAUACAAUUAGAUAUAGGGUACUAACCUUUAUGGAGUGAAGAAGAUAAAGAAGAGCAAUUUAAAUCUUUCAUCCAUGUAGGAUCCUUAAAAGAACGAGUAGUGCGAUGUAAAGACAGCUGGUAAGGUAGUAGACUACGAAGGUAAUAAGGACUGGUUGGGAAAUGGAGCUGAAGAACGACAAGGAGCUAAGGAUGAACAUUUCAAAUGGGAUUUUUCCAAUUCAAAGCUGAAGUAGGUAAUCUGUUAACAAUAUAACAAGCAGCAAGGAUACACUCGCCCCAAAAUUUGGUAGGUACAUUAGACUGAACUUUGAAAGCACAUGCUAUUUCUAACAAAUGUCGAUGCACACAAGAACUUUGAUGUAUUAUGCCUAAGAAGAAAAAAAAGGAGUAUAUUCAGAGUUAAAGAACUCAGUACUUAUGACUUCCAAAAGUUUUAACAACAGUUGAAAAUUGCGUGUGAACCAAGGCUAUAAACUGUUUCAAAAUGACAAUAGUGUCGGUUUUAAGCUUAAACAGAUGAACCAAAGAAAAAGGAGAAUCCGCUCGAGAAUAACUAAUAGGAAAUGGCAAUCGUGUUUGUUUAGUAAGAGGACGAACAUGGCAUGGACUAAUAUAGUCACUGUUCCAAAAUGAAAGAAACAUGGCCAAGUCCGGCAUGCCAAAGGAAAGACUGAUCAUGAGAUGUCAAAAAGGAAGAAAUGGGAGAAGAUACAAAAGAUGGCAAUUGAGGCUGUUGAUGCACCAGAAUGUAAAGAUCAUUCUGUUCUUUACCAAUCCCCUUCACUUGUCCACUGCAAAGUUGCCGUAAAAGGCAAAAAUCGGGAUAAAAGGAUACAAAACAAUGUAAGUCUCGAGUUAACUUGAAAACGAAAAUUAAAUUGAAAUGAAAGUCUGGGACAUGAAGGGCAUUGGUUAACUUGAUAGAGGAGGACAAGACAUAGGAACCCAUGUGAGUAAUAGGGACGGAUUUACCAGUGGGAAAUUGGACAAAUGAAGAAUGAAAAGUAAAAGGAACAAGAGAAUCCAAAUAUUGGCAAUCAGAUAUCAUGUGGUUGGUGGCCCUCGUCUCCAAAAUCCAUUGGAAAGAUGCAGGCCAAGAAACCAUACCUGCCAUGUGAGCAGCUACUCCAACAGUUGAAGUGAACUCAAGACUGAGUAAAUUCAAGAUCAGUAGAUACUGUGCCUGAAUAAACACAGGUGCAAAUACUAUGGUAGCAUUGUUAGUCAUAGUUGACCUUUGUUUUGUAAAUUUAAAAUCAACAGGAUACCCAAUAAGCUUCUAACAAGUUUCCCGUUUGUGACCUUUAAUCUUUCAAUGGUCACACACAUCUUUCAAUGGUCACAGAAUACAAUGUUGUAGGUUCAGAAGGAAAAGAUAUGCCAGAAGAAUGUUGUCUUUGAGCUUCCUCUUGAACAAGCACGGAAUUAGCUUAAUUAACAGAAGGUAAGGGUUCCAUUAACAAAACCUGACUUCCAACAACAGCAUAAGAAUCAUUCAGGCCCAUCAGAAACUGAAAUAACCACUGUUGUUGAAUAAGUUGUUGAUUCAUGCGGGAAUUUUCACAAGAAAAAGAACCAAAGCAUCGUAAUCCCACAAAAGCUUCAAUCGUGUAAACAAAACUGAAACAGAGUAAGUACCUUGAGCAUGGGAAGCAAUCUCACCAUGAAGAACCAUCGACUUUCUCAUAUCGUUCUUGAAGUUCUUUCCAUGUUGACAAAAAUAAACUGUGCGGUAUAAUUAUAUAAUUAACGUCGCUCAAAAUUAACAUAAAAUUUCAAUAUUUGUAAAUUCGAAUAAAGAAGGUGAAAUUCAAUUAUAUUACUUUAUAUACUCAGUGCUUUCUAUGUAAAUUAUUUUCAUUAUUUUAAAUAUAAAAUGUUUAUAUUAACAUGAUAAAAAAUAAAUUAAAUUAUAAAUUAAAUAAAAAAUAAAAUUCAGUUUUAGUUACAUUCAAAUACUCGAUUUUUGGGGUUUUCUGCGCCCUAAUAGUAGGAAAAGAAAAUUCUCAUCAAACCCUAAAGCCCAUAAAAGAAAAAGUGAGAAGUUUAGUUGAUCUAUCAGAAUCUCAAGCACUCACCCUUAAUUUGCAGUAAGUUGCGAGUCUGCAAUUCUUUAGACCCCUUUUCUCAAUUGAUUUUCUUCUUUAACCAAUCGUUUCUCUCGCGCUCUGUUUCUUUUAGGAUGGCCGAUGAACAUAUUUCCACAGUCCUGGAGCAGCUACGACGAAUCAUGGCCGACGAAAGAUUUCGGAACUCGGAGUUUCAGAUAAACUUGCUUGUAUGGAGACUCGAAGCUUUUCAAUCUAUGAUUCUUUAACAUGGGGACGGGCUAUUUUCGGUUCGGCUAUUGGAGCGUGGGAUUACUGUUCAUGCACUCGAUCAAGUGCUAUAUAACAUAGAAGAUGUAAUUAACGACGUCUUACAUUUAGGAGUAUCUACUGAAUUAGCAGCAGCAGGCCUUGAGAAGUUUGCUUCUACUCAAUCAAAAGCAGCAUCAGCAGAAACAGCCACUCUUUACAUCUUGCGCAAGAGGUUGGAAGAAUUGGAGGAGGUAUUGAUUGGUAAUCCGCAUGAAUCGCAUCCCUUGCACUCUAAACGAUCUUUUUUUGUAAAAUUGUCAAAGUUAUAUGGUCUAGAUGUGGUUAAGAAAGAUAUAAUAAAUGUAAUUUUGGGUGAAAGUUUCAGGGAUAGUAGCGACAGCAUUAAAACCAUCAUUAUUGUUGGCAUGGAAGGAACGGGGAAAACAUAUCUUGCGCGGUGCAUUUGUACUGAUUGUCAAGUUCUGGAAAUUUUUGACAACAUAAUUUGGGUGAAUGUUUCGGAUGAUUUUGAUUUAGGUAAAAUUGCAAGAAAAAUUAUUCUGUCUCUUGAAGGUUUGGAGCAUGACUCUUUGCGUCUCCUAACAUUAGUUCCAUUGCAAAGUCUGUUAGAUAGAAUUCAGCGAAAGAUUGUUAACAAGAAAUCACUUCUUGUUUUAGAUGGUGUGGGGAGAUAUGAUUGUGAUGAUUGGGAAGCACUUAGAGCUGUUUUUCAACAUGGCAUGUCGGGGAGUGGGAUUCUAGUGACUACUCAUGAGCACUCGGUUGCAGGAGCAAUGGAAUCAUCUUAUAAAUUUUGUUUGGGAAAGCUGUCUGAUGAGUUGUGUUGGAUGAUACUUCGUGAAGUUGGAUUGAAUGAUGAUACUCUUGAAUAUGCGGUAGAGGAUAUAGGAAGGGAACUUGCAAGGAGGUGUGAAGGACUACCCUUUGCUGCAAAGGUUUUGGGAGAUGCUAUACGACAUUAUGACUUUGGAAUAAGAGGAUGGGAUGUUUUUCUGAGAAAUUGUAUCUGGAAAUCUCCUAGAAUACCCAAAUAUAUGUCUAAAAUUCUAUCACUAUCUUAUUGCAAUCUACCUUUGUCUGUAAGACGGUGCUUAUCGUAUUGGGCUAUCUUCCCCAAAAGCUUUGAGAUUUCAAAAACUCUUUUGGUGCAACACUGGAUGGCACAAGGUUGUCUGUACUCAUCUGAUAAUUUAGAAAUGGAACUAAAAGGUGAAGAGUACUUUAAAUGCUUAGAAGCUCAUUCAUGUUUCCAAUAUUGUACCAGAGAUGGUGGUAUGCUUACUUGUAAGAUGCAUAGCUUAGUACAUGAUUGUGUCCAAUCUUUGUCCCCAUAUGAUUUAAUGAUGAGGUUCGAGUCUGUUAAACAGCUGACCUUGAAUUUAUCUUCUUGGACGGAGGAGGUCAAAGUUGUUGGCACUCAUCAUUUGGUAAUGAUGAUUGCUCAAGGAGCUGGUUUUCCCAUGGACAUUAGUGGUGCAGAGAAAUUGAGGACCCUUGUUGCUGUUACUCAAGGGUGUUUGAUAACUAGUCAAGCAUUAUCUAACUUAUUUAAACAAUCCAAACAUCUGAGGUUAUUGGAUUUGAGCUUGACUAGUGGGUGGCAUAAUUGUUUUGGGCCAUCCGGACAAGGUAAUAUACUAGAUGAAAUUCCGGUGGAAAUCUGCAGAUUGAUUAAUUUGAGGUACCUUAGCUUGGCUGGCAGCAAAGUAUUGAAGAUAUUACCAGAAACAUUGUGUGACUUGCAUAAUUUGCAAUCCUUGGAUCUUACUGGUUGUAGUAGUCUUAGAAAAUUGCCAGAUGGAAUGGGGAAAUUAAUGAACUUGAGGUAUUUUUAUACCUGGUGUUGCUCUAGUAUAACUUCCUAUCCAAAAGGGAUUAGCUGCUUAACUUCUCUUUGAGAAUUAACCAAUGUCAUUGCUAGAGCUGAUCACAAUGAUGCAAAGGAAUUCACUCUUGGAGAUUUUGAAAAGUUGAACAACCUUUGUGGACAUGUUCGUGUGAAACUGGUAGGGAAUGCGAUGGAUGCAGAUGAGGCUAUUAGAGCUAACCUUUGGAACAAGAAGGAUCUUGACCGUAUCAGAAUAAAUCUGGAUGGGGAUAUAGGGAAAGAAAGCCAAGACGUUAUAAAGAAAGCAUUAAACCCGCCUUCCGACUUGAAUAUAGAGUUCGUAGGUUGGUGGUUCUAGUCCAGAAAUGUAAGGAUGCUGCAAAGCAACAGGUAGUCUCUCUGUCUCAUUUUCUCUUUUGUUGUAGCUUUGAUGGUUCAAAUUCAGUAUUUACUCCUAUGAUUCAUUCAAACCCAAAUUUCAGUUGUGUUAUAGUAGUUCUAGUUUCUGUUGUUAUCAUCUGAUUAGAUGGAAUAUUAUGAAAUCUCUUAUAACAUUACAAUGACAAAGAUAUCGGCUUGUCUAUCACAUGAAAUUUCUCUCUUGCUAAAGCAUGCUCUGAAUGAAUCACUUUAAAACGGCAAGAUAACUUAGAUUAUCCUUAUUUUCUUUUGCUGGACAUACAUAUCCCGUGAGAGACAUUGUCGUUAUCGGUGGUACUGUAGUUAAAGUUGGAGUAUAUUUUUAGUAUUUUAGUUUUUAUAUUAGGAUUUAAUCAGUUAUUAAGAUGGAUUUUUUCUGGAAAAAACAUGGAUACUUUUUUCUAAAAUUUUUUAUUAACUCUUUUGAAAUUUGUUAAAUUUUUAAUUAUUUUUAUUAGUUUUUGAAUUUUUAUGAAUUAUAGGUAGGCUACCACACGAAUUGAUCACGUCAAUAUUGUUAAAAUUUUAAUAAUCUUUUUAAUUCAAAAGAAAGUAAUAUAACUAAAUUGUAAAGGUUAAGUGUAAAAGUCAAAAUGACAAAAUAAGUCAACAUUAAAAGAUUAAAUUUAUCACGAUGCCUUUUUUAUAUACUCAUAAUUAAUUAUAAUAAAAAGUUAACUUUAUUCAGAUAUAUUUGUUAUUUUAAAUAAAUAUUCAGAAUACAACUUGAAAAUAAUCUCAUGUUUAUAAUUAUAACACGAAAACUUUACUUACUAUAUAAUGGAAGAGUAUUUGGUAUAUUAACAGUGUGCCUUUUUUUAUUGCACAAGUAUGUGUAAAAGAUUGAUAUAUGUCUUUAUUUUUUAAUAUUUUAUUAUACUUUCUAAGACACUUGUCAAUCUUUUAACUUUGCUUAUAAAAUUUAAAAAUUCCACUAAUAAUCUCACCUAGCAAAAUGGAUUAAAAACAUUUAAAGUAAUUUAGUUGAAUUAUGAUAAAAGGUCAAUGUAUUCUAAAAUGCUAAAUGGCAUAAAUUUGAGUUUGUCAAAUUCUCUAGCAUUGGGAGGUAAGUCAAAUUGCAAACUAAGUUGAAUAUUUUUUGGCUUUUCAGUAAUCAUAUUCAUGCUAAUAUUUUUAGAUUUAAUUCUCACUUUCAAUAUUAAAAGAGGGUUCAAAUGCAACUUGGAGUCAACAUGAACAUGAUACUUUGAAAACCCUAAAGGGCACUUGCACUCUUGUUUUGGAGGUGAGGUUAAGAAGACCUACAACAAGUUUUAAUAGAAUUUGAUAUAGUUGAAAAAGAUUCAGAGGAAAAUGGUACCAAAAUCUACAGUCGUGGAAUACGAUGACUGUAUUAAAAUAUAUGAAAUUGGUUGAUGGUUUUAUUUAUUGUCUCUUAAUAUUUUAACUAAUCAAUUAAGUAGUAAUGAGAAGGACAUGACACUUAAUCAUUAUAGUUUCUAGUUAAAGUUUAGGAAGAUGCAUUGACAUCAAUUCACUAAUUUUUUAUGAAAAAUGUUUUUAACCGGUUCAUAUCCCCAAUACCAUUGAACGUUGAAUCAAAUGGUUUUGUUGAUUAGAGAAAGACACUAAGAAAUGUAGAGGAACAUGUAUGCGUAAGAGAGAAUUUGAGGCACAUUUAAUAAGUUAACUUUGGAAAUUUUAUAUGUGGAUAAUAGCAACGAAGAAAGAGACUGUUGAGAAUGAUCAAACUUGGAGCAUAUGUUUAGAUCCAUGUGGAGGUACCUAUUAGGUAAGUGAAACAAGCAAUUGAAAUGAUGGAGAGUUUAGUACACCGGUAUCGUACUAUGAUAAUUUAUGGUCAUUUUUAAUUAAUACAAGUCAAAAAUAAUAAUAUUUAAUAAACCUAAAAUUAAUGGGCAAAUAGUGAUGAGUUAUCCUAAAAUAGAAUUGAAGAGGAUAAGGUCCUACAAUUAAUAAUAAGAAAAGUGAAGACUCUUUGAAAAGAUUAAGGAUGUACUUUGAUUAAGAGUGGUUAUAAAAAAAAAAAUUGGGGGGAAGGGAUAGAGUGGAGUAAGGAAAGUGGUGUGAUUGCCCAUUAACAUAAGUAAGAAAUAUGCGAAUGAUUGCCCAUUAACAUAUAGAGUAGGUAAAAUUGACUUGUUUUUCUAGAAAGACAAUAGAUAAGCCUAAAAAGUUAUAAAAAGUAAUUGUUAAAAUAGUUAAAAUGAGAGGAAAAAAUAAGAUAUUUUUGUUUAUGAGAAUUAAGUGUCGUGAGUCGGGACGAAAAGAUUAAUCAUUGUUACGACAGUAAAUACCUUGAUUACAACGAAAAAGAUAAAAUACCAUUUUACUUUAUAGAAAAUUCUCAUGAUUUUAUAAAAUAUACCAUGAAUAUAUUAAAUCAUAUAAAAAGCGUAAUUCUAUAACUCAUACCUAAUUUAAAUACAGGAUGGUAUUUAGAAUGAUUAUAAGAAAAUGCUUGUUCAUGAAUGUUGUGAGUUUUCCGAAUCUUGGGGACAAUGUACCCUCUGGCUCCCGUCAGGAUUCACCUGGUAAUUUAUAAAAAGGAAUAAACAAUCACUUGGUAACUCACAACUCACAAGGCAUAAAAUAUAAUCACGUCAAGCAGCAAAACACAAACCUUUUUUAAUAUUCCAAUCUAAUACAAGUGAUAAUAUCAACUCUUAGAGCCCUAACUCUUAAAGUAUCAGCACAUAAUUUUAACCACUUACUUUUAAUAAAUACCACCAUCACUACCAUUAUCACCAUCGACAGAGCCUCUCAAUUCAUAUGUCCUGCAAAAAAUGGUGUCAACACUAACAAAAAAACCAAAAUUAUAUCAUUAAAAUAUAUUUGUAUUUCUUAAAAGGCAGAUCAUUCAGUUUUUCUGGACAAGUUUCCCUAUGCAAUCUAAUACAAGUGAUAAUAUCAACUCUUAGGGUCUGUUUGAUUGACGGAAUUGAUUUUCCGGAAAAUCAUUUCCAACUUUUCCAGCGUUUGAUUGGCGGAAAACAUUUUCCAUUUGGAAAAUGAACUCCAAAACAAGGGAAAAUGAGUUACAUUUUAGGGAAAAUGUCUUACUCUUUCAAUUUCUAUAAUUUUAGGCUUUUCCCACCUACCUCUAAUUACACAAAAUAUUUUCAGAUUUAAUUUACUAAUUUUGGCUUUUACAAGGUCAAGAUUUGACUAUCCCAUCAAAUGUCCCAAAUUUAUAAUUUGGUCCCUCUUCUCUUUUCCAUGCUUCAAUCUAACCCCUUCUUUGCUUGUUUUUGAUUUAAAGUGCCCGAAUUUUGUUCCUGUCAAUAUUUAAACACAAAACGCACCAAUUACCAGGGAUUAAUUUGAGAAUAAGUCGAGUUGAACACGUAAAUUAUGCAAAAUGAACAAGUUAUCAUUGACCAUUAGUGCUACGUCAGCACAAACAAACGGUGUUAGUGCAGAGAUACCAACCUAGGUGACAGAAUAUAAAUUCAGGUACCAAUUAGAUAAAAAAAAAUCAUACACCAAAUAAAUACUUUUGAAUAAGUUCGAAAAUAGACGACAAAUUAUCCUUUCUUUUCUCUUUUUAUCUACCUGUAAUAUUUGAAUAUGAAAAGAAGUUACACAACUUUUCAAUUUCAAUAGUAGUUAUUUAACUUUGCCUAGUUGAGUUUUACAUAAAAUUUCUUUCUUUCGUUGAACAUGCUCUCAAUGAAUCACUUCAAACCCCCAAGAUCCUAAUAUUUUGCAGAACAUAUCAAUUGAGAGGCUCUAUCGAUGGUGGUGGUGGUGUUAGAAUCCGUUUAUGCUGGUGGUAGCAUUUUGUAUUUUUUUUUAUCGUAUUUAUUAAAAAUAAGUGGUUAAAAUUACGUGUUGAAAAUUUAAGAUUUAGAGCAUAUCGCCACUCGUAUUAAAUUGUAAUAUAAGCAUCGAUUGUAAAAAGAAAAGUUUGUGUUUUGCUUGUACUGUCUCAUAAAAGACAUUAAGUAAUUUCGUUGUCGUGUUUAUAUUUUAUGCCUUAUGAGUUACCAAAUGGUUGUUCAUUCCUUUUUAUAAAUUACUAGCCGAAUCCUCUUCAGUGAAGGAGCUUGAAAAUUUUUUGGGAGGGUCGGAAUUAAAUUGUAUAUUUGUAUGAUGGUAAAAAUAGAAUUUUAUAAUUUUAAUAGCUUAUAUCUUUAUAAUUUUUAAAAGGUUAAAUCAAAAUUGUAUCAUUUUAAGAGGUCAAAGUAUAGUUUUACUAUUACUAAUUUAAAAUUUUAUAAAUUAUAAAGGGCCUAAAUUAAAAUUUACUAUUUUAAGGGGGCUAUGGCGCCUUGGGUCUCCACUACAUUAUGCCACUGAUCCUCAUGGAAGACAGAGGCUACCUUGACCCCCAAGAUUUAGAAAAUUGCCAUUUGACCUUUUUAAUUUUAUAAAAUUUUUAAUUUAGUUUAUUAAAAUUCUGUAAAUUUUCAUUAAACAAUUUUUAAAACUUUUAAUUAGAUCUCUCAAAUUCUUUUUGGAAAUUCUUAUUUUCUCAAUUAAUUUUUUAAUUAAACUAUUCAGAAUUUUUGAUAAUUCUCAUUAAACCUUUUUAAAAUUCUCGAAAUUUUAAUUAAAUUGGUAAAAUUUGAAAAAUUUUAGUGAAGGGAAUCCCUCCCACAUAUUGAUCAAGAAAGCUUUGAAAAAAUAUUAAUUAAUUAUAUGUUUGAGAGAUUAAUAAUGUACUAUUUGGCUCCCAACAAUAAUAAUUCACUCUUAAUUUUGCUUCUUUUCCCUUUUUCUUUUACUUGUUUUUGUGAAAGAUAUCAUAAUAUAUGUUUUAAAUAAUUAAUGUAAUAAUAGAAAUAUUAAAAAAUAUAGUUAAUAGUAACAAUAUUUUAUACAAGCACAAUGACUUAUUCAAUUCUCCAAUUUUACAAAAAGAGACCAAUAAGUGAUUAGAUGUAAUGACAGGUCACAUUGCAUUCCCAAAAGAACUGCCUAAGUUCGAACAUCAUAAGUAAUAUAAAAACUUAAACAAAGUCAUGUAACAACCCAUAUAUCAAGUAUCACCAAAUACCAUUUCAUUCUUAUUCCAUUGUUUAGUUUCUAUUUUCAAUCAACUGAAUAUCGUCCGAUGGAACUAUAGCAAAACGGGCUCAAAUACACGGGAAUAAGUUGGUCACACAAGUUGACAGUAUAUUAGGGCUGCUCAGACAAGUUGACAUUACAACAGAAUUGCUCACAUAAACUGAUAUUAUAUCAAGGUUAUUCAUCUGGGCUAAACCUUCAAUAUGUAUAACCCGAGAAUUUGAGACAAGCCCAAGAACUCAUCCUAUGUAAAAGGGGUGCCAAACCCUAGUGCAUAGUAGGGUAUGUUGCCGCCCCUUAGUGUUUUGAAUAAAGGGGAACUGUAGUAUCAUAUUAAAACAAUACUAUUUAAUUACUCAUUAUUCAAGUAAAACUUUUGUACUAUUUUCCUAAAAUAGGAUCUAUGAAAUGAUUUAAUUACACCUAUCGCUGUUAUUUUAUCAUAAAAUAGUGGUAAUUUGUUUAUAAGAAUAAAUUCUAUAUUCUGAAAAGCUCAAAGUUUUCGAUUUCUAUAUAGAGAAUUAACUUUCUCACUAAAAGUUCAUGAAAGAUUGGUUGAACUGGGCAAAAAAAUUGGUCGAAUUAGAUGCGAUUGAACUGGUUGAACUAAAAUAUUUUAAUAUAUUUUUAUUUUUUAUGAAUUUUUUAUGAUUUAUUUAAUUGAAUUAGACUAAUCAAUCAAACCAAUUGAAUCAAUUGGAUCAACAAACUAGUAACCUUAUUGGUUUGAUCAUCGAUUUAGUUUUUAAAACCUUAGAUUUCGUCAUACCGUUUCAAUUAUUAUACCUUAUAAAUAAAAUAUAAAGUAAACCAGUGGUGAAAUUAGGGGGAUUGGCAAGGGCCCUGGCCCUCCCUAAAAUGAUUUUUUUUUUCAUAUGGACCCUCUAAAAAAAUUAAAAUUUUAAAUUAAUAAAAAUAAAAUUAUACUUUGGCUCCCCUAAAAUAUAAAAAUUUGAUUUAAUCUAUUAAAAAUUAUAAAGAUGUAGUCUAUUAAAAUGGUGAAAUUGUAUUUUUCUAUCGUAAAAAUUACAAUUUAAUUUUAGCCCAUAAUUUUUUUUUUCUAAUUUCGCACCUGAAAUAAGCUAUAUUUGAUUAAAUUUAUUAUUUUACCUUACAUACAAAACACAAAAUAAACAUUUAACUAUACAAAAUUAAUUGAUGAAUUGUUUUACUCAGUUGAAAGUAGAACAAAUAAUUGAUCCAAGAGGAAAGUGAAAUUUAUCCUUUUAUACGUCGAACAUUAGCGAAAAGGACAAAAAAGAAAUUUUGGGUUAUUUGGCUUUUGUUUCCUGCUGCUCUCCUCAAUCCAUUGACGCUGUUUCACCCCCUUUCUCUCGAUUUCUCAAUGUUUCUUUUCCUGUAAUUUGUUGUGAUUUGAAGUAUAAAUCAGGGAGAAGUAAAAGCUAUCAUAAAAAUGGCGGAGGCAAUUCUUACGGUAGUCUUGCGACAGAUAACAACAAUCUUGAGUGACCAAGCGGUAAAAGAGAUGACGAUGUGGGGAGACCGCGAGGCUGCUCUCAAAAAUCUUGAAACAUAUCUGAAAUCCAUCCGAUCCGUUCUCAAAGAUGCAGAGGACCUUCAAAUUACAGACGAUGCAAUCAAACUGUUGCUAGAAGAUCUGAAAAUUGUAAUUUAUGAAAUCGAGGAUGUGUUGAAUUUAUGGAGCUGUAAAGUACGGAAGGCAGAAUCUGUUCGUGCCAAGGUAAAUUGUCUACUUGAAUUCAUUGCAUAUCGUCGUAGUUCUGAUAGAAUAAAGAAGAUUUGUGAAAAACUGAGUCCAUUUGAGCUGAAAAACAAGCUGGAUCUGGGCAAGAGUAAAAUUAUAUCUCCUCUGCGGAACAAAGAAAGUACUAGCUAUUGUGAUCUAUCAAAAAUUAUUGGUCGAAGCGGAAUAAAAACUGAGUUAGUGUUCCGUUUAGUUUNNNNNNNNNNNNNNNNNNNNNNNNNNNNNNNNNNNNNNNNNNNNNNNNNNNNNNNNNNNNNNNNNNNNNNNNNNNNNNNNNNNNNNNNNNNNNNNNNNNNNNNNNNNNNNNNNNNNNNNNNNNNNNNNNNNNNNNNNNNNNNNNNNNNNNNNNNNNNNNNNNNNNNNNNNNNNNNNNNNNNNNNNNNNNNNNNNNNNNNNNNNNNNNNNNNNNNNNNNNNNNNNNNNNNNNNNNNNNNNNNNNNNNNNNNNNNNNNNNNNNNNNNNNNNNNNNNNNNNNNNNNNNNNNNNNNNNNNNNNNNNNNNNNNNNNNNNNNNNNNNNNNNNNNNNNNNNNNNNNNNNNNNNNNNNNNNNNNNNNNNNNNNNNNNNNNNNNNNNNNNNNNNNNNNNNNNNNNNNNNNNNNNNNNNNNNNNNNNNNNNNNNNNNNNNNNNNNNNNNNNNNNNNNNNNNNNNNNNNNNNNNNNNNNNNNNNNNNNNNNNNNNNNNNNNNNNNNNNNNNGCAUCUUUCUAACACCAACAACAUUACUGCCAUCCUAAUAAACCAUAAGUACCAUUUCCACUCCAUCAUCAUCAUCAUCUUUCUGUUUUCACUUCUCUCUCAGCUAUAUGUUACUUUUUGUUAACUUCUAUAUGUAUAUAAUCUAAAGAAGCCUAAGCUUCUUAUUUAUAUACAAGCAGAACAUUUUGCAUCCCACUUAUUCAAUAUAAUAUAAAAAUAAUAUAUAAUUAAUUAAUUCCUCAAAAAUUGGAUCAAUCUAGGCUUCUUAUUUACGUAAAUUCCUUAUUGCAAAAACUCUUGGUAGAAAUUCGUUAGGAAAGGAUGAAUGGACCACAAGAAUGCUUAUCAACUCUUGACUUUGGCGUCCAAUGCUAAAUUUAUUUUAAAAUUUCUUCAUGGAGACAAGAUGGGAUGACAAGAAUGAUAAGUUUUAAGUCAUUUAAGUUUACACAAUUUUAAUCACUCAUAAAAACAAGUAUUGACAUUCUAUUAAAGAAUUUAAACAUGGCUUAACGUUGAUUUUAAAUCUAAUGUUGAUGUUAAUCUUGAAAAAAGAAUGGCCAAAAAAAAUAUGAAAAGUGAGAGGUGGACAUAAAAUAGUGUAGUUGGGGUUAUAAAAUUCUUCAUGUAGACAUAAUAUUUUUUUUAUGCCUUUUUUACACUUAUAUAGAGUUAGUCUUGACUUUGCUUUAUUAAUAGAAAUUUUAGGUCUUCAUUUUUUGUUUUAUUCAUGGACAUAAUAUUUUCUUAUUUUUAUUUUAUGGUCUAUGAUCGAGGUUUAUGACUAUCCCCUUUCAACAACGUCGUCUCAACUGUUCAAACAUACACUUGCAGGUAAAAUAAUACUUUUUAAAAUCACAAAUAUUUAAAAUAAUACAUUGCAGCUAUAUAAAUGCUUUCUUGUUUAAGAUACUAAUAAAGUAAUUAACAAAGUAAUUAUUAUACCUAUAAUAAUUCAAAAUGCCACUUGUUAUCUAAUGAAGUAUAGGGGUGUAAAUGAGACAUCCGUACCCGCAAGCUAUUCGAAUUUGGCUCAAAAAAUUUUGAAAUUGAUUCGGUAAUUAUUGAGCCGAGCUAUAGGUCGAUCCGGAUUCGAGCUUAGUAAUACUUGACUCGAGUAGUUUGAGAGCCUUAUUGAACUUUUUAUAUUUUUAUAUUAUUAGAUUACAUUAUUGCUAUUAAUAUAUAUUAUUAACCCUAAGUUUAAUUAUUGAGGCGAGCUCAAACUCGAGUACAAAAAUUGAUAAACAUAUUUAAUUUCGAGCUUAAAAAUAUAUGUUCGAUCGAGCAUCAAGCUUUGAAUUUCAAAUUAAACUUGAGUUUAACAGUAUUGAGUUCAAAUAGAUUCAAUUACACCCUACAAUAAAAUAUACCAACAAAACCUACAUUCCAUCUUUGCUAUAAAUUUUAUGUAUGUGUGUGUUUAACGUGAGUUCCAUCUAUGUCCAACUUGAUGACGAUGAAAGUUCCUAUGGUGUAAAAAGUUUUAGUUAUGUGGAAAAAUAAGGCCUUCUCUUCACACGUUUAAUAUGCUUACUUGUGUCGGUCAUUUCGAUCUUCACAUCAAUUUUCAAAAAGUUGGAAAACUUAUGUCUGCUUUUAUGAUUCUUUUAUGUGUGUGUUUAACGUGACUUCCUUGUGAGUUCCAUCUAUGUCCAACUUGAUGACAAUGAAAGUUCCUAUGGUGUAAAAAGUUUUAGUUAUGUGGAAAAUUGGUGGAAAACUUACGUCUUUUUCACUUGCUUUUAUGAUUCUUUUUACAUGAUAUUACUAUAUAAUUAAAUUGAAAUACUGAUAAAUUUGAACCCAUAUGAUGUAAGUCUAGGCAUCAUCUAAUUUAUUGAUAUUUAAUUAAUUAAUAUAUAUACUUUCAAUUAUAAGAAUUGAAACAUAACUUUCAAGUCAAUUGGAGUAUGCCCCUGUUACACGUCAAAAGAAGUAGAUUUUGAACUCAACAUGAACCUGUGAGAUUUGAUGCCUAAAAUAUAGGUAUAAGGUUUCAAUUCAUGGAAAUGUUGGAAAUCUUGGAAAUUUCUUAGUCUCCUCUCUUUGGAUGUUUUUGAACAAAAAUGUUUUAAGUCUCUUCCGAUGCUAAACUUCUGAUUGGUCGUCGGUUCACUGACCCUUUGGUACACAGCAAUAUGAAGCAUUGGCCAUUCAAGGCCAUUGCUGGUCCUGGUGAUAAGCCAAUGAUUGUACUACUAUAGAUUUGAAUAUUUGUACACAUUUGAUCGGCUCUUCGUAAAUUUAAAUCUUACAAAUUCGGAUAAUAUUUGAACUUUGAAUGUAUGUUUUGUUGGUGAGAAUAUAAAGUUGAUAAAGAUUUGGUAAAUAGAGUAAAAUAUUAUUUUUAUUAGAAAAAUUAUUUGGUACACUGCCAAUCGAGGUAAUUAAAACAUGUCAUUAUAAAUAAUAAAAUUAUGAUGACUCAAAUAUACGAACACGUCAAAAUUUAUGUACAACGAAUUAUUAACAUGUAAAUGUAUAAUACGGUACGCAAAAAUAAGAUAAUUGCUUGUUUUUUUAAUUGAAUUGUUAUAACAUAUUAUACAAAAUACAUUGUGACUUAAAGCAUAAAAUGAACUUGAUAUCAAAAUAUUAAAUUUUUUUUAAAAUUCAAUGAUACGAAUAAUUAUGUAAAAUAUAACAUGAUGCAAAAUAUCUUGAGAGGAAAAGAGGAAUAAAGAAUUGCAUUAUUUGUGAGGUUUUAAAAUAUUCCAGUUUUAGAUUCAAUUUUCUAGUAUGUUUGGUUUAAUUUUACAUUAGAUUUCCUUUUCAGUAUGCACUAGUGAACGCUUAGCAGUCAGUUUAAUUUAAUUCAAAGAGAUAUUGCAUAUACAUAAUAAUGGAUUAUGAUUUUACAUUAAAUUUCAUAGAAGAAAAAGAAAUAGAUGGUUGAAAAUGAUAAAACCAUAAGAUAAAAGAGCUUUUAUUCAAAAUGCAAAAAUCAACAAAAUAUUCAUUAUCGCUCAACUUAGCAUAAUUAAACAUUUAGGUGUGGAAACAAGUCACAAUUUGAGUAGCUAAACACAUUGCUUGAAAAUGUGAUAAGUAAGAAAAUUGCCCACAUUUGAGUAGCGACAUGUGGUGAAGCAUUUCCCAACGAGAGAAAACUAAGCUCUUCACCAGUAUGGAUUUAUGUAGAGGACAACAAAAAUUGUCAACAACACAACUACAUAAGAAACCAAAAAGCUCACAAAAAAAUCAUAAGUAUCUAUCAAACCAUCUUCUCCUUUAUCUUCUGAUACAAUUGAUAUCGCUGAUGGUGAAUCGGUUUUGGAACAACUUUUAUGCAAUAUAUCUCCACAACGAAAAGGAUUUCCCUCAUAACUGUUUUCAAUAAAGGUCCCAAAUUGAGCUUUUGGUUCGGGAAUACUACCUGACAAAUUGUUAUAUGCCACGCUGAAAACCUCCAAAGAGUUCAACUCUACCAAUUGAUUGGGGAUUUCACCACACUCAAGUUGUUGUAAGAAAGGUCCAAACUCUCAAUGUGCUGAAGUUUUGAGAAUGAUGAGGGUAUAACUCUGGUCAACUUAUUGUGUGACAAGUUUAAAGAAUGGAUUUCACUCAAGUUCCCUAAUUUUGGUGGGAUAUGACCAGUUAAGUUUUUGCAAGAUAAAUCAAUCCCAAUAAUAUAUGAAAGGAUGUUGCCCUUGUACGAAUAGAACCCACUCUUUGUUGUGAACUCUAUUACUUCUUCUAAGUAGCUGUCAGGGUUGUAAGGAUUUAUACCCCUUUCCCAUUUUCUCAUCACAAUGGAUGUUGAUUCAUCCUUUUCUAUAAAUGGAAGAUAGAACCCAGUUGCUAGACUCUCUUUCUCUUUCAGUGGAAGAGAUAAAUUUCCCAAACAAGAAGGUAUAGGACUAGAAAACAUAUUUUGAGAAAGAUCUAUGAUGCUUAAAGAAUGCAACUUGCAUAACUCAAUAGGAACUUUAUCAUGAAAAUGAUUAUCUUUCAGGAGAAGAACACUCAAAGAAGAAAGCGUGUAAAUCCAUUUUGGAAUACUACCUGUCAAAUUGUUUCCUCUAAGAUCUAAAGUCACUAUUGAAGAGUUAUUAUAAAAAAGCAAGUGAUAGUGUGCCUCUCAGUCUAUUCCCGUGGAGGUGGACAUGCUCUAUGUAUGGUGGAUUAAAACAUGACGGUAUAGAGCCAGAUAAAUUAUUUUGAGAAAGAUCCAAAAAUUCCAACCUAUUCAACUUUCAAAAUUCCAUUGGAAUAGAACCUUCAAAACCAUUGUUGGACAAAUUUAAUCUCCACAAAAAUGAUGCAUUCCCUAUCCAUCUUGGGAGCUUUCCAUGCAACUUGUUACUGAGAUCAAUUUCGCUUAGUGAAUUUGGAAACUCAAAAAGAAAUGUUCACACAAAGUUUUUUCCAACAUAUGUCUGUCAUUUGUGGGGUCUUGAAUUUAAUAUCAAUGGUUGAAUUUUCAUAGCUAAUAUGUGCGCAAAAGGCCUAGUGGGUGGAAUUUUAUGUCAGGAAAGCGUUUCUACAAUGACAUAAUUAAUUGCAUUACUUUUCAAAGAUUGACUAUUGACUUUGGUGAGCUUAUUAGGUUAAAUUCUGCUGCUGGUCACUGUUCUUUGUGAAAGUUGUAAAUUUAGUCUAUUUACUUCAAUUUGAUCAAUUUUAAUCCCUAUACAUUUUGAUUUUUAAAAUUUUAGUUGUGACCCAAACAAUAGAGUUAAAUCAAUUUAAUUAAAACCAAUUACUAGUCCUAUAUUAUGUGUACAAUUGUUGAUUUAGUCCAUACUCUCCAAUUGGAUCAUUCUAAGUACCUAUAUUUUUCAAAUUUUAAAAUUUCAGUCUUGAUGCAAAUGACAAUCCUUAGUCCGUUAACUAGAUUUUUAGUAACAUAUGAAAAUAAUAAGAUGAUAUGACAUUACAAAUAUGAUAAUAUUUUUGCGUUAAAUAUGUCAACAAUGACAUAAUUAAUUGCAUUAACUUUCAGACGUUGACCAUUGACUUUUGCUUCAACCUUGAGCUUAUAUAGCCCCUACAAUAAUUUAGGUUAUGGAAAUAAUCUUACAAUUAAUGCCUGAGAAAUUAUUAUAGAUCAAUUUAUAGUUUUAAUCCCUAUAAUUACUCAAUUGAAUUGAAGAUUCAGAUUUUCUUAUUUAAUUUGAUAUAUUUUCUUCUCUUAUUAAUGUUAAUGUUAUGGAUUAGUUUUUUUAAGACAACAUUAUUUUAUUCAAUGAAUAAUAUCAUACAAUUCGAGGAGAAAAUAACAAACACUCGUUGUACUCGUUAAAGGACAAGUUCCAUCAACACAACAAAACCUUUAACUUCAACAUUAAUAGAACAUUAUGGCAUGUUGAAAUCGGCUCUGUCACAACUCAAGCACAACAUAUCAGGAGUGAUUACAAGCACUUAAUAUGGUAAGAAAAUUAACCCCGGAUGGUCCAAAGCGGUGGGCAUAAAUCAGCAAAAGAACUGAGCAUCCACCAAACUAGAGGGGAUGCGGCGACAAAACUAACCCUAAAAUUACUCUCAAAAGCAAGACUAAAAAGCGUACUACAAGAGUAGACAAAAACUUCGAAAAGUAAAGACUUAUUAAACAAUGGAAAAAUAAACAAAAAAAACAUAUAAAACUUAAGAUAACAUGAGUCUAAACCGAGUCAUGAAAUUAUUUAUUAUUUUGAAACUCUCAAAACAUAAACAAAUUAAGAAGUCAACGAAGAGGUACCCACUUUCUAAAAGAAAGUGUUGGUGGUCGGUGGUGUUUCAAUGAUGAUAGGCAUUGUCACCUGUUCAUCACAACUUGUAAAGAUAACAAAAAUACCCACAAAAUAAAUCUGUAAAUUGAAAAGAACGAAGACUCAUGGAGUGAAUGAGAAGAAGAAAAAUAAAAAGGGUUAAUAGAGACAAAGCAGGGCGGUAACUAGUUCAGAGGCUAACACCGCUGCUAGGCUAAAAAAAGAAGAAGAAGCAAACAUGUUAUGGAUUAGUUAAAAUAACUAACAUCAUUGAAAAUUUCAUUACUUGGCUGAUUUGGAUUUUUUUUUUUAAAAAAUUGAAACUAGAAACCAUAAAUGAUCUAACAUUUAGAAACCAUAAAUUGGGUUCAAUUGCUUUGCUGUCCAACUCCAUCCAUCUAAAAUCGCAAGGAUGUACCCAUGUUCAAUAUGCAGUACAGACCCAAAAAUUGACCAUAUAAUGUGGCUCAAGAGAAUUUUCGAAUGGUUUUAAAGAAUUAUGAGAACACAAUGAAUAAAGUUAAGGCAUCAUUUAUUCAGCUUGCUAUAAUGCAGGUCAUUCCAAUAAAGAAGCAUUUUUUAACUAUAUUUUCCGUUACCCCAAUAACAAUGGCACAGAAUGUUCUCCGAUGAACAUAGAACUCACCAUUUUUAGGAACACGUGUAGUUGAGGAUGAGAAUUCGGAUCAACUGUAACUUCAAAUGGUGGAAUGAAAACAUUGUCCAGAAUAUUCUGAAAAGAUUUUUCAAUUCCCAUUUGCUUGUACACAUUAUACAAUCGUGGUGACUGCAGAAUUAAGUCAAAAUCAAGUGAAGAAGGUUACCUUUGACUUGAGAAAUAUAUCACAGAGAGAGAGAAAGAGAAAACAGUAAUCUGGAAAGAUGAUGCUUAAUAUGGACAUGAUACCCUAGAAACCGAUCGAUCUUAAAUUUUAAUUUCUAAAAUAUUAUUAGCUUGUGCAUACUUUCAAAUACUUUUCAUUAGAGUUACCAUAAGACUAAUUUUUCCAAUUUUAGAUGAUUCAAGAAACUAUUUGGGGGCAAUUCUUAAAUAAACAUGUCCAAACAGUAGUCAUUAACAAGAAAGCAUCCAAGAAAACCAGCAGUUAAUACUUAAAUUAACAUUAUCAAAUGGAGAUGUAAAGAAGAAAGAAUCCUACUGCAAAGCUAGAUAGCAGGAGAAUCACUAGAAUGAAGAGAAAUACUAUUGGCACUAUACCUGGAUUAACCAAACAGUAGUCUCACUAUAAAUUUCAUUGUUAAUAAACCAACUUGCCAAACUGGUCCCAUUCACUUUGUUUCCUUCCAUAUAUGGACACCCUGUACUCUGCCAUCUAGAAAAUAUAUAUAUUAUUCAGUGUAGUCAGAGGCGCAAGGAGCACUCUAGGUGCUAGAAUCCUUUUAUUGUACAAGGCACAUGGCGCACAAAAAAAAAAAAAAACUUGCUUAUGUUAAGGCACAUGUAUGCGUGUUUUGGUAUGUCCAUGUCUGUAUAUAUAUAAGCCGAAGAUAUAUAAUUAUAAUAAUAAACUAUAAAAGUGCUCCAGUCUGAAGUACAGAACAUGCCAAAUUUUCUUUCUUUUGUCAACCAUAUGCAUAUUUCCAUAUGAUGCCAUGCCUGGUGUUGAAUACUCAAAUAUUGAGAAGUUGAGAGUUCGAUAUUAUCCCUUUGUUACAAUUAAGAAACAAUUAAAGAGAUAGUAAAGAGAACUUCAAUUAGAAGGCCUUUUCCCCCUACAUGCACCAGGCAGGCGCUUAGCCUGAAAAGGUCAAAGGCCCUUUUACUGUCUGGUGAUAAGGCAAAAAACAUUGGACAAAGUUGGUGGGAGGAUAGAAUACUAAAAGAGCCCAAUGUUGUCACUUUUCUAAAGUAAGCUCAUAUGCCUUUUUUGUACCCAAACAAUAUCUUACCCUUUAAUUUGUACCUAAAGAAAUUAUUUCUAAUAGAAAGUUUACUUUUGUUAUGAUCAAUGCUGGAGGCCAAAACUGAUUUGGGCUAAGGAAUUGGUGGUGAGAGUUGGAAGGCAAGAAGAAAGAAAGUUCUUUUGAGUGUUAUAUUUUUCAAAAAAUACAAAUUGUUCAUUUUUUUUACCACAUCAUCAUGCCAGGUCAGCUUCCAUGUGGAUAAAGAAAAUUUUGGCGGCAUUGAAACAGAGGCUUCAUGGGCUUUUAGUAAUUUAGCCCUUGGAAGGAAUAUGACCAUCCAAAAAAAGGCAGUUGAUGCUUUAAGGUCAAUUAGCCGAAACAAUAACAACAAUUCCUAGGCUUCAAUAAAAUAAUUUAGACAACAAAUAAAGCUUGAAGGUUGAGUUUUGCACUGCAGCAGCAUUGGGCUUUACAAGGUGAAAACCCACAUUGCACAAAAAUAUCAAAGUUUCAGAUCUAUCAUAAUUUAAAAUUCUAACUAAACUAAACGCCAAGAAUGCUGAAUGCCUAAUCAAAAAACAUAAGAUUAACCCAAGGACCUAAUUGGGUAUGCUAAAAUUUGUCUUGGAAUGAAAUUAAUAAUAUCCUUACUAUUUCACUUUUUUUUUCUUCAUAUGUUUGGUGUGAGCAUGAUACAGAUUAGACUGAUUUUAAAGUAAAAGUAAAACGAUACCAAACCUAAACAUUUUGGUUUUUUUUUAAUUUUUUAUCAGAGCCCUGUUUGAUGCAUUUUUAGUUUUGUUUUCUAAUAACAAAUGGAAAGUUAAUUAAAAAAAAACCCUAAUCCAAUGAGUUCUUUUAUAGAUAUAAGAUAAGUCCUGCAAAGUUUUUGUUUUUUAGAAAUAAAAUUUUAUUUUUGUUUUUUAAUUCUUCAUACCUAUUUUAAUAUCUAAGUUCCGGAUUCCUAACUGCCCUUUCAAUUAUAUAGUAUUCAAGAUUUGAACUUAUAUUUUUCUAUAAAAAUAUAAUGUAUUUUAUUAUUGUAUCCUACAUUCAUUAAUACUUAGUAGAAAUAACCUAAUAAAAUGAUUUUUUUCAUAUAUUAAUAGAGAUAAGAUUCGUGCAAAAUUGUUGGUUGAAAAUUCAUUAGGAAAGGAUGAUUGUACGAAUGUACCAUCAUUAUAAGUGAGCUCAACGAUAAGCCUCCUAUCAAUCACCAGUGUGCAGAAAACAUUUGAAAUCGAAACACCCGUUCAUACAUCAUACAUCAUCAUAAGUGAGCUCAACGAUAAGCCUCCAAUCAAUCACCAGUCUACAGAAAACAUUUGAAAUCGAAACACCCCGGACAUCUCCAACAAAUCUGCCAUAACGUUAGCAUCUCUUCCAUUUUUUCUAAACAAAACCUCACUAAGCUCAUCAAAUGUGCCAAUAUUUCCAAGGCCUAGAUUUCUCAUUGAUACACCAAGAAAGCUCGACUAUGGAGUCGGAUUCAACCAUAAGCUUUCAGUCUAUAAUCCACUAGGAAUCCAAAAAGAAACACUCUCGAACACCUAAAGAACCUGAAACAUAGCAAUGACAUGACCCUUUGAAUUUCUAAGAACCUCACCUCACCACGUCGAGCUAAGAUUACCUAAUGUCGAACCUUCACGGUUAAACUUUUACCAGCCUUCACCUUACUCUUGAUAUGAUGAUUAUGGAUACUCCCUUCACAAUCCCACAAACACUCCCACCAAAUUGACUCAACAAAAUUUGCACCUAUAGGUUUUCUGUUUAUAUUUGAUUUUGUUCACACAUUGCCUAAAACUACUCAUGAUCCCUCUCCAACCUAUAAAUACGAGGAUAAUGCGCUUCAACGCGCUCAAACCCACGUCCUCCUACAUUAGCAACAAUACUCAUGUCAAUCGAGUUAAAACACAAUCAAUAGAUUUUUUUUAAAAAAAAUCUUUAAAUGUUAUAUUAUUAUAUAAGAAUUUGAAACAUGACUUCCGUAGGUUUUAAAUCUAAUGUUGACACUAAUCUUGAAUAAGUCAUUCCACUCCCAUCUUAACUAAUGGCCAAAGAGAUAUCAAAAGUGGGAGAUGGCCAUAAAAUUGUGUAGUUUGGGUUAUAAAAUUUUUGGGCAAACUACAUAUAUUAUCAUUUAAUUAUAUAUUUUUUUCAAUUUAAACACUUAAAGUAAAAAAUUUAUAAUUUAAGCACCCACAUUAUAUAGUUUAGUUAUUUUGAUCACUCCAGUUAAAAUAAAAAAUGGCAAACUGAAGCGACAAUUAAAAAAAUGUAUAAUAACAAAUUUAACCCUCAAAUUUUAUAUAUUAUAUCAAUUACAUAUUACAACUAAUUUUAUAAUUAUUGAUAUUGAAUAUGUCCCUCACUACGUUAGGGAUUUUUUUUAUAAUUUGUAUUUAAUUAAUAUUUAAAAUUAAUUUCAAAAUAUGUGAAAAUUUUAUAAUUAUUUGGUGUUAGUCCCUUUAUUAUACCCAAAUUUAGGAUUAAGCCCCUAUAUUUUAAUUUUGACAUAAUUUGUUUCUUUCACUUUUAUAAUCUCAUUAAUUAUUUCAAGUAACUAACACUUUUAACAAUAUUGCCAAAUAAAAUAAUGUCAUAUUUUUUUUUCUUAAAGCCAUCACUUCUAACUAAAUCAUGACUUAAUCACUUUCUAAUUAAUCAUACUAACUUAGAUUUUUCUUUUGUUGGAAUCAGUACGUUUAAGGAAAACCCACCUUAACAUUUGUAGAUGUCUUCAACAAUUUCCUAAGCACGAUACAAUAAAGCUUGGUGUGUAUAAUUUUGUUUUAUGGAAGCUCCAAAUUAUGUUGAUUCUUGAAUGAUACGGUCUGCAUGGGUUUGUUUUGGGUGCUAUUAGUGUACUAGCACAGUUUGUAGAGGAUAAAUAUGGGAGAUUAGUAGAAAAUUCUGAUUAUGUUUUACAUGUGCAACAAGAUAAGCUAUUGGCUUCUUGGUUACUUUCAACUGUUAGUGAUGAAAUCCUAGCCUAUCUUACUAGUGCUCGUACUAGUUAUUAUAUGUGGGAAACUAUUGAAAAGAAGGGUUGCGACUAAGUCCACGGUAAAAUUGUCCAGUCAUGUGUUGUAUUCACAGAAAAAGGGUCAUUUGUUUGUUAAAGAAUAUUUGUCUAAGAUCAAGUCCAUGUGUGAUAUGUUGGUUGCAACGGGUUGUUUGAUUUCAAAUCAAGAAAUGGUUAGCAUCAUUCUUGCAAGGUUGCCAGUUGAGUGUGAAUCAGUACGGGUAGUAGCUUCAGCUACUGGUGUGUCACUUGAUCUGUUGAUUGAGAUGCUGCUUGAUUGUGAAGCUCGAAAAUUGAGUUCUUGAAUAGUGUUCUCGUACAACCUAACAUAGCUAGUAAACAAGAUUGUGAUGAGGGUGAUCGGACCAAGGGUUCUGAUUAUAACAGUGGCUAUCAAGGGAACAAACAGACAUAUAUAGGUGGUUUUCAAUGCAAUAGAGGUUCCAUCGAGGUUGAGGCCGUGAGGGUUGUUUUUCUAACAAUCGGCCCCAAUGCCAGUUGUGUGGUAAAAUUGGACACAUUGUCCAAAAGUGUUAUUACCGUUUUGAUGAAAAGUUUUGCAGGUAUUGCUAGGAUGGUAAUAUGGUAUAGUGGGCUGCAUCUUGAUUGUUUGUUUCUCAUGCUGAGGCUAUAAUUUUAAUCAUACCUAUUAUUGUUUCUUGUGUCCUGCAAUUUCAUCAUUUGCAGGCUGUUUCACUAAUUGCAUCCUAUUUACAAGUUCCCUUGUGUUAUCCUCUGCGCUUGGGUGGUUCUCGCUCAUAUAUUAAUGACCAUGCGUCUUCAAUAGACCAUGCAUCUUCUGAUUUGUCAUUGGAUACAACACUUUCAGCAAAUGUAAAGCCGGUAGAAUUUCCGCUGUUUUUAGAAGGUCAAGACACGACAAGAGCAGCAUAUGCUGUGUUCUUGUUAAACAAGGUAAGCUUUUGCAUAUUAGUAAUUUUUUUUUCCAAGAUGAAUUAUUCUCCUUUGGCAUUUUAUAUUAUAUAAUUAGUCACUACAAAACAUAAAUAAAUAAUAAUACUCCAUUUUUACAAUAAAAAUUCACUAAAGAAAAUACAUUUGAAGUCUAUCAUUGCUUUUUCGAAUAAGAGUCGGUCAAGAAAGUUAUGCGCAAAUACUUAUAUCUUUAUUUCAGAUGCUUUCAAUUCUAUUGUCACUUAAAUCCAAGUACUUUAAAUUUGUCAAAUUAUUCAAUUUUGAAAUUCAAUCCCAAAUAUUGAUCAAUUAUAUAUAUUCAUGAUAUGAUAAAAGCAAAGACAUCUUUCAACAUUAACUUUCCCUUAAACAAAAAUUGGUUUUAAAGUAAAAAAGAAACAUAUAAAACCAGUCUAGCUUGAAUAUGAAUCAAUAUAUAAACACUAUACUUAUACCUUGGUUUGAGAUGCUUUCAAUAUUGUUGUCGCUUAAAUACAAGUAUUUCAAGUUUGUCAAAUUAUUCAAUCCCAAAUAUUGGUUAGUUAUAUAUGAUAUGAUAAAAUCAAACUUGAACAUACAUUGAUUUUUAAAGUUGAAAAUUACUUGUUAAUUUUUUUUCUUUCUUACCUAUAUGAAAAUUUUACUAAAGUAAAAGUUGAAUUACAACGGAUAAAAAGAAUGGAAAACUAGGUACCAAGCCUAGAAGACCAUCCUCAAACUCCACUAUACAAAUAAAAACUACUCAAACUCCACUAUACAAAUAAAAACUAACACCGGACCAAACUUAAUUUACCUCUUAGAUGACUUGAUCCUUCAAACUGGUUGUAUGAUAGAUCUAAAUACCGGAGAGAUGAAAGCUCACUCAAAGAUAACAAAAUGCUAUCAUUCAAGUAAUUGUAACUUAAGUCAAGGAUCUCCAAAUUACUCAAUGUGAAUGAUAGCUUUCCAAAGCCUGUAGAAGUGUUCUUUUAAACAUAUACAAGCAGUUAGUGACUUUUCUUCCAUAAAAUAAAAUAUAAGUAAUUGUAAAUUAACAAUGGUGAGAAUAGUGGAAUAGUAAAAGAUAUAAUUAAGGAAAAAAAAUAAAGGCACGACCUUCAUUUUCAAGGUUACCACCUAUGGCAUUUCCCGACAAAUAAAGUCUCUUCAAUUCCUCAAAAGGAAGAAACAUAGAGGCAUUGAGAUACCAGACAAUGAGAUUCCUAUUAUCCAUGCCGUAUUCCCAAUUGUCUUCCCAUUUUGUAGAAAUAAGGGAGAGUUGUAUGAGUCUCCUAGUGGUGGUGUUACACUCAAAUCCUUCCCAUUUACAACAAUCUGAACCCUUCACCUCAACCCAACUUUGCAAUGGAUUACGAUAAACGAAGAAAGGCUUGAGAUGCAAGAGAGCGAUUCUCUCAUGCUCCAAACAAGCAUCAGUAGUACACCAUCUGCAUCCUUCUAACACCAACAACAUUAUUGCCAUCCUAAUAAACUAUAACCAUUUCCACUCCAUCAUCAUCAUCUCUCUGUUUUGUAUACAUAUGGACUACAAUUCAAGUUUCAUGCUUAUAAUUAUACCAAAUCAAAGUUCAUGUAUCAAAUUGCACAUUAAAUCAAAAUUUAUGUAUACAUUUGAUAUUUAUCUCAUUUAUGGGAGAUUAACUUUCUAAUGGUAUUGUUUUGUUUACAUUAAUCCAAAUAAUAGGAAAUGAUGAAUUAGUUUAACGCAAAUUGUAAUUCUAUUAAUGUUUCUUCUCAAACUUUUGGUUGCUCUUAUUUACAUGUUUUAUUAAUUGAUAGAUUUAAAUUCUUGGAAUAUAUUCGGUUAGAAUGAAGUGCCCCGAAUCCUUAUUUAAAUAAAAUACAGUGUUAAAAUAAAAGAAAAGUAAAAUCCCUACAGAAUUAUACUUCUUUUAUUUUAUUUUAGAAUAAGGCUUUUUAAAUCUUAUUAAACUCCAUCUAUUUGAUAUUGAUUAGAAUAAAGAGUUUCACUCCUAUUAGAAUAAAGUUUUACAAGCCUAUAAAUAGACAUAGUCUACUCCUCUUGUAAUUAAUUCAAAUUCGACAUAGUGAAUUUUCUUCUCCUCUGCCCGUGGUUUUUUCCCGAAAGGGUUUCCACGUAAAAUUUGUGUGUUCUUUAUUUUUCUAUUUCUAUUUUCUUUGUGAUAUAUUAUCAUUACCGACAUUUAUUUUCACAAAUUGGUAUCCGAGCUUCUGGGUUGUUCAUCGCAAUCACUGUAAUGACGUCUUUGAAGUAUGAAAUUCUACUGUUGGAUCGCAACACCAGAUUCGCAUUUUGGCAGAUAAAGAUGCAGGCAGUUCUUGCACAGAUGGACUUAGAGAAAGCCCUGCUAAGGUUAGAUAAGAUGCCUUCAACAUUGAUGGAGGAAGAGAAGAAGCACAAGGAUUGAAAGGCGUUAACACAAUUACAUCUGCAUUUGUCUAACGAAAUUUUGCAGGAUGUGAUAAAGGAGAAUACCGCCGCUAGAUUAUGGAAGACGUUGGAACAACUAUGUAUGUCGAAAACUCUAACUAGUAAGCUGCAUAUGAAGCAGCGUCUUUAUGCUCAUUGUUUGGAGGAAGGUGCGUCUAUGCAUGAACACUUGACAGUGUUUAAAGAAAUUCUCUCAAAUUUGGAGGCCAUGGAGGUUCAGUAUGAUAAGGAAGAUUUAGGGUUGAUUCUACUUUGUUCGUUGCCCCCGUCUUAUUUAACCUUUAGAGAUACAAUUUUAUAUAAUCGCGAGUCUUUCACAGUUGAUGAGAUUUAUAAUUCUUUAACCUCGUAUGAUAAGAUGAUGCAUCUUAUGGUUAAAACUGACUCUCAAUGAGAGGGUCUCAUUAUUCGUGAGAGAUAAGAUCAGAAUAUUGAUGAUGAUCAUGGAAGGACACAAGAACGGAAUCCUCGUGGUAAAUCUAAAGGUAGAUCGAAGUUUUCAAACAGAGGUAAAACUUGUAACUUCUGCAAGAAGAAAGGGCACAUUAAAUCUAAGUGCUAUAAGCUACAGAAUAAGAUCAAAAGGGAGACUGUGAAUCAAAAUGGAAAACAACCAGAAAAUUUUGGUAAGGCUAAUGUUGUAGAAUACUACAGUGAUUGUGAACUUCUAGUCGCUUCUGUCAAUAAUUUUAAAGUGAGCGAGGAGUGGAUCCUUGAUUCGGGUUGCACCUUCCACAUGAGUCCCAAUAGUUAUUGGUUUACAACUUACGAAAUAGUGUCUGAAGGUGUUGUUUUAAUGGGAAAUAAUACUUCAUGUAGAAUUGCAGGUGUUGGAACAAUUAAAGUUAAGAUGCUUGAUGGAGUUGUCAGAACACUUAGUGACAUAUGACAUGUUCCAAAAUUGAAGAGAAAUUUAAUUUCAUUGAGUACUCUUGAUUCAAAAGGGUACAAAUACACAGCUAAAAGUGGUGUUUUGAAUAUUUCUAAAGGUUCCCUCAUUGUGAUGAAAGGAUAGAGAAAGACUACCAAGUUUUAUGUUUUGCAAGGUUCUAUUGUUACUGGUGAUGCAGCUGUCGUAUCCUCUUCCUUGUCAGAUGAUGAUAUUACUAAACUUUGGCAUAUGCGCCUAGGGCAUAUGAGUGAGAAUGGCAUGGCAGAAUUGAGCAAAAGUGGACUUCUUGAUAGGCAAUGAAUUUGCAAACUGAAGUUCUGUGAGCACUACAUUUUUGGGAAGCAAAAGAGAGUUUGAUUCACCAGAGGAAUCCAUAACACAAAGGGAACGUUUGAGUAUAUUCAUUCUGAUCUGUGGGGGCCAUCCAGAGUACUUUCGAGAGGUGGAGCUAAUUAUAUGCUAACUUUUAUUUAUGAUUUUUCCAAAAAAGUGUGGGCGUUCUUCCUGAAGCAGAAAAACGAUGUGUUUUUUGUAUUUAAGUCUUGAAAAACCAUGAUUGAAAAACAAACGGGAAAGUAAAUAAAACACCUCCGCACAGACAAUGGCUCAGAGUUCUGUUUUGAUAAGUUUAAUAAAUUGUGCAAGUCAGAAGGGUUCAUGAAACACUUGAUAGUUCAUCAUACUCCACAGGAAAACGGCGUUACAGAAUAAAUGAACAGAACGAUCAUGGAGAAGGUUCGAUGUAUGUUGUCAAAUACCAACUUACCAAAGUCAUUUUGGGCUGAAGCAGCCUCUACUGCAUGAUUUUUAAUCAACCGAUCUCUAUCCAUUGCCAUUGAGAAAAAGACUCCACAAGAGGUAUGGUCUUGUAAUCCUGCUGACUAUUCUGAUUUAAAGAUUUUUGGUUGUCAUGUGUGUGUGCAUGUUGAUAAUGGAAAAUUGGAAUUGAGAUCCAUUAAAUGUGUUUUUCUUGGUUAUAAAGCUGAUGUAAAAGGGUAUAAGUUAUGAUAUCCUAAAAAUAGAAAAGUUGUGAUUAGCAGAUAUGUUAUUUUUUAUGAAACUGCUAUGCUACCUAACUUAUCUCUUAAAGAAUCUCUCAAUAAAGAAAAUCAAAAGUAGGUGGAGCAUCAGAUUAAUACAGAAUCUACAACAGAGUCGACUACUGAAGCCAGUACAAAAAUUCAAAAUAGAGUUGCUCCUUCACCAUAAUACUCUAUCGCCAAAAAUAGAACUAGAAGAGAAAUUAGACCUCCAAAGAAGUAUGUCAAGUCUGAUCUAGUUGCUUAUGCUUUAAAUGUGGCUAAAGAUAUAGAUGUAAAAUAAGAGCCAUCUAAUUAUUCUGAGGCGAUUAGUUGUGAAGACUCAGAAAAGUGGAUGUUUGCUAUGCAAAAGGAGAUGGAAUCACUCCACAAAAAUAAAAUAUGGGAUCUUGUGAAACUUCCUAAAUGUAAAAAGAUUAUUCGUUGUAAAUGGGUGUUUAAAAAGAAAGAAUGGACUCCAAGAGUUGAAGAACCCAGAUAUAAAGCAAAGUUUGUUGCAAAUGGUUACAGUCAAAUUCCAGGAGUGGACUUCACAGAUGUGUUCUCUCCAGUUGUGAAGCAUAGUUUGAUUCAAGCUUUACUUGGUAUUGUGGCCAUACAUGAUUUGGAGCUUGAACAGUUAGAUGUAAAAAAUGCUUUUUUGCAUAGAGAAGUUAAGGAGGAUAUUUACAUGCAACAACCAGAGGGUUUUACAGUCUCAGAAAAAAGGACUAUGUUUGCUUGCUGAAAAAGUCUCUUUACAGUUUGAAACAGUCACCAAGACAGUGGUACAAGAGGUUUGAUUCAUUUAUGACUUCUCAUGAUUUUAAAAGAAGUAGCUUUGACAGUUGUGCUUACUUUAAGAAAAACAAUGAUGGUUCUUUUGUGUAUCCACUCUUUUAUGGUGAUGAAAUGUUGAUAGCAGUGAAAGAUAAAUGAGGGAUAAGAAAGGUCAAAGCCCAACUAAGUGAAGAAUUUGAGAUGAAAGAUUUGGGACCAGCAAAGAAGAUACUUGGUAUGGAGAUUCUCAAAGAUAGAAAAGUAAGUAAAUUGUACCUAAGUCAAAAGGGGUACAUUGAGAAAGUUCUUUGCAGAUUCAAUAUGCAGAAUGCUAAGCCUGUUAGUACUCCUUUAGCAGCCCAUUUUAGACUUUUAUCGGCUUUGUCUCCACAAUCAGAUGAUGAGAUUAAGUACAUGUCACAUGUUCCAUACUCUAGUACAGUGGGAUCUCUCAUGUAUACUAUGGUUUGUUCACGUCCAGAUUUAUCAUAUGUAGUUAGUGAAGUUAGCAGAUACUUGGUGAAUCCCGAUAAAGAACAUUGGAAAGUAGUUCAGUGGAUUUUAAGAUACUUACGAGGUACUACUGAUGUUUCCUUACAGUUUGGAAGAACUAGAGAUGAAGUCAUUGGGUAUGUUGAUGCUAAUUUUGCUGGAGACUUUGAUAGAAGAAGAUCUCUCACAGGUUAUGUCUUUAUAAUCGGAGGUUGUGCAAUCAGUUGGAAAGCCACUUUGCAAACUACAGUUGCUUUGUCCACCACUGAAGAUGAGUACAUGGCGAUUACUGAGGCUUGUAAAGAAGCUAUUUGGUUGAAGGGACUCUUUAGUGAACUCAAUAAAGGCUUUCAAAUCAAUACAGUAUUUUGCGACAGUCAGAGUGCUAUCUUCUUUACAAAAGAUCAAAUGUUUCAUGAGAGAACAAAACACAUUGAUAUUCGGUAUCAUUUUGUUCGUGAUAUUAUUGCUUGUGGUGAUAUUGUUAUGAGCAAAAUUAGUACUCAUGAAAAUCCUGCAGAUAUGAUGACUAAGUCACUUCCUAUAACCAAGUUUGAGCAUUGCUUAGACUUGGUUAGUGUUCAUUGUUGAAGUUAAACCCUUAAGGGGUUUUAUGGAAUAGGUGGAAAACUUGAUCGUUGAGAGUUCGCGAUGAAGAACUUGUUCAUUAAGAAUUCGUGUCAAUGUGGAGAUUGUUAGAAUUAAGUGACCCGAAUCCUUAUUUAAAUAAAAUACAGUGGUAAAAUAAAAUAAAAGUAAAAUCCCUAUAGAAUUAUACUUCUUUUAUUUUAUUUUAGAAUAAUAUUUUUUAAAUCUUAUUAAACUCCAUCUAUUUGAUAUUGAUUAGAAUAAAGAGUUUCACUCCUAUUAGAAUAAGGUUUUACAAGCCUAUAAAUAGACAUAGUCUACUCCUCUUGUAAUUAAUUCGAAUUCGACAUGGUGAAUUAUCUUCUUCUCUGCCCGUGGUUUUUUCCCGAAAGGGUUUCCACGUAAAAUCUGUGUGUUCUUUAUUUUUUCUAUUUUUAUUUUCUUUACGAUAUAUUGCUAUUAUCGACAUUUAUUUUCACAUAUUCUAAUUAAUUAGAUAUUUCCUUCCUUCCAAAAGCCUUUCAAAAUAGGUUUAGUUUGACCAAGAUACUCUUGUAGAAAAUUUUAGUUUUGUGGGAAAACGAAAAACUAGAUUUAUUUUUUAUUCUAAUUGGUUUCAUAUGCAAGGUAUAUAAACUUUUGUGUCGCUGCAAUUUUUUUCCAACAUAUGUAUGUGAUUUGUGGGGUUUCAAUUUUGAAUUUUUUUUAUAAUUUAAUUAAAUUGUGAAAGUAUUUGAAAGUUUUUAAGUUGAUACAAUGUUUAGAACUACCCCAACACCCACCCAACCCUUAAAUAGGAGGAUAAACAUGCUUCAGCACGCUCAAACUCACAUUCUCCUACAUCUAUGAUAAUACUAAUGCCAACCGAGUUAAGACUCAACUAGCCUUGAAUUUUGAAUUUUACUUCUGAUAUAUUUUGAAUUUUGAAAUUUUAAUUUUGACCCAAACAGUAGCAGUUAAUUUAAUUUGAUUAAAUUUAAUUACUAGACCUAUAUUAUGCGUACGAUUAUUGAUUAGUCUAUACUCUCAAAUUGGGCAAUUCUAAGUACCUAUACUUUCUGAAUUUUGAAAUUUCAGUCUUGAUGCAAAUGACAAUUGUUAAUCUAUUAAUUAGAUUUUUAGCGAGUAAUAUGUAAAAAUAACAAACUGGCAUAACAUUACACAUAUGAUAAUAUGUUUAUUGCACCGCAUUUGAAAAUAGCCGAAUUUAACAAAUAUCGUUAGUGAGGAUUGGAAAUUAGAGUCUAGGGAUUAAAUCCACAAGUUCAGUAAAUUACAAGAACUAAUGGUAGAAUUUAACCUUUAUAUAACCUUUAAAUUCUAACCGUGGUUUGCACACUACUCAGCCGACCAUUGGCUGUGGUGGGAACACAAACUGUUUGAAUUUGACAUCAGUGAUUGAAUUUUCAUAGCUAAUAUGUACGUUCCUUCAAUUUCUCCAUAGGAGGGAGUGGAAUACAUUAUAUAAGGUAAUAUUUGAUAUAUUCGGUAAAUGAAUAAUUGCAAGAUAUCUCAUUAUCUAGUAAAAUAAAUAAUGAAAAUUUUAUAAAUAAAUAUUAAUAAAAUAUUAUUACAUAUAUCAACAAUGACAUAGUAAGUUGCAUUAACUUUUAGAUGUUGACUAUUGACUUUUGCAUCAACCUUGAACUUACAUAGGCCCCUACAAUAAUUUAGGUUAUGGAAAUAAUCUUGCAAAUAAUGCUUGAGACAUCAUUAUACAUCAAUUUAUAGUUUUAAUUCUUGUACUUACUCAAUUGGAAUAAAGAUUUAGUUUUUUAUUUUCUUUUGAUACAAUGUCUAGAAUUAUCCAUAGCCCUUUUCCAACCCUUAAAUAAAUGAAUAAUGUGCUUCAGCGUACUCGAACUCACAUCUUCUUACAUUGACAAAUUGCUGAUGCCAAUUAGUUAAUGUUAAUGCUAUACUUUAGUUAAAAAUAACUAACAUUAUUAAAAAAUUCAUUAGUUGGCUCAUGUGGAUUUUUUUUCAAAAAAAUUGAAAUUAAGAACCAUAAAUUCUUUAAGACUUAAAAAUUAAAAUUAUGUGGUUAUUAAAAAAGAUUUAUUUUUUAUUAAAUUAUUAUUUAAAAUAAAUUUAUCUCAUCAUAAUGAUAUGAUUUUUUUCUUUAAAAAAUCCACAUUAACCAACUAAUAGAAUUGUAUAAAGCUGCCACCAAUCUCUUAGCAUGAUGGCAAAAGAUUCAGAGGCAGCCAGAAAAUCUUUUGAGGGGCGUGAAUAAAGUUAUAUAUUUUUAUAAUAGCAAAAGUGAAAUUUUAUUAUUAUAAUAGUUUAUAUCUUUAAUUUUUAAAAUAUUAAAUAAUUUUUUUCUUAUUUUUGAGGGGAUAAAGUAUAAGUUUAUCAUAUACUAAUUUUAAAAUUAUAAAAAGACUAAAUGUGAAAUUUUUCAUUUUAAGGGGUGGGGCCCUGUCAGGUCUCCUUGGCUUCACCUUGAUAAAAGUAUUAUGUAAUACGUAUAAAGUUUGAGUUUAAUCCCAAACAAUCUCAUUUCUUAUCCCUCAUUAUAAAAUAAUAAAAUAAAUAGAGCAAUUGAUAUGAGGAGACAAGUAUAAUAGGGCAAUUUUAACCUGGGCCAGAUUUCAAAACAAAACCCAAACCAAAUAAUAAAAGAGUCCAAAAUAAUUAAAACAAUCCAUCCAUUUUACAAACAAACCCAAAUUAGCAGCCCAAAUACAAAUUAAAACUCAAUAACCCAAAACUAACUAUAGCCCAAUUAGCUAAACACUUAAACGCAACAAAAAAAACCCUAUCCCCCUAAGCCUCCAACGCUGCAUGACCACCUACGCCGCACGUCGUCGCUGCCGCUCGAGGCUCGCCUAUCUUCGACCAUCCACGCAUCUGACACUUGCAAAACCAAGGCAACACGCAACAACAAAGGCCAAAUAGAGGAAACAACAAGGAAACAGACAAAAAAGGAAGAAACAAACAGUUUUGAUUCGGCUAUAAAAGCCCGAAUCUCACCCUUGUAAUUUUUUUGCGAACAUUAGAAAAUAAAAAAACAAAAACAACACUUUCAAGGUGAAUUUCUACUUUUAUUUCUGUUUUAAAUACUUAUUUGAUUCUAUAUUCAUAUUUUUAUUUUAUUUUUUAUAUAUAUACGAAAAUAAUAAAAUAAAAAAAGGAAGAAAGGGCUCACCGGAGACGCCCCGUGAUCGUGCCGUCAGAAGGCUCUUCUCCGUUGUUGCCAUCGGAUCCGAGAGGGGGUCGAGAGUCUUCCUCUUUCGCUUUUUUGGGUCGAGAGGGCUGGGCUUCCAAGGGAGCUGCGAAACGGGGGCUAAAAAUGCCCUUUUGCGCAACACCGACCACCGGCCACGACAGCACUACGACGGCGACCAUGGCCGGCCAAGGGGUGGGCUGAGAGAGAGACCAAGAGAUACUGAGAGAGUUCUCUGUUUUUUUAGAAAAAUGAAAGUUGAACCGUUUUUUUCUUCUUUUUUUUUGCUAUUUAUAUAGGGUAUAAUACGACGCCGUUUUGGACUUAAGCAUCAGUGGCCAAAACAAUGCCGUUUUGCAUCAGACCUGAAAAUCGACUCGAAUGCGGCCAGGAUCUGCGCGUUUUAGCUUUGAGGAGCUAUUUGCAUAUUCAGCCCUUCCGCUUUUGUAGUAUAGUGCAAUCUGGUCCUCGUUGUUUUUAUAUUUUGGCCGCAUAAUUUUUUGAUUGUUUUACUUUGGUCCGAGCUGAAACGCUGCGCAUAGGGGCUAGGAAUAUUGCCCAGUCGGUCCCUCAUUCCUUAAGCGCGCUCUAUUUCAGUCCCUAGCAACCCUUUUUUUUAUUUGUAAUUUAAACCCCAAAUUCUGGGUCGAUUUUAGUAUCAUCCUUAGUCCAUUUAAUUUAUUUGUUCACUAUUUUUUAUUUAAAAAACUCUUUUAUUAUUAUUUGUUUUAAGUUUUUUUAUUUAUCAUUUAUUUUAAAUUGUUUUACAUACUAUUUAUUUAAAUUUUUUAUAUAUUAGUCAUUUUAAACCAUUAUAUGUACAUUAUCUUUUAAAUUUUUAUAUACAUAUAUUUUUUUUAAAAAAAACUGUUGUAUGUUUCUUAUUUAUUUAUUUUAAACUGUUAUUAUUAUUCAUUUUAAGUUUUUAUAUACUGUUUAUUUGAAGCCGGUUAUUAUUUAUUUUUGAAUUGUUCUUAUAAAUUAUUUACUUUAAAUUAUUAUUUACUUUGAAAUUUUUUUGCAUAUUAUUUUGUUUUGUUUUUUUUAUUGUUAAUAUUAGUAUAAAAAUUAUAUACAUUGUGUGAUUAUUACCGCCAUGUGUACUAUAAUUAGUUUCUUCGUGUUUUCAUAUUAUUAUCACUCAUUAACAUAACAUUUUUUUCAUAAAUUGUUAUUUUAUGUUCUAUGUUAUCAUUCCAUUUCACUUCAUCACUUCGAAAGUUGCAUUCAAUUUGUAUUUACCCAUAAUAAACCGUUCUAUUUUGUCACAAAUAAAACAAAUGCACCUCGUUCAAGCAUUGUACUCACAAUUAUUCAAAACGGGGAAAAGUUUUAAAAUAAGACAAUAUUUCGCAUUUUGGAGAUUUGAGAAAUUGUACCCUAACUUACGGGGUUUCAAUUUUCUCGUUGAACCUAAAUAGCAAAAUAUCCUUCUAAUUUUCAAAAUUUACGAAAUUCCAAUAAAGUUAAAGGCUAGCUUAUUCUCAAGGGUUCUAAGUGUCGUGUCCUAACUUACGGGAUGUGACAUUUAUUAUCUCGAGACGAGAGGAUCUUUGACAUUCGUUUCAAUUUAUUCAAGCAAAUUCUUUUAAAUUAAAAUAGCGUUAACAAAAGGGGGAUCGUGUUUUAAAUUCUUUCGAAGUUUUUCAAUUUUUAACAUUUAGACAUUAAUUAAUCAAUUGAAUACCAAUUUUGGGCGUGACGAGGGUGCUAAUCCUUCCUCGCAUGUAACUGACUCCCGAAUCCGUUUUCUCAAAUUUCAUAGACCAAAAUCACUGUUUUGAUAAAUUAAAAUAUUUUAUUAAAACAACUAAAUUAUGAGGUGACCUAAUCACACCUCAUAAAAAAAAGAUUGGUGGCAACUCUCGUUUUAAUUUCCAUUUUCAAACCAACGUCGACCCUUUUAAAAAAAUGGUUUCAAUAUUAAGUUAUAAGUUGAAUGAAUUAAAAAUAUGUGAAAAGUGUAAAUAGAGACUCUUCAAUCUCAUUUCCUCUAAUGCUCUUUUUUUAAAUUUUUUUUUAAAUUUUUUAUGUACCUUUUAAAUAGUUAAUGAAAAUAAAAAUAUUUUGAUAAUUUUCACUUCGAAAUGCAAAAGCCAACAACAGUUUUUGACUACAAAAGCGGUGUGUUCUUCAUCACUUCUCAGUGGAAAAACACUUCUGCAAUGUAACAACACUUUUAACCCAAAACGGCUUUUUCACCACAAUAGAGAAUGCACCCUAAAAUUGUAAAUAGAAAAAAGAAGGAUCAAACAUUGUUUCUACCCUGUUUUUGUCUCCUCUUUGAAAAUACUUUCCAAAAAGUUUUAUCAUUUUUUUUUCUGUUUACAAAUUCCUUAUAGAAGUGCUUUCUUUUGAUCCACUUGCAUCAUUGUAAUAAGUUUGCAUUGCCUUCUAACUUUCUAUGUUGAUUACAGUUUAUUAAGUUUUCUGUUGGAUCUUAUAGUCAAAUUCCUUUACAUCAUGUAUGUUAAUUUGCUUAGCCCUGAUAAAUGUUAGAUAUAGGGUUAUCAGUGUCGAAACCACUUUUUUGGCGAACAAAAAUUAGUUGUUGACUUUAAAAACGAAAGUUGGAGUCGCCAUCGAUCCUUUAUUGGGGUGUGAUCGGCUCACCUUAAAAACGAUUUUGGUCUGCAAAAUUUGAGAAAACAGGUUCGGGAGUCGGUUACGCAUGAGAAAGAGUUAGCACCCUCUUAACGCCCAAAAUUGGUACCGAAUUAAUUAAUUAAGGUCUUAAUGCCGAAUAUCGAAAAUCUGUGAAGAAUUUAAAAAUACGAUCCUCCCUUUUUGUUAAUGUUAAUUUUAUAAAAGAUGCUUGGAUAAAUCGAAGCGAAUGCUAAAGACCUUUUUGUCUUGGAAUAAUAAAAUGUCACACCCAAUACGUUAGGACAUGACAUUUUAGUCCUCGAGAAUAAGCUUGUCUUUUGAUUUUCAAAGCUCGUGCGGUGAAGUUUAAAAAGGAUAUUCAAUUGCUUUAACUCAGAUGAAAAAUCGGAGCCCAAUACGUUAGGGCACAAUUUCUCAAAAUUCCGAGCAUUGAAUAUUGCCCUUAUUAUUAUUAUUUUUAAAAUCUUCAUCUCGAGAAAAUGACAUGUCAUAUCCAAUAUGUUAGGACACGACGUAUCGAAUUUUCGAGAAUGAGCUUUUUAUUUAUGCUUUAAUUAAAAAAGGAUACCCGGUUUCUUAGAUUCAACGAGGAAGAUUGGAAUCCAAUAAGUUAGGACACAAUCUUUUCGAGGAUCCUAAAUUCCGAGUGUCGCGUUAUUUUUGAAAAAAAACUUUUUGAAUAAAAAUGCUCUCGAUACUUGAAUGAUAUUAAACGUAACCUUUUAACAACGAAUAAAAUGCGACGGGACGAUAAUGUAUAACGCGGAAUGACGAUUUGUAAACAAAAUAUACUCUAACGAAUGACAAAUAAUCAAUAAAAACAAAUAAACAUUAUCAUACAUAUAAGAGCAAUAAUCACAUGUAAAUAUUAACAUCAACAUUUGAAAGCUAAUGACCUAAAAGCCUAUCGCAAAUACAACAAAUUUAAAAUAACUAAAAAAAAAGCAUGAGAGAAAAGAAAUUUGAAAUUAUCAACAUAUAUACACAAAAUACACGUAUAUAAAAAUUUAAAAGAAAUAAUUAAUAGGAAGACUUGAAAUAAUUUAAAAAUAGAAUUAAAAAUGAAUAAUAAUAUCUAAAUGAAUUUUAAAAUAAAUAUUAUAAGAAGAAAGUCAAAAUAAAUAAAACCCAAAAUAAUACACAUAUAUUAAUCUAAAUAGGUAAUAGAUAUAAAUUACGUAUUAUAAAAGAAAACUAUUUAAAAAGGGUAAAUUCUAUUGGAUUAACAUAAAAAUAUAAAAUAAUUUAUUAUGAAAUUAAAUAAUAAUAUAUGAUAAUAAUAUAAAAAAACUUAAAAUAAUAGUGCAUAAUAGAAUAAAAUAAUGAAUAUAAAAAGGUUAGAUAAAUUGAUAAAAAAUAAUACUAAUAAUAAUAAUAGUAGCAGUAAUAAUAAUAAUAAUAAUAAUAAUAAUAAUAAUAGUAAUAAUAGUAAUAAUGAUAAAUUAAUAUUAAAGUAAUUAAUUUGAUAGCAAAAAUAACAAAACAGAUUACUAAUUUGGAAUUAAAACAGAAAUUUAGGGGUAAGACGUGCAAUAAAAUGAAAUGAAAAGGACCUAAUUGAAAUUAAUUUAAAAUCAGACUGACUAGCAAAGAAAUUAAACGCACAAGUCUCACCUGGCAAUCAAGUCAGAUCAUCAGAAACGGCGUCGUUUCGAACGUUUGUCUCCUCAACUGACAGAAGGACGAAAUUGAAAGAAAUAUCGAAUUAUGUGGCAAAAUUAAAAAAGACAAAGAAGGAUUAAAAUGAAGUAAAUAAAAAACAGAAGGACCAAACAGGAGAAUAAGCCAUUGAAACAAAACACGCGGAUCCUCCCCGGGUCAAAUCGGAUCAUCGGGUCAACCAACACGGAGACGUUUUGAAGCCAUUAAAUCGGGCUUAAACGGCACCGUUUUAUUAUCGUUAAAAACCUAAAAAAAUAAAACCCUAAUAAUUUGUUUUGCCAUCCUAAAACAGAUCAAGAGCCUAGCCUUCUCCCCACCGGUCUCCACUCACGAACCCAAUCUGACUCCGAUUCAGACGGAGCAAACCAGAUUCCAAUGGCGUCUGCUCUGGUAAGACGCUUCUUCUCUCCCUCUUUUUUUUUCGUUUGGUGCCAAAGAAGAAAACAAAGAAUCAAAGAAAUAAAAGAGAAAAAAAAACGAAGAAAAUCACCUUUCGAAAAAACUUUCUGUUUUGAUUUUUUGUUUGUAUUCAAUAUGCGUAAAAAAGGAUUACAAUGGCCUUCUCCCUCUUUAUAGCCGAAUAUUCGAAAUAAAAUGAAAGAAAAUACAAAAAAUUCUCUCUGCUGCGUUGUUUUCGUCUUCUUUGCAGGUAAGGAGGCUAGCUGGCGUAAGGAGGUGGUGGACGUGGCACAGCACACUCGGGGAAGGCCCUGGUGGCUGCGGCGCUGGAAGGAGGGCUGUUGCAGCUAGGGUUUUCUGAUUUUUUUUUGGGCUAGGGUUGGGUUGAUAGUUGUAUUGGGCUAGGUAUUUGGGCUGGGUGUAGUUGGACUAGAUGUAUCUGACUUUGGGUUUGUACCGGGUCACUGUAAAUGGGUUUGGUUUUUGUUGUUAUUGGGCUGUGAACUAUUUGAGUUUUAAUUAAUUUUUAUUUAUUUGGUUUUUUAUUGUGGGCUGGGCAAAUUGGGUAUUACAAUCAGCUAAUUAGGAAAGACUGUGAUGAUAGUCACACCUUACAUCCAAAAGCAAAGCUUUUUUUACAUGUGUAUGUAAGGUUGCUAAGCAAAUCUGGUGAGCCUUCACUGCUGUUUUAAGGUUAAGUUAAUGUUCCUUUUCGGCAAAGAACAUUAUCGAGAUCACGGUAUUUUGAUCGCCUUUUGCUUCUUGUUAUUCGUUCUGAAACGAUUGCAUAAUCUUUACUGUGAUUGCAGGAUAUAGAGCAACUUUUGAAUUUCAUCGCUGUAAAGUGUUUAGGACCACGACAUGUUCUUGCAAAUUUGAAGAAGCUUCUAAGGUCUGUCCAGUCUUCAGAAUAUAUAGAUACCUGAAUUAAUUUUGAUUUUGUAGGAUCAACUAUAAUUAGCUACUUAUUAGAGUAUGAAUAGACAACCUCACCUUCUUCACACACUGACACGUGCGGAUUUUUUGCCAAUCCCAUUUCAAAGGAUCACACUUUUUUGUUGUUUACAGAAUCAUAAUUAAUGUUAAUUAAAGUGGAAUAUUUCAGAUUUCUGAUGAUGAGCAUAUUCUUGAGUAUUGCAGUAAAAAAAUGGGUGCGGAACUUAUUUGAACUUUGAAUGUAUGUUUUGUUGGUGAGAAUAUAAAGUUGAUAAAGAUUUGGUAAAUAGAAUAAAAUACUAUUUUUUAUUAGAAAAAUUAUUUGGUAGACUGCCAAUCGAUUUAUAAUUAUCAUGACGCAAUAUUAAGGGUAAUUAAAACAUGUCAUAUUACAAAUAAUAAAAUUAUAAUGACUCAAAUAUACGAACAUGUCAAAAUUUAUGUACAACGAAUUAUUAACAUGUCAAUGUAUAGUAUAAUAUGGUACGCAAAAAUAAGAUAAUUGCUUGUCUUUAAUUGAAUUGUUAUAACACAUUAUACAAAAUACAUUGUGAAUUAAAGCAUAAUAUAAUCAUGAUAUCAAUAUAUUAAAUUUUUUAAAAAUUCGAUGAUACGAAUAAUUAUGUAAAAUAUCACAUGAUACAAAAUGACUUGAGAGGAAAAGAGGAACAAAGACUUGCNNNNNNNNNNNNNNNNNNNNNNNNNNNNNNNNNNNNNNNNNNNNNNNNNNNNNNNNNNNNNNNNNNNNNNNNNNNNNNNNNNNNNNNNNNNNNNNNNNNNNNNNNNNNNNNNNNNNNNNNNNNNNNNNNNNNNNNNNNNNNNNNNNNNNNNNNNNNNNNNNNNNNNNNNNNNNNNNNNNNNNNNNNNNNNNNNNNNNNNNNNNNNNNNNNNNNNNNNNNNNNNNNNNNNNNNNNNNNNNNNNNNNNNNNNNNNNNNNNNNNNNNNNNNNNNNNNNNNNNNNNNNNNNNNNNNNNNNNNNNNNNNNNNNNNNNNNNNNNNNNNNNNNNNNNNNNNNNNNNNNNNNNNNNNNNNNNNNNNNNNNNNNNNNNNNNNNNNNNNNNNNNNNNNNNNNNNNNNNNNNNNNNNNNNNNNNNNNNNNNNNNNNNNNNNNNNNNNNNNNNNNNNNNNNNNNNNNNNNNNNNNNNNNNNNNNNNNNNNNNNNNNNNNNNNNNNNNNNNNNAUGGUCUUCUAGGCUUGGUACCUAGUUUUCCAUUCUUUUUAUCCGUUCUAAUUCCACUUUUGCUUUAGUAAAAUUUUCUUAUAGCUAAGAAAGAAAAAAAAAACUAUUAACAAGUAAUUAUAUAUAUAUAUCAGGUUUUCAAUUGCUUUCAAGACUCAAUAACUUGGAAACUCUCGAUUUAAGUCGGAAUUCUUUUAAGAAUAGCAUUUUGUUCCAUAUGAGAAAUCUUUCAUCCUUGAAGACUUUAAGAUUGAGCGGUAAUCAGUUGAAAGGAAGGCUGGAUCAUAUUCAAGGUAGACUAAUUUUACCUGUUUCUUUUUAACUUUAAAAAUCAAUGUAUGCUCAAGUUUGAUUUUAUCAUACGAUGAAUGUAUAUAACUAAUCAAUAUUUGGGAUUGAAUUUCAGGAUUGAAUAAUUUGACAAAUUUGAAGUACUUGGAUUUAAGUUGGAACGACAUUGAAAGCAUCUCAAACAAAGGUAUAAGUAUUUGUGCAAAACUUUCUUGACCGACUCUUAUUCCAAAAGGCAAUGACAGACUUCAAAUGUAUUUUCUUUAGUGAAUUUUUAUUGCAAAAAUGGAGUAUUAUUAUUUAUUUAUGUUUUGUAGUAACUAAUUAUAUAAUAUAUAAAUCAGGUUUUCAACGGCUCAUUAAAUUGGAAAUUAUUGAUAUAAGUUGGAAUUAUUUGAAGAAUAGCAUUCUUUAAAAUAAAUUCAUGUUGAAGGAAAAGUUGUUGCAAUAAGUCAUUUGAUUUUAUCAUAUCAUGAAUAUAUAUAAGUAAUCAAUAUUUGGGAUUGAAUUUCAAAAUUGAGUAAUUUAAGUAGGAAGGUAUCUCAAACAAAGUAUUUAUAUAUUGAAUCAAUUCAUGGGAAAGCUUGUAAAUUGGCUCUUCCUUCUCAAACAAUCAUUUUUCCUAACUUUUUAUAUCUUGAAUGAUAUUAACUAUACUCAUUAUUUUCUUCCAAUGAUAGAUGGAACACAAUGGAGGCUAACAAACUUAGAGGAACUUGAUUUGAGUGGUAAUCUCUUUCGGAACAACACAAUUUCCUUUCCUCAAGGGCUUUCAAGCCUAAAGUCUUUGACUUUGUACAACAACCAUUUGCAAGGCUCAUUAGAUACUAUAGGUACCAAAGCUAUAACUUUGUUUUUCUUGAUAAUUCUUUCUAGAACCUUUUAAAAUUAAUUGUUUCAAAUUUGAACAUUCACAUUUCACUUUUGAGGAUUUUCAUCUUCACUUCCAGUUUUAGAUUUACUUUUUUUUUCAUUUUUAUUUCAUUAAAAUAUUAAGUAGAAAUUAAAAUUAUUAACAUAAUGAUUUUUUAAAUUGUACGUGGAUAUGUAUAGGAUUGAGCAAUUUAACAAAUUUGAAGAAACUCGAUUUAAGUGGGAAUCAAAUUGAAAGCUUUCAAACCUUUAAAGGUAUGCAUUUAUAUUUAACUAAUUACCUAAAUUCUUACAUAUAAUUAAAUUUUAUGCCAAUUCAUUUCAGUGAUGAAAUUAUAUAAAUCUUUUGUAGAUGGUGGUAGAAAAUUGGAGUUGACCCACUUGGAAGAGCUUUAUUUAGAUGGAAAUCACUUCAAUACUAGUGUAUUUGCAUCCCUUAACAAGCUUUCAAAUUUGAAAUCUUUGAGCAUAAGUGAGAAUCAAUUGAAAGGAUCAAUAGAUAUGAAAGGUAAAAAUAUUAGUUUUUUAACAAGAAUAUAAUAAUGUUUGAAGAGAAUAUAAUGAAGUUGAUUUGUUGUUUUUGUUUUCCUAGAUUUGGAAGCAUUUAUCAAAUUAAGGGAACUAGAUAUGAGCUAUAAUGAAUUGAGAGAUUUUGUGAUCCACCAAGGUAUCAUUUAAUUAAUUUUCCUUUUUUUUUAAUUUAGAAAUUUAGUUUUGAUCUAUGAUAUUAUAAUAACAGUUAUUGUCAUAAAUAUUAAUAAAGUUAUAUCAUAUCAUACUUGAAAGUAAAAUAUGGGUUUGGUGAAACAUUUUCUAAACCCUCCAUUAUAAUGUGUUUCGACUUUGGUUUGAAACUAAAAUUCUUUAAAUUUUUCAUAAUUUUUAAAUAUUAAUGUUUAUAAUUAUUUUGUUUGUAUAACUAUGUUUUUAAAAUAAUUUAUUGAAUUUUUAUGAGAUAAAAAAUAAUUAUAACGAUAAAAAAUGAUAUUAUAAGUAAAAAUACAUAUAUUUAUGGGAAAAUAUGUAAUAUAACUAUAUUUUAAUUUCAUAUAUUUUUAAUAGUAUAAAACAUAAAAAUACAUAUUAGAGUUAAAUAAAUGGCAUUUUUUGGCCAAAAAUAAAUAAAUGUCAAUUUUGAAUAAUAUAAAAAAAAACUUCAAUUUUAUGAAAUUUAAACAUACAUUUUGAGGUGUUUAAACUUUUUUUUUUAACUUUUUAUAAAUUUCAAAAUGCACAUGUUGUUAAUUUUUUGGUUUUAAAAAAUGUGAUAGGUCUAUGUACUCUUUACAAAUUUGUAAUUUAAUUCUUGUAUUUUUAUUUUCGGGAAUUUGAUCCCUCUAUUUUUUAAAUUUUAAAAUCCAAGUUCAAUUGUUAACAUUGUUAUUUUUUUAAAAAAUAAUUUAUUGGUGUUGACAUUUUAAAAUAAAAGAACUUGGUAGCGAUGUAACUAAAAGAUGAUGUAAUGAACAUGGAUUUAAUAAAAUAAUUUCAACCGUAUAAAUAGUUAGACUUGAAUUUUGAAAAAAAAAAUUUGUAAAGAGAAAAAUAUGCACAUUAGAUUUAAAUAAAAAUAAUAUUUUUUUUAGUUUAAAAUUUUCUAUUUUAUAAUAGAACCAUUGAUUUAAAUAAAUGAGAUUUUGAAGAAUUUCCAAAAAAAAAAAACUAUGUAGGUGAAAUUUAAAUAGAGAAUUUGAUAAGCUGAAAUUCUCUUUUGGAAUUCAUAAAUUUUAAAAUUCAGAAGCAUGUAUUUUGACAAUUUUGAUUUAAUAUGGUGAAUUUAAUCAAAAAAUUAUUUAUUAGAUUGUAAAAUAUUUCUUAACAUUUAUAAUUGAGUACAAAGUAAAUUAAGUUUAAGGGAAAAUAUUGGGUACUAUUAAUGAAAUUCUUUUCUUUUAUCAAUUUUUUUUUAAAAAAAUCGGGGUGGUACUAUUAAUGAAAUUCUAAACUUCAUAAGUAGGAUUGAGAUAAUAACAAAUUUCUUAUAUGGUAUAGUAAAAUAUUAAAAAAUAAAUAUUUAAAAGAAAUAGGUUAGUGGCCAUUUUUUAACUUCACUUGUAGAGUUAAAAAACUCCAUUACCAGUACCAAAUACUAACAUUAAGGUUAAAUGCUAAUUGAUUUCAAACAUAUUUGAGUUUUUUAAAAGAAUAUUCUCAUAUAUUUAAAAGAAAACAACACAAAGUUAGAAGAUCUCAUCUUGAAGGGUAAUUCAUUUACCGGUCCUCUCACAUUACCGUCAGCUCCUAACUCUAAAGUGUCUUUAAUUGACAUAUCCCAAAACAAAUUGCAAGGUCAGAUUCCAACCAACGUGUGUUCACAUUUUCCACAUUUGAGCCACUUAUUCUUAUCCAAGAAUGCCUUCGAAGGUGAUAUCCCUCCUUGUUUGAGUGGCAUGAAGGAUUUAUCGAUUUUAGAUUUAUCAGACAAUCAAUUGUCUGGAAGAGUACCUGAAGAGUUAAUCACAAAAAACUCGUUGACCAUUUUGAGACUAUCAAACAACAACCUCAGUGGACAUGUGCUUCCUGUGAUUCUCAAUGCAAAUGGGCUGUCAAAAUUAUAUUUGGAUGGAAAUAAUUUUUCUGGGGAGAUGGCAAAUGUUGAUGUCUCUAUUUCUGAGUUUCCAACUUCACUAAGGGAAAUUAAUCUCGGAAAUAACAAGUUUUAUGGAAACCUCCCAAGAUGGAUGGGGAAUGUGUCAUUUUUGGAGAGAUUAGCUUUGUCCCAAAAUGGUUUCGAGGGUUCUAUUCCAAUGGAAUUUUGCAACUUGAAUCGCUUGGAAUUUUUGGAUCUCUCUGAAAACAAUUUAUUUGGCUCUAUACCGUCCUGCUUUAAUACCCUAAACAUAAAGCAUGUCCACCUGCACGGGAGUAGACUAAGUGGCCCACUACCAAUCGCUUUUUAUAAUAUCUCUUCACUGGUUACGUUAGAUCUUAGAGGAAACAAUUUGACUGGUAGUAUUCCAAAAUGGAUUGGCACACUUUCUUCAUUGAGUGUUCUUCUCUUGAAAGAUAAUCAUUUUCAUGGUGAAGUUCCAGUUCAGUUAUGCAAGUUGGAUUCUUUAAACAUCAUAGAUCUUUCUCAAAAUAUGUUUUCUGGUAUUAUACCUUCUUGUUUGGGAAAUUUAACCCUUUCAACGGAAACAAAUAAGAUUCUAACUGAUUCGAAAAUUAGUCCAAGGUUAACAGGGGACGGAUUAGUGAAAACAUUGGGAGCUCUCGGAAAUUAUUACUAUCCUGAAGGCUACUUAGAAGAAGUAAUAGAGUUCACAACAAAGAGUGGGUUCUUAUCGUAUGAGGGAAACAUCCUUACAUAUAUGACCGGGAUUGAUUUAUCUUGCAACAACUUAACUGGUCAUAUCCCACCAGAAUUAGGGAACUUAAGUGAAAUCUAUUCUUUAAACUUGUCGCAUAAUAAGUUGACAGGAGUUAUACCCUCAUCAUUCGCAAAACUUCAUCAAAUUGAGAGUUUGGACCUUUCUUACAACAAUUUGAGUGGUGAAAUCCCCAAUCAGUUGGUAGAGUUGAACUCUUUGGAGGUUUUCAACGUGGCAUACAACAACUUGUCAGGUAGUAUUCCCGAACCAAAAGCUCAAUUUGGGACCUUUAUUGAAAACAGUUAUGAGGGAAAUCUUUUUCUUUGUGGAGCUAUAUUGCAUAAAAGUUGUUCCAAAACCGAUUCACCAUCAACGAUAUCAACUCUAUCAGAAUAUAAAGGAGAAGAUGGUUUGAUAGGUACUUAUGAUUUUUGUGUGAGCUUUUUGGUUUCUUAUGUAGUUGUGUUGUUGACCAUUUUUGUUGUCCUCUACAUAAAUCAAUACUGGCGAAGAGUUUGGUUUUCUCUCAUUGGGAAAUGCAUCACCACCUGUCGCUACUCAAAUGUGGGCAAUUUUCUUACUUAUCACAUUUUCAAGCAAUGAGUUUAGCUACUCAAAUUGUAAUUUGAUUUUCACACCUAAAUGUUUAAUUAUGCUAAGUUGAGCGAUAAUGAAUAUUUUGUUGAUUUUUGCAUUUUAAAUAAAAGCUCUUUGAUCUUAUGAUUUUAUCAUUUUCAACCAUCUAUUUCUUUUUUCUUCUAUGAAAUUUAAUGUAAAAUCAUAAUCCAUUAUUAUGUAUAUGCAAUAUCUCUUUGAAUUAAAUUAAAUUGAAUACCAAGCGUUCACUAGUGCAUACUGAAAAGGAAAUCUAAUGUAAAAUUAAACCAAACAUACUAGAAAAAUGAAUCUGAAACUGAAAUAUUUUAAAACCUCAAAAACAAUGCAAUUCUUUAUUCCUCUUUUCCUUUCAAGUUAUUUUGUAUCAUGUUAUAUUUUACAUAAUCAUUCAUAUCAUCAAAUUUUAAAAAAUAUUUAAUAUUUUGAUAUCAUGUUCAUAUUAUGCUUUAAUUCACAAUGUAUUUUAUACAAUAUGUUAUAACAAUUCAAUUUAAAAAACAAGCAAUGAUCUUAUUUUUGCAUACCGUAUUAUACAUUUACAUGUUAAUAAUUCAUUGUACGUAAAUUUUGACAUGUUUGCAUAUUUGAGUCAUUAUAAUUUUAUUAUUUGUAAUAUGACAUGUUUUAAUUACCCUUAAUAUUGUGUCAUGAUAAUUAUAACUCGAUUGGCACCAAAUAAUUUUUCUAAUAAAAAAUAGUAUUUUAUUCUAUUUACCAAAUCUUUAUCAACUUUAUAUUCUCACCAACAAAACAUACAUUCAAAGUUCAAAUAAGUUCCACACCCAUUUCUUUACUGCAAUACUCAAGAAUAUGCUCAUCAUCAGAAAUCUGAAAUAUUCCACUCUAAUUAACAUUACGAUUCUGUAAAAACCAAAAAUGUGUGAUCCUUUUUUAAAGCUCUUUUUUUUUUCCUUUAAUGAAAUGGGAUUGGUAAAAAAUCCGCACAUGUGUCGUGUGUGAAGAAGGUGAGGUUGUCUAUUCAUUCUCUAAUAAGUAGCUAAUUAUAGUUGAUCCUACAAAAUCAAAAUUAAUUCAGGUAUCUUUAUAUUCUGAAGACUGGACAGACCUUAGAAGCUUCUUCAAAUUUGCAAGAACAUGUCGUGGUCCUAAACUCUUUACACCGAUGAAAUUCAAAAGUUGCUCUAUAUUCUGCAAUCACAGUAAAGAUUAUGCAGUCAUUUCAGAACGAAUAACAUAACAAGCAAAAGGCGAUCAAAAUACCGUGAUCUCGAUAAUGUUCUUUGCCGAAAAGGAACAUUAACUUAACCUUAAAACAUCAGUGAAGGCUCAUCAGAUUUGCUUAGCAACCUCACAUACACAUGUAAAAAGCUUUGCUUUUGGAUGUAAGGUGUGACUAUCAUUACAGUCUUUUCUAAUUAGCUGAUAACCCUGUAUCUAACAUUUAUCAGGGCUAAGCAAAUUAACAUACAUGAUGUAAAGGAAUUUGACUAUAAGAUCCAACAGAAAACUUAAUAAACGAUAAUCAACAUAGAAAGAAGGCAAUGCAAACUUAUUACAAUGAUGCAAGCGGAUCAAAAGAAAGCACUUCUAUAGGGAAUUUGCAUUUAAGGCAUCGUAAACAGAAAAAAAAAUGAUAAAACUUUUUGGAAAGUAUUUUCAAAGAGGAGACAAAAACAGGGUAGAAACAAUGUUUGGUUCUUCCUUUUUCUAUUUACAAUUUUAGGGUGCAUUCUCUACUGUUGUGAAAAAGCCUUUUUGGGUUAAAAGUGUUUUUACACUGCAGAAGUGUUUUUCCACUGCAGAAGUGAUGAACAACACAUAGCUGUUGUAGUCAAAAACUGUUUUUGGCUUUUGCAUUCAAAAGAGAAAAUUAUCAAAAUACUAUUAUUUUCAUUAACUAUUUAAAAGGUAUAUAAAAAUUAGAUUAAUUUAUAUUUUAUAUAUUAUUAUAUUAAAUUGUUUAAAUCUUAUUUAUUAUUAUAUUUAAUUUUUUCAAAAUAUUUUAUAUAUUAUCAAUUUUACAACUAAUUAACAAAAUAUUUUACUAGGGAAUACGUAUAUGUGAAUAUCUAUAAAUGGCAUGCCUGGAUAUGCAUAUCCUUUGAUAUCAAAUAUUUUGAAAAAAAUAUUAUCAAUUCCACUGAUAUAUUAUCAAUUCCACUGAUAUAAAGCUCUUUAUAUUACCAAUAUAAAUAUAAAUAUUUUGAAUAUAAAUAUCCAUUGAUAUAUUAUCAAUUCCACUGAUAUAAAGCUCUUUAUAUUAUAAAUAUUUUAUAUUUUUUUUCAAAAAUAUGGAUAUGCAUAUCCUUUGAUAUCAAAUAUAAAGGUAAUAUUUAUAGGAAUUGUUUUUUAAUUAGAUAUUUUUAUAUAUCAGUGGAAUUGUCAAAAUAUUUUCAUUAACUAUUUAAAAGGUAUAUAAAAAGAGCUUUAUAUUGCCUCAAGCGCAAGGCACAAAAUGAAGCGCUAGCCUGUGUGCAGUAAAGCGCAAUACGUAUAUGUGAGAGUUUUUGCAAGUCUGUGUGUCUAUAACAUAAAAGUUUAAGAUAUAUAGUAAACUCUAAAGUGUGGUCUGGUUUAUCCACAAAACUUGAAAUUUUUUUAUAGGUGAAUGCUCAAAUAUUGAGAAUUAUAGAGUUUGAUAUUAUCCCUUCCUUAUUAGUAAAGGUAUAUCAAAUGAAAACAGUGAAAAAUAAAAUAAAUUAUUGAGAAAUUCAACAAGGCAGGUUUUUCUAAUGCCCAUUGCCUUACAAAAAAAGUGUGCCUAGGUGCACCAGGCAUGCGCUUGAUCAAAUGGACCUCACCUGGAAGGGUCCAAGGCGUUUUGUUGUAUAAAACUAAGGCGUAGGCAUGCCUAGGCGCAUGCCUUGACGACACUGACCAUAUGUUGGCUUUAUUGCAAAGCAUUAGCAAUUCAAAACUACUAGCACAUUACCUAAUCUACUACUGCUAGAAUAGGACUCAAGUUCUUGCUCCUGUGCAGGUCCAACCAAGAUCUUUACAGGAUACAGUAAUGAAACUUGUGAUAUCAUAUAUUGUUGCCUUGCUCGAAGCUUCCUUUGCACAUUUUUAAGUUUAACACAACCCCUUUCUUCAGUGAGUAAUCUAUUUGCUUCCUGUGAUAAAAACAACAUAUAAUCAAUCAUGCCAUGCAUGCAAGACUACCAACCAUCUUAAAAAAGAGACAAAGAAGUAGGACAGCAAGAAGGGGAUAACCCUUGACUAUGCAAAGGAAUUCAUAGAAUGAGAAUCAUCUCAUCUAAGCCCCUCAACCACCUUCACAGGGGGUGGAGCUGCAAAAAGAGAUGUCUUAUUGAUCCAAGAGGAGAAUAAAUAACAUCUAAAGCUGAAUAAGAAGAAACCUUCAAAUGUAUCAUAAAUUCAGCAUUCAUGAUAAUAUCAAAAUGAAAUUCCAAAGCUAAUUUAAGCUAGAAUAAAAAUGCUUCACCUGUAAUCGCUUCCUUGCUACAGAAAGAGAGGUACCAGCAACCAACAAUGAUCUUACUUCAGUACUAAGCAUUUCCUCCUGUUUUUUAGCAUCCUCUGUUGCAACUUUGCAACGAGUUGACAUUUUGCCAUAACUACUUUCCUUGCCUCUAGUCUCUCACGCAUUUCCUCAAGCUCGUUCAGUUUAUUCAAAGACUCAUUUUUUACCUGCACAGCAUGUUCCCGCCCAUUAAUCAGUGGGCCAAUUGAUUAGGUCACAGAAGACAAAACUAAAUUACCACUCACCAGGUCCCCUUGAAGUGUCAUAUGGCUUUAACAAUUCAACGUGCAAUAUCUAGUAAAAGUAAAAUAAACAUAGAAGAAAGCAAAUGCAAUUCUUAAACGCCUUUAAAUGGACAACAUGAAACAGUUUAAGAGCCCUAUAAAACAGUAAAGUGGAAAAAAAAUCUGAAAAGGAAAAAGAAAUGAAUUGAAACAAUAAAUCCAUCAGGUACAAACAGCAACAAAACUUGAAAUAAGCUUUGGCUUUAGCCCAUUAAAGCCCGGGCAUCCAGCCAAAUAAACAGUGACUGCCAUGUCAACUUUUUGAGACGGUAGAAAAGAGAUCGAAAAUCUCAAUUUCCAAAAAUAAGGACAUAAGAAGUAAAAAAAUGCACUUAUUCUUACAGUAGAAGAGCAAAAUGAAACUAAAUGAAGCAUAAGGGAACUGAUGCGAAUUGACAUUGUCAUUUUUGGGACUAAAAAGAAUACGCAGAUUGAAUAUUUAAGAUUUGGAAGGGAAAAGUUCCAUUCACCAACACAAUUAUCGUCGCCCUUCAUCCUAGUAAAGCUUAAUUGACAAUUUUUCUGUCUCGUGUUCUUGCUAAAGCAUUUGAGCAACCCAACAGAAAUCAUUAUAUUUCAAACUGAAAUGAUUGGCUUUAUCAAUUUCACAACCUAUACCGCCCAACCUAGUAAGUAAUUUAGGUGCAGACACCAGAAAUCUAUUUCCUUUGCACUCUACAACUAAAUAGCCUACCACUUAUCAAUCAAACACAGCUGAAAACUUCAGUGAGGAAACAUUAUGAAAACUGAAAAAACUAUAACUUCAACUUGAUUCAUAGCUCGGCAAGUUCAGGGAAUUGGGACUUCUACCACCAUGAUCCAGUUCGAUGUGAAACAGUGAUCUAUAUCACGCAUAUCGGUUCCCGCAACAAGAGGUAAAACAGCAAAUUAGGUAAACGAUGAUCCUACUAUAUUUCAGAAUAGCAACAUUGAGCAUGAAAGCUAAAGUUAUAGCAUAUUAUGGGUCCUUGCUCUCUACAACUACAUAUAAAAUUACUAAACAAUAUUACUACAUUAAGGAUCCAGAAAAACUUUGUUUCAAUUGUUGAUCACUUGAUCCAACUAUUUUAGAAAGUUUAUUCUUCUUUUUCCUUUCCCUUAUUUUCUAAAUCAGGAAAAACAGUAGCACAUAAACUGGAUUACUACUCCAAGUUUCUAAAAUUUCAGCAAUAUCCCUUUAACCUUUUCACUCAAGUCACUACCCCCCCAAUUAACAAAUAUAUUCCCAGUUUCCCUUUCACUUCAAACCCCCUUUUUUUUUUCUCUACCCAAAUUCAGCUUAAGUUCAAAAACCCAAAAUUGGUUUGCUAAAAAUACAUAAUUUUCAAACACAAAGGUAACCUAAUUUUAAUCAGAAAAAAAAAGCAUUACCUGAAUUAGUGAAUGGAGUUUCUCUUGAAGACUUUGUUUUAAAACUAUCUUAUACUAUUUGCUUUAAAUCGAUUUUUAUUAGCUAUUUAAAACUCGUUUUCAUGUAUUAUUUAUUUUUUUAUCACUUAUUUAAAUUGUUUUACAUAUCUAUUUUUUAAACCCUAUUUUAUUAUAUUUUACUUAUUUUAACUUUUUUACAUAUUUCAUUAUAAAUAUUAUUAAUUAUCUAUAUUGAGUUUUUCAUUCCAUAUGUAUUACUUAUUUAGAUAAAUAUAUACUAUUUUGUGUAUUACUUAUUUUGAUUUUCUUCUUAUACAAUAUUACUUUAAAAUUCAUUUAGAUAUUAUUAUUUCACGUAGUAUUUAUUUUUAUCUUCAUUUUUUAUUUAUUUCAAACUCAUAUAUUGUUUAUUUUGAAAUUUUAUGCAUAUGAUUUAUUGUUUAUAUUGAUGAUUUUAAAUUUCCUUUCUUGCAUGUUUUUUUUAUUUAUUUUAAAACUUGUUAUACUUUAUUUGUGUUAAUUUGCUUAGUUUUUCUUUCAAAAUUAACUUAUAAUUCAUUAGCUUUUAAUGUUAGUAUUUGCACAAUAUGUGAUGUAAGAUUAUUGCUUUCCUGUAUUGCUUAUCUGUAUAUAUUGAUUAUUUGUCAUUCAUUAGUAUACAUUUUGGUUUACGAAUUGACUAAUUUACCAAAAAAAGCCAUUUUUUUAUAAAUUACCGAAAUAGGCCGGUUUUUUAAUUAUUUACCGGAAUGGGCCAUUUCCCCCGAAAUCGCGCCACGUCGAAGCGAUGUCAGGGGACGGGGCAGAAGGUCGCGUCCACGUCAGAGCGACCUACUGACGUGGAAGGAAAUCGCUCCCCUGAGGGCGCGAUUUCCUUCCACGUCAGCAGGUCGCGCUGACGUGGACGCGACCUCCUGUCACUUUGCGCGGUACCGGGAAUGCGAUUUUGACCCUGAUUUUUACGCCUAGGUUUUAUGGCUUUUAGGGUUUAGGGUGCAGGCUUUUUAGGAGUUAGGGGUCCGGGAAAAUUAUUUUUCGAGUUGACGUUUCUGGUUAAAUAGUGGGAAAUCGCUUAUACUAGGAUGCUAUUUAAGAAGAAAUUGUGAAAUAGUGGCCUCGUGGACGCGAUUUCGCUACAGUGGUCAUGUGAGAAAUAAUUUUUUUAGACGUUUUCUGAGGAAAUAGUAUAAAAUCGCUGAUACCAGGAUGCUAUAUGAGAAGAAAUUGUGAAAUCGCGCCCUCGUGGACGCGAUUUCGCUACAGUUGGUCAUGUAGGAAAUAAUUUUUUUUGACGUUUCUGAGUAAAUAGUGUCAAAUCGCGCCCUCGUGGACGCGAUUUCGCUACAGUAGCAAGUUUGGGCUGAGGUUAUAAAUUAGGCAGAGAAUUUUCUUAGAAUGCAUAACUCAGAGCAGAAACAUUUUAGGUUAGGGUUAGGGAAUUUAGAGUUUCAAAAUGAGUGAAUGUAUUAGUGCUGUUAUUUACUACGAUGGUGAGGUUUGCCACACCGAGAAUGGUGUUGUUUUUUUGUCGAAGAAUACGAUGCGACUGUCAUUUAGCCAAAACAUAGAUUUGACAGAACUCCGUAAAAGAAUUAGGCGUAAAAUCUUCGGAACCACGCCAAUGAAAGUUCAGUCAAUGACGUAUCGAUUUUGUUCUUCUGUUGAUUCGGUGACAUAUGACUCGUUCGACAUAAAAGGUGCUCGUAGCUUAGAGGCAAUGGUGCAGACUCAUCUUGCUAGCGGAGCAACUUAUAUUGAGUUAUAUGUACAAUUUACGUCACCAAAUGAUGUACUUUCGUCCGGUGUUCGAGAUGUAUACACGACCCCUGGCCGACACUCGGUUAGUGUGUUACAAAAUACGGAACAGCCCAUGUUCGGUAGCGGUGUCGAAUGCACAUCCCCCCAAGACACUCUGUCGGUGGAUGGGACAUGUACGUCGGUGGCUCGACGGUUGACGCUGGAAAUACGAGCUGGUACGUUCAUUCUCUUAUUUUAUUUUAUUUCAUAUUUUGGGAAAUUUAGAACGAUAAGCGAAAAUGAAUAUAUUCAGAUUAGCAGGGGACAUGACCCAUUUGUUUAGUGUUCUUGUUUUGCUUCUUAAGAUCCACACAAUCAAGUCUUGUGCUGGUACGUUCAUUUUCCAAAUAUUUACUUUACUUUUUGUUUCUGGGCUUAUUUCAUUUUAUGUUGUACUUUUUUCCCAGUAAUUUACUGCUUAAUAUAAAAGAAUCGAAUAUUUAGGUUAAAUUGUGGGUGGGUUUUUGCUAGUUUAUUGAAUACUCAAAUUGGAGCCAUGUAAAAUGUGGAAACUUUAGCUUGAUAGAAAAUGUGACCCCCUUUUUUUUUAAUGUAUGGAAUAAAAAUUUUUGUAUUUUGUGAAUUUUUUUUUAGUAAUUUGAAUUUGUAUGUAUGUUCAUUGGAAGUUUAGAAGCAAGGAGUUCUGAUCAUUAGGACUUUAUGUGAUUCAUUCAUUUUGAGUUAUAGUGUAGUUAGUUGUUGGAUUUAGUGUCACUGUUGGCAUCUUAUUUUAGCUGAUUUCCUUUCUAUUUGUACCGAUAAACCUCUAGAGGUUUUGAAAUUAGCAACUGAUUUUUUUUAUGUGUGAGAGUUUUUAUGGAAAUCAAUAAGCUAAUUACAUUUUGCAGGAUCAUACAGUCGGGUUAGUGGUUUUUAUGUCAUGCUGGCCUAUGGUUUUGAGAUGAACAUCAUGAAAUCUGUAUAAGAUGAGGGUAUUAAACUAUAAACAUAGCCGAGGUAGCGAUUUAUUUCGUAUCAUGCUAUUGGAAGUUUUUUUGGGGCGGCAAUGUCAACUAAAUUUAUAUUCUUUUGAUCAAGUCGAUUAUUUCCAGUUGCACAACUAGCUUGUUGGAAAUAUUUUCUUUCUUUGCUCCUGUCCUUUUCACUUUCAUAUUUUAUGGGUGGUGUGAUGAUGGGAAGAUUCAUGGGUGGCUAAAGCCAUCUUACUCACUAGAAGUGAGGCUGUUAUUUUUAGAAGUUAGAGAUGCUAUAUCAAUUGAGGAUGCCGUGAGCAAAAGCUUGCUAAUAAUAAGUGACUGUUCAUAUGCGUGGGUUCUAUCACAUGUUGAUGGAGUAUUUGGUGCUCUUUCUUCACUAAUUUCAUAUGUAUAGAUAUAAUUGUAUAACAUCUCGACGUUGAUUACUGUUACGAGGGGAAAAAAACACAGCAUGUAAUGAAACUCAAAAAGUAGGAAUCCUAGAUCCUUGUAUUCAUUCAUAGGCAUUUUACAACAUUUGAUUUAACUUGAGCAAGAUUCCGUUUUGGGCCUGGUCUUUUCCUGUUCGUUCCCUUGUUUAUAUAUGAUGAAGUUGGUUCAGCAUGCAGGAAACUCGACAGCAUGCAGGCCAUGAAGACCAAGUCGUGCAGGAGCUGCUGGAACGAGCUGAACUUUUCCUAUUUUGUUCAUCUAGUAAUCUUAAGUUAAUGUAAUGUACUUUAGUUCAUUUAGAACUAUGUUAGGUUUAUGAUUGAUGUAAUUUUGAUGACAAUUGAGCUGUUAAGUCAGCUUUGUUUAAGUGUGUAAGCUUAGUUUUUCAAGUUUCAAUGUAUUAGUGGUAGUAGGUGAUGAUUAGGUAUCAUUAUGCAGAUUUUGACAAGCAAAUUGCUUGGUUUAUGUAUUGGCAUUAUGCCAUUGUUCAACAUAUGAAUGAAAUCAACUUUGUUCAUCAAUAUUCUCUCAAAUUUCCUCAGCUUAUUUUCUUUUUUCUUCAACUCGAAAUUGUUUGUUUGCUCAGCAAGAUUCGAGGCUUGCUCGACAAGAAACUUGCUGAGUCUGUUUGAUUCUGCUGUUGCACCAACAAUUGGUAUCAGAGCUUAUUUCUUAAGGGACCUGUUAUACAAAUCCAUGGCUUCAUCAAGUUUUUCACCAGCUGCACCUCAAGUCUUCAAUGGAGAAGGCUAUCACAUAUGGGUGGUCAAAAUGAAGACCUACCUGCAGGCAUUUGAUCUGUGGGAGGUGGUCAACUCUGAUGUUGAACCAGAGCCACUUAGAGCUAAUCCAACAGUGGCUCAGAUCAGGCAGCAUGCUGAUGAAAGGACCAAGAGGCACAAUGCUAUGUCUUGCAUCCAAAACUCAGUGUCUGAUGUGAUUUUCACAAGGAUUAUGGCCUGUGAAUCACCAAAACAGGCCUGGGACAAGUUGCAGGAAGAGUUUCAAGGGACUGAGAGGACAAGGCAACAACAGUUGUUAAACUUGAGGAGAGAUUUCGAGAAUUUGAAGAUGAAGGAAGAAGAAACUGUCAAGCAAUAUUCUGACAGGAUUAUGGCUGUGGUUAACAGCAUCAGGCUCCUUGGAGAGCAGUUCAAUGAAGCUAGGAUAGUGGAGAAGGUUAUAGCAACUCUGCCUGAGAGGUAUGAGGCAAAAAUCUCAUCUCUCGAGGACUCAAGGGACCUGUCCACCAUCUCCCUGACAGAGUUGAUCAAUGCUCUAUAUGCUCAAGAGCAGAGGAGAGCAAGCAGACUGGAGGAGCACCAAGAAGGUGCCUUUCAGGCAAGAACAAAUACUUCCUACAAAGGCAAGAAGGCUUGGAGAGACAAGCCAAAGGAUGAUGCUGCAAGGAGAGAAGGUCAAACUUGCAAGCACUGCAGAAAGGCUGGUCAUUCAGAAGAAAAAUGCUGGUUUAAUCCAGAUGCUGUGUGUCAGCAUUGUAAGAAAAAGGGCCAUGUUGAGAGAGUUUGUAAGAGCAAUGCCAAAACAAGGCGCAAUCAGGCUCAACAGAUGAAAGCUGAGGCUCGAGUAGCUAAGGAGGACAGUGACCAAGAGGAGCAAGUCUUUACUGUGUCAUGCUCAGCUGCUCAGGAAAGGUCCUCAUCUGGUUGGCUCCUAGACAGUGGAUGCACCAACCACAUGACACCUGAUGCUGCAAUCUUCAAGUCUUUAGACAGAAGCUGCAGAACUAAAGUCAAGAUAGGAAAUGGUCAUUUUAUUCAAGCUGAAGGCAAGGGUGAUGUUCUGAUAUGCACUCUUACAGGUACCAAAGUGAUUUCAAAUGUGCUGUUGGUGCCUGAAAUUGACAGAAACCUGCUCAGCAUAGCUCAGUUGCUGGAAAAAGGUUACUUAGUUGUGUUUAAAGACCACCAAUGCCAAAUCAGUGAUCCAAGUGGAUCCAAACUGAUGGCAGUCCCUAUGGCUGAUAAGAGCUUUGUGGUUGACUGGACAAAAAAGUCAGACAUUGCCUACACAGCCACUUCAGAUGAAUCCAAGCUGUGGCAUCAAAGACUGGGACAUGCCAACUUCAGAUCGAUGGCCCGAAUGAUCAGAGAAGACCUGGCUGAAAACUUCAUCAACUCAGUAGACCAUGAUGAUGUAUGUGAAGUAUGUCAGCUAGGAAAGCAGGCCAGACUCCCAUUUCCCUCGAAUCAAGCCUAGAGAGCCUCUGAAAAACUCCAACUGGUGCAUACUGAUGUGUGUGGACCUAUGAAGACUGAGUCAUUAAGUGGAAACAGGUAUUUCAUACUGUUCAUUGAUGAUUUCUCGAGAUAUUGCUGGAUUUACUUCUUAAAACAGAAAUCAGAGGUGGCCACUGUGUUUUGGAAGUUCAAAACUGCUGCUGAGACUGAAACAGGCUGCAAGGUGAAGACCAUAAGGUCUGAUAAUGGGACUGAGUACACCUCAGCUCAGUUCCAAGCCUUCUGUGAUAAGGCAGGCAUCAAACAUCAACUUGCCAACACAUAUACACCUCAGCAGAAUGGGGUAAGUGAAAGGAAGAAUAGGAGUUUGAUGGAUAUGGCCAGGUGCUUGAUGAUUCAGAAGAAUCUGCCUAAAGCACUAUGGGCAGAAGCAGUUAACACUGCAACAUACAUUCAAAAUAGACUUCCAACCAGGGCUUUGGAUCAAAAGACCCCAUUCGAGGCCUGGUUUAGCUUCAAGCCAUCACUGGCUCAUCUGAAGGUCUUUGGAUGCAUCUGUUAUGCACAUGUACCUGCUGUUAAAAGGGACAAAUUGUCUGAAAGGGCUCGACCUGGUGUUUUGGUGGGCUAUAGCACUGUUAAGAAGGGCUAUAGGAUUUUAGAUCCUUCAACAAACAAAGUGUCAGUAAGCAGGGAUGUGGUAUUUGAUGAGAGGUCAUGUUGGAACUAGGAAAGACAUGAACCUGAAGAAGUUUUUGAAGAACUUGCAGCAGACCAAGCUGAGCCAGACCAAGAUGUCCCUGAAAUGGAUAUUGAUGAUGAACCAGUCAGAGGAACAAGGCCAUUGGCUGAAAUUUAUGAAAGGGCUCAUGUAGCCAUAGUUGAACCAAGCAACUUUGAAGAGGCUGAGGCUCAGCAAGGGUGGAAGCAGGCAAUGGCUGAGGAGAUCAGCAUGAUUGAGAAGAACCACACCUGGAAAUUGGUUGAAAGGCCAGUCAAAAGGAAAGUGAUUGGGGUGAAAUGGGUGUACAAAGCCAAGCAGAAUGCUGAUGGUACCUUGAACAAGCUGAAAGCAAGGCUAGUUGUCAAGGGGUUCAGUCAGAGGUAUGGCUUGGACUACCUGGAGACCUUUGCACCAGUGGCCAGGCUCGACACCAUCAGACUGCUGAUUGCCUUAGCAGCACAGCUUGAAUGGAAGAUCCAUCAACUUGAUGUGAAAUCAGCUUUUCUGAAUGGUUUCUUAGAUGAAGACAUCUAUGUUGAACAACCACAAAGGUUUGAAAUAGCUGGCAGAGAGCAUAUGGUCUACAAACUGAAAAAGGCCCUAUAUGGAUUAAAGCAGGCUCCAAGGGCCUGGUAUAGCAGAAUUGAUGGCUACUUGACUGAUCUAGGAUUCGAUCGAAGCAAGAGUGAGCCAACACUGUAUGUCAAGAAACAAGGGACACAAAUACAACUCAUUGUGUCCCUGUAUGUUGAUGAUCUUCUGGUGACAGGAGGAGAUCGAGUAGUGCUGGCUGAUUUUAAGACCAAGAUGCAGGAAGUGUUUGAAAUGUCUGAUCUUGGGGAGAUGUCAUACUUUCUUGGAAUGGAGGUGUCUCAAGUAUAGAAUGAGAUAUUUCUAAGCCAGAGAAGCUUUGCCACAAAGAUUCUGACCAAGUUCUCCAUGCAAAACAGCAAGGCAACUAAAACACCUAUUGCUGUUGGAGAAAAACUAUCGAGCCAAGGUGAUUUUAAGAAAGUUUGUGAAACAACCUACAGGAGUCUAGUUGGUUGCUUGCUAUACUUGACUGCCACUAGACCAGACAUUAUGUAUGCUGUAGGAUUGCUCUCAAGGUUCUUGCAUUGCUGCAAUGAGAAGCAUUUCCAAGCUGCAAAGAGAGUGCUGAGAUAUGUCAAAGGCACUUUAAACUAUGGUUUGAAGUACAGUAAAGAAGGAAAUCUGAAGCUGAUUGGCUACACUGAUAGUGACUGGGCUGGCUCGAUAGAUGACAUGAAAAGCACCUCAGGGUAUGCUUUUAACCUUGGUUCAGCCAUGUUUUGUUGGAGCUCAAAGAAGCAAAGUCUAGUAGCUCAAUCUACUGCUGAAGCAGAGUAUGUGGCAACAGCAAGUGCUAUCAACCAAGCCAUAUGGCUAAGAAAAAUAUUGGCUGACUUGAAUGUGCAUCAAGAGCAAGCUACUGAGAUCUUCUGUGACAACCAAUCUGCAGUAGCAAUUGCUAAAAAUCCAGUGUUCCAUGGAAGAACAAAACAUUUCAGCAUAAAGUUGCAUGUUGUUCGAGAAAUGGAGCAAGCUCAGGAAGUAAAGCUGGUCCACUGUAAUUCAGAAGAUCAACUUGCUGACAUUUUAACCAAAGCUCUUAGUGUCACAAGGUUUGAAUAUCUAAGAAAGAAGCUAGGUGUUUGCUCCAUGCAAACCAAGGAGGAGUGAUGAAGUUGGUUCAGCAUGCAGCAAACUCGACAGCAUGCAGGCCAUGAAGACCAAGUCGUGCAGGAGCUGCUGGAACGAGCUGAACUUUUCCUAUUUUGUUCAUCUAGUAAUCUUAAGUUAAUGUAAUGUACUUUAGUUCAUUUAGAACUAUGUUAGGUUUAUGAUUGAUGUAAUUUUGAUGACAAUUGAGCUGUUAAGUCAGCUUUGUUUAAGUGUGUAAGCUUAGUUUUUCAAGUUUCAAUGUAUUAGUGGUAGUAGGUGAUGAUUAGGUAUCAUUAUGCAGAUUUUGACAAGCAAAUUGCUUGGUUUAUGUAUUGGCAUUAUGCCAUUGUUCAACAUAUGAAUGAAAUCAACUUUGUUCAUCAAUAUUCUCUCAAAUUUCCUCAGCUUAUUUUCUUUUUUCUUCAACUCGAAAUUGUUUGUUUGCUCAGCAAGAUUCGAGGCUUGCUCGACAAGAAACUUGCUGAGUCUGUUUGAUUCUGCUGUUGCACCAACAAUAUACCUCCACUGUGCCAUUGUGUAUUUGUGUUCGAUUUUCAGUUCUGUCUCACAAUCCCUGUCAUGUCUUAUGAGUGAUUUUCUGGCUCUAAAUAUCUAUGAUAUAUUUGUGCAGGCAUUUCACUGAAGACUCAGGAACUCUAUGCUAUUGUCUUUGCUACUCGUUACUUGGACAUAUUCACUAAUCAUAUCUCGCCUUAUAACACAAUCAUGAAGCUAAUAUUCCUGGGCAGCUCUUUCUCAAUUGUAUGGUACAUGCGGUAUCACAAAAUAGUUCGUAGAUCUUAUGAUAAGGACCAGGAUACAUUUCGACAUUACAUCCUUAUACUCCCUUGCCUGAUUCUUGCCCUUCUUAUAAACGAGAAGUUCACCUUCAAAGAGGUAUCGACAUCCUUUUGUUUGUUGGAAUAUGAUAACAGUAUGUUCAUAUUAAUUACUGGUUAACUUAGAAGCUCCCUAAACUGUUUAUCUGUUUUAUAUUAAUUAUUCAUUAUUAUCCUUCUGGUUAUAUUUUUAUAUAUUGAUUAUUGUCUUAAAAAAAAUUGUUGAGCAGGUCAUGUGGACAUUUUCCUUGUAUUUGGAAGCUGUUGCGAUACUUCCUCAGCUUGUAUUGUUGCAAAGGACUAGAAAUAUUGACAACUUGACUGGACAAUAUGUGUUUCUCCUUGGGUAACCACUGUAUUCUUUAAAAAUCCUAAUCAGUUGCAAGUUUUCUAUUUUAUUACCUUGCAAUUUGCAUGAAGGACCCUUAUUUCCUGGCUCAGUUCCCUAAAAUGUUGCCUCCUUCCUGAGGAAACAAAAGAGAGAAAGUCUCUAAAUAGAGUUGCCAUCAUAUUGCCGCUUGGUUGCCACUGAUUUCUUUUUGAUGAAAAGUUGAUAUGAUUAUAUGUUGGACCAAAGUUAUCUAUUUUCAGAUGUGAUUAACUGCAGUUGAAUUUUGCGAGUAUGACUGUUCUUGUGUAACUUUUGUUAUGUGCUUUCAUGUCGUUUUUAGUCUUUUACACUGUGUUCUGUCUAUCUUUGUUUGCUAUUAUCCUAAGUUAGGAGACAAGGUGCCAUUAGGAGCAAUGUGACGUCAAAAUUCAUUUCCCUUUAGCCUUCAGUUCUACCUUUUCUUCCCUUUCUUUAUGUAGUUUUUGGGAGUUGGGGAUCACAGCGAUGAUAGUCGGUACAUGUGACUUGAAAGAUGCCUAAAAACUUCAAGAGCAUAGUGUUGUAUAAAUCUUUUGGAGAAAUUUUUUUGGUACAUUGAUGCCAACUUACAAUAACCCUUGCCACUACAACCGUGGCUUUGUUGGCUUAUGUAUGCACUCUCUUUGUCUUUAUAGGUCACCAAAUUCCUAAUGUCUAAUUCUUGGUUAUGGACUAAUAUAGUUGCUUGUUAUUGCAGUGCAUACAGAGCAUUGUACAUAGUGAACUGGAUUUAUCGGUACUUUACUGAAGACCACUUUGUCCACUGGAUAAGUAUGUACUCUUCUCUGUCUCCCUUCAUCUUUUACUCCAAGUCGGUAGCCAUGGGUGUAUGACGAGUGUGUCAAUAUAUCUACCCCAACACAUUUGUGAUAUACUAUGCUAUAUGUGUUAUUUCUAACACCUUGUUUACAUGAUUGCUGCCUUUCAGCUUGGAUUUGCGGUCUUGUCCAGACAUUGCUUUAUGCUGAUUUCUUCUACUAUUACUUCCAGAGGUAACCCCCUUUCUGACACUCUGGAAAGCACUUCAUACCUAUGUGAAUGAUUGCAACUUAUUUGAUUAUUAUGCCUGCAGCUUGAAGAACAACAUGAAGCUCCAAUUACCAGCUUGAGAUUUUAAUGGUGCAAGUUUUGUAGUAGCAUACAUAAACUUACAUCAUAUGGGUUCAAAUUUAUGAGUAUUUCAAUUAAUUUUAAUUUCACUAUGUUAUAUUGUAAUAUCAUGUAAAAAGUAUCAUAAAAGCAGGCAUAAGUUUUCCACCAAUUAGAACAUUUUGAAAAUUGAUGUCAAGCCCGAAAUGACCGUCACAAGUAAGCAUAUUAAACGUGUGAAGAGAAGACCUUAUUUUUCCACAUAACUAAAACUUUUUACACCAUAGGAACUUUCAUCGUCAUCAAGUUGGACAUGGAUGGAGCUCACGUAAAAAUAAUUUUUCAUAUAAAAACUAAAAACUAGAAAUUGACUUGUAAUAAUUCUCAAGGUUAAGGUUGACGUGGUCAAUAGUAAUGAACUUAUGUUUAAGGUUUGGGUUAUUUUUCUCAAUUAUAGAUUAGUAUUUUGUUCAUUGUAAACUUUGCUAACAAAAUUUAAUAUAUGACACAUAUCUGAUUUAAUUUAUUUUUAUUUUAUAAAACUUUCAUUAUUUGUUUUACUCAUUAAUGAAAUUUGGUGUGAAUACAUUAAAUAUUACCUUUUAUAUAUUUCACUCCCUCUUACUAUAUCUCAAUGGAGAAAUUGAAGGUCAUUCAAGGAAAUGGUAAUGUCCAUUUUCCACAAAACUAAAAUUUUCCACACGACAGAAACUUUCUUGGUCAAACAAGUUGGAUUUGGCUUCACCAAUAACUUAAUAAUCUGUACUAAAAUUUUCCACGCAAUAGAAUACGAACUCGUUCUCGUAAAUAUUUUAAAAAAUAAAAAAUUUAAUAUUAUGAGUUAACGAAUUAUCAAUUUAAUUAAAAAAAGUUGAAAGAUACAUUUUUUAAAAUUUUAUGAAAUUAUAUAUUAAUAUAAUUAUAAAAUUAUAGUUUUAACUUUAUAAAAUUUAUUAUUUAUCUUUGAUCUUGAAGAGAGACAAAGUAAAAUACCUAUUCUUGGAGCCAUAACGACAACUAGGAUUAUGAUUGCACAUUUUCUAAGUCUUCAUUUUUGUUAAUUAGGAAAGCUGAUGGGCAUCUCCACUAAGUUUCCACCCACAAGAAUAUACGUAUUAAUUUGUUUUUCUCAAUUUCCAUGAGGGGGGAUAUAAGCUUAAAGUUGACGUAGAAGUCAAUACUCAACAUUUGAAAGUUAAUGCAGUGAACUAUGUGCUUGUUGAUAUAUGAAAUGAUAUUUUCUUAACAAUUUCCUCCAACUAGUUCGUAGAUGGUGCUAUAUUACAUCACAAUGGGUAACCAAAUGUAUAUAAUUGAGAUUUUUAAGCAAAUAUUAUAUUUUAUCUUUAUCCAUGAAUAGUCUAAUAAUAAGGAUUAAUAUUUGGUACAUUGUCAGUGGAGUUUUUAAAUUCCAUAAGUAGGGUUAGAGGAUUGACACAUGCCAAUUUUUUAAUGUUGCUUGUGGGAUGCACUUGAAUUGUGGUUCAUAGAAGGAAAUUAUUAUAUAAAGGUUUAAUUCUACCAUAGUUCUUGUACUUUACUGAAGUUGUAGAUUUAAUUCCCAGACUUUAAUUUGAUAUUUUAGAUAUUUGUUAAAUUCAUAAAGUCCUACUAUUUCCAAAUUUGGUGUGGCAAACAUAUUAUCAUAGGUGUAAUAUCACUAAAAUUCAAAAGAAUGAGAAAUUUGUACAUAUUAUCAGAUGUCAAUAUCAAGUUGAGCAUUUCAAAAUCUAAAGUAAUAGUUCAAGUAUUUAUUUUUCCAUAAAACCAAAAUUUUCUACAUGAUGGCUUUUUUUUUGGCUAUUAGUUAAGAGGAAUUUUUUUAAUAACCCAAUUUAAUUAACUAAUUUAAAAAAUGGUUCAAGUAAAACUCAAGUCAUAUUAAAAAUAAUUAUUUAUAAAUUUUAUGUUUCAAAAACUAAUGAAUGUUCAAAGAAUAGUGAAUUAUUAAAGAGAAGUUAUAUGAUAAUGGAUUGUUUUAAAGUAGUGGUCUAGUAGAAAUAAAUAGUUUUUUAUAAAAAAAUAUUAUAUAAAUAAUUAAAUUUUAUAGUUACUCCUAUUUUUUUUAAAAAUAGUGAAUGUAAUAUUUUUUAAAAUGUUAAAUUAACUCAUGAUAUUAAUUAAAUCAAGAAAUUUUAUAAUAAUAGAGAUGAAAAAAACUAAAUUUUCAAAAUCAAAACCUAAAACGUGCAAGAAUAAAAGCAAUCUGAAGACUUAAAAUUUCCAUUAAUAAAACCAAAAUCAAAGAAGUAAAAUUUCCAUGAAUAAAACCAAAAAUGAAGACCUAAAUUUUCCAUUAAUAAAGCCAAAUCAAGACUAAGUUUGUAUAAGUGUAAGAAGGGUAUAAAGGAAACUCACAAGAAAGCCACAUGAAGAAUUUUAUAACUCCAACUACACGAUUUUAUGUCCACCUCUCACUUUUCAUAUUUUUUUUUGGCCAUUCAUUUUUCAAGAUUAACAUUAGCAUUCUUGUGGUCCGUUCAUCCUUUCCUAACCAAUUUCCACCAAGAGUUUUUGCAAUAAGGAAUUUACCUAAAUAAGAAACCUAGAUUGAUCCAAUUUUUGAGGAAUUAAUUAAUUAUAUAUUAUUUUUAUAUUAUAAUGAAUUAGUGGGAUGCAGUAUGUUCUGCUUGUAUAUAAAUAAGAAGCUUAGGCUUCUUUAGAUUAUAUACAUAUAGAAGUUAACAAAAAGUAACAUAUAGCUGAGAGAGAAGUGAAAAUAGAGAGAUGAUGAUGAUGGAGUGGAAAUGGUUAAGGUUUAUUAGGAUGGCAGUAAUGUUGUUGGUGUUAGAAGGAUGCAGAUGGUGUACUACUGAUGCUUGUUUGGAGCAUGAGAGAAUCGCUCUCUUGCAUCUCAAGCCUUUCUUCAAUUAUCAAAAUCAAUUGCAAAGUUGGGUUGAGGUGAAGGGUUCAGAUUGUUGUAAAUGGGAAAGAGUUGAGUGUAACACCACCACUAGGAGACUCAUACAACUCUCCCUUAAUUCUACAAGAUGGUUUGACAGUAUGGGAUACAAAACGGAUAAUAGGAAUCUCAAUGCCUGGUAUCUCAAUACCUCUAUGUUUCUUCCCUUUGAGGAAUUGAAGAGUCUUUAUUUGCGGGGGAAUGCCAUAAGUGGUAACCUUGAAAAUGAAGGUCGUGCCUCUAGUUUUUCCUUAAUUACAUCUUUUAUUAUCCCACUACUCUUACCAUCGUUAUUUUGCAAUUACUUAUAUUUUAUUUUAUUUUAUGGAAGAAAAGUCACUAACUUGUAUAUAUUUAAAAGAAUAUUUCUAUAGGCUUUGGAAAACUAUCAUCCACAUUGAGUAAUUUGGAGAUCCUUGACUUAAGUGAAAACUACUUGAAUGACAGCAUUUUGUUAUCUUUGAGUGAGCUUUCAUCUCUCUGGUAUUUAGAUCUAUCAGGCAACAAAUUUGAAGGAUCAAGCCAUCUAAGAGGUAAAUUAAGUUUGGUCUGGUAUUAGUUUUUAUUUGUAAAGUGGAGUUUGAGGAUGGUCUUCUAGUAAUUCCACUUUUGCUUUAGUAAAAUUUUCAUACAGCUAAGAAAGAAAAAACAAUUAACAAGUAAUUUUUAACUUUAAAAAUCAAUGUAUGUUCAUAUUCAAGGUAGACUGGUUUUAUAUGUUUCUUUUUUACUUUAAAACCAUUUUUUUUGUUUAAGGGACAGUUAAUGUUGCAAUAUGUCUUUGCUUUUAUCAUAUCAUGAAUAUAUAUAAUUGAUCAAUAUUUGGGAUUGAAUUUCAGGAUUGAAUAAUUUGACAAACUUGAAGUACUUGGAUUUAAGUUCGAACAGAAUUGAAAGCAUCUCAAACAAAGGUAUAAGUACAGUAUUUAUAUGUCAAUUCAUAUUAAAGGUAGACUGGUUUUAUAUGUUUCUUUUUUACUUUAAAACCAAUUUUUGUUUAAGGGACAGUUAAUGUUGCAAUAUGUCUUUGCUUUUAUCAUAUCAUGAAUAUAUAUAUAUAUAUAACUGAUCAAUAUUUGGGAUUGAAUUUCACGAUUGAAUAAUUUGUCAAACUUGAAAUACUUGGAUUUAAGUCGCAACAACGUUGAAAGCAUCUCAAACCAAGGUAUAAGUAUUUGUGCGUAGUAACUUUCUUGACUGACUAUUAUUCCAAAAGGCAAUGACAGACUUCAAAUGUAUUUUCUUUAGUGAAUUUUUAUUGCAAAAAUGGAGUAUUAUUAUUUAUUUAAGUUUUGUAGUAACUAAUUAUAUAAUAUAUAAAUGAGGUUUUCAAUGGCUCAUUAAAUUGGAAAUUAUUGAUAUAAGUUGGAAUUAUUUGAAGAAUAGCAUUCUUUAAAAUAAAUUCAUGUUGAAGGAAAAGUUGUUGCAAUAUGUUAUAUCAUGAAUAUAUAUAAGUAAUCAAUAUUUGGGA